ACAUAAAUCAAGCAUUGGAGAGGCCUCUCCCAAACCAAAACAUACGGGCUUUAGGAAAUGCAAGCACUGAGACCUAAAGACAAGCACUACAAGAAAAUGGCAUAUUAGUGGCAGUUUUGUAGCGGCUUUUCACUUACAAACACUGCUAGCUUCUGUGUUUUUAUAAAACUUCAGGCGUUUAUUAUCAAAAUACCACUAAAUAUUCAAAUAGUGGUAUUGUUACUUAUAAACACCACCCAAGACUUAAUAUCAGCAUCAUUUUUAGAUAAAAAUGCCUUGAAUAAUUUUUAUUAAAAAUUUUAGUGAAUAGUAAUGGCAUAUUUUUGGUAGACAAUGCCCUUAAUAAUCACAUCAUAAAAAUUUGUACGAGAUUAUUGAAGGCGUUUUCUACAAGAAAUGCCUUUAAUAAUUGGAUGAAAAAAUUUCAUAGGCUAAUUAAAGUGUUUUUGUUAAAAAAUGCCUUCAAUAUUAAGCUUAUCAAAAUGUUUGGAUCGUACGGAUGUUUACCAUAAAGUUGUAGGUUAGAUCCCUCCCUUUAGCCUUUUCUUGGGUUUUUGCACAGAUUAUUUGUAAUUGAUUAUUCUAGGCAUUUUUUUGGCAAAAAUGUGUUCACCAAUUGCUUUAAAAAUUGUUUCAGAGAAUACUAAAGACAUUUUUCACAGAGAGAUGCCCUUAAUAAUCCAUAGGAAAAAUAUGGAGUCAAUUCUUGAAGGUGUUUUUGGUCGAAGUCGCCUUCUAUAAUCUAAUAAGUUUUUUUUUGUGAUUAUUAAAGGCAGUUUUUGUCAAACAUGCCUUCAAUAAAUCAUAGACAAAAGUUGGAAGGGAUGCUUGAAGGCAUUUUUGGCUCAAAAUACCUUUAAUAUUCUCAAUGAUAAAUUUUAAUGGUCAAAUUAUUGAAGGCAGUUAUAUCAAAAAAAUACCUUCAAAAACAUUUUGUUAGGGAUUAUUCAAGGCGUUACUUGUGGGAAAAUACACUUCAUAAUCCAUUCGAUUAAUUUUUAGUUGGUAUUAUUAAAGGUAUUUUUUUGCUUAAAAUGCCUUUAAUACUUCGUAUAAUAAUUUUUUUUUGGGUUUAUUGAAGGCGAUUUUGGUAAAAAAACGCCUUUAAUGUUUUCUGUUAGGGAUGAUUGAAGGUGUUUUCUUGCUAAAAAUUCCUUCAUUAAUCCCAUCAAAAAAACAUAUUUGAUAUUGUAUAUGUGAAGUCAGUUGUUGGUUUAUGUCCAGAAAAACAUUUGCUGUCAAUUGUAUAUUUAUGCCCAGAAAACAUUUGGUUUAUAUAUCUGACACUAUGAAUUACAUUUUGAAAUUUACAUAAUGAACAUUGUUGUAUUUCAAUAAAUUGAUCACACAUUCGAAAUUAAAACUGAUAAUGUUGCCAUAUUAAUAUACUUUUCUGAAAUAAUCAUACUUAGUAAUUUAUUAAGUACACAUAUGUAAUCAUAUUAAGUAUAACAAUAAUAUUAAACCAAUAACCCAAUGUACAAACUUAAAGUUUCCAUUCAACAUGGCAUGUUAAAAACAUUAUAACAAUUUGUUCCAUAUAUAUUUACAUUCAACCAACAAUGUCUAACUUGAAGGUUUAUCAACAUUUAUAAAUGAUAAUACAUAAUCACACCAUUCUUUACGGACUUCAUCCAGUUCCUCUUUCAUGAAGCUUUCUUUACCUUUCAUGAAGCUUUCUUUACCCUCCUACCAAAAAAAAAAAUUAAAAGUAAAUGUUAAGAAAUGAGAACAUAAAUGUAUCUUUUUUAUUUUUUUGAAGAUAUAACAAGUUUAUGAAAUUUAUACUAACCUUGAAUGGUGAGGUCAUAAAAUCAUGUAACACUAUCUCUCGCAUAAAACGAAGGACAUAAUAUCCACAUUUAGUAUUACUAGGUUGAUGAGGUACUUGAAAAUUAAAUUGAGUGGGUUUAAAAAAUAUUUAUCUACACAAACUCAGCAUAAAAAGAAUAUAUUUUACAUUUAACGGUAAUGACACCCAUUUCGGUUUCUUUAUCUUCUUAUCGAAUGCAAAUAUUAUCCUCAAUUGAAAAGAAAAAAAUUACUUAAUACAUAAAUAAAAUUACUUAUGAAUAAAUAGAAGAUAUAUAAUAUAAUAAAGUGUAAUACCUCCUUAUAAAAGUUUGAAUAGCGGGGUUAGGCAUCGCCAUUGGAUUAACUGAAUUAAGUAAGUAUGGCGUUAAGGAUUUGGUGUCAAUCAUGAUAAGCACCCAAUGACGACUACAAAAUAAUAAUAAUGAUAUACUCAGAUUAUGCAUCUAAUCAAAUUUUGGUAAGGUUGGAGUAAUUAAGGUUGGAAUAUAGCUUACUGUGCAUUAUACAGGAGCAAAUAAUAUUCGACCGAUCUGUUCAUGCAUAGGAUCACAUGAUUAGCACGAUAAGCAACUGUGCCACUCUAUUCACUAAUGAAGUUGGGGUCAAUGAAUCUAAAUCUAUUAGUCAACUGUCUCUCCUUGAGCACUUUAUAUAGGAAGCUGGACGAUAACAAUCAACAUUGUCAGUUAGUAUUACACCCUAAUAUAGAUUACUACAUAUUGAAUGUGCAUAUUUGUAUUUACAAGCUAACCCCAUAUAAGCAACGAUAUCAACAACUGGUAAUUCAUCCAGUUCACAAAAUUCUUUAACCUUCUCCACACCAAUGAAAGAAAAUGAUGGUUUAUCAAAUAACCCUUCCUCAAACUCAAUGGUUAUGAAGUUUCCUUUGGAUAAAUGCUCCAACGAAUAUUUGGAUAACUCAUCCAUGGAAGCCUGAGCAAAAGGUCAUACUGUGAGUUUGAACAUCCUGCUACAAAUAUUUAAUAAAACAUAAGUAUUAAAACUAAAUCAAUCAAUAUAAUAAACAAAUUAAUAUUCAAAUUAUAAACAAUAUCAUACUUCUUAGGUGGUAGCAGAGGAUGGGAUCACUUCCUUACUUCCAACGAAAGUUUCUCGUAUGGAGACGAUGUAUCAAGCCGACCUCCUAACAUAACCUAUUGUAUUGCUGCCAACAUGGAUUCCAAAAUAGCGAGUCUUUGCUAUUGGUCAUUGAGGCAUUGCUCUUGGUCAUUAAUUUGUUACUGUUGUUGCUUAAUUAUUGCUUCAUAUUAUGCAUUUCUCAUUCGUGGGGUUUUUGAUUGUUUACCAAAAAAUGUUGAUGGCAAGACAAAUUUACCAACCCCAUGAACCCGACCAGGCUUUUCUUUAGUGCCUAAUGCUAAAGACAAAGGAUCUUCGCCAUACUGAGUUGCCAGUUCACCAGAUUUGACUUUGGUAGCAUAAUCAUCCUAAAAGACAAUAAUAAGUUUGGCUAUAACAACAAAUCUAUACAAGAUAGUAUACAUUCAUGCAUACAACCAUAAUGCCAAUCAUACAUUAUAUAAAAAAAAUAGUUAUACAUACAAUCUUUUUUGCCAUUUCCUCGGUUGCUUUAUCUGCGAAUGAUCCAUCCUUCUAUAGAUGUCCUUGUUUCCAAACAUCCCAUCUAGAAACUUUUAUGCCAGUGCUCACUGAUUCUUAUUAAAUUAUCAUAAAAAAAUUCGAAUGUAUGAAAUGAAUGUUCAUAAAUAUUCAUUAAUGAGUAUAAAACAAAUGUGCAAAUACAUACAAGCUCAUACUUCACAUUUGCAUAUCCCUUUCUUGCUGUCCAAUUGUGAUAUUGUUGUUUGACCCAAAUGUCUCGUUGUUGUUCUUUGAUUUUCUACAAAAUCAAGAAAUUAUGUCAAUCACAUAUGAAGAUCAAAGGCUAUAUUGCAUAAAAAUUUAUAAACAAUUUUUAAUGAAAAUGGAUUUAUGUAUUGAGAAAUCUUCUGAAAGUUGAUAUUGAACAAAAUUUGUCCAAUCUUCAACACUUAUGACAUCUACAUAUGCCGUAGGUGGAACAACCAAUACAUCACCUUCACCAGCUAGCGGUAAAAUAUAUUGGGUCGUCAAUUUUCUUUUAAAAUCUCUAAAUGCUUUCCUAGCAAAUUGCAACAUAAUCUUUUUACAGUCAAUUGAGACGUCAAACCGUUCCUAAAUAAGUUAACACUAUUAGUAUGAACACAUUGAAUUUCAAUUAAAUGAUCAUUUAACAAAUUUUAUAAAAUAGUUGAAUAAACAUACUACAAUCGAUUGUCAUAUGUCAUCAUUUAAAUCACUAGAAACUCAUCGCCAAUCGAUGUACAUAAUUGAAAUCCUAUGUCGGAUGAUGGCUCCAAUAUGAAUAGCCAUCUUGGCAGCUCAUUCAGACACAUGUUGCCCACUUUGAUUGAAGUCAACAUGAAUUUUUGUGUCAGUCACUUUGAUUUGUUUAUUAGGGCCCAUUUCUUUUCUUUUUUGGCCUACACGUUUGUCUUGUGCAUGUUCAUUAAAAAGAGAAUGAUGUUGUUUAGAGUCUAUAAUACCUAUAAUCUUGAUAAUAAUUAUACGAAUUACACAAUAUGACUGUCUAAAUUAAACACUGUACGUAAUUUAAUACAACCACUACCAUACUACAUACAGAAACACCAUUCAACACACCAUUCAGCAAUGUGCUCAGACACACCCUUUAGCAAACCACUCAAAAACACCAUUCAGCAUACGAUUCAGCCCCUUAAUUUUAUACAAACCCAUCAGCAAAACAAUAUCAAAAAACAAGGUUGAGCAAACCAUUUAGCAUAUAUAUGAUUCAAACCCCCAAUAUCGUACAAUACCAUUCGGCAUUAUAAUAUUAGACAACAAGGUUUAGCAAACCAUAAUAUUUAAUGUGUACUACAUAGAAACAACAUAUUGCAAAUAGAAUCUUAGAUGACUAUGCUUGCAGUGAUGUUAAUGAAAAUAUAUAAACUCAUAUGUCAAUAUUAAGGAAUCGAAAAAAUAAAAAAUCUUUAUUGAAUAUUGUAAAUAAUACAGUAAACUAAAAAAAAAAAAACUUACCAGUAAAAACAAAAGUGUGUAGCGUUGGUUUGUUGAAGGUCGGUGGUGAGGAUAGGGAUAAAGAAACCAAUGGUCUGAUAGAAAUGUGUUUAAGGAUUUGGUUGAAUAACGCAGCUUUUAAUCGUUCAGUGUACCAGCAGUCUAUGAAUUUCAAUGUUCAAGGCAGGGAAAUGAAUAUAAAAUUAAUUAUUAAAGGCAUUUCCAUGGAACAACGCCUUUAAUAAUCUCCAAAAAAUUUUAUUGGAGAUUAUUGAAGGUGUUUUUUACAAGAAAAAAGACGCAUUUAAUUUUAAAAAAAAAUUUUUCAACUAACUUAUUGAAGGCAUUUAUCCUUAAAAAAUGCCUUUUAUAAUUCAUAAAAAUUCUAAAAGGCAUUUUGAGUAGAAAACCGCCUUUAAUAAUGAUGGAUUUCAAUGGUUUAUAACAAAUUAUUAAAGGUGUUUCAUAAUAAAAGAUGCCUUUAAUAAUCUCAAAUUUUUUUUAAAUAAAAUUAUUAUCUACAAAUGCUUUCACUAAUUAUCUACAAAAUAUAAUAGGAAUUAUUAAAGGUGUUUUUCUUAAAUAUACGCCUUCAAUAAUUGUGUUAAAAUCUGUGUGGUGGUAUAUUGAAGGUAUUUUACAGUAGAAGACACCUUUAAUAAUUCUCAAAAUUUUUUGAGAAAAAAUAUUGAAGGCAUCUAUUAUUAACAAAUGCAUUCAGUAAUGGAUUACUAAAUUUAAAGGUGUAUUGAAAGUGCUUUCUCGAAUAAACACCUUCAAUAUCUACCGUGGUAUAUUGAAGGCGUUUUAUAAUAAAAGACACCUUUAAUAAUCCCAAAAUUUUUUUUAAAGAAAUUAUUGAAGGUGUUGUUAUUUGCAAAUGCCUUCACUAAUUAUCUAUAAAAUCUAAUAUGAAUUAUUAAAGGCAUUUUUCUUGAAUAUACGCCUUUAAUAACCAUGUUAAAAUUUGUGUGGCAGUAUAUUGAAGGUAUUUUAUAGUAGAAGACGCCUUUAACAAUGCCCAAAAUUUUUAGAGAAAAAAUAUUGAAGGCGUCUGUUUUUAACAAACAUCUUUCGUUAUGGAUUACUAAGUUUAAAAGUAUAUUGAAGGUGAUUUUUUGAAUAAACACCUUCUAUAACCAUCAUGGAGUAUUGAAGGCAUUUUACUGUAGAAGAUGCCAUUAAUAAUUACUAAAAGGGAUGCUUAAAGGCGUUUUUCUUGAAUAUAUGCCUUCAAUUACCAUUUUCCAAUAAAAAAAUUAAAAUAAAGCACUUGGAAAUUAUUCAACGUGUUAGUAUCUAAAAUAAAAUAUAAGCAUUUAGUAAUGGCAUUUUUCUACAAUAAACACCUUCACUAUUCGUCAUAAAAUUUGAGUAUUGGAAUAAUGAAGGCAUUUUACACUGGAACAUGCCUUCAAUAAAUUGCUUCAAAAAAUGAAACGAAUUAGUCAAGGCAUUUUUCUAGAAUUUUAACAUUCAAUAACCCCUUAAAAUUUAAGCUAUGUAAUAUUAUAGGUGUUUUCAACAGAAGAUGCCUUUAAUAUACCCAAACAGUGAAGCCAUUUUUUAUAAAAAAUCACCUUCACUGAUAUGAGAGAGUUAUUGAAGGCGUAUUAUGUAAAAAUCACCUUCGAUAAAUACACAAAAUCUUAUAUGAAAUAUUGACGACGUUUUUUGUGGUCUAAACACUUUUAAUAAUCCUAAACAAUUCUAUUAUGAUGCUGUUGAAGGCACCUAUAAUAUAUUCAAAAAAUAUUUAGGAGGGAAUUAUUGUAGGCAUUUUUCUUAGCAAACGCCUUCUAUAAUCCUGUCCAAUAAAAAUCUUCCCAAACUUAGUGCAUCUAAUCACCAACUUCAAGCUUCAUCUUCAUUAUUAUACUAUUUCUCUUUCCAGACCAAGUACAAUUUACUUUCCCUUUCCUUUAGCUUUUAGUAUUUGGGCAUUAUCUUUUAGAACUCUAGUUCGACUAUUCAUUACUUAUUUACUUUAGCUUUUACUUUAUUUGACUAUUCUUUCAGCUUUUGUAAUUCAUGAUUUUUUUUUUGGUAUAAACAAUUUUCUCCAAAACCCACUUUAUUUCACCUUAUGUCAACCCCAACUAUAAAUACUCUUGGGUACUGUCUACGUUAGCAGUAGAGUUUUAACAUUCAAGGGUUUGACUGUUGAUAAAUUACUUCAUAACAAAGAGUUCUCAUUUUGUGUAAGUAUUGGUCUUGUUAUUAUCUUUUGUUUAAAAUAUAGUAAACUUAAGUAUUGUACAUGUUUAUUUUCAUAUAAAUUAUUUAUAUACAUUUGGUAUGAUAAUGUAACAAGUACUAAAUGGAUAAGAGUUGGAUGCAAAAAUCAAGCUUAAGCCAAGAGUAUAAAGAUGGAGUGAAAACUUUUCUUAAUUUUGCAUUUGAGAAUACCAGUGAAGAUAAUAUGAUAUUAUGCCCUUGAGUGAAGUAUGUUAAUAAUGAGUGGCAAAUGUGUCAAGUUAUUUUUGAACAUUUAAUUUAUAUUGGAUUUCUAUCGCGAUAUGUUAAUUGGUAUUUUCAUGGAGAGUCUGUACCGUCAAGGUCUUCCACCAAAGUUCUUUCAACUUCAAAGGCUCUCUAACAGCAACAUGAUCUUUUUAUAGCAGAUGACAUUGAAGGCAUAUUGUGAGAUGCUUUUAACAUUCAUAACCAACAUUUUCAUAAUCUUUCUCCCCAAAAUGAAAGAUUUAAUCAGUCCAAUGUUAAAAUGCAUGAAUUUGAUGAACCUAGGAUAGGUGUACAUGACCAACAACCUAGAAGAUAAGCAUCAAAGUUUUAUAGGUUGCUUGAGGAGAUGAAUGAAAAACUUUUUGAAGGAUCGAAGCAAUCAAGGUUGUCUUUUUGUGUUUGUCUUUUUCACUUGAAAUGCUUAUAUGGAUGGAUAGGAAACUCUCUGACUUUAUUAUUAUAGUUUAUGAAAGAAAUGUUUCUUUUGCAAAAAUUCAUGUGUCCCAAUGAUUGCAUGUUGUAUUAGAGGGAUAGAAAAAAUCAAGAAUCUUGUCAUUUGUGUGGUAUUUCUUGUUGGGUGGACAAAAACCUCGAUGAAAAGUUAAAUGAUGAUGGUGAUGAGGUAUGUGUCAUAAAGAAACCUGUUAAGGUUUUACGUUAUUUUCUAUUAAUACCAAGACUUCAACGACUCUUAAUGUCUUCAAAAAUUAUAGAUUCAAUGAGGUGGUAUCAUGAGAAAUGGACGAAUGAUGGAUUAUUAUGGCAUCUUAUAGAUUCUUUAGCAUGGAAAUAAUUUCAUUCUAGGUUUUUAGACUUUGCAUCUGAUCUUUGAAAUGUUAUACUUUGACUAGCAUCUGAUGGAUUCAACCCGUUCAAAAUGAUAAGUACUUCUUAUAGUACUUAGCUAGUUGUAUUAAUUCCUUAUAAUUUCUACCAUGGGUUACUAUGAAGCAACAAUCAUUUAUAUUGUCUAUGAUAAUUCCUGAAGAAAAAAGUUCGGGUAAUGAUAUAGACAUCUACUUACAACCUUUUAUUAAAGAGUUAAAGUAAUUGUGGGAAGGAGUUGAGACCUAUGAUGCAUCAAAAGAAGAGAACUUCAAUAUAUGUGCUGCUUUAUUACGGACUAUCAAUGAUUUUCCUAUUUAUGUGAAUUUAUCUAGUUGGAGUACAAAAGGUUGUUAUGCUUAUCCAUGUUGUGCUGCAUCGACAUGUUCGACGUGAUUACCUAAUGGUAGAAAGUUUUGUUAUAUGAGACAUCAUCGAUGGUUAGAUGAUAAUUAUCGAUUUAGAUUCCAAAAAUAUUUUUUUGAUGGAACUGAAGAGUUAAGAAGAGAUCCUUUACCCAUUAGUAGGUCUAAUAUCUUCUCAAAGUCAAAAGAUAUUAAUUUUACUUAUAGAAAAAUGACUCCAUCAAGGGAAAAAGUGAGGGACAUUUUUAAAGGUGUUUGGCCUCGUAUUACAAAUGUUAGUGAUAGUUAUACAAAAGUUGAUGAUUUUGAUGUUCAAAGUGAUGAAGAGGAUGAUGAAGCAGAUGACCCAAUAAGUCUGAGUUGUGGAAAAAAAGAAGUAUAUUUUUUGAAUUACCUUAUUGGAAAUAUAAUUUAUUAUGCCAUAACCUUGAUUUGAUACAUAUAGAGAAGAAUGUUUGUGAAAAUUUUAAAGAGGCAAUUCUUAAUGUGAAUAGAAGAUCCAAGGAUAACUUAAAGAGUCGGCUUGACCUAGUUGAUAUGGGGAUUCACCUAGACCUUCAUUCGAAAUUGCUUCCUAAUGGUAAAUAUCGAUUGCUUGCUGCUUGUUUUGAGAUUUCUAAAGCUGAAAAAGAUGUGCUUUGUAAGAUUUUAAAAAAUGUCAAAGUUUUAGAUGGCUAUGCGUCAAAUAUAUCAAGAUGUGUCAAUCUGAAAGAGUGAAAACUUUCUUCAUUGAAGUCACAUUAUUAUCACAUUUUGAUGCAAGACUUACUUCCAAUCCUUUUACAUUCAUCAAUGUCAAAGCAAGUCACUUUGUGGUAAUUGAAUUGAGUAACAUAUUUAAAUCUCUAUGUCAGAAAUGUAUGAAUGUGGAAGAGCUUGACAAACUUCAAGAUCAAGCCACAAUAACUUUAUGCCAUUUAGAGAAGAUCUUCUUUGCAAACUUCUUCACUAUUAUGAUGCAUUUGGUUAUCCACUUUUCAUAUGAAGCAAAAGUCGAUUGGUCAGUUUAUUAUCGAUGGAUGUAUCCUAUUGAAAGGUAUUAUUUGUUAAUAGAUUGAUUACAUUUUUAUUGAUGAUCAAGCCACUCAACUUAAAAUAACAUAUGACUAAUAUUUUAUGCUAUAGGUUUUUAGAGAGGUUAAAGCCUUAUUGUCGUAACAAAUGUUAUCCGAAAGAUUCUAUUGCUGAAGGAUAUUUAGUAGAAGAGUGUAUGACAUUUUGUUCUCAUUAUUUGGAAGAUGUUGAAAUGAUAUUUAAUAAACCAUCGAGAAAUAUUGGUAUGCAACAUACAAAUUCUACCUACAAUUAUCUUUUUCAAAGUUUUGGACAACCUAUAGGCAAAGCUAAAUUAGUGGAGUUAGAUGAUAAAUCUUGGGCACAAGCACACCGAUAUGUCCUUUUUCAUCAUGACUCAAUUGAAUCAUUUCGCACGUAAGUUUUGUAGCAAGAAAAUUAUUCAUUACGUUAAGUAUAAUUUAUUGUCUUUUUUCUUUAAUUGUUAAUACUUUAUCAUGAUGCUUUAUAGUGAGCAUAGAAAUAAUUUGAGAGAUCUACAUAUUAUUGACGAUCAAACCCUUGAAAGCUUGAUAAAUUGUUCACUAAAAACUUUUAUGAAUGGUUGGAACAGCUGUAAGUAAUGCCAUACUUCCCAUUAUGAGAAAUCUACAUAGAAUGCUUACGGUAUAAAUAACAUUAAUAACAUAUAUAUAAUUAUUAUCUUUUAUAGGUUUGGAGUGGAAGGCAUGUUAGUGAAGAGAUGAAGUGUCUUUCACAUGAUCCGAAUCGGAUUGUGAAAUGAUACAAAGGUUUCAUCAUCAAUGGAUUUAGAUUUCACACUAAAUUCCGUGAGAGAUUUAGAAGUACACAAAAUUCAAGAGUUGCUGUGAUUUCAUUAACUACUAACUAUGCUAGUGCUAGGGACACAAACCCUUUAGAGAGAAAUGUUGACUAUUAUGGCAUGAUUAAUGACAUCAUUAAGUUGGAUUAUUAUAGCAAGUGAAAAGUUAUCUUAUUUCGGUGUUAGUGCGAGGGGUAUUAAGAAAGAUCAGUAUGGAUUAACACUUGUGAAUUUUUCUCGAUUAAUUCAUACUGGACAACAACUCAUCAAUGAACCUUAUGUAUUUUCAUCUCAAGUCAAACAAGUAUUUUACUUUAAAAAUCCCAAAGAAUUGGGUUGGUUUGUUGUUCUUUGAAACACACCUAGAGACUUAUUUGAUAUGGGGUUAGAUACCAAAGAUGAUGUUGAACAUGGAACUGAAUGUUAUCUUUUUGCUGAACAAAACUUGGAUGAAAAUAUCUCCAAUACUUAUGUUCAGUGGAUCCGCCAAGAUGUUACUGAAGAUAUUUAUGAACCAUGAAAUGGUGCAUCUAUAAUUUGUAAUUCGAGUGUUUAAGACAUAAUGUAGUAAAUGAUAAUAUGUAAAUAAUGUGACAUUCGCUAUUGUAUAAUUAUUGUAUUCUAAAUCAUACAUUAUCUUUUGAUUUAAUUAAAUCAAUAUGUUCUUUAUCUAUUAUAGGUUUUGAUUUCUUAAAUUGUCAACGUCUUCAUAUAUGUUCUAAACUAAUAUUUUUUCUAUAUUUGCUUUUAUGAUGUAGGUAAGCUAUAAUGCAGAAGAGUAGGUUGAAAGGAAAACAUAUCAGAGAUAUUAGUUCAAAAUCGUCUAUGGCACCUGUAGAUAUUGGCUAUGGAUUGAAUCUUUUGGAGGGAAAUGAACGUACUGUCGGAUCUAACUUCAUCACUUUGCACCCUUCAAUUGAUAUUAGAUCUAGUAAUAUGGGAGGUCUAAGUUUAGAUAGUACCCCAUCAAUUGAUUAUGCUUUAAAUUUGAAUGCAGGUAUGAUAUAAUCCAAUUUUAGAAUUUGAGUAUAAUGAUAAAAGUAUUACAAAUUUACAAAUAUAUUUUAUAUUUAUUGCAGUUGAUAACAAUGGUCAACGGAAGACUAGAGGCUAGACAACUUUGCAGGAAUUGUUCGCACUAACUCAUAACGAGCAUAUUGUAGUGUCUGCAAACUCUGAUAGGCAACCAAUUUGUGAAGAGGCUCAACUAUUGGUUGGAUUUCUAUGUAUGUUAGCUCGUAAUAGAAUGAAAUUGCCUAUUCAUUAUGAAACAUGGCAUAAAGUUCCAAAAGAAGUUGAGACUGAUGCAUUAAACUUUAUUGAGGUAUUAGUAUAAUUAAUUAGAUAUAAAAAACUUUUUAUUUUGCAUAUUGUUUACUUAUUCUAACUUUUUUUAUUGUAUUAUUACAGUUAAGAUUUGUACUUGAAAUACCAACUUCAUUUGUGCUUAAGUUAUUGGGAAAGAAAUGGAAAGAUUAUAAGCAUAGUUUAAAGAAUAAGUAUUUCGGUUGAAAUACUAUUGUAGAGGUGAUGAUGGAAAUCUAACUCGUAAUGUGAUUAGGUGGCAAUAUGAACAACUGGUUAGAUUUUGGUUCUCAAGAAAAUGAGAGGUACUAGUUUAUAACUUUGUAUAGUAGAAUGAAAUGAUGAAAGUGUUUUAUGGUUUAAGUUGGUAAUAUUUGUAUUUUUACCAUAUAUGCAAUUAUUUUUUAUGACAGGAAAGAGAACAAAUUAGGAUUGGUAGCAGAAAACAACAGAAAUAUAGCCACACAAGUGGAUAAAAAAGUUUUGCAAGAAAGCAAAAAGAAAUAUUAAGUUUAUGAUAAUAAACGUAUUCCAAUGAAUGAACUUUUUCUACCAUUAAAAGGUAAAUAUGCAAAUUAACAAUUAUUGUUAUGUUUUAAUAGUUUUGAUAGUUUCAAUACAUGAUAUUAAACUUAUUGAAAGUUUUGAACUUAGUUGACACAGAUGAUAUGUAUGAAAAGUUUUUGUUUACGUAUAUUUAUGCCUUUAAUACAGAUUUGUUGUUAUUGUUGUAUUUUAACAGUUUAGAUAGCUUCAAUACUUGAUAUUAAAUUUGUCUGAUUGAUUGAACUUGGUUUCUACAGUUGAUAUGGGAGAAAAAGUUGUCGUUUAUGUUUGUUUGGGAAAAUUUUUGCAUAUAAAAGGCAGAUACACAAAUUAAACUUUUUUAUGGCUUUCAACAUAUUGAAUGGCUUCAAUCCUUGAUAUUAAACUGAGAGAAAAUAAUUGAAUUUGGUUUCCAUGAUCGAUAUGUGUGAAAGCCCAAAAUGAUUUUAUUGUUUGCAUAUGUUUAAGACUAUUGUGUUGUUACGGGGCCAAAAUAUAAAUACAUGAGAUUAAAAUUAUUCAAAAUUUUAAUACUUGAUUGACAGGCUUGAUAUGCAUGAAUAAGUUGCGGUUGAUAUGUAUUAUAUCAAAUAACAUAUGUUUUUGUAUAGGAGAAUGAGAUGGGUGGUACAAUUGGACACGUGAAACUUUUUUGCAUAACACAAAAAAGAAGAUGGAUCUUACAUGAAUGUUGAAACACAAGAAAUUGUGGUAAUUUAUAUCAUCUAUUUUAAUAGAAAGUAAAUGUUUACUCUUUUUAACAUAUAAUCAAUUAUUCAUUAAACUUGAUAGUUGUAUAUGACAAAUUCAUAGGAGAAAGCAAAAGAGAAAAUGGUUGUUGAGAUUGAAGUAGCAUCUGAUGGUUCUCUCAAUAUGUAAGAAAUGGAAAAUCGGAUAUUCAUAAAAGUUGCUAGAAAAGAAAGGCAUGGAUGGGUCUGAGGCAUUGGAUUAGGUCUAACACAUCUGCCUACUAUGGACAUAGCUUUCUGUAAUUUACAUUCUUAGCAAGUCAAUCUUCGUGAGACAUUUCAAUAUUGAGAGGGGAGUUGCAAACUAUGCAACAACGUUUUCAGCAAAUGGAAGCAAAAAGAGAACAUGAGCGUGCCAAAAUUAAGGAAGAACAUGCUAGAAUAGAGCAAGAGCAUGCUAAAUUUCAGCAGUUGCAUGAUUGAUUCAAUCAUCUUAUGAAUUUUGUGCAACAACAAUUUCCAAGAAAUGAUCUUGGUGCUCCACCAACUCAGGUAUUAUAUUUAGUAAAUUUUUAAAUAUAUAAAAAGCUUACAAUGAAGUGUUAAAAAUUAUAUGGUAUUAUUCAGUAGGUUCUUGAGCACGCUAGUGACCAAGGUGAAAAAUUUUCUUUAUCAACUGGCAGCCAGCAAAAUGUAUGCAGUCAUCCAUUUCAUACAUUUAAAUUUUUUAUUUUGUUAAUGUAUGAAAAAUAUUUGAAUGUUAUUAUACUAAUUAUUAAACUUUGUAUUAAUUAGAUGUAUAUUUAAAUGUGAAUGAAGUUAAUAUAAAUUUCAGUUUCUGAAUUUAAGCUCUUUAAUGAAAAUAAAAUUUAUUAAAAGAAAUUAUAAAAAAUAUAUUUUUACAUAAUGGCAGCAUUUGUGGUCGAUAAUGUCACUAAAUGAAUAAUUUAGUGGUGUUUGUAGCAUAAAAUGCCACUAUAAGUAGUGGUGCUCUUACCAGUAAACGCUAAUAGUUAAAUGGUAUUUUUUAUACAAACACCACUAAAGCAACGGUAUUUUUCUAAUAAAAAUGCCAUUGAAUUAAUGGAGAUUAAAAAAUACGAAUGCUGCUAAUAUAAUGGUGUUUUCAGAUUUAAACGCCUCUAAAGUAACGGCAUUUUCAAUUACAAAUGCUAACAAAGCAACAACCUUUUUUCUCAUAAAAUGCCAGUAAUUUAGCAGCGUCUCAAAGAUAGAAGCGUCAUUAAAAUGGCGGCAUUUCCAAUAUAAACGCCGUUAAUAUUGAGGCAUUUUUUUAAAAAGCCAUUAUUUACCACGACGCCUAUAUAGCUGACACUCUGCAUGACAUUUUUUGCAAACACCGUAAAUCUUUUUGUGGCGUUUAUAAAUGCCGUUAAACAUUACAAAAAAUGCCACUAAAAACCUAAACCCUUGUAGUGAAGCCAUACUGUCUUUCCUUAUCUACUCUAUAACCAAUGAUGGUAACAAUGUUGACGAGGCAGAGCAAAAGGGAAGGGGACUUUUCAUGUAAGGAGAGACUAGGAACAAGAGGGAUAAAUCUCUUUAUGGCAUUUUUGUUGCAACCUUUCUAAAUGAUCUGUUUGGCAUCCAAGCUUGAGGUAGAUGUGCUUGUGCUGGACCUUGCGGCCUCAGUUUGCUUGAUAUUGAUCAGACUUCAUCCCUUGCCUUUAGAGAAGCUAUUAAAAGGGUAUUAAUACAAAAUUUUCCUUUUUUUUUUUUGAACCAAAUGAAAGAAUGAUAAAAUAUAAUUCAACUUGUCUAAUGCCAAUUGAAAAGUUUGAUUGCAGGGCUAUGUAGGAGCAAAACUUGGAUGGAUAGGAGUUAGCUUUCCUUACUACAUGUCAAUUGGGAACUUUGAAUACAUUCUUGUUGCAUUGGAAUUUGUAACCAUCUAUGGCCAACGAUUUCUCCCUCUAUACCAUUUCAACCUGUGAACUGGCAGUUGAACUUGCAAGAAAAAAGUGUUUAAAGACCUGGUAGGAAAGGACAAUAGUCAUGGCAUCCAUGUCUUGCCUUUGGCUAGUGCUUUUCAGACAAUGAGCAUGGACUGUGACAAAAUUGAUGCAGGAAAGACUGAUACUUCUAUUAUUCUUAAGUAUGCAUCAUAUUUGAAAAGUGCCAAAUGAGUGGCUGCUCUCCUUCCCAAGUUUCCAUCUCGAUGGAGGUUUCAUGAAGAUUUAGAUCUUGACCUCUUCCCAUUCAAAGUCUAACCAUACUAUCAAAAAUUGAUUCGAGUUCAUAAUCAAAUUUAUCUAUUUUUCCUCACUUUAUUGGAAUAUUCUCACAAAGCAAACAUAUAAAAUUAAACUAGUUCAAACCUAUCAUGUUAGCAGACUUUCCAAUUACCUGAAAUAUCAAGCUGUGCCUAACAAAUUGGCUAAUACGUAAUCGGUCAAGACUUGUCUAAUAAUGGUGUCAUGCACCAAAACUAAAAUGUAACACGAUUAUAUUUUCUUUAAAUAAAACCCUAAAAUAAUAUGAAAUCUUUUUUAAUUAUAUUAAAAUUCUUUAAUAAAAAUAAUUUGUCAAAGUAAAAUUCAUAAAUUUAAUCCAACUAAUGAUACAUCUCUAUAUAUCCAAAGGUAAACUAAUAAAAAAUAUAUAAAAUUAUUUCAUAAGAUCUCAGUAGAUAACAAUAUCUAUAAUGCCCAAGUAAUAUUUCAAAUUUGAUCUUCUAGCUUUUAGCAAGAUUAAACAUAAUUAUCAUUUACUCAUGUGUAAAGAGAAGGUGGAUGAAUAAACCACAUCUUAGUGAGUAUAGGAUCACACACCUUAUUAGAUUAAGCAUCGAUUUCAUAAAUGUCAUAUAAAUCAUUCAAAACAUUUGUCAAAUAAUAAUGUCAAAAUAUUUCAAAAAUCAUCAUUAUGUUAAACAUUUUGUAGAUCAUAAAUCAAUAUCAAAACAGAUCAAUUCAUAAAUCAUUACAAAAUAUGCUGCCAUUCAAAUAUCGUAAUCAAACCAAAUCAUGAAUCAAUCUUUAAAAUCAUCAUCGUCAUAAAUCAUCAUUAUCAUUAGUUUAUGGUUAAUUAUGGUCAUUGCUAUAAUCUGUAACAUUGGUCGUAUUGAUAAGUUUAUCCCCAAGACCAUUUCUAACUAUUAUAACCUACUGGCUAGAACUUUACACUAACUACUAUGACCCGCUAGCAGGACCAUAUGAUCAUGACUAUGUUAACUACUAUAAUUUGUUAGCUAGGGUCGUAUAACUAGUUCUUGUAUCGAUAAUCCUACUUCCUAAGAUAUAAAAUAUGUAGCUAUUAUAAAACCAUUCAUUAAACAUAAAUCAAUUUCUCAUUUCAUAUAUAAACAUGAUCCAUCAUUUAUAUAGCAAAACAUAAAAUAAUCAUACGCUCACCCUAUUUUCUUAUAUCGAAAAUAAAGAAAUAAAUUUCAUUUAUUUAGAAACAUACAUAUAUACAUAAGUUUCAAAACAAGUAAAGGGUGUGAGAUUCUACUUAUUUCUUUUCAAUUCCACUACUUAAUUUUUCCCCCAAAAUAAUUAAUGGGCUAUUCAAAAUCAUUUCAAUAUAACAAAAAUUAAUCAAUCCAUUUUAAGACCAUUAAUACUAAAAACAACCAAGUUAAAUAAGGGUUAACUCAACUAACUAAUUUUGAUAGCCUACGCUACUUUCACUAAAAUGACCCCCUAUCUUAAGAUAUCCAACUCAAAAUUAAGAUCCUUUUAGUACGUUAGAAAUUAAACUCGAUAAACUUUUUAACCAUAUAUGGCCCACCUUGUAAUUUUUUGUAGAUUAAUUGUAGUACUUUUUGCAAUCCAUGUCAUAUGCUGCUGCCAGACAACAUGUAUAUUUUCUAACAAAAAUUAUAUAUUUAUUCAUAAAAGACUCCAAAUUCAAUUUCGCUUAUUUCAUUGGAAAGUAGACUCAAUAACCUUUUCAAACAUAUAAGGCCCACCUCAUAAUUUCUUGUAGAUUAAUUUAAUAAUUUUUGCAAUUCAUGUCAUAUGCUCGACUAGACAUCAUGUAUAUGUUGUAAUAAAAUUAUAUAUUUAUUCAUAAAAGACUCUAAAUUCAAUUUCGCUUGUUUCAUUGGAAAGUAGACUCAAUAAACGUUUCAAACAUGUUUAGCUCAAUUUGUAGUUCAUGGUAUAAAAAUUAAGAAAAAUUUUGAAAUUCCUCUUUGCUAUUGCUGCCAGGCAGCUUAUAUAUCAUUAAGUUAAAAUUAGACAACUCUUAAUAGAAAACUUAGAUUCAACAUGCGUUUGUUUCAUUGGAAAGUAGAUUUAGCAAGCUUUCCAACAAUAUAUAAUAUUUAAAGUAAUAAUGUAUCCAUCAAUACAAAAUUCCAUUUUAAUUCACUCUUGCAAAUCAUAGCAUCUCAUCCAAAAAUAGAAUUUCUCUUUCAAACUUUAGGAUGAAAAAAUAUGAAAAAGGCAUAACAUAUAGCCAAUUGAAAGAUCAAUGUCUCAGUAUAACUUACAUGAUUUUAGUAAAGUACUUCCAAUAUCAUAUGCUAAGAUCAAGGUAUAAAAUAAUUUCUGUAUUGAAAAUUUUGAUUUCUUCACCCUAUAUAUUCAAUAAGCAUUCUAGACUUCCAGAACCUAAUACUAGUCUUAGAGUCAACCAAAUUAAAAAUUUGUGUGAAGCUCGUUAACACAAAUAAAAAAUAGCAGACCUGAGUAUACAUAAACAAAAUCAAUCAACUUGUCUAUUGCAAACUAAAGGUUAUUCCUAAUUUCGAUACUACUUUCCUGUUUCUUUCCAUCAUUUGGUUCACAAUAAACAAAAUGAUAUUCAAGUUCUUUGAAAAUCCCUAGAGCAGAUGGCUAUUACUCAAGUUCAUUUGGAUUUAGGAAAAUACACCUGUUUUCCAAUCUUAUUUACUAAUGUUUGAAGAAUGAACAAUAAUUGCUGUAAAACAACAUAAAAUCAUUGGUUACACCACCAUUCUAUAAUAUUCACCAAUAAAAAAAAUUGAGGAAUUCAAUUUACACAGUAACUUAUGGGUGAAUUUAAACAUGCCACUCUAUCCUAAUCCUUUAUUAGCAUGUAUGAUGUCAUGUAUAUACAAUCACACCAAAUAGCCUUUUAAAAAGGUGUCACAGAAACCCCUCACAAUAUGUGAAUUGCAAAAGCUUAGUACUUGAUUCCAAAAUCAAUUAUAAAAUAACAAAUAAUAUCAAUAUACAUAGAUAUAAUAAUCUUAUGCCAUGUUUGGUACAUAAGAUUAUGAUAUGAUAGGGUACAAUGAUAUUAUAUAUAGAAUUAGAUUAAAUAAUGUCAUCUUAUUUUGUGUUUGCUGUAUGUAUAGAUUAGGAUAGGAUAAUUUAUUUAUUUGUCAAAAUUAUCCUUAUUCAAAGUUUAUACAAUUUAAAUUAUUAAUGUAAUUUUUAAGGGUAUAAUUGCACCUGUAAGUUUAAUCUUAUAAAUUAAAAAUUAUCCUCUCUACUUUGAGAGGAUUGAAUAAUCCUACACCAAGAGGAUAUUAAUCCUCAUUGCAAACCUUAUCUUUCUCUUUAGAUACAAAUCAAACUUGAUAUAAGAUGAUUAUCAUCAUAUCUUAUCAAUAAUCAUAUGCAUCAAAUAUGACCUUAGUCUACUAUUUUAGUGGAACCACUCCAACACAAAGGGUGUCUUUUAUGAAAACCACUUCAACAUCCAAAUUUUUGUUUAAAAGACAAUCUUUUCACCACCAUUGCUCCUUAUAUAGUCUUCAUCUUUGCUUUAUAAACUCCCAAUUGAUGUUUUAUUAGGAUACAGAGUGAGAACUGUUCAUAAGUGGGCUACUAUUAAUAGUUAGUUUUAAUAAUUUAAUAAAAUUGGUUAUGAGUUUACUCAUAAUACGAGAUAAGCAUGAGAGUUUAAAUAAUUUAAUGUGAUCACUUAAAUGUAAGAUUUGCACAUCUUACUAGGUGGAGGUUUUGUAGACCUUUAGUCUAGUAAGUGUUUGAUGAGGAGGCUUCAAGGUUUUCAAUUAAAAUAGGUUCAGGUAACUUUUUUUACUUUUAUACAAGUUACAGCUACUGUUCAUUGAGUGUCGCCAAAAAGAGAAGAGUGAAGAGGAAGACCUAGCCACUCCAAAGAUUGUUUCACUUCAGUAUAUUCAUCAUGAUCACCCAAAUAAGUAUGACGAACCGUUUUAUUUGUUUACAAUGUUCUAAUUAUCAAACAACGAUCUUGGGUUAGUGUUUGUGUAUGGUAUCAAAGCUAUCAUUAUGUGAUAUUAGGACCCCAAAAUCAUUAUUUGUAAUUGAUUUUUGAGCAAACAACAUAUUUAGGGUGAAAUUAUGUUGUUGUCAGAAUUUUAAAUUUUAACCUUUAUUUUUUGAAAUUUAUUUAGGAUUUUAGUUCCUCUCCGAAAGGGGAUUAAAAUUACAUAAAGAUCAUUUUCUAAUUCCUUAUAUCUAGAAAGAAAUCAAGGUUGAAAAUUUUUAGGUUUAAGUUUUAGUCUAAUUCUUGUUUUGAUUAAUACAUAAAACAUUUUGUGUUUAAUUCGAAAUUGAUUCUUAAAUUAUGUUUCCCAUGUGUGAUAAACUUAAAUCAAAGCAUUUAAUUUAAUAUUGUUUUAGAUUGACCGAACACGAAGAAAACAAAAAAUAGGUCUAAUAUGUGUUUAUAUAAUUCAAAAAUGUUUGACCAAUUGAUCUUAUUUUUGUGUUUUUUGAUACUUUUUUUUCAUUGGUUUGAUAGAAAAAUAGUUUUAUUUUUGGGCACUUCAAUUUGAUGAAAAUACCUAGAAAAUGCAUAAAAAAUGGUGAAAAAAUAAAAACAAACUAGAAUAGGUAAAAAACUAUUACAGUUGCAUUGAGUCAACCGAACUAGAGGUUAAAGAAGACCAUUCCCCAUGUUAAACAAAAUCCAUGCAUAGGGGGUGGUGCGUGUGGCAUGUAUGGGCUCGUUCGGCAUCCAUUUUUCCUCUAGUUUCUUUUGGCAUACUUUGAAUUUUAUUUCUAAUAUUUGUUUGAAAAUUUUAAACUACAUGAAAUAUUUGUUUGACAUUCAUGUAUUGCUCAGUAAUUACUAUAUGUUAUACACAUGAUUUUAUUAUUUUGUUCUGUGAUAAAAUAUUUUAGUAUGUUAGGAGUCUAAUGAUAGUAGGUAUUCUUCCUAAAUAGGCCUUGAUAUUUAUGUACUCUCAAGUUGAAUCUUAAGUGCAUAAUUGACUUAGUGAUUAAAAAUUAAUUUUUAAAAAAAUUCAAGACUUUAGUUCAAAUUUAAUGUACACUGCUUAUAAGACCUAAUUAGAUACAUUUAGGUUUAGUAUCUUAGUUGGGAUAGUCCAUUGCAUACAUUAUGGUUGAGUAUGUAAAUUGAGAGUUUUAGGCAAUUAAUGAAAUUUUUCGAUUUGAAAAAAUCUUCAUUAAUUGAUAUCAGUGUUUGGUUGCUAAAGUCGCUCACUUAUUAAAAUUAAUGUAAUAUUUUAUCAUUCUAUGGUUACGGGAUGGUUAUUAAAUUAUCUUUUUGCAAUUGAAUACCUAAAAGGGGGUUAAUGUAUAGGGUAAUUUAUUUUGGAAUAUAAAUCAUCAUGGUUGAAGUUGUACCAAUCCAAAAAAUCUAUCUACCCGACGGGGAUUUCUUUUUUGAAAGCUAGGACAUUUUCAUAUUAGCUUUAUGCGAAAAGUUCCUACUCACAUAUUACAUUCUUUAUCCAAAAAGGAGUUUGUGGUGAUGCACCAAGACCUUUCAAUAAUUGUUAGUACCUCAUGAACUAUUGCUAUAUAUUUUAUGAUAUUGCCUAUUUACUAAUGUUGCAUUUUUGUCUUGAAUGUUGACUUUUAUUGUCAAUAACAAUAAGCCACUAUUAAAGUUUUUCACGGGUCUAAUUAUAAAAAAUGGAAUGAAGAUUUGAAUUUUUCUUUGGUUAUGAAUGUGAUAGACAUAGCCUUAUGUUUUUUCAAAGCCUGCUAAUUUUACUGAUGAAAGCACUGCUGGACAAAAGGAAUUUUUUUCCCAAACGGGAAAAAGCAAAUCGUAUGCAUCUAUAUGUUAUUAAUAGGUCUAUUUUUGAAUACCUUUUGAGUGAGUUGGAUACCACAAAAAUUGUUAGGGAUCUCUACCAUGCUGUAGGCAAUAAAUACCAAAAAUGCAAUAAGUGUAAAGCUAAGACCCUUAUAAGUGAGCUUACAAGUAUAAGAUAUGACAGUGUUGAGAGUGUUAGAGAUUUCAUCAUGAGAAUGAUCCACAUUCAAACCAAAUAGUCUUCUCAUGAAAUUGUCUCUUCUGAUAAAUAUAUUGUUCAUCGUGCCCUUAAUGCCUUACUGGUUGAGUUUACUCAGAUCAAAACUGUCUAUAAUGCUAUGAAUGAAGUUUGAAGUGUUAAUGAUCUUAUUUAAAAGUUUGCCUCUGAGGAAGAAAAACUGUAGAAAGAUAAAGGUGAUAGUGCUUUUUUUUCUACAUACUCCAAACCUAAUUGCAAAAAAAAUUAUGGGAAAUCUAGGAAAUUUGCUCCUAAUGCUCACAAGAAAGUUUAAGAAAAUAAGGGACAAGGUAGUGGUCAGACUAAAAAGAUAGGAGUUUUUAAAACUAUCAUUAAGAAAGAUAUCAAGUGUUUCUCGUGUAAAAAGAAUGUCAUAUGAAACAUGAGAACCCUAAAAAUCAAGCUUGGUUAAAGAAAAAGAAUAAACAAAAAGAUAACUCACUAGCUCUUGUUUGUUUUAAAUCAAAUUAUGUUAGUGGCCCACCAAAUUCCUAUUAGGUUGAUAAUGGUGUAACUGUUCAUGUUGCUGUUACCUUGCUAGGAUUCAAAAACAAAUGAUAGCUAAGUGAGAAAGAGGCUAAACAGAGAGUUUGAAACAAUGCUAAAGUAGCCAUUAAUUAUGUAGGAAUGAUAGGCUUAAAUUUAGAAUUUGCUUUGAACUUAUUUUGGAAAAUGUUUUUCAUAUACCUUCAUUUAUGAGGAAUUUGAUUUUAGUUUUUAUUUUGGACAAACAUGGUUAUUAUUUUGGCAUUGGAUAAGGAAAAGUUGACUUGUUUUAAAUUCAAAUGUUGUUGGUGAAUUUAAACUAAUUGGCAAUUUAUAUAAACUAUGCUUGGCCUACAAUAAUUAAUAUAGUUGCAAUAAUGUUGAAAAGAUAGUGACUAAAACAUAUUUGACUAAAGAAAAUUCAUUGUUGAUGAAUUUAAACUAAUUUACAAAUUAUAUAAACCGGGCUUGGCCUAUAAUAAUUAAUAUAGUUGCAAUAAUGUGAAAAACACAAUGUCUUAAAAAUAUUUAACUAAAGAAAACUUUUUUUUGUUGUGGUAUAAAAGGUUGGGUCACAUUUCUAAUGAAGAAGUGUAAAAAUUGAUAAAAGAUAGUACUUUACCUUUCCUUGGUUUUGAAAAGUUAGACACUUGUGUUGAUUGUAUAAAAUGUAUACUAACUAAGACCAAGAAAAAUGGGGUAAUUUGCAAUUCUGACCUUUUGAAAAUUGUGUACACUGAUAAUAAUGGACCUCUUACAUCGAUCUUGUAUGGUAACAAAUAUUUUGUUACUUUUAUCAAUGACUAUUUUCUCUAUGAGUAUCUUUACCUAAUUGAUGAACAUUCAAAUGCUUUUAAAAAAUUUAAAAUUUUUAAACUGAGGUAAAAAAAUAAUUAGGGAAAGUUAUCAAAGUCAUUAGCUCAAAGGUGGUGAGUAUUAUGGUAGACAUGGUGAAACUAGAUAACAUAUCAGACCAUUUUGUAAAUACUUACAAAAUGUCAAAAUUUUCCUAAUAUGCUAUGCUUGGUUGUCUUCACCAUAAUGGCGAGGUUGAAAGGCGAAAUCACACCCUUAAGCAUAUGAUAAGGAGCUUAUAUGUAAGACCAAUCUUCUUAAUUGUUUUUGAGGUGAAGGCAUUAAAACCACCUUGUAUAUACUUAAUAGAGUACUUAGUAAAUCUGUUUUUGAAAUACUUUUUAAAUUGUAGACUGGUAAGAAACCCCAAUUCAGCCAUUUUAAAGUUUGUGGACGUCUUGCAGAAGUUAGAAUCUAUAACCUUUUGAAUGAAAGAUUGAACUUAAGAGUACUCAUUACUUUUCCUUAGAGUAUCUAGAUCGCUUCAAGGGAUAUAAGUUUUAUUAUCCUACACGUGGAACUAAGUUUGUAGAGUCACAAGUGGCAAAGUUUCUUAAACUAGAUGUUGCUGAUAAGAGUGUGACAGAGGCUAUGGAUAACCAUGAAUCUAUUAGACAUAUCUCCAUCACUUUACCCAUAAUACAGUGCCAUAGUAUGCCAAUGGCCAUUUAAAGAAGAGAUCAAGGCAAUAGGAUAUAAACCUUUUUCCUACUGAUGUACUUCAAGUUCAAAAGAAUGAUAUUGCAAUACCUUUUAGGAGAUCUUCCAAACAAAAAAGAUCUGCCAUCUCUAAUGAUAAUGUAAUUUAUCAUUGAAAGAGUGACUAUGACAUUAGUCAUGUUGUUAACCUUGUGGCUUUUGGUGAAAAUAUUAGUAGUCUAUAAUUUGAUGUAUGGUUGGACGUAAUAAAAAAUGAAAUGAAUUUUAUGGCUUAAAAUGGUGCUUAGGAGCUUGUUAAAUUGCCAAAAGAGUGUAGAUCUAUUGGUUGUAAAUGGGUGUAUAAAACCAAUAGAGGUUCUAAGGGAAAGUUUGAGAUGUUUAAAGUUAAAUUGGUGGCAAAAUGAUUUAUUUAGAGGGAAAGAGUAGAUUAUAAUGAAAUGUUUUUGCAGGUAUCUUCCAAAAAUUUCUUUAGGAUUGUUUUGGCCUUGGUAGCACACUUUGACUUGAAGUUUUAUUAAAUGGAUGUAAAGACGGCUUUUCUCAAUAGUGAUUUAAGAGAAAAGGUUUAUAUGGUGCAACCUGAAAGAUUUCAAGAAUCUGAAAAAGGAGCAUUUAGUAUGUUGACUUAAAAAGUCAAUUUAUGCCCUUAAAUAAGCUUCUAAGUAGGGGUAUCUAAAAUUCGAUAACAUAGUUACUUCCCUUGAUUUUGAGGAAAAUAACGUUGAUCAAUGCAUAUACCUUAAAAUCAGAGGGAGUAAAGAUAUCUUUCUUGUGUUAUAUGUGGAUGACAUCUUAUUGGCUUGUAAUGGUAUUGGUUUGUUACAUGAAAUUAAGUAGCUAUUAUCCAUAACUUUUGGUACGAAAAACCUUAAUAAUGCUUCCUUUUUUCAUGGGAUUGAAAUUCAUAAAGAUAGGUUUCAAAAUUUGUUAGGACUAUUGCAAAGGUCUUACAUUGAUCUUGUGUUUAGUAAAUUAACAUGUAGAGUUGUAAGGCUAGGAAUGCAUCCAUUGUGAAAGGUUAUAGACUUAAUAUAAUCAGUGUCCCAAAAAAUGAUUUGGAGAAAGAAUCCAUGAAGAACAUACCAUAUUUUAGUGCAGUUGUGAGUCUCAUGUAUGCUCAAGUUUGCAUUAGGCCAAAUAUUGCUUUUGCAGAGUGAGUUCUUGAGAGAUAUCUUUCAAAUCGUAGUAUGGAUCACUGGGUUGCUAUUAAGAAAGUGAUUAGGUACUUGCAAAAGAUAAAAAACCAUAUGUUGGUAUACAAAAAGGUGGAUAAUCUUGAGAUAGUAGGGUAUAUAUAUUUUGACCUCACUAGUUGUUAGGAUGACAUGAAGUUCAUUUCAGGGUAUAUUUUUAAGUCGGCAGGAGGAGCUUUGUCUUGGAAACACAUGAAACAAACACUCUUAUUUUUUUCCACUAUGCAAGCUAAGUUUGCUGCAUGCUAUAGAGCUGCUACAUAGGCAAUUUGGCUUAUGAAUUUUAUGUUAGGCCCUUGUAUUAUUAAUUCCAUCUCCAGACCUUUAAAGAUUUAUUAGGAUAAUAGGUUUGCUGUGUCAUUUUCUAAGAAUAACAAGAGCACUAGUGGGUUUUAACAUUUGGAGAUAAUAUAUUUUAAAGUUAGGGAUUUUAUGAAAAAUGGUAAAAUUGUUGUCAAACACAUUGAGACUGACAACAUGAUUGUUGAUCUUUGGACUAAGGGAAUAAGACCUAUAGUAUUUGGUAAACAUAUUAAGAACAUAGGUAUUUUAGGGUCCUUUGAUGUAAUUUAUUAUUAGGAGUAUAUCAUUUGUAUUUCAUACUCACACAUCAUGGUUUGUCUCUAUAUUGGACUUUUUCCUUUAUGCUUGGAAUAUCUAUGUGAUAUUUAAUUCUAUGCUUGCAUGAUGAGAAUCAUUGGUUGACAUUUUAUGUUGUUAUUUUACUUUGUUAGUAUAUGUACACAUGGAAAAUUAAAGUUUAUUAUAUACAUUUUGAAAUCUUAAAACUUGGGGUUUGUGUUAAGUAUGACUAUUUUUAUCACUUGGAUAACUAAUAAUCUUUUAAAAUAAUAANNNNNNNNNNNNNNNNNNNNNNNNNNNNNNNNNNNNNNNNNNNNNNNNNNNNNNNNNNNNNNNNNNNNNNNNNNNNNNNNNNNNNNNNNNNNNNNNNNNNNNNNNNNNNNNNNNNNNNNNNNNNNNNNNNNNNNNNNNNNNNNNNNNNNNNNNNNNNNNNNNNNNNNNNNNNNNNNNNNNNNNNNNNNNNNNNNNNNNNNNNNNNNNNNNNNNNNNNNNNNNNNNNNNNNNNNNNNNNNNNNNNNNNNNNNNNNNNNNNNNNNNNNNNNNNNNNNNNNNNNNNNNNNNNNNNNNNNNNNNNNNNNNNNNNNNNNNNNNNNNNNNNNNNNNNNNNNNNNNNNNNNNNNNNNNNNNNNNNNNNNNNNNNNNNNNNNNNNNNNNNNNNNNNNNNNNNNNNNNNNNNNNNNNNNNNNNNNNNNNNNNNNNNNNNNNNNNNNNNNNNNNNNNNNNNNNNNNNNNNNNNNNNNNNNNNNNNNNNNNNNNNNNNNNNNNNNNNNNNNNNNNNNNNNNNNNNNNNNNNNNNNNNNNNNNNNNNNNNNNNNNNNNNNNNNNNNNNNNNNNNNNNNNNNNNNNNNNNNNNNNNNNNNNNNNNNNNNNNNNNNNNNNNNNNNNNNNNNNNNNNNNNNNNNNNNNNNNNNNNNNNNNNNNNNNNNNNNNNNNNNNNNNNNNNNNNNNNNNNNNNNNNNNNNNNNNNNNNNNNNNNNNNNNNNNNNNNNNNNNNNNNNNNNNNNNNNNNNNNNNNNNNNNNNNNNNNNNNNNNNNNNNNNNNNNNNNNNNNNNNNNNNNNNNNNNNNNNNNNNNNNNNNNNNNNNNNNNNNNNNNNNNNNNNNNNNNNNNNNNNNNNNNNNNNNNNNNNNNNNNNNNNNNNNNNNNNNNNNNNNNNNNNNNNNNNNNNNNNNNNNNNNNNNNNNNNNNNNNNNNNNNNNNNNNNNNNNNNNNNNNNNNNNNNNNNNNNNNNNNNNNNNNNNNNNNNNNNNNNNNNNNNNNNNNNNNNNNNNNNAGUAUGAUAGAAAUGACUUUUGUGAUUUUUAUGCAUAUUGAUUUAUAAUUGUUAACAUGCUUAUAUGACCAUAUUGAUUAAAAUUGCUCAAUUUGUUUAUAAUGCUUGGUCUUGUGAAUUCUUUAAACUUGAUUGUGUUAUACAUAAUUUUUUAACUCUUGAUUUGUGAUUUUAGAAAUUAAUGAUCAUCUUGUGCUUAAAUCAUGUAUAUUGAUGUUUGAUUAUUCAUCUUUUGAUAUCUUAUGAAAUAAUCUUAAAAUAUGAUUUAAUUUUAUAUCCUUAUUAAUUCAAGAUUUAUUUCUUCUCUUGUGUUAAUAAAUUGAUGAACUUUAUAUGCUUAAAAGAUAUAUAUUGAUUCUUUGUUCAUCUAUGUUUUUGGUUAAGGUAUGUACUCAUAUGAUGAUUGGUUUAACUUGACCUUAAUACUUAUGAUUUGAAAGUGCUUAAAUUGUCUAUUUUUUAAUUUGUGAAAUAUGCUUAUUUUUAUGCUUAAAUGUUUUAUUAAUUUUAUGAAAUAUUUUGGAUCUUUGUUGCUCAAUUGAUAUUAUCUUUUUAAUUUGUGAUUUUGAAAUAUGAUGAACUACUUGUUUGUAAAUGAAAUAUGUUCAUUUAUUGUUCUUGUCAAGUGUAUACUUAUAUGAUAAAUGUUAUUUAUUUUUACUUGACAUGCUUGCAACAUGGCUUAAGUGAAAGAUUUUUUUAUGAUGGUUAUGUUUGUCUUAAGUCAUUGUUGAUUAUGGCUUAUAAUUUGUGUAGACAUAUUUAUGUUUUUGUGCUAAAAUUCUCUUGAAUAUAUUUUUUGAUGAUAAAUAUGUCUUUCUUAAGGUAAUUGUUUGAAUUCCUAUAGGGCCCUCAAAUUGGAUUUUGACAUAUUCUGUUGGGUGACUUUCCUUGAAACAUACAUGAAUAUUGAAUAUCAUUUAAAUUGUGUUAUGAAUUAGAUCCUAGAAAGAUUGUGUGAUUCUUUGCACAUUAUAUGAGAACUUUUGAUUUUAGUGUCAUUCUUAUGCUAUUUGAUGUUUAAAUUGAUAUAUGACCUCUAGCUUAAGUAUAUAUCUUCUUUGCAAUUGGCAACUUGUGUUUAGUGAAUAAUAUUUUUUUUGCCUACAAUGAGUUAGAAUAUGGAAUUGUUUUCUAACAAUUGGUAUAAUUUUUAUUAAUUGAUUUUCUUGAUGCUUCUAAUAAAAAUCCUUUGUUAAAAAUAUUUUCUAAGUCUAUGCUAGGAGAACUUGAAAUGAGCAUGAAUGAGCCUAUAUUUUUAGAAUUUCAAGUAUAGCAAGAACAUCAAGUCAUCUUUAUCAAUCAAACCCAAGUACAUCAAAGACUUAGCUCAAAUGAUGUGGAAUGGAGGAUUUAAAGCCUCACUCAACUACAAUGAGUACAACAACAUAGCUUGAUAAGGAUGGAGAUAAUUGUACUGAAUCUAUGCUAUGGGUCUAAGAUUUAUAAUGUUUAAUGCAUGAUUUAAUAAAUGCUUACUUUGAUUGUGUGCAAAAAUGAGAUAUUGUGCUAGAACAUAUGAACAUAUUGCACAAAUUAAUCACCAAGCCACUUGGUAGAUAUUGCUCUAAUAUGUUUGAAAGCUUGGAUUGAUUAACUCACCUUCAUUGAUAUUCAUACCUAGUUCUUGAAUGCUUUGAUUACUAGUUUUUAUUGCAUGAAUAUUUGUUUGAAUCUUUGAACAUGAAUAUGAGUUGAAUAUAUUAAUUUCUUGAUCUUUCAAUUGCCUUGACUCAUGGAUAUGAACUAUGAACUUACAAUUUUGAAAUUUAUAUACAUGUUCAUUGAUUGAGUCCAUUGAAAUAGCAUAUACCACAUUAUGUCUAAAUGUUUGUAUCUUUAUUGGUAUAUUGUUAUAUGUGAUUUGAAAUAUUUUUCAUAUGCUUGUAUGAUUUUGAUUGAAAUAUAUAUUUAAUACUUGCAUAUGUUUAGAUUAAGUUCAUUGCUAUGCAUUGAAAUAAUUUGAAAUAUAUUUGAAUAAUUAUACUUUUAUUAUUUCUUUGCUAUAGCAUAUGUGUUCAUCAUGUUUGAAAAUUACUUGAAUAAUCUUUAUUACGACAUGAUGAUAAUUGAACCUUAAUGCUCAUUCGUAUUCAUGCUUUAUUAAAUCCAUAUGAGCUUUUGGGUUCUUGAUUGGAUAAGAUAGCUUAUGAAAUAUUACUAUUAUCAUUUAUACAUGUAUUGAAUGAAUUUUUUACAUGCUUAAAGUAUGUGUGCUCUAUGAAAGUUGUUGAAUAAAAUUGCUAACAAUUGGUAACAAUUGAUAUCAAAAUUGCUAAAGAUUUUUUUUAACUUUCAUAGACACUUGUUUAUGUGCCUAUCCUUGAUAUAGCUUAUACUUUUCAUGCAAAAUUGUGUAUGCCUUAAAUUGAUUAAUCUUUAUUUUGGAAAGGAGGAGAAAUUUUAGAAUACAAUUUUGCUUGAUUUGUUUUAUGAUAACAAUUGGUAUGUUAUGUGAUAACAUAUCUUUAACAAUUAGUAUUCUUAACAAUUGGUAUGAGCUUGUAUGCAUAUGCUUGAAUUUAUGCUUAAUUGCUAUUGACGUUUUAGGUUCUAAGCACAUCUUAUCCUAAUAUGAUUUAUGAGUAGAUUGCAUAUCAUUCAUUAUCCUUUGCUUAUAAAUUUCAUGUAAUACAUUUGACGACUUGUGCUAAAAUGCUAAAUUUGGAUACACUUUUAUGAUUGAAUACAUGCAUGUGAAACCUUCAUUGGCAUUUAUACGUUGAUUACAUGUAUUGAAAAUACUCUUGAAUAUUAUUGGUAUCAAGCAUUUUGGUCCUAUUCGGCCUGUGAACUGAAGUUCUCUAUCUUUUGAAAUGACUAAAAAGGGGAAAAGUUUAAGAAUAUUUUUCUUGUAAUACUUAUGUAAGCAAUCCACUGACGAGCUUAAAUACUUUAUAAGAGCAUAAAACAAAAGGAGGAGAAAUGUUUUCAUGUAUAUAUUGUUAAUGAUUCCCCUUUGUGUUUAUUUGCUCAUUAAUAUGCUCGUGCCUUUUUGCUAUGACAAAAACGGAGAAAAUCAUAUGGACAAAUUUGCUUAUGCUUGACAUGCAUAUGUUUGAUUGUGCUAUUUGAUAUAUUUGACUAACAUAUGUUUCUUGAGUUGUGUUGGAUUAAAUGCAUAAAUUGAGGGGAAAGUUUUGCCAUGCAUUGUUUAAUGGGGAGUUUUACAAAAUGUCUUUCAAAAUCUUAAAUGUUUCAAAGAAGUUUUUCAUCAAGCAAAUUUAUCUUUAAGUUUUGUCAUAUCAAAAAAGGGGAGAUUGUUAGCCUUGAAUGAUCCUUUUUUGAAAUGACAAAACAUUAAGCUAAAUAAGCUUGAUCAAGAUUUUGAAAAAGAUUUAUUUAGUAUAUGUUCUUAAGUUUUAUAUUUUGUUACUAAAUAAAUAAUAUAUUUUCAAAGCUUAAACAAAUCUUUCUUUGUUUUCAUAUUUCUCAAGCCAAAUCUACCUUUAAAGAUUAUUUAUUUGAGCUUAAAUGAAAGUCCAAUUGUUAUUUUUAAAGUCAACUUAUUCAUUUUGGACUUAAUACAAUUUUGACAAUAUUGGUUUUGAGAAAUAAAUUAACUUAAGAAAACUGUUUUACAAUAACAAAGUUUUCUAACAUUGAACUUAUUUUAUUUUUCUAUAUUAAUUCACAAAGUUUUAAUAUUUGAAUUUAUAUGGUUCGAAAGCUUCUUUGAGUCUACUUUCUAAUGGAUCAAACCAAAUCAAAAUUCAAAACUUUUUUAAGAAAAGAUUUGAAUUUUUUACUAGACACUCUACAGUUGUCAUAAAAACUGCAUUAAGGGGUAAACUUUGAAAAUUCACUAUAAUCAUACUCACAUGAAUUAAGGUGAUGAAUUUUAUAUGAAUAGAAAAAGCCCUUUAAGUCUAGUUUUUCUAAAUCUUCAAACGGUUUUGUGAUUUUCGAUUUAUAUAACUCAAGAUAUGAUCAAAUUAGUGAGUAGAUUGCAAAAUAAGAGACAACCACCCAGUCAUUGACAGGAUCGAUCCCCUCAUGGAAAGGAUCGAUCUGGUUAUGUUUUUAAGCAUGAAAUGACAUAAAACUUGAACUAAUCGAUCUCCUCAAAGAAGAGAUUGAUUGGGUAUGGGCAGAAUCACACCAACAACUAUUUUUUCAUGCUUUCAACGGCUAUUUUCUUCUUUCAAGCAUCCCCAAUAGCUAUUCCUUCAAUUUCUCUAUAAAUUGGGCACUCCAACACACUAAGAAGAUUGAUGCAUCAAGAGAGUAAGAGCCAAAAAGUCAUAUUUUCAUUCUUUCAAUUAAUCAAGAGUUUUUAGAGCUUCAAAGUCUAUAUCUUUGUAUUUAUUGUAUCCAAAUUAUAUUUGUUGUUCAUUCAUCAUUUUCUUGUUCUUAAACUUAGCAAACACUUAGCCUUAGAGAGGUUGUUUUAUUGUUUGUAAAAUUACCUUUGAUAUACAAGGGUGGAAGAGAACAAUAGGUGAGGUAUCAGCUUGAGAUCUUUGUAGUGAGAUUGGGUAAAAUACUACAAAGGGUAGAGGUUCUAUCUUAAGCCUUAGAAAGAAAAAGAUAGGUUGUAUUUUCAAUUCAAGAAUAAUGGAUUGAAGCCUUGGUGUGGACAACUAAGAAGAGAAGACGUAGGUGCCUUGUGGAGAAGGACCGAACCUCUAUAGAUCAUUGUGUUUGAUUUCUCUAUCCUUAUCUCCUUAUAAUUUAUUGUUGUUUACAUUUGAUUUUAGGUUCAUUAAUUGUUAUUGUUUGCAUUAUAUUUUCAUCAAAAGUGCUUAUUGUUUUAGUUUCCAUUCAACUAUAUUGAAAUCAUUAUUUGAGAAGAAUUUGAAAAAAUCCAAUUCACCCCCUCUUGGAUCACCGUCUCACCUAAAAACCUAACAAUAGUUUAUUUUAAAGAUAUUUUAGAGUAAUUUUUAAAGUUUUACUUUUUAUAGAUGAAAUGUUGAGAAAGAUUAAAUAUAUUAAUUUAUUUUUUAGUUUCUUAAUUUUUUUUGUUUUGAUUUUUAAGAUAUUUUAAAGUUCUUUUAGGGUUUUAAUUUAAAUAAUUAAGCUUAUAGUUUUUGUAUGAAGAUAUUUUUGUAAUAGGAUUAUCAGUGAUAUGUUCAUUUUUAUGAAUGAAAAGUUGAAAAAUAUUAAAGGUUUUAAUUUUUUGUUUUGGUUUUUUAUAAAAUUUAUGCUUUAAUCUCUUUAAUAUUUUAAUGUUAUUUCUGUUCACCUUUUAAGAAUUUUUAAUCUUAAAGUUAAGUGUAUAAUUUUAAUUGUUUUAAUCUCUUAUUUAUUGUUUCUUUUUCUAAAAAAUAUUAAUAACAUGAUCCUUUUCUAUAGAUGAAUUUGUGAAGGGUUAAAGAUUUUUAUAUUAUUUCUUGGUUUCUUAUAAAAUUCAUUUUGUAUUAUUUUGUAUUAAUUUUUAAGUUUUUAUAAUUAGUAAUGUUUGUAUGAAUUACAUUACAUAAGUAAAUUUAUAUUUUAAUUUAAUUUAAUAAAAAAGUACAAUUUUACUCGCAUAUUAGUUUACAAGUUCCAUGUUAAAGCUAUUCAUUGAUAUUAUGUUAGUGUAGUUGUGAUUUUACUUUUGGUUACUUUUUGUGUUAAUUGUUAGAUUUUAGGUAGUUUUAAUCAAUUCAUGUAAGCAAAUAAAAAUCUAUCAAAGCUAAAAUUUUUAAUUUACACACUUUUUGGUAAUAAAUUUUAUUUAUUUGUAGUAAUCAUAAAAUAUAAAAUUCAUUUUUAUGUUGAAAAUUUUGUUAUCAAGUUAUAAUUAAAUGUUGAUGAUGUUUGAGGUGCCUUUAAUUUAUUAUUGGUUAUACCAUUUUUAAAUUGUAAUUAUUAUUUUUUCCCUUCUUGAAUUCAUUUAUUUGUUGGAUAUAUUAAUAUGUUAUUUAUAUCUGUUAUUGAUUAUUUGAGUAGUGUUGUAUGUCACAGAUAUUAGUGUAAUAUAUUUUUUAAUUAUUUCUUAAUAAUUUAAUUGGAAAAAAAUCAUAGUGUAUACUUUACCAAGCCAUUUCUAAAAAAAAUAUAAUAUAUAUAUAUAUACACACAUAUAUGUAUUGUAUAAGAUAAUAUUUUUUAAUUAUAUUCUAUCGAAUUUCAUUUAGAUACAAAGAUGAGAAAAAAAAAGUUUUACUUGUUAUAAUCUUUAAUAAAGUUUUUCACUAAAUCAUUUAUUUAACACAAAAAAUGAUUUAUUUGUAAAAGGAUGCAAAGAUCUUUAAUUUCAUGUUAUAAUUUUUUAUAAUGCUAAAAUUAAAAGUUUCAUUCUAUAAUAAUUUAUAAUUAAUAUUAUCAUUUAUAUUUUAAAAAAUUAUAAUAAAUAAUUAAUAUUGAUUCAAAUAAAAAUAUUAAAAAAAGCUUAAGCAAUAGGUGUUACUCAUCCAAAUUACUCGUGAUUUUUUUAUAGUUGAUUUUAUAAUCAUUUUAAUUACAAAAAAGAAUAAAAAGAAAAAAAAUUGAGUAAAAGAAGUUUCGAAUAGUAGUAACAUAACACUCAAAAAUAUUAUUUUUUUAUUUGCUUUAAACACUCUACAAAAUAUAUUACAUUUAAACAACGAGUUCUAAUUAAAAUAUCUUUUUUAUGUUUAAUGAAGCAUAUAUUAAAAAAUAAAUAUUUUAGGAAAGAUUAAGAAAUAAUAGUAUUUUUUAUUAUUUAAUAUUUACUCAUCAUUGUAUUGAGUUUCAAUAAAUCUCUAUUUUUCAUAUAAAUAUAUUAAAAUAUUAAUAGAAAUAAAUAAAUAUUGAAGUUCAAAGGAUAUUUUAAUAAAUAUUUCUAAAAGUUUCAAUUAGAAACUCUUUCAUUACACAUUCAUAUUAUAUUUAAAUGAUUGUUUGAUGAUAACUAUGUGAAUUUGAAUAAUAUUUUUUUCAUUUUUACAAUUUUUAAUUCAAGUAUGAUUGAUUUACUAAAAUAUUUUUAUUAAAUUUAUUUCUAAAUUAUGAAACAAAAUAAUAAAAAUUAUUUUUUUAAUAAAUGAAUUGGGUAGUGUUUGGUUAUAUAAAAUUUCACAUGAAACCUAAAUCUCUUAACUUUAUUACAUAAAAUGCAACCAUUUAACUUAUCAUUUUUAGACUUUUGGUUGCCUUACAUUUAUAUAAACUUUUCACUUUUGAUAUUCUAUGCAUUUAUAAUAUUCUUUUCAAUUAUUUUUGUUAAAAUGUUUGUAUACUUUUGAUUUUCUUCAUAACUUAUGCUUUUCUUUUUAUUUUCUUUUGAUUAUAUAAGUGACAUUAAAUUUAUCAUUGGUUAGACAAUUUUUAAAUGAUAAUUUUUUUUCUUUUUAAAUAUAUUUGUUUGUUUUUAUUUUCAUUUAUUAUUGAUGGUUUGAGUAGUGAUGUGAAACUACAUGUAAUUUGGUUUUUAGCCACAUUUAUAAACUAGAUGUUUUAGUUUUAUAUAAAAAUUAAAUUAUAUAAAAAUUAAAUAUUAGUUUAAUUUGUAUAUUUUUAAUUAUUACUUAAUCAUAUCAUAAAAACCAAUAGUGUGUAACUUGUUGAGCUAUUUAUAUUAAAAUAUAUAUUGUAUAAGAUAAUAAUUUUUCAAUUGUAUUUGUCAAAUUUCAUGUAGAUUUAAAAAUAAGCAAAAGGAUCCAUUUAUUGUAAUUUUUAAUAAAAAUUUCAUUUAUUUGACACAAAAGAAAUUGAUUUAUUUUAACGAAUAUAUAAAAACUUUUCAAUUUCAUAUUGAAAACUUUUUAUAAUGUUAAAAGAAAAGGCUUCAUUAUCUUAAUAAUUUAUGGUUAACAUUAUUUAUAUUUUUUAAAAAAUUAAAGCAAAUAUUUGAUAUUGAUUCAAAUAAAUAUAUUAGAAGCAAAACUUAAAAUAUAGGUGUUACUCAUGUAAAUAAAUCUUGAUUUUUCUAUAGUUGAUUUUUUUUUUUUACAUCAUUUUAAUUAAAAAAGUUGAACAUUGAGUAGUUUUGAAUUGAUAACAAAUAACCUAACACUAAAAAAUAUUAUUUUUUUAUUUACUUUAUACUUCCAGGUAUAUAUAUACACACAAAAAAAAAAAGUAUUAGGGGUUUAACGUAAAAUGAAUAAAGCUCAUAGCUAUCUAAAUGUGUUUAUUUAUUUAUUUAAUUUUACUUAUCAAAAUAAUUUUUUGUUAAAAUAACGCCUUCAUUUAGUUAAUGAAAAUAACUCUUUUCAUUUUUUUUUUUAUCAUUGGUCCCUUAAAAUACAAGUUUUUAGCGAUAUCAUAUAUUUUAGAAAAUACAAACAUAAACAAGAAACAAAGUAAAAAUAUUAUUAUUUAUUUGAUUUAAUAUAUUAAAAAUAAUUAUUCUUCAUUUUAUUUCUCUGUAAUGUUAGGUUUUCAUAUAAUAAAUACAAAUAUUAAAUAUUUUUAUCUUUUUUGAGUAUAAAUUAGAUUAAAUAAAAAUAAUAAUAUGAAAAGUUAGCAUAUUAAUUUCAAUGUUUGUAAGUAUUAAUUUUUUUUGAAUAAAUUAACAUAAAAAAUAGAAUAUGAUUGGUUAGCAUAUUUAUCUAUAUUUAUAAUUAGGUUUCAAAAAUAAAUAUGUUAAUUAAUGAUGCAUAUAUAUUAUAUAUUAAGUUGUUAGGAUCUAUUUGGUAUGCAAGAUUAUGACAUGAUAGGAUAAAAUGAUAUUAUAAAUAAGAUUAAAUUAAAUAAUUAUCAUUUUAUCUUAUAUUUGAUAUGUAUAAAACUUAAAAUAAUAUAAUUUAUUUAUUGAUCAAAAUUAUCUUUAUUGAAGUUUAUACAAUUUAAAUUAUUGAUGUAAUUUAUAAGAAUAUAAUAAAACGUACAAAUUCAAUCUUAUAAAUUAAAAAUAAUCAUUUUUAUUUUGAGAGAAUUGAAUUAUCUCAUGUCAAGAAAAAGAUAUGAUAAUCAUCCUAUAAUAUUCAUUAUCUUAUAAACCAAAUAUGACCUUAAUUCAUUAUUUAUUUGAAAUAAAAAGUAAAAUAUGAAAUGUUAGAAUAUUAUUUUUUUAUGUUUUCAUAUUUUAGUAAUUAAUGAUUUUAAAAUAAAAAAGAGAAAAAUAUGUAAAUUAACUUUUCAAAUUUUCAUUAUUUUCUACCAACAAAACAAAUCAAAAUGAUAAGAUAAAAAAAAUUUAUAAAUAUUAUCGUAUUAAUUUCAAUAUUUUCACAAUCAAUUUAUUUUUAAACCUUUUCAUAUUUUGAAUUUAAGAAAAAUGAUAGAGAUAUGAAAAGUCACAUAAAAUAUUAUAUUAAUUUCAAUAAAGGGAUCAAAUUAUAUAAUUGUAAAAUUAUUUUUUUUUACACUUUUUUAUAAUUUCAUAAAUGAUAAAUAUUUUUAUAAAUUGAUCAUUAAAUUUAACAACCUACGUGUAUCUAUCAUUCAUGUAGAGUUUCAAGUUAAUUCAAUAUUCUUAUAAUUUUAAUCGAAAGUAAUAUCACUUAUAUAUACUAAUGAUUAAAAUUUUAUUAUUAUAACACAAAUAGAUUAACAAAUAUUUUAAAUUUACUUGAAAUUUGGCAAUACAUUAUUUACUUAAAUACAUCACAAAAUUCAAUGGUUGGAUUAGUAAAUAUAAAUUGCAUAAAAAAAUGAGAUGGUUCAAAACUAAUUUAGUUUUAAACAUGUCUAAGUAAAUCUCUCUUCAAUUCUAAUUUUCAUAUUUCUUUAUUUAAUAAUUUAAAAAUAUAUUUUUGAAAAAAAUUACAAAUUAUCCUUAUUUAAAAAUUUUUUAUAUUCUGCUAAUUACUUAAAUUAAAUUAAUAGUAGAGAGUCGAAAAGUGAUAAAUCAUUAUUAUAUGAAUUUCAAUUUACACAUAUUUAAUGAGUUAAUGAUUUAAAAAUAAAUCUUUAAAAAUAAAGAAUAUAAAUAAAUUUUACUAAUUUUUUAUUUUUACCUUUUUUUAUAAAUUUUAUUAUUUCAUUUGUCUUUAAUAGCAAAUUUUUUUAACAUGAUUGUUAUUUUAAUUUUUUAGUAUUUUUUAAUUUAAUUUAAUUUUUAUUUUUAAAAGAUUACUCGUGUGAAGGACCAGUCAAAAAACUUAAUUUAUUUAAAAUUAAAUUUGUAAUAUAAUUAUUAGGGUGCAUCAGUAAAUAUUGGAUUUAAAUAAAACACCCCAAAAGCCUAUGCAAUCCUUUUCUCCUCUGAGUUCCAAGGUUGUACUUGUCUCCGACAGAAAACGCAGGCUAUCAAGCUCAUCAAGUGGUCUGUUCUCCUCCACUUUCAGCAUCCCGUCUGUUGGCUUCAGCUUCGUUAAUUUUUCAAAUCCAUGUAUUUUUCCUAUCCUUUAGUUCCAUCUUCCUUCCCUUUAUUGGUUUUCAACUGAAAUGUCAAAUGAAAUGGGGGUGGUUUCAUAGCUAUUUAUUGAUCCCACACCAACACCGUAUCAUUUUACUUAUCCUGUGUUUCUCUGUGUUGGGUACCUUGGAAAUUGAUCAAUCAAAUCACUAAUAAAUAAAACUGUCGACCUUUUGAUUUGCAGAGGAAAAAGCAAAGAUGCCCCACAGAACACGUCCUAUGACGGCGCUGUUAGUGUUCACUGUCGUCAACGUUGUCCUGGUCUCAACCAUUACUCCUGUCUAUGAUUUUGUCUGCUUCCUUCCUUACUGGGAAAGACGGGUUUGUUUCUCCUUACUUUUCUUGUUUCAUUUUCUUGCCUGCAACUUUGUUUUAUUGUUGUCAUAUGUUUCCGCCUCCUGAUUGCUUCGAGAUAAAAUGGUCUUAUCCAUAUGAAAAUUAUGGUGUAGCAGUGGGAAUUUCAAGUUUGAAGUGAUUUAUUUGGCCAUUGAUGUGUUUGGAGGUCUUGUUUUGAAGGAUACAAAUGAAAUGAUUGCUUAAAUGGUAUUAGUAUUUGUUGCAACCAGAAAUCAAAUGGGUAAAAGUUGGUUCCUUUGUCCUAUGAUGAAGUUGGAUUUUGUCUUUCACAAGGUCGCUACUAUUGUGCCUGUGACUGUUAGGACAAUCUUGAUGUGAUAGAACUAGUUUCGGAUUAUCCUAUAUGUUUAAUAUCAAUCCAAAGUCAUUUUCUUCUACCAUUUCUGUAGCAUUAUGGAACAAUCAAACUGUAUUAUAUCAGCAUAAUCUUUUAUGUCUGAUCAAUUAUCAAUGCUUGAGUGAAAAAAUAACUGAAGCAUCAUUGAAUUGAGCUGCUCAAGAGAUCUUUUCCGAGACUCAAUCACACUGCAAAUGAUAAAUUGUUAUGCUACUACAAGUAAUAUUUAUCUAACAAUAGCAGGAUUCUGUUGUUUGAGAAUUUGGUUAAUUGUGAGAACUCCAAAAUCCAAAUUACCAUUUCUCUUCUUCUUUCACCUUCAUUUCAUAAGCAUUGUUUCUGCUGGCUAAUCAUCUGAGAGAUGACAAACUAAAAUGGGCAAUUAUCACUGCGGUCUUAUCUUUCCUUUUACGUUGAAAAAGUUUUACUUUACCACAGUCAUAUUGGUUUCUUUAGGAUAUUUGCAAAUAUGUAGAAUGUAAUCAUACAUUGUCAUUUGAUAUAUGGCUAAUCAUCUGAGAGAUGACAAACUAAAAUGGGCAAUUAUCACUGUGGUCUUAUCUUUCAUUUUAGGUUGAAAAAGUUUUACGAUACCACAGUCAUAUUGGUUUCUUGAGGAUAUUUGCAAAUAUUUAGAAUGUAAUCAUACAUUUUCAUUUGAUAUAUGAGCCACUAGAGCAUACAGAAAAAUACUCACUCUCAAUCUGUGUGAGAUGCAUGUGCAUCUAUACUCAACGUUCUCUCUAUAUACUUUAGUAAAUCUGUUGUGAAGAUUCUUUCUUUCCUUAGUUUUUCAUUUCAUAGUAUACGAUGAUAUAUCAAGGUUCAAUAGUACCAUAAUAAAUUCUAGGAGCUUUUCCAUAGGCAAAUAAUGCUCGAACUAUCGAACUGGUACUAAAUUUUGAAUGUAAAAUGUGGAUUGUGUCUUGGUGGACUGCAGCUUAGAUAAUGUGGCCUCUUUUAGUAAGUUUGCAUGCUUAGCCGGUACUAUAACAAAACUUUUGGCUGAAGAAGAAUAGCUUGCAAGCUAGAGAGAAUGUGAUGGUUAUCUGUUCUAUACGAUUGGAGGACCUGAUUGUAUUGUAUGGACAAUUUUGAAGUGCAAUCAAAAUUGUCCACCAAAGAUCCAUUUUAGUUGUCAUGCAUCUGAGUGCAGUCAACUUUCUAAUUCCUUUACAUAGUUAUACACUUAAUACAUGGUUCAUGCAAGCAAUUGGAUUAUGUUUUAUUGGCUCUAGGUGAAGUGAAUCACCAAAGAAACCAUAUAGAGAGAAUGUGAUUGCUAUCAACUGAAGAACUGUAUGCUUUUCUUACAUGUUUUGUCAUGUUUAGUUAUCUAUCUAAAUCUUCUUGGUUUUCCCUUCAUUCAAAUUUGAUUCAAUUUUGGAUUUUGGUCUGAUGAUGCCAAUCAAACAUAUCACUUACCACAAACUCAACUAGUGUUGCACAUUGUCAUCAAAUAUGUACUGCCCAUACAUGGUUGAUUUUUUCUGCAUGUGUUUGGAUGUGUUUGGUUUCUACCUAAGUCUUGUGGUUUUUUAUUUUGUUUUGUUUCAGCGAGAACGGCGUCGUCUUGAGCAUGAAGCUUUAUCAAAUAAAUCUCAAUCACCCUGAAAGAUCUCUAAGAUCCUCCUUGAUAAUAGGUUUCUUAAUUAAUGAGUACAUUAUCAAAUGAUUCACUCUAAGUGACAAUUUUUCUUCUUGGAAAUGAAGAAGUAGAAGUACCAUAAGAGGUGAGAAGUCCUUUCCCCUUGCUUGUUUGUAUUGAAUUUCCUUAGCUGUAGAUUGGAAACUGUCACUGUGAAAAAUGCGAAAUGCUAUGUCAAAAUUUUCACAAGACAUCAUGGAUGCCAUUAAAGUGGUUAAAAUUAUUAAGUUUGGGCUGCGCAGAUGGUGUAUGAUUCAAUGAAGUGUCGUAAUCAAACAUGAGACUUGAAAUCUUAAGUUGUCAGAUUUCUUGGAAUCAAAUGAGUAAUGUCUUUAGCCUUAUCAGUGUUUGGAUCUCCCCUUAGAUUGGGGAUAAUUGCAUGGACAAAUAAUAAAAAAAAAAAAAGUUCAAGAUUUUGAAGUUGAAAUGACUUGAUCAAUCAUAAACUUGUAAUUCACAUGGCUUCCUUUAUUUUCAAUUUUCUCAAUGAUUUGUAUUGGUGGGUAGUUGGCAUUGUAAGUUCUCAGAUAUUGUACCAUUUUUUCCUUAAUAAUAUUAAAAGUUGCAGCUUAUGUAAACUUGUCUUUGCCUAUCUCUCGUAGAGUUGGACAAGAGUUAAAGAUACAUAAAAAAAAUUUAAAAUAAAAAGGCAACAACAACAACAACACAAAAAGAGAAAUCGAUAUAAGCAGAAGGUAAGAGGGAUUAUGAUAGGAUGGUUGGCUCUUAUCUGUCUUCUAUUACUACAUGCCACUAUCAUCAUCUUAUCUUUAAAUUCUUAUUAAUUUAUUUGUCUUAAUAGUAAUCGACUUAAAUACCAUUAAAAAUUUUUAAAUUAAUAAAUUUAUCUUUAAAUAUAAAAUUUUUAUUAAUUUAUUUAAGUUUAAUUUAAAUAAAUUAAAAUUAAACUACUUAAAAUUUUAAUUCCAAAAGUAUUAAAAGUAAUUGACUAAAAUAUUUUCAGUAAAUGAUUUUAUAAAUUUUAAUGUAAAUUAUUUUUUUUACUAUUAAACUUUAUUUUAUAAUUAAAAUAAAAAUAUUAAAAGUGAUUGAUUAAAAUAUUUUUUUUAAAAAAUUUAAUUCCAAAAGUAUUAAAAGUAAUCAAUUGAAAUACCAUUAGUGAUUUUUUUAUAAAUUAUAAUUUAAAUGACUUUUUUAUAAUUUGACUUUUUUUUAUAAGUAGAAUAAUUUUUUGCAUCAAAUAAAAAUAAAAAUUUUAUUAAUUUAUUUAUGUUCAAUUUAAAUCAAUUAAAACUAAAAUAAGAGUUUAUGUGAAAUUAGAAUAUUUAAAAUUUUAAUUCCAAAAGUAUUAAAGUUGAUUGACUAAAAUAUUUUUAGUAAAUUUUUUUUUUGUAAAUUUUAAUUUAAAUGAAUUUUUUAUUAUUAUAUUUUUUUAUAAUUAAACUAAAAACGUGUUAAAAGUAAUUGACUAAAAUAUCCUUAAUAAAUUUUAAUUUCAAAAAUGUUAAAAGUGAGUGAUUAACAUAUUAUUAGUAAUUUUUUUAAAAUUUUAAUUUAAAUGACUUUAUUAUUAAACUCUUUUAUAAGUAGAAUGAUUUUUCACAUCAAAUAAAAAUAUAAAUAAAAUGAGAUCAAAAUUUAGUGCGCAUAAAAUAAAAUAAUUAUAUAAAGUUUGUUUUUUUAGUUGUUGUAAAAACAAUUGUAUAUAUAUAUUGAUGUUGAUAAAUAAAUUCAUUAAAGAUAAUUAUAAUUAAGUCAUUAAAACAUGGUAUUUUUCUAUUUUUUACGUUUUAAUUUUUUGUUUUAAUAUAUUAACUAUAUGUGUUAAUGAUUUUAUUAUUUAUAGGUUUUAUGAGUUGAUCAUUUGAUCAGAUGACAUAAUUAAAUCUUUUUAAUUCCUUGAAAUAAAUAUAUCAAUCUUACAAUUUAGUCUGACUUUUAUAAUUAAUUUCUCUCUUGUAUUUUUUCUUAUGAGAAUUUAUAAUUGUUAUUUCCAUGAACAAAAACUAAUAUCAAAUUAAAUGUAAAUCAAUUGCACUCUCCACCAACAAUUAGUAUUAUAUGAUUUAUUGAACACUUUAAUUUAACUUUUCACUUGUAAAAUUGGAUGAUUUAGGAGGUAAUGGAGUUACCAGUAGCUCAGGAUUGAGUCCUAUUAAAUCGUCGUGAGAAUUGUUCACCUUGAUUUGAAUAAUAAUUAAUUUAAUUUUUUCUCAAAUUUUAUCUAAAUAUGCAUGUAUAUGACUAAUUUAUAUGUCAAAAUUAUUUAAUCUUUCCUAAUUUUAUUAAGUUGCUUGCUUUUUUUUUGUCAUUCAAGUGGUUGAACAACUUAAAAUGAAUUAUUCUAAGUAAAAAUGAUCAAGUGAACUAAAAUUAAUUUUUUUUAGUGAAUUCUCUCAAGGUGUGACAAAAUUUAUUAGAAUUAUCUUUUGAAUAUAUUUAUAUCAAAGUUAAAUUCAUUCAUGAAAAUUUAUAUUGUUAACACUAAAAAUGAAAUUAUUAUAAAUUGUAUAGGUAUUACAUAAUAAAUUUGUUAUUUUGAGACCUAGACUUUUCUUAAGAAAACAUAACAAGCACCAAGAUUAGUAUUUUAUUUUAUUUUUAAAAUUAUGUAUUUAAAUAUUUUUAUAUAAUAAAAAUUUUGUAUAAUAAUUUUGUUAAAUAAAAUAAAAUUUAAAUAUUUAAUUGGUAGAAUACAAUUUCAUUCAAUUGAUAGAGGCAACAAUGGAAGAUUAUUUUAAGCUAAAAAUGAGGCUAAAGUUGAUUAGCUAUGCAUAACUCUAUCUUCUCUAUAUGACAAAAAGAUUAGUACGAUAUGAUAUUUCAAUAAAAAAUAUACAAAUAUAUUGAUUUUAAAUUUCUUUAGUAUUAAUGAGAAACUCUUUUAUUUGGAGAAACAAUGUAAACUCCUUCAUUUUCUCAUUUAUAUAUGUUGAAAAAUGUUUAUUGUUAUAUCAAUUUUUUAAGGUUGUCAUAUUAGGUAAUGUUUGUUCAAAAGAAUUUAAAUUCAUCAAAUUAAUUAUCAUUCUUACAUUUAAUAUAAAAAUAUUAUUAUAAAUUAUAAUUUAAUUAAACUUAAAAGUGAUUUAAGGGCAUUUAUUAGUAAAAUUUAUUUGAUAAAUCUUUAUUUAAUUUUAUAUUUAGUAUUUCAAUUAUUUUAAAUUUUUACUUUUUUAUAAUUUUGAGUUAGAUUUUAGAAUCAAGAUUAGCAAUAAAUUAGGUUAAGUCAAGUUUUAUUAUCUACUUAUAUUCAUAGUGUACUUAAUUAUUCACUUAUGUACAUGAGUAAAUUUAACUUAAUAAUUGGUAUAUGCUUCUUUUUAUUUAAAAAACUAAAUCCUAAUUGUCCUAAAUCUAAAUAACAAAGAAGUAUACUUAAAUACUUAUAACUGUAAUUUUACUUAGAAAUACUCUAAGAAUUAAUUAAUUAAUUCAACCACAAAAUAAUAAAAAUAAGACAUUGAAGAUAAAGGGUAAAAAGGUUUAAAUAAAAAAAAUUUAAAUUGUUAUAGAAGAUGAAAAAGAAAUAUUAAAUUUUGAUUAGGAUAAUAUUUCAACUCGGAUUUUAAUUAUGCUCAAUCAUUUCAGAUUUUAAAUAAUUAAUAAGGUAUUAAUUUUUUAAAAUCAAUUGAAAUAUAGUCAAGUUAGUUCAAUUUUAUAAUUAUGUGUAUUAUAUUAUUUUUUUAAAUAAGUAAAAAUUUAUUUUUACUUAAUUUGAGUUUUGAUUGUUUCAAGUUUGAGUUGAUUAAUUUAUGUUAUUUUAACUAUAUUUUUACGACAUAGGUAAUAAAUUUUAAAAUAGAAUGAGAACAUAAUACAAUGAAAAUUAAAGUGCAAAAGUGAUGAAAAAAUUAAUGAUAAUUCUAGAAGAAAAUCCUUGUGCUCAAGUCUUGCAAAGACUAAAGAUAUAUCUUCUUUUGAGGAUUUUGAAAUUUGUAUUACAAAAAUGUUAAUUUAUAUCCAUUUUCUUAUAAUCGUUUAAUUAUUGAUUAAGUUGCUGCUAUAUUGGUUGAAAAAAACAAUUAAAACAUUUUAUUUGAAAGAGAUAUCAUAAUUCAUACUCAUUUAGGAAGAUAAUAUAGAGUUAAACAUUAUUUGGGUUAUUAUGACCUUUUAAAAUAUUGUUUACUCUUUCAAAAUGGAAAAGUUGAUUGACAUCAAAAUAAAAAUAAAAAUAAAAGUUAUUUAGAAUGAUGGUAAUAAGAAUGAAGUAAAAAUAAAAAAUAUACCAUCUUUUCCUUAAGUAGAAGAAAUUUUUUAUAAAGAAUGCGAAAAUAAUUAUUGUAAAUUUAAUAUUUUUUAAAAUUAUUUGUUGUUUAAAUUUUAUAAAUUUUAUUUAGUAAAUUUGUUCUCAUUACUUUUAUCAUAUAUAUAACAAUUUUUUAAUCUAAAAUUAUAUACUUAAAAAUAAAAACGUAAGGUAAAGUUUCUUACUUUCAUUGUUGAGAGAAUACUUUAAAAUUUUCAAUAUUUUUAUAUGUAAUUAUAUUUCGUUAACAUGUAUAAAAAUACAUACACUAAUAAUUCAAUCAAAUCAUCAAUAAAGCUUAAUCUUAAUAUUUACUAUUUUUUCAUGAACUAAAAAAUUUGAAGAAUAUCUUAGAAAUAUUAACUUAAUUAUAUUGUAUAUAUUUAUUUAAUUUAGUUUUAAUACUUACAUUAGUAUAAAAAGUUAUGAUUUGAACUUAUUAUUAUGUGUUAACCUAUGGAUAGUAAAUUAAAAAUAUUUACUUAUACUUUUGAAGUCAUUUACACUUGAAUUUUUUUAUUGUUUCUUUCUCUAACUUACAAAUUACAUCAUCUAGUAUACAUCAUAGUUACUUUCUUUUUUGGAUAUAUAUGAAUUAAUAAUAACAUAGUAGUAGGUAAUUAAUAACGUAGCAAUUAAUCUUUGAAAACUUAAAUGUAAUUAGUAUAACUUAAUAGUAAAUGAAUGAUAAUUUAUUAGUCAAUAAUUAAUAAUUUUUUAGUAAAUCAGUAAUAAUAUAAUAAUAAAUGCAUAAUGUCUUAAUGGUAAAUCAAUUAUAAUAUAGUUGUAAAUGUACAACAAUACAGUACUAAAUCAAGGAUAAUUAAUAAAAAAAAGUGAUAACUUAGUAAUUAAUUAUUGAUAACACUGUAAUAAAUCAAUGAUAAUUUAAUAGUAAAUUAGUUUCAAUUUAUAAGUAAUUAAUUGAUAGUAAUAAAUUAUAAAUAACUUAGUAGUAAAUCAAUGAUAAAUUUGUAAUAAAUAAUUAAUAAUCUAAUAUGUAAUCAUUAAAAAUUUAAAAGUAAAUAAAUAUAACUUAGUAGUAAAUUAUUGAUAAAAUAAUAUUUAAUCAGUGAUAACUUAAUAGUAAAUUAUGCAUAAUUUACUAUAAGUCAAUAAUAACUUGGUAUUGAAUAAUAGAUAAUUUAGUAGUAAAUUGGUGAUAACUUUAUAGUAAAUAAUUGAAAAUUAAGUAGUAAAUCACUAAUAACAUAAUAGUAAAUUACUAAUAACGUAGUUGUAAAUCAAUAAUAAUUUAGUAGUAAAUUAGUUAAUCAUUAAUAAUUUGUUAUUAAAUCAUUGGUAAAUUAGUAGUAAAUUAAUUAUAAAUUUAUAAUAAAUCAUCAAUAACUUAGUGAUAAAUCACUAACAAUUUGAUGAUAAAUUAUUCAUAACUUAAUAGCAAAACAUUCAUAAUUAGUAGUAAAUCAUUGAUAAUUUAGUAGCAAACCAUUAAUAGCUUAGUAGUAAAUAACUGAUAACUUAAUUGUGAAUCAUUGAUAACUUUUUUUAUAUUUGAAGUUGCCAAGGAUUGAACCUUGAUUACUAGCAGAAAUGAAAUCAAAACUUUAUUUUGGGGCUAUGAUAACAUAUUAUUAACAAACUAAAUUGAAAAAUCUAAACUCGAAUAAAACAAUAAUGUUAUUAUAUAAAAAGAAAAUUAUUUGAUAUAUUAUUAGCGGACUUUUUAAAUUUCAAGUUUCAUAGUUGUAAAUGCAUAACAAUAUAUGUUAUAACAGUUUUAAGAACCGUUAGACGAAAAUUUUAAAAUUUCAAAAUAAUGGAGAGCUGCCAUCAAUCUUUUUUAACUAGAUGUGAUUUGCUACUUAAAAAGUUUAGUUUUUUAAUAAAAUCUUAAAGUUAAUUAAAACUUAUUAAAAAGUCGAAUUUUGGUUUACAAAAAAAAAAAAAAUGAAUUUAGGAGUGUGGUUAUGUGUGAGGAAUGAUCAGCACCCCCAUAAUGCUCUUAUUAUUAUUAUUAUUAUUUGAACAGUAUCAACUGAUCAUGUGUUAUCCUUUAGUUUAAUAAAAAUGAUCUUAAUUCUAAUAUUUAAAAUAAUCCCCUUAAUUUUUAUUUUUUAAAAAAAUUAAAAAAAAACUUUUUAUUUAGGAAUAAAAUGAAAAUCUUUAGUUUCAAAAUGUUUUAGUAAUUUUUCAAUAUCUAAGUGAAAUUUCAAAAAAUAUUUUUUUUACUUGGAAUUUUCAUAAUAAUCCUUAAAAUCUAGCGUAAUAUUUUUUUAUAAUAAUAAUUGUUGAGAAACCCUCCAAUAUUUAAGGCCCAAAGAAUUAUUUUUACAUUAGAAUAUUAGCUUUUUAUUCUUAAAAAGGCAAUCUUUUUAAAAUCAUCAUUUGUUAACUCAUAUAUUUUGUCAAUAACAAAAUGCAAGUGAUGUAACAUGAAGAAAAUGAAUGAUGUAAAUACAAAUUAAAAUGUAAAUAACCAAUUUGAUCCCACCUAACUUUAUCUCCUUUUUUUUUUCAUCAUUUAUUAAAAACAAAUUUACUAAUAAAAGAAAUUUUAUUUGUCAUUAUUUUGUUUUGAAAAUAUCCCUUUUAAUUCCACAUAUCUUGGCUAAAUUUAAGAAAAUUAAUUCUUCACUUAACAAAAAUUUAUAGUUAAUUUUUGGUAAAAAUGAAAAUAAUAUUCCUUGGAAAAAAAUGAUUUAAAUUCCUUCCAAUAUCUAGGUAGAGUUUCCAAACAUUUAUCUUUUUAGAAAUAUUUUAUUAUAUUUAAAAAGAAAAUUUUUUGCCAUUUCACAUUUAUUAUAAAUACCUAAAAUGUGUAUAUGACAAUAUAAGCAUAAAUUAAAUAAUGCAUGGAUUUGUAUUUUUUUAAUGGAUUUUAUUUAGGAUGAAAAUGGCAUUUUGGUGUUAAAAAAUAUUUAUUUUUAUUUUUUAACUCCCUAAUAACUAGGUGGAAUUAAAAAAUAAUUUGAAAAUUUCACAAAAUAACUUUUACAAAGAAUGAAUAUAGUAUUCCUUUGUAAACAUAAUUAUUUAGAUUCCCUUUAAUAUCUAGGUGGGAUUUCAAAAAUUAUUUUUUACUUAAAAAUACCAUCUUCCCUUUUUAUUUCAAAAAAUAAUCACUUUAAUGAAAAUUACUUUUAAAUUAUAAAAUAAUUAUUAAAAAUUUAUUAUCAUUUUUCUUUUUUUUUUUUGUCAAUGUCAAUAAUCCGUAAACAAACCUAUUAUAAAAAUAUCUAAAAUAUGAGGAAAAUAAAUAUACACACUAUUAUAAUAAGAUAAAAGGGGUAAAAGAUAUACCAAAUAGAGUUUUCUUUGAUCUUGAACCCAAAAUCAACCAAAAUCAAAAUGGCCUAACUUUGUUGGGCUCUUCAAGAAUUGAUAUAGCCCAACUUAAGUAGCAAAUAGGUUGGGUUGGGCAUGAACCAGGUACAGGUCUAGGUCAGUGUGUUAGGUUAGUUUGGCCUAUUCUUUUUUUUUUAUGCUUUCCUAAAAAUUGAUUCCUUUUUUCUAACUUUUUUUCUCUUGUUUUUAUUUUUUUUUAUUGUUCUUUAUUUUUCUUCUCUUUUCUCCUUUCUGUCUUUUUUUCUUCUUUUCCUUUUUCACGUCAACAUUGAAUAGGCCUCUUUUUUUUUCUUCUUCUUUUCUCUUUUUUUUCCCUUUUUCCCUACUGACUCUCUCAAUCAAUGCUGAAUCAACCUCUUCUUUUUUAUUCCUUCUUUUUCUUCUUUCUUUUUCUUCAUUUUUCCCUUUUUUUUCUUUGUUUCAGUCGAAUGGCCUAAGGAAUCACUUGAAUCAUUUUUUGAAAUCUUUUAUUACUAGGUUUUUUACUAAGCGAGGACUAUGUUAUAUUUGUGAUUUUUUUUAUUUUGUUGGCCUUUAGUUAUUGAUGGUAGUGGGUGGUUGUGAAGGGAAAAUAUUACUUUUUUUUAGGUUUUCAGCUUACAAAGAGAUGGUGAGGGGCUUUGAUUAGGCUUGUUCUCAGUAUGGUGGUUUAAAGGGUAGGUAUAGUGGUUGAACUAGUAUGGUGCGAUGGUGUGGUGGUUUUGGUUGCUUGGGUGCCAUGUUUAUUGUGGCUUGAUUUAUUUUUUUUAUCUUUUUGUUGUGAGUUUCUUUUAUGGAGGGAUGAGCUAUGGUAAUGGAGGUGUUGGUGCUAUCGGGCAAAGUGGGAGUUUGUAAGAGGGUUGAGGAUCUCAGUUAGUAAAAGGCUUGUAAAUGGUGGUGUUGUUUCAGUUGAUUAAUUGAUUUACUGAAAGGUGGGUUUUUAUUUUCUUAGGCAAAAAGAUGUAGGGAUUGAGAAAUUUUGCUCUUUUUCUUUUUAUGAAUUUUCCCUAUUUUUUGUAAAAUUUUUCCCCAUGUUAUAGACUAAGGCUGAAUAGGCUAGUUAUACUAGCUUCUUGGGUCAAGAAGCUUGCUGAUUUUUGUACAUUGGGUCUAUGGUCAAAUUAGGAGGGAAAAAAAUGCCAAGGUAAAAUUGGUAAGGCAAUCUGGGAAGAAGAGUCUUACCAUGGCCGACCAAGCUUUUAACACAUUUUUUUUUAAUUUUCAAUUGAUUAAUUCUAAAAAAAAUGCUUUAGGCUUUAAAAAUGAAAUUAGACCUUUAUAAGCUCUGGGUUUUCAAGCCCGUAUAAUCUAACUUAGAAUCAAUCCAAAUUAAAUUGGAUCGAGCAUGAUCCAUGCAAAAUGAUCCAAAAAUGGUCCUAAACAAAGAUUAAAUGACCUUAAUUAGAUAAAUUCAACUAAAGCAUUUAAGUAGGCCUAAAUCAAAAAGUUAAGAUCAAGAUUGAAAAUCAAACAAAUUCAAAUCAAUUAAGACCAAAAUAGGUGUUUACAAUUGCUUUUCUUUGCACAUUACUGAAAAUCAGGAAUGGGUAAAGACAUAUAACAAUUUUGUCCGAAGUCAACGAUUCGAUGAUUUUUUCAAAUGUUUUUUCUUAGUUUUUUGAACAUUUGACUUUUUUUUGGAAUUUUUUAAUUUUUUUUGUUUUUAUGAUUUUUACUUUUUUUUUAGAUUUUUCUUUGAAUUUUUUUUUUGAAUUUUUUUCUUUUUUUGUUUUUUGUUUUUAAAUUUUUAAGCAAUCUCAAUGACUAACGCAAUGAAUUAGAAAUUAAUUUGAUGACUUCUCUUAUCAAAGGCUUUACCUUUUUGAAAAUAAAUUUAAAAUCUCUUUUAUCAGACGCUUCACAACUUAGAAAAAAUAAAUCUAAAAACUCUUCUCAUUAGAUAUUGUCAAUUUUUGAAAAUAAAUCUAAAAAAACUCUUCUCAUUAGAAACUUUAUCACUUUGAAAAUAAAUUAAAAACUCUUCUUAUCAGAGGCUCUACAAGUUGAAAAAAAAAUCUAAAAACUCUUUUCGUCAGAGGCUUCACAACUUUUAAAAAUAAAUUUAAAAAGCUUCUCUUAUAAGAGGCUUCACAAUUUUAAAAAUCUUACCAUGAAAUGCUUAUUUAAACAAAGGCUUUACAACUUAAAAACCUUUUCUUGGAAAUCUUGAAACUUCUCAACAUUUUUGUUUUUAAAACUUAUCUAACUAUAACCAUUUAUGUUUUCGAUUUUUUUUUACAACUUUCUUGAGAUUGAGCCUAGAGGUCUUACAAAUCUUGAUAGAUUUUGCUCAAAAGAUUUAUAAUCUUACUCAGAGAACUUUAAAGAUUAUGUAAGAAGGUAUUACAAAUCUUAACACUCAAACAAAUUUAGCUUGAAAGACUUAUGAAUCUUGCCUAUAUGUUUUACAAAUCUUGAUACAUAAAUAAAUUUAGCUUGAAAAACUUACAAAUCUUGUCCAUAAGACUUAAUGAUUAUGUCCAGAGGCCUUGCAAAUCUCAAUACCUAUGAAUGCUCCUCUUAUUAGAGGGUCUACAACUUUAAAAAUUUAAAAUAUUCUACCCAAAGAACUUAUAAAUUGCUUUUAUAUUUGCUUGGAGGCCUUAGGGAUUAUACCCAAAGGACUUACAAAUUGUUCUAAUCUUUGCCUGAAGGUCUUAGCAACAAAUUUCUCAUCUUGAUGUUCAAAGGUCUUGGGAAUAAAUUUCUCAUCUUGAUGCUUGGAGUUCUUGGGGAUUAUGCCCAAAAAAUUUACAAAUCAUGACAUUCAUGAAUGCUCCUCUUAUUAGAGGUUUCACAACUUUAAAAUUUUAAAAUAUUUUGCCUAAAAGACUUACAAAUAUUUUCAGGAGAACUUAAAGUUUAUACUUGGAGGGUUUACAAAUUUCAACACUAAAAUAGAUUCAAUUUAGAAGACUUAUGAAUUUUGCUUAGAGGGCUUAAAGAUUAUGCUUGAAGGUCUUAUAAAUCUCGACACAUAUGAAUGCUUCUUUCAUUAGAAGCUCCACUACUUUAAAAAUUUUAAAUAUUCUACCUAGAGAACUUACAAAUCUCAUAUUUGUUUGGAGGUCUAGGGGAUUCAUUUCUAAUAUUGAUGCCAAAAAUCUUCAAAAUUUUCUUAUCUUGAAUAUCUUAAAAGUUUUAGAUUUUUUUUUUUUUAAAACCAUUAUGAAUCUUGCCUAGAUAACUUGGAGAUUAUGCUCACAGGUCUUAUAAAUCUCAACACAAUGAAUGCUCCUCUAUAUAGAGGGUCUAUAACUUUAUCCUUUUCAUUUGCCAAAUCAUCUCAUCCUCAAGGCCAAAGCAAUUUUUCAAAGUUCCUUUUUCGAGUUUGAAACACUUUCCACUUCUAAAUUUCUAAACUUUCUACCUUAAAAGCUUAUCACUUUUUAUCCCAAUAAGUUUUCUUUCAAAUCUUUCAAUCCCCUCAAUAUCUCAUUCCUUAAAUUCCAUUUUUUUGCUUUCAAUCCAUUCUUUCAAAAUUUUCUUUUUAAUAAACAUUUUAAAUUUUAAAAGACAUAUUUUCUCUUUCAUUUUUCUCUUUGUUCUCCUUUCACUUUCACAAUCUUUAUUUUUUUUUGCACAUUUUUAUUUCUAUAUAUUUUUUUAAUUUUUUUCUUUCAUUUUUUUUACUCCACCUUUUUUCCAAAUGUACAUAGCUCUCUAAAUAUCAUACAUGAUCCACAUGCACAUAGGGUAUGGACAAAAGAUGAGAAAUAUAAAAACAUAGGCUGGUUUUUAUUAAUGUUGUGCAAAAAAAAAAAGAUACUAUAAGGUUCAAAAAGGGUGACUAUGAAUAUUCAUAUAAAGGUCGGCUUGAAAGGCUCAAUCGAUCCGAAGAUAGCCUAACUCAUCUACCUAACUAAAUGCAAUCUAAGAUUUUACCUCAAGAGAUGAUUAAAUAAAUUCUAAAACAUGAACAUAACGCCAAUAAUGAAUGCAAAAAUUUUUGCAUGAUCACAUGAUCAUUCAUCAAAUCACAUGCAAAUCAAUGAUUAACAUAAAUACUCACAUAUGAAAUUUAACAAUUAAGUAGCAACAAACACACAAAUUCAUCUCAUGUUUUGCAUAACAUUUAUUCUUUUCCUAUGCUAUAAUCAAAGUCAAUUGUGAGGUCAUAGAAAAUCAACCAAUGGAAGGAUACUUCUGACCCAUAGUAAAGCAAAUUAAGCAUAAUUUUCAAGAAAAUUUUUUGAAAAUUUGAAAAAAUUUUAGCCAAAUUUUUUCCACCCCAAACUUAAAGUGCAUAUUAUCCUCAAUGUGUAGGCAAUAUAGCAAUUAAGUGCAGAAAGUGAAUGAAAAUCCCUUGAUUGCUAUUGAUUGCCAUUUUAACACCUUCAAAAUUGGCAACAUUUAUUAUUACCUGUAAAACAAAAAACACAAACUAAUCAUAAACACACCUGAAAAUAUAAAAGAAAAAAUAUAAUAAAUUAAACAUUUGGGUUGCCUCCUAAGAAGCACUGAUUUAUAGUCAAUAGCUUGAUUAUCACUAGGGUUAAGUAAUCACCCCACAUUUGGUUCCAACAUCCAUCCAUUUUCUAAUCUUCUUUCUUUUCACCAUAUCUUCAACAAUAAACUUUGAUUGGUGGUGCUAGACAGAAAGUUUUGGCCUUUCAUCUGGCUAGAUCUUAUAUAUGUCGCCUACUAAAUUGGGAAUAAUGGUUACUUAAAAAAAAUUUGGAAUAACAAGUACCACCAGGGAUGGAACAAAUUGAGGAAGUGUAAAGAAUGAGGUGUCAAAGGUGUUAGGUUGAAGGAAAGAAGAUGGAGAGCCUUUACAUUUUUAAUAAACUCUUUGACUAUAUGUUUAUCCUUAUCAUUUAAGAAUUUCUCAAUUUCAUCAUCAUCGAGCUCUUCAUUAUUAUCAGCCUUUGGAAUAUUUUUCAAGAAUUUCUCAAACUCAUCAUUAACCUCUCCACUAGGCUCUAUAAGACAUGCAGUUACGGUGUAUCUAGAUUUUUCUUUAAACACCCCUUAUCAACAUAUUUAUCCACCACAUUCAUUUUUAACAAAUCAGGCCUUGUUUAGGAAAGUGCUACAGAAAUGAAAUGGGUAUCCUAAAGGGCUCAAAUAUUUUUUCAACAGUAGAAUAAAUAUUAUCCCUUACUUGAAUUUUAUAUUCCUGAACUAGUCCAUCAUCAUGACUUUGGUCUUUCUACCAAACUUCAGUUUCCUCUAAAAACUCUAAAGGACAUAGCUCCACAAAAUCACCACAAAACUCUUUAUCUUUUCUAGACUCAAGAACAUGACACAACUCUUGAUCUUACCUUUUAUCAUCUUGAUUUCUACUCCAAUCUGUAGUUUCUUCUAAAGGUUUUUAUAGGUCGAGAAUUUUCAUGAUCAAGUUCCCUAUAGUAUUUUUCAUUUUCUCUUAAAGGCAAGGACUUGGUAUCACAAGGUGAGGUAUCUUGAGGAUAAGUGUUAAGGGUGUUAUCAAAUUGACCUACAUGAAUCUCUAGAUUAUUGAUGGAAGUUAUUUGUUCUUGAAUAAAAGUUUCUUGCAUUUGAAGUAUAGCAAACUGUUGUGAUGCAAAUUUGUUAAGCAUCAUUUCUUAGGAUUGCGUAUGCUUUUGAAGAGAAAAAAAAUUAUGGUGAUGAGAAUUGUUAUGGUAUGAAAAAGUAAUCUAGUGAUGGAUGGUGUGAUGGAUAUUGUCGAUCUUGAGAAUAUUAAGGAGAUAGGUCAUAAGGUGGAGAAUAUUGUAGUGGAUUAGGAUACUGCGAUGAAAGAUAUUAAGGUGGGAAAAUUUUAAUUGGGUAAGUCAAGGAAUACAUAGGUAUAGAACUGAAUGACUGCUCUUAACUCAUAUUGUAUGAGGGAUUCAGAUGAUUUUUCCAUCAUGGAGUGUAGGUGUUUGGACAUAAUUCAAAUUGUUGACUAUUGGGUAGCCUACAAAUUGCAAGUUCGUUGGUAUUUAGACACCUAUCACUAAAGUGAUCUCUACCAUAACUAUCACAAUAUGGAAAUGGGCUCAAGGAUGGAUGGACAAGACUAGGGUUAUAUUGAGCUCUAAUGGCAGCUAUUUUAUCAAUUAGAGUUGCUAUAUAAGAGGUUAGGGCUUUAAUAGGAUUAGGUUCACACUCAUCGGUAACACUCCUAAACAUUGAACUCGCAUAUGACCAUUAGUUUUGAAAUAAUGACUCAAAUGGGUAAGUGAAAUCUUUAAAGGUAUUGUGCCCUAAAGGUUCAACCAUGGUGUUUUGAAAUCCAUUAAUGUGAAAUAAAGUAUUAUCACUCCAAAACAUAGGCUCAGAAGGACCUAACAAGUUAUCAGAAUUCAUUGAAAAGAAACUAAAUAUACAAAAGCUAAGAAGAAAGAAAAAUGAUUUGAACUACAUUUAGGUAUGCUUGGUAUUAAUAUUAGCACUAAAAUACAACUAUAAUCUUGGCAACGACGCCAAAAACUUGUUGCACAUACUGCAACUAUACAAGUUGUACAAGUAAUAAAAUAGAAGAAUUAACUCCAAGUAUCCUCUCUCGAGGAUUGUGGUGGUAUCUAGAGCUAAUUACUGAAAUCAAGCACCUUAGAUAUAUUCCAAUCUAACAAAAAUUAAAGAGCUUUAAAAUUUAAAUAAACAUUAAAUUAAAAUUACAAAUAAUUAAAAUGCAUGAAAAUAUUAAAUUGCAUAAAUUUAAAGUGCAUGGAACAUAAAUUGCAUGAAAAGUAAAUAAAGCAUGAAAUUUAGAGAUAGCGACUGCCAUGAAGAAAUAGGCAGUGCGAUUUGGUGCUCUUCCAAGCUUGUUUUGUGUGUUUAAACCUUCAACCUUUCAUAUAAAAUCAUAUAUUAGAUAAAGGAAAUAAAGAAAGAUGGAAUUGGGACAAAAUACAAAGGAAAAAGCUAGAAGAAAGAUGAUAAAUCAAUAGCCAAAUUGCUGCUACUUGGAGAAAGAAAAAUGGAGUAGUAAAAUGGAGUCCUGUUUGGUUUGAUCCUUUCCCUCAUUUCUUUCAACCAUAAAUUGUUCUCUUAUAGUAGCUUCUUAGGUGAUUUUUUUAUGGUCAAAUGCUCUUGCAAGAUAGAGCCAUGCUAGCUACUAAAGUGGAACAAGUCUGCAUGUCAUUUUUAGGAAUCAAUAUGAUAGUCCUUUUACUAACGUAUUUGGCCUUUAUCCAAUUGGGCAUACCAUUUGACUGCUAACCCUGUUUGGCUAUCCUAAAAGUAAUGAAUCAAGAGCUUAUCCAUGGGUAUGACCCAUCAUUUUUUGAUAGAACAUCGUGAGAUGAGUGGAUGGGCACUUAGUUUCAUCAUUUUUUCAAAAUUUGAAACUUUGACUGUUGCAGGGAUGAUCAAGUUGGCCACCAGACUGAGCUCAUUCAUGUCAACACUCUUAAAUUCUCUUUUAUUGCCCAAAGCCACAUCAUUUAGCAGUUCAUACUUGUUUUGCAUUUUCAUGUUCUCAGUUGACUCAGGCAUGUUUCUCAACUUUCUCAAUUCUCUAAGAUCAUCUAAGUACGCUACUAGGAUAAGAUUAACAGGAUCGGAUCCCAUGUUGAUAUUUACAUGAACUAGUGGUUGUUUGCUAGAUGGACCCUUAUAGGUAUGAAGUUGCCUUCUUAAUAGUCGAUAUAUGCCUUGGAAAACUUUUGCAUAGGUUGGAGUGAAUCCUGAUGGGUAUAAUGAUUCUUCAACAUUUGGCCUCUUCCCUUAGUUCAGAUGUAUCAAUCAUUCAUUUAGCUUUCAACAAACCUAACAGUAGUCAAUUUAGUUCCAUCAUUUGUCUAUCCAUACUCUUUUACAUCUCAACCAUCCUCUUUUUAAUCUGCUCUCGAGCUUUUUUGACUUUUUCAAUUUUGGCCCUUUGAUUGUCCAUGUUGUGUAUAGAACUCUUCUCAAAAUAUUUAUCAAAGAAUCAACAUUAUCGAACCUUUAUUAUUGAAAACGGUGAGAUCAAAUUUACUUUACAUGAUAGUGAAUGUGCAUGACAUGAUCAUGGAUACAUGAGUGGUGCAAAAUGUUAUUGAGGUGUAUGGAUGCUUGAAAGAUGAAUAUUUACAUACAUAUGAUGCCUUAAUGAACAAAAAUAUACUACCUAUGUAAAUGUGUAUGCAUGAAACACCGUGUCAUGUUUUAAUGGUGGUGAAAUGUGUUCACAUGAAAUACAAUUCGUAUAAUGCAAGUUUUAUCAAAAUCAUAUCUUUCGUGAAUCCACAUGACUGAAACACAAUGCCACACUUCUUGAGUAAUAUGAUAUAUAUAUGAUUUAUGAAACACGUUUAAAUGAAAUACACUGACAUAUUAUAUGCAUGACAAUAUAUGUAUACACGAAAUGCAAUGCAUGCACUAUGCAAAUUUGAUGAAAUUGACACUACCAUUUAGAUGUUCAUAUAAUGAAAUGUAAGUACAACCUUAUUUUUUUCAAGUACAAGACAUGAUAAAAAGGAACAUAAAAAGGAACAAAUGAAAUGUAAAAGGUAAAAUAAUGUUCAAAAUCAAAACUUUUUUUCUUUCUUUUUUCCCUUUUUUUUUAUUGAAAGAAAUAUAAACUUUAAGAAAAUAUUCCCUAUGAAAAAGAAACAAGCACAUAAAAUUACCAAAGGUCAAGGAUUUUUUCUCGUUUUCACUUUUAUUAUUUGGCCAAUAACCCAAAGAAAUUAAGAAAAACUUUCCUUUUUGAAAUUUAUUUUGACAAUUUUCAUUUUUUUUUUUGGUUUGUUGGAAAAUACACAAAAAUUUUGUUCUUUUAAAAACAUUUUUAAGGAUGCAAAUUUUGUACAAACACUAGAUAAAUCGAAUAGCAUGUUAGAAGAAAAUUUUAUUGGAGGAAUGUUUUUCUUUUAUUUCAUUUUUCAAAAUUUUAAUUUUAUUUGCAUUAUUUUUACCCUUGAAUACAAAUGGUACCAAAAUGUUGCUCAUGUGUCCUAUUUUGGAUAAUUUUUACAAAAAGGGUUGGCAUAACUCUACCCUAUGCUGGCCCCUAUGCUGGCCCUCUAAGGUUUAUUAUAUAAUGAGUUUGAAUUUAUACGUCUAUAAGUUUUCAAAUUGUUCCUUACAUCAUCAUCUAUUACAGACUAGUAAGGCACCCAAAUCGUUACCCAUUAUAGAUUACAAAUAGUAAGAGUUCAAUUUGAAUAAGAGGGUUUUAUUAGCCAUUGUGGAGAUAUUCACCUCAUGAGAGCGUAAGUGCUUCACUACCUCUUAAAAGGAUAAAAGCUCGAGUAUAGAGCUUAUGCAUACAAUGUACAUAUAAUUGUGUGCGCGAAGGAACAAACAAAAUUUUGACAUUUCUUUACCACAAAUAUCCUUAUCCUAAAUUCCUCACAAUUUAUUGCAAAAUAUUUCACAAUUAAGACAAGUAAGUCACGAUAUAAAUAAAUGUGAAUGCAAAAACAAUAUUAUUAUUUAGUUUGCUAAAAUUUUCCUGCUUUCAUUUUUGAUUUGUUUUUUAAGAAAAAUGAAAUAAGGGAAUUAAUAUUAAAUAUCAAUUAAAACCACUAAAUCAAGACAUAGGAUAACACAUGAUCAAAUUUGGCCUAACUUUCUAAAAGAAAUCAUAUCUCCAGUGGAGUUGUCAAGCUGUCAUAAUGGUUUUGAAAAUUGCUAAACAAAAAUUUUAAAAUUUUAAAAUUAGGGGGAAUCGUCACCAAUAUUUUUUGACUAGGUGUGAUUGGUCACCUAAAAAUUUUAUCAUUUUAAUAAAAUCUUAAAAUUAAUUAAAACUUAUUAAAAAAAUUUUUGGUCUAAGAAAAAUGAAAAUUGGGUUUAGAGUAUGAUUACAUGUGGGGCAGGAUUAACAUCCUUACAAUGCCUUUUUUUAAAAAAAGGAUACCAAUUGAUCAUGUGAUAUCCUUUGGUUUGAUAAAAUGGUUUUAAUUCUAAUAUUUAAAAUAAUCCUUUUAUUUAUUAUUUUUUACAAAAAAAAUUUUUUUUAACUUUAUAUUUAGGAAUAAAAUGAAAAUUUUCAGUUCUGAAAUGGUUUCUAAAUUUUUCAAUAUCUAGGCAAAAUUUUAAAAAAUAUUUCUCUACUUGAAAUUCUCCUAAUAAUAUUUAAAAUUUAGCAUAAUAUUCCAUUAUAAUAAUAAUAAAAGUAACUUACAUAAAUAUAUCUUGAGGUUUAACGCGAUUUGAGUUUGCCCCUAAGGUUUAAAAAGUAACACUUAACCACCUUGAGCUAUGUAUCCGUGACAUUCCGUUAGUUUUCUUUAAUGCCAUUACUAUCUAAUUAAUAAACUCUAACUCUUUCCUCAAAAAUUUUAUUUGUUUGCUAUUUUUUCAAUUUAAAGGAAAAUUAGGCUAGAAGCAUGAAUUCUUCACAAUCUUUAGCAAAUGGUGGAUCAAAUGAUGGAAAAGUGUGCUAUUGUGGUGUGGAAUUACUUGUACGAACAUCUGUAAUAAGGAACAACUGUGGGCAAAAAUUUUAUAGGUGUGACAAAUUUGAGGUGAGAUGUACUUCAUUUAAUCUUGAAAUAGCUUGUAGGAUAAUUGAAAUAACGUAUUUAAUCUUACAUUUGUUGUUAAGGAAGUUGAAAAUGUGAUUUUUUCUAGUGGGUGGAUGAAAUGUCAUGUGUUUUCUACCAAAAAAGAGAUAGUUAAAUUGGAAGAAACAAUCAAGAAAAUGGAAUAGGAGAUUUUCAUGUCAAAUUCAAAGAAGCAAGAAUUAUUUGAAGAAUUAGUUUUAAUUUCAGCAAAAAAGAUGAGUUUGCAAGAAGAAUUAGUUAAAGCAAUAAAAAGAGAGCUGAAAUUGAAGGAAGAACUUGCUAACACUCACAAUAGAGGAAAAAGUGGGGUGUUUUUAAUUUGUCUAAAUGUUCUAGUUUUGCUUAUAGUAAUUUUAUAUGAUCACUUUAAUUUAAGAAGUUGUAGAAGCCAAUUUAUGGAAUUGAAGAAUUGAAAUUUCAGUGUUGAUCUUAGUAGGAAAAGUUAAUGCUUUAUGUGUACCGAGUGUUUAUGGAAAUGACCCAAUAAAUUCUAUGAUUAAUAAAUUUAAUUUUCUUCUAUUGUAGCUAUGUUGAAUCAUUUCUUCUAUAGUAGCUAUGUUAUUUGAUUUAUAACACAACUAGCAAACUUGUAAAAAGCUAACUUUCCAUCAACUCCCACACUUUCUAGCACCCAAUAACCACAUUUGUAAACAACCAUAUUUCCAUCAUCAACAUUGUUUGAUUAAGAAACAUAGCAAAGACCAUGAAGGCUUUCAAUUCACAUUGUGUUAGCCUUGAAUUGAUAAAACAUUUUGAAAUGACAAAAUAAAAGUUUGCUAAAAUUGAAUUAACAUGAUUUGAACUUAAAUUGAAUACUUUCUUAGCUUUUAAUCUAGUCAAAAAUAUGUUCAAAUUCAUCUAGCAUGUUUUAAAAAUAAAAUUGGGCAAAAUAGCGUAAAAGGGAUCGAUUCCCCCUCAAGAAGAUCAAUUGAUUUUUUAGCCAAAAAGGAUUUUCUUGCAAAUUUCCUGAAAGCUAAUCGAUUUUGUCCUUGUAUGGAUCGAUUGGUUCUAGGUUUUUAAAUAUAGGAUCGAUCCCCUUUUAAAGCGAUCGAUUGGUUAUGCCUUUUUAUGCAAAAAUUUGCUUGUAUUUUUACUAACCCAAUUGAUCCCCCUAAGAGGGGAUCGAUCCUCUUGUGCCCAAAAUGCUUACAACGGUUAUUUUUGUCUAAAAUUUUGUAGAAGCUUCAAACAAUUAAUGCAAACAAUGGCUAUCUUCCAUUUUCGACAUAUAAAUGAAGGUCUCCCACAUUAUUUAGAGUAACUUUAAGCUAAGAAAACUUAUUGCUUCCAUCUAACAUCUUUACUAAGCCUUAAAAAGCAUCUUAGUGUGAGAAAAGUGCAAAAAUUCUUGUUGUAUCAAAUUUUCUCUUGAUAUUCUUCUUAAUCUUGAUUUGUGCUUCAAAUUAGCAAACAUCCAACCUUAGAGAGGUUUUUUGAGUUUACAAAAUACUUCAAAAAGUAGCAUUGUGAGGUUGUAAGCUUAAGGGGGAGGAUAACCCUUAAGAAAUUGUGUUGUUGAUUGUAUAAAACUUUGAAAAGUUAGGUUGUAACUUUCAACACAGAGUAGAUUGAAUUAUUUGGCAAGUAAGGCUAAGGGAGAGGAUUUAGUUGCCUAUAGGAACGGUCGAACCUUUAUAAAUUUUGGUGUUUGAUUUUCUACCUCUAUCACUUGCUUUUAAGAUUAUUAGUACUCAUAUUUGUUAUGUUUACUUGUUUAAAAAAAUUGAUUUAUGAUUUUUGUGCUUGUUGGAUAUUGAAUUCACAAAAAUUUACUAUUAACAAAUUUACUCUCCUCUUGGUUUAAUUAAAGUAUUUAAGUUAACAAUUGAUAUCAGAGCUAGUAUUAUAUUUUGUAUGUCUAACAACCUAAGAGUGAUCUUAUAAAUAGCGAAAAGAAGUAUGGUGAUCAAUGUGGAGUAAUCAUCUUCAAGCUACAACAAAUAUAGUGGGUAACAAGAAAUAUGUUUCAUGAAAAAUGAAACGAUUGCUACGUCUCUUAGAAGUGAAGGCCAUUCAAUUGAAAGACCUCUUUUUUUGUUGGUGACAACUACUUAUAUUGGAAAACUAGGAUAAAAUUAUUUAUUCAAGCCAAUGACUAUGAAAUUUAGAGGGUCAUUGUAAAUGGUCCUCAAAUUCUAAUAAAGAUAGUGGAUGGUAGAGAGGUGAUCAAGUAAGAAAGUGAAUAGAAUGCCAAUGAUAUGAAGAUGGCUCAACAGAAUGCCAAAGCAAUUCCUACACACUUUUGUGUUUUGGGGCCUAGUAAGUACAAUAGAGUUUCAUUAUGUGAAAAGGAAAAGAAAAUUUAAGACAAGUUGGCCAUCACUCAUGAAGGUACUAAUCAAGUGAAAGAAACCAAAAUUGACAUGCUUACUGAAGAGUAUAAGCUAUUCAAGAUGAAAUCAGAAGAAACCAUUAGUGAAAUGUCAAACCACUUCACUGACAUUAUUAAUAGUUUGAAGGCUCUUGGGAAGACUUACUCAAAUGUAGAGAUGAUGAAAAAAAUUUUAAAUAGUCUACCAGAGAGCUAAUAAGCUAAGAUGACAGCCAUUGAAAAGUUUAAAGAUUUUCACAUACUUUCUUUAGAUGAACUCAUAGUCUCUCUUUUUACCUAUGAGAUAAAGCUCAAAAGAGGAUAAAAACCAAUAAAGAAAGGUGGUAUUGCUCUCAAAUCAACCUUUCAAGAAGAUGAAGAAAAACUUGAGCAAGAUGAGGUUGAUGAAGAUGAAGAAAUGACCAUGUUUGUAAAAAAGUUCAAGAAGUUCAUGAAGAUGAAUAUGUUCUCAAACAAAAUAAGACCAUAAAAAGAAAUGAUCAAAAGGGAAUCAAGUAGAAGAGAAAUGGAUCAAAUUGUUUGCUAUGAUGCAACAGAGAGGGUCAUAUCAAAGUCGAUUGUCCUUUAUGAAAGAGGCAAAACACAAUGAAGCCAAAGAAUAAAGCAAUGGUUGCAACGUGAAGUGCUAGUGACUGCUUCGAUGAUGAAUCAAAUGAGGAAGAAGUAGCCAACCUAUGUCUUAUUGCUUUUGAUAAGCCCAAGGUAAUUUUUAAUUCAAAUGAUUUAAGUUCAUACAUAUUAAUUGCAAGAUGCUUUUUAAUGAAUUAGCUAUAAAAUUUGAAAGCAUGAAACUGAAGUAUAGGAAAAUGAUUUGUAAGUUAAAGGUAGUGAAUGAGCUUUUGACUAAAGCAAAGGAUGACAUAAAAAAGGAAAUUUGAGCUUUUACAAUUGAAUGUUGAUGAUUUGACUAAGAAAAAUGAGAAUUUGCAUAACUUAUUUUUUAGAUUUUAUAUGGGACAUCAAAAACUCAAUGACAUGCUUGAAACACAAAAAACAUUCUUUGAUAAAGAUGGAUUAGGCUAUAAUGUGGUGACAAAGAGACUCAUUUGAAGAAAUUUCCUUACUAGGCCAAAUAUUCAUUAACACAUGUACAUAUUGUCAUUAAAUUAAGGUCAUCUUAAGGGGGACAAUAUUGUUCCUUAAGAAAGUCACUCAUAUAAGUAAACUCAUUAAGGAGUGUUGGAUCUCUAAAAGGAGUUAGCAACGAUCUGAAGAUGGAUUACUAGGAUGAAGUGGAUUCCAAAAGGCACAAGAAUUAAUGAGUGUUAACAACAAAUCAAAGUCUCAAGAAAGGUUAUGGGUACCCAAAGACAAACUUUGAUUAUAUUUUUGUAGAUGGAUGAACAUUGCUAGCAGGUAAAUUUAAGCAAGAACAUAAUCCACUGCGAUACCAUAGAUAAUAGGAUUCAUCGAUAGCAUGUGAUCGGAGACAAGGCUCAAUUCAAGGAUUUAAAGGCUAAAAAUGAAGGAGAUGUUACAUUUAGAGACAACUCCUAAGGCCAAGUUGAAGGGAUUAGCUUCAUUGAUAACAAUUCUUCUACUACUAUUAAAAAUAUUUUACUUGUGAAAAGAACCAAGCGUAAUUUACUUAGUAUUAGUCAAUUGUGUGACAAAAGACUUAGAGUUGUAUUUGAAUCCAUGUGCUGUUGAGUGAUUGAUAUCAAGACUAACAAACUUGUUUUUGUUUGACAUCAUCAAGAAAAUGUUUAUGUGGUACAUUUGGAUGAUCUAUUUUUAAAAAUAUUUGCUUUAUGGCUAAAAAAAAUAAAAGUUGGAUUUAGCAUAGAAGACUUGGACAUGUAAGUAUGCACGUAAUUUCAAAACUUUUUCAAAAUGAUUUAGUCGUUGGUUUACCAAAAUUGAAAUAUGAAAAUGAUAAGGUUUGUAAUGCAUGUGCUCAAGGAAAACACAAAAAAAUCCCUUUCAAACUUAAGAAUUAUAUUUCAACUAUUAGACCUCUUCAACUAUUUCAUAUUGAUCUUUUUGGUCCUACGAGGACAAUAAGCCUUGGUGGAAAAUAAUAUGAGUUUGUUAUUGUUUAUCAUGUUACUAAAUAUACAUAUGUUCUCUUCUUGCAUUCAAAGAAUGAAGCUUUGGAAAAAUUUAUCACUUUUAGCAAACAAAUACAAAAUGAGAAAGAUUAUUCAAUUUUUAGUAUAAAAAAUGAUCAUAGAAAAGAAUUUAAAAACCUUGGUUUUAAUUUGUUUUAUAGUGAAAAUGGUAUUAGCCAUAAUUUUUUUGCUCCUAGAAUUCUUCAACAAAAUGGGGUAGUAGAAAGGAGAAAUAGAACUUUAGAAGAAAUGGCUAGAACCAUGCUUUAUGAAAAUAAUUUACCUAGAUAUUUUUGGAUAAAAACCAUAAAUACCUAUUGUUAUAUUAUAAUUAUGUUGCUUUUCUCUCUCACAUUGAACCUAAGAACAUACAUGCAGCAUUUGAAGAUAAUCAUUAGAUAUUGGCUAUGUAAGAGGAAUUGAACCAAUAUGAAAAAAGUCAAGUGUGAAAUAACCAAUAUGAAAAAAGUCAGUGUGGAAUCUUGUACCUAAGCCUAGUGAUCAUUCCAUUAGAGGAACUAAAUGAGUUUUUACGAAUAAAAUGGAUAAGCAUGGCAGUGUUGUUAAAAACAAAGCUAGGUUAAUGGCUCAAAGGUAUAGUCAAGAAGAAGGAAUUUACUAUGAUGAAACUUAUGCUCCGAUUGCAAGAUUAGAAGUCAUUAAAAUGUUACUUGCAUUUGCAUGUUUCAAAGAUUUCAAGCUCUUUCAAAUGAAUGUCAAGAGUGCAUUUCUAAAUGAUUUUAUAAAUAAAGAGGUGUAUGUAGAGCAACCUCUUGAUUUUGAAAAUCUUCAAUUUCCAAAUCAUGUUUAUAGAUUGACAAAAGCUUUAUAUGACUUAAAACAAGCUCUUAGAGCUUGAUAUGAAAGAUUAUCAAAGUUUUUAAUUGAAAAUGAUUUUAAUAGAGGAAAUGUUGAUACUACACUUUUUAUUAAAACAAAAAGAAAAGACAUUCUCAUUGUGUUAGUUUAUAUUGAUGAUAUUAUAUUUGGUGCUACUAAUGAAGUUCUUUGCCAAGAAUUUGCUAAAACUAUGCAAGAUGAAUUUGAAAUGAGCAUGACGGGAGAGCUUACAUUCUUCUUGGGAUUACAAGUAAAGCAAACAAAAGAUGGUACCUUCAUCAAUCAAGCUAAAUACAUCAAGGACUUGCUAAUAGGGUUUGGAUUGGAAGAAUCAAAGCCUUACUCAACACCUAUGAGCACUUCAACAAAACUUGACAAGGAUGAAGGAGGUAAAUGUAUUGAUUUUAAAUUACAUAGGUCUAUAUUGGUUCAUUGUUAUAUCUUACUGUAAAUAGACCAGAUAUAAUGUUUAGUAUGUGCUUAUAUGCUAGAUUUCAAUCAUUACCUAGAGAAUCACAUUUACUUGCUCUUAAAAGAAUUUUUAGAUACCUUAAAGACAUUCCCAACUUAGGAUUAUGGUAUCCAAAAGGUUCAUCUUUUGUUUUGCAUACUUAUUGUGAUGCAAAUUUUGGUAGUUAUAAAAUUGAUAGAAAGAGCACUUCUGGUCCUUGUCAAUUGUUUAAGAAAAUACUCAUAUCAUGGUUUUUCAAGAAACAAAAUAGUAUUGCUCAAUCCACAACUGAAGCCGAAUAUGUAGCGGUCAAUAGUUGUUGUGCUCAAGUUUUAUAGAUUAAACAAUAAUUGAAGGAUUUUGGAAUUACCAUGGAUCAUAUUCACAUUAAAUGUGAUAAUACUAGUGCCAUCAAUCUUUCCAAAAAUCCCAUUCAACAUUCAAGAACUAAGCAUAUUGAAAUUAGGCAUCAUUUUAUUAGAGAUAUGUUCAAAAAGGUCAUAUUGUGCUUGAAUAUAUUGAUAUAUUACAUCAAUUAACUGAUAUUUUUACAAGAUCUCUUGAUAAAGAUAGAUUUUAUAUAAUUAGAGGUGAACUUGGUAUGAUGAAUGCUCUUUGAAAUGAAAGUUUAGAUAAAUUGAUAAAUUUGUACCUUGUUUAACCAAAUGUGUGUUUAUCUUAAUAUACUUUUGAAAUCUUGUCUAUGAUUAUAUUUGUAAUUAUAUGAUGCAUAUUUGAAUAGUUAUAUUACAUGUUUUUAAAAAUAAAAAAAAAUUUUAAUUUAAAUUUAAAUUAAAAAAAAUUUGCUACAAGUGAACUAAUCGAUCCUAGAGACACUAGAUCGAUUGGUUUUCUUUUUAGUAGCCAAAAUAAAGUUGAAAACCUCAAACCCGAUCGAUCCUCCUUGGACCCGAUCAAUCAAUUCAUAGCUUGCUUAGGUGCAUCAAGGCCUUACCCAAUUGAUCCCCUUGCUACCCAGUUGAUCGGGUUAUGAAUGGUCUCCUAUAUACACACUGUUUUGACCACUUAAAAAUCUGGACUUUCCUCUUUCCUUGGUUGACCUUAGUCUAUUUUUGUUCUUCUUAAAAUUUUCUCCUAAAACCCCAAGUAUUCAUGCUUCACUUUUCUUUUAAAAUUGAUCACUUUCAACUAAAAUCUUUUGUAAAUUUCUUCAUAUCUGUUUGAUUUCUUGCAAAAUCUUUUUCAAAAAUUAUUCAAAUCAUAUAAAAAUCUUCACUCAUGUUUCUCCCUCUAGAAAUUUGAUCCUUUUUUGUGCCUCUAUUGAAACUAUCUCAUUCACUAAAUUUUUUUGCCUUUCUCAAACAUAUAAUACUACUUGUUACCUACAUUCACAGAUUCCUUCACAUAGACCUACCUAUUUUCACUAUUUCAUUGUUUCCAUGGCACCUAAAACAAGACCUUCUCUUGCCACAAAGAGAAGUCCACCAAGGGAAGCCUAUAGUUCUUUAAUCAAGCCUUCUUUCAACUAAAAUUUCAAAAAUUCUACAACAAAAGAAAGAUAUGAGACUCAUUUUGCUUAUAGAGAAGUCAAACAAGGAAGGGUAAUCAAUCUUAAUUUCUUUAAAUCCAUUGGAUUUCCAUACUUUCAUUCUUUUGAGAAUUUUGAUUGGAUGAACUAUUUUAGUUUGAAUGGCAUUGUCUUUGAGAAUCUAGUAAGGGUAUUUUAUAGUAAUGUAAACUGUAUUAAAGUUGAUGGACAUGAGAAUAGGUAUUAUACUAAUAAAUUUAGGACAUUUGUGAUGGGUAGAGAAAUAAUUGUGGAUAAAAGCUUGUUGGCUGAAACUUUCAUGUUAGAAGAUAAUGGAGACAUAAACAGUAGAUGUGAUAUACUAUUGGCCUAAGAUAUUUUUAAGAAUGAUGAUUUGAGGGCUUCUCUAACUCAGGCUUCUAGGUUGAACACGCAUGAUAGAUUGUUUUAUCUUAUUGUCACACAUGUGUUAGUACUAUUUGAAACCCAAUACUUCAUUAGAAAAGCAAGAUUAUUGGUGGAUAUAUAAGAUCAAACAUAAGAAGAAGCCCAAUAUUGUGCACUUUAUUUUUAAUGAUAUGAUAAAGGUUGUUCAAAACAAGGACUACACUUUGGUAUAUGGAAUAGCCAUUUGCAAUCUAUUUAGGAGGGUGGGUAUCAAUCCUAGAAGUGAUAGAAAAAUUGUGUCCAAUCCUACUAGUAUUAUUAGAGUUCAUACAUUUCAUAGUAUGGGAUACAUUCAAAAUGUUAUUGGGGUAUGGAUUAAGAAAAGUUAACUUAGAGUUAAGCAUGAAGAAAAUCACAAGGUUCAAGAUUUUUCUCAAGAAGUUCCAUAAGAUAUUCCUCGAGAAGGUUUUUCUAUCCACCAUUUGAUACCCAGAGAGCUUUACAAAUUUUUGUGACUCAAAUGAACAAUUUACACUUAUUGGUUGGGGAUAUGAACUCUACAUUGGAAAACAUGGAAUUAACACAAAAUAAGAUGGUUUCAUAAGUUCAAUAAGUUAGGACUAAUAUUGGACAAAUUUGAAUUGCAUAAAAGCAAAUAGAGCAGCAAUUUCAUCAUUUUUCUCCUAUCCUCCUCCACCUUGACCUAUCCUUUAAGCCAAGCUUAAAUGUUUUUUUCCUACAUGUUUUUCUUUUAUGUUUUUUUUUAAGAUUUUAAUUUCUUCAAGCUAAUUUAUUGUAGCAUCAAUUUGGUACUUUGCACUAAGGGCAUGAACUUUAGUGGUAUGAACUUUUCUUUGCUUGCUUGUGUGGUUUUGAGAUUCAAAGUUUAUUGUAAAUGAUUAUGUUGCUAUGAAUGUGCUAUUAUGGUUAUUCUCAUUCUUGAUGUUAUGAUGCUAAGUUGAGCUAUAGUACUGACAUUCAAUAAUAUGGGCUUUAUGUUGAAUAUAAUAUUGUUGCCUUGAAUUGAUUGAGCAAGUUGAUCUUACAUUGGUUAUAGUAUUAUUACCUUGCUUUUGGAUUUUUCUUUUUUUUGCUAUGACAAAAAGGGGAAAAGUUAGUUUGUGUAUUGUGAAAAUUUACUAGUGAAGAGUUUUGCUAAAUUAUUAUGUUACUAGUUGAUAAAUUUUUAAUUGCUUGGGAGACUUCUACCUUAUAUAUUUGUUUUGCUCACAAUGCAAAAUUGGCCUUUUAAUUUUCUUGAUCUUAUUUAAAUUCAGGGGGAACUUUCUUAAAAAAGAAAAAUGUUUUCAAAGCAAAUUUUUUUUUACUAUUGAUUUUGUCAUAUAAAAAAGAGAGAGAUUGUUAGCCUUGAAUUGAUAAAACACUUUAAAAUGAUAAAACAAAAAUUUGCUAAAGUUGAAUUAAAAUGAUUUAAAAUUAAUUUGAAUACCUUUUCAAUUUUCAAUCUAGUCAAAAAUAUGUUUAAAUUUAUCCGGCAUGUUUUAAAAGUAAAAUUGGGCUAAGUAGCAUAGAAGGGAUUAAUCCCCCCUUAUGGGGAUUGAUUGAGUUUUUGGCCAAAAAAGAUUUUCCUGUAAGUUUCAUGAAAACCAAUCGAACCCUUCCUUGUAUGGAUCGAUUGAUUACAAGUUUUUAAAGAUAGGAUUGAUCCCUUCUUGAAGGGAUCGAUUGGCUUUUUGCACAGAGUGAAAUGUUUGUUCUAUAAUUUAAAAAGAGAUUGAACACUUAGACUAAAGGAUCGAUCACCUGAAAAAGGAAUCGAUUGGUACCAAAUAUGAAUCAAUUGGUUGCAUCUUUUUUUGCAAAACUCUGCAUGUAUUUUGACUAACCUAAUUGAUCCCCCCAAUAGGGGAUCGAUCCCUUUAUGCCCAAAAUACUUACAAUGGCUAGUUUUGCCUAAAAUUUUGCAAAAGCUCUAAACAAUUAAUGCAAGCAAUGGUUAUCUUCCAUUCUCAACAUAUAAAUGAAAGGUUUCUCACUACAUUUGGAGUAACUUAGAGCCAAGAAAACUUAUUGCUUCCAUCUACCAACUUCACCAAGCAUUAAAGAGCAUUUUAAUGUGAGAAAAAUGCAAAAAUUCUUGUUGUAUCAAAUUUUCUCUUGAUAUUCUUCUUAAUCUUGAUUAAUACUUCAAAUUAGCAAAUACCUAACCUUAGAGAGGUUCUUUGAGUUUGUAAAACACUUCAAAAACUUGCAUUGUGAGGUUAUAAGCUUAUGGGGGAGAAUAACCCUUAAGAGAUUGUGUUGUUGAUUGAAUAGAGUUUUGAAGAGCUAAGUUGUAACUUUCAACACAUAGUUGAUUGAAUUCCUUGGCAAGUAAGGCUAAGGAAGGGAAAGGACGUAGGUGCCUAAAGGAAGGGUCAAACUUAUAUAAAUUUUGGUGUUUGAUUUUCUAUCUCUAUCUCUUGCUUUUAAGAUUAUUAGUACUCAUAUUUGUUGUGUUUACUUGCUUAGAAAAAUUGAUUUGUGAUUUUUGUGCUUGUUGGAUUUGAAUUCACAAAAAUUUUAUUUAUCAACCAAUUCACCCCCUUCUUGAUUUAAUUCAAGUCUUUAAGCUAACAUAUUGAUAUUAGAAACAAAUUGUACUUUAACAGAUGUGAAACCUAUAAAAGUAUUGGCUAUAAAUAAAAAAGGAUUAAACCUUAAAAUGGUUCAUUCACAUUCAACCUAAAAAGAACUAUUUCACAUUCAUCCAAAAAGAACUAUACCAACAGUAGGCUUUCAUAAAAAAAUACAUAUACCUUAAACUAACUCCUAGCUUCUACCCAACAAGAACUGUACAUCAACACGCAUCAUCGGAAUAGCAUGUACGAACCAUUCCUAGAUUGCACAUAGACUUUUUGGCAAAUGGUUGCUUGGCUAUUAACUUUUUGGUUACUAGUUUCUUGAUUUUUGCCAGCAAUGUGAUUGUCAAUUGCUUGGCUACCAGAUGCAUGGUUACCAACAACAAUAGGCCUACCCCUUCUUCUAAUUGCUAUAACUUUUGACCUAAAAAGUCUUUUUCUCCUUCUUUUAGUAACAUUUACAGCAACUCUUCCCAUUGGACUUGUACAAAGAUUUAAAGUUGUAGCAGUAGUUGGAACUUAUGUCUCGACAUUUACAGUAUCUCUAUCUCUCGUACCAAUAUUGCCAUCAUUUAUUGUCGUUCUUCCUUUUUUAGUAAUAUUAACAGUAGUUUUUCUUUUUGUACCAACAUUAUCAUCAUUUCUUUCUCUACUAGCAUCAAGAAGCACUUUUUUGGAUCAUCUCCUUGGAUCUGCAUUUCUUUGGAUCUGCCUCUAGUAGUAGCCUUUCCUCCUGAAGUUAUCCUUGAAGAAGAUGCAGAUUUUUAGGCAAACUAUCAAAAUAAUCAUAUAAAGAAAAUAAAAUAAACAACAAGAUGAACAAUCUGAUAAACAAAAACAACAGAAACAAAAAUUACAGUUGACACUCUGAUAAACAAUCUAAUAGUAGGUUAAUAGCAGAAACACUGAUAGUAGAAACAAUUAGAUAAAAAAAAUAGCAGAAAUAACCUUAACCUUACACUAACUUUUGAUACAAUAUGAUAUAAUCAGAUAAACAAAUACAUCAUGAAAUAAAAAAUAGUAGGCUCAUAAAAUAACAUGAAAUUAAAAAUAGCAUGAAACAAAAACAGCAUGAAAAAUAGCAUGAAGCAAUCUGAUAAAGAAAAUUAGCAGAAACAGCCUUAACCUUACAUAGCAAAAAUAGUAAAAAGUAUCACUUGAGUAUUGAUCCUUAACCCCUUUAACCUUAUCCUUUCUUUACCUAAAGGAAAAAUCAUCAACCCAUGCAACAUCCCCUAUUACCUAGACCUGGUAAGGAAUACGAACCAAAUAACCCACCAUCAUAAAAUAAAGUGUUUUUAUUUCCCAUUCAACAUCUGUAAAAUAAAUUUAUAAGUCUAUUUCAAAAAAUGCCAUAUUUAAACAUUUAUUGGCCAAGUAAAAAAUUUAGAAAUCCAACACGCUCAUUAGCUAUCAUCAUCCGGUUUUUUUAGGCAAACUAGAAAUUACAAUCUUAAAAAUGCAAAAGGUCUGUAGAUCGCAUGAAUGUUAAAACUACCUACAAUGCAGGCAUUCAUAAAGAUUUGUAUUGAUGCGGUCAUAAAAAAACUCUAAACUUAACAAAAAAACUCAUGUAUAAAUGCUCUACAACAUAUUUGUAAUUUAGUUAUUUAGAAUUAAAAAAAAAAACCCUAAAUUUUUUAAAUUUAAUAAACCCUAAAUAGAAGAUUUUAACCAACCUUAAUGAAAUGGAAAUGAGAAUUACACAUACCUUGUUAGAUUGUAAAAGUUUACUUAAUACAUAGUAAUUAUGCCUCACCUCUUCUUUGCCAAAUAGUGCCCAAUGUGUUUCGAUCACUGCCAUUCAACCAAUUUUCAAUUGAUUUUUGUCUAAACCUUACAUUAAAAAACUCCUUUUAAUUGGAAUUGAAAGGUUUUUUGGUUUGAUUCUUGAAUAAAAACGUUUAAUCAUUUUCAAAUGAGAUGAUUUGAUUAUAAGAAACAAAGUUUUUCUUUUUACUUCAAAUGCUUCAAGAACAAGUCAUGGGUUUUAUAGCAAUAAGGGUAUUCUUGUUGUUUUAUGACAGACAGAGUCUAAAGAAAACUAACAGAAUGUCACAGAUACACAGCUCAGGGUGGUUAAGUGUCUCUUUUUAAAUCUCAUGGCACAUACUCAAAUCGUAUUAAAUCUCAAGGUAUAUUUAUGUAAUUUACCAUAAUAAUAAUAAUAAUAAUAAUAAUAAUAAUAAUAAUAAUAAUUGUUAAAAAACCUUCCAAUAUCCAUGUAAGUUCCUAAGAAUUAUUUUUACAUUAGAAUAUUAGCUUUUAUUCCUAAAAAAUAAUUUUUUAAAAUCGCCAUUUGAUAACUCAUAUAUUUUGUCAAUAACAAAAUGCAAGUGACGUAAAAUGAAGCAAACAAAUGAUGUAAAUACAAAUUAAAAUACAGUUGACCAAUUUGAUCCCAUUUAAUUUAUCUUUUUUUUUAUUUUCAUCAUUUAUUUAAAAAAACAUUUAUUGAUAAAAGAAAUUUAUCUCUCAUUAUUUUUUGUUGAAAAAAUAUUUUUUAAUUCCCUAAUAUCUAUAUGGAAUUUAAGAAAAUUAAUCCUUCACUUAAAAAAAUUUUAUAGUUAAUUUUUGGCAAGAUGAUAAUACUAUUCUUUAGAAAAAAAAGAUGAUUUGAAUUCCCUCCAAUAUCUAAGUAGAGUUUCCAAAAUAAUUUUCUUUUUAAAAAUAUUGUUAUUUAUAUUUUUUAAAAGAAAAUUUGCCAUUUCACAUUUAUUAUAAAUGUUUAAAAUGCAUAUAUGACAAUAUGAUCAUAAAUUAAAUAAUGCAUCAAAUUGUAUUUUUUUAAUAGAUUUUGUUUAGGAUGAAAAUGGCAUUUUGGUGUUAAAAAAUAUUUUUUUUAUUUUUUUAUUUUUAUUUUUUAACUCCCUAAUAUAUAGGUAGAAUUAAAAAAUAAUUUGAAAAAUUCGUAAAAUAAAAUUUUCAAAGAAUGAAGAUGGUAUCUCUUUAUAAAAAUAAUUAUUUAGAUUUUCUCCAAUAUCUAGGUAAGGUCUUUAAAAAUAUUUUUUACUUAAACAUACCAUAUUCCUUUUUUAUUUCCAGAAAUAAUCACUUUAAUGAAAAUUAUUUUUUAAUUAUAAAAUUAUUAUUAUUUAUUAAAAAUCUAUCAUCAUUUUUCAUUUCUUUUUCUAACCUUAAUAAUCCAAAAAUAGACCUAUUGUCAAAAAUAUCUAAAAAAUGAGGAAAAUAAAUAUUCACAGUAAUAUAACAAGAUAAAAAAGGGUAAAGGAUAUACCAGAUGAAGUUUUCUUUAGGCUUGAACCCAACAUCAACCAAAAUCAAAAUGAUCUAAAUUUGUUGGCUCUUUAAGAACUAACGUGGGCCACCUCAAGUAGCAAACAUGUUGGGUCGGGCAAGAAUCAGGUAUAAGUAUGGGCUAAAAGGUCGGGUUAGUCUGGCUUGCUUUUUUUUUAAUCCUUUCUUAAAAAAUCAGUUCCUCUUUUUUUACUUUUUUUUAAUUCUUCUUUCUCAUUUUUUUUUAUUCUCUUUCUUUCUUUGUACUUCUUCUCUCUCAUGUAGAUGUCAAACUAGCUUCUCUUUUUUUUUUCUCCUUCUUUUCCUCUAUUAUUUUCUUUUUUGCUUUUUCCACUCCCUAUUGACCCUCCCAACCAACGUCAUAUCAACUUUCUCUUUUUUUUCUUCCUUUUCUCUUAUAUUUUUUUUUAUUUUUUCCUUUCUUUUUUUUCUCCCUUAUUUUAGUUGAAUGGGUCGAGGAAUCACUAAAAAAAAUUUUUUUAAUCUUUUGUUGCUAGGUUCCUCACUAAGUGAGGACUACGAUAUAUUUGUGAUUUUUUUGGCUUUGCUAACUUUUGGUUAUUGAUGGCAGUGGGGUGGUCAUGAUGGCAAAAUGAUUUUUUUUUGGGUUUUCAACUUACAAUGAGGUGGCGAGGGGGUUUUAACUGGGCUUGUUUCAAGUAGGGUGGCUUAAAAGCUUGGUAUAGUGGUUGACAAAGUAUGACACUAUGGUGGGGUGGUGCCUAUGUUUGUCGUGGCAUGAUUUAUUUUGUCUUUUAAUUUUUCUAUGGUGGCUUUUUUUGUGGAGGGAAGAGCUAUGGUUGUGGGGAGAGUGUUAAUGCUUUUGGGUAUAAUUGAAGUUUUUAAGAGGAUGGAGGCUCUUGAUUGGUAUGAGGCUUAUAAAAAGAGGUGUUGUUUCGGCUAAUUAAUAGAUUUGUUGAUAGGUGGGGUUUGACUUUCCUAGGCAGAAGGAUGUAGGGAUUGAGAAAAUUUUCCUUUUUUGGUAAAAUUUUCUUUCCCAUGUUAUAAACUAAGGUUAAAUAGGCUAGUUGUACUAGUUUUUUUGGGUAUGGAAGCUUGCUGAUUUUUGGACAUUAUGUCAAUCACCAAUUGAUGAUGACAGAAGUUUGUAGUCAAAAUGGGAGGAAAAACAAUUCUAAGCCAAAAAAUGGUAAGCAAUUUGGGAAGAGGAGUCUUACCAUGGCCGGUUAAACCUCUAACACAUUUUUUUAAUUUUCAAUUGAUUAAUUAUAAAAAAAAGCUUUUGGACUUUAAAAAUGAAAUUUAACCUUUAUAAGCUUUGGGUUUGCAAACCCAUACGAUUUAGCUUAGAAUAAAUUAAAAUUAAAUUGGAUUGAGCCUAAUCCAUGCAAAAUGAUCCAAAAAAUGUUGAUCCAAGACAAAGAUUAAAUGACCUCAAUUAGAUAAAUGCAACUAAAAUGCCGAAGCUUGCUCCAAUCGAAAAGUUCAAAUCAAGCUUCAAAAUCAAACAAAUUCAAAUUGAACCAGAAAAAAUUAGGUGUCUAUAACAUAUUAGUAAAUUGAUGAUAGGUUAAUAAAAAAACAAGUGAUAACUUAAUAGUUAAUCACUGAUAACUUAAUAAUAAAUAAAUGAUAACUCAAUAGUACUUCAAUGUCAAUUUAAUAGUAAUUAAUUAAUAAACUUAGUUGUAAAUCAUAAAUAACUUAGCAAUAAAUUAAUGAUAAUUUAGUAGUUAAUCAUUUGAAACUUAAUAAAUUAUUAAUAAUUAAGUAGUUAAUCAUUGAAAACUUAAAAGUAAAUCAAUAUAACUUAGUAGUAGUUCAUCAUCAAUAACUUAAUAGUAAAUUAUGGAUAAUUUGAUAUAAAUCAGUGAUAACUUGAUAAUAAAUCAUGGUUAAUUUAGUAGUAAAUCCAUAAUGAUUUUGUAGUAAAUAAUCGAAAACUAAGUGUAAAUCAAUGAUAACAUAGUAAUAAUAAAUUAUUGAUAAUUUAUAUAUAAAUUAUUGAUAAUUUAAUAGUAAAUAACUGCUAAUUUAGUUGUAAAUCACUGACAAUUUAGUAGCAAAUUAAUUAAUAAUUGAUAAUUUUGUACUACAUCAAUAAAUUAAUAGUAAAUUAGUUAUAAAAAAUCCUCAGUAACUUAGUAGUAAAUUAAUGCUAAUUAAGUAGUAAAUCAUUAAUAAUUUAGCAAUAUAUCAUUGAUAGCUAAGUCGCAAAUCACUGAUAAAAUAUACUAAAUCAAUGAUAACUUAAUUCUCAAUCAUUGAUAAAUUUUUUUUAUACUUUAAGUUGUUAGGAAUUGAACCUUUGUUAGUAUUUGAAAUGAAGCUAGAAAUUUCAUUUUGGGAAGCUAGAAUAAAAAAUUUAGUGAAAAAAUUCUAAAUUUGAAUAUGAUUGCACUUGAAUUUUAGCAUUUUUAAGCUCAUAUUUAGUGCAAUUUUCUUUAUAUUUUAGCAUGUUCCUUGAGAUUUUUUGCAAAAAUACUCCAAAAUGUACAAUUGUUUCAUGUGCAUGUGAAAAUAGAGAAAAUGAAGAAUUUUGGACAAUUUGGAUAUAUUUUGGAGGAUGUAUGGUGGUAAAGGCACGUCACAACUAGUGUGAUUAAGCUACAUUGCCUUUUAAGGAAGUUUUUCUUGAUCCUUUCUUCUAUGCUUUGUUAAGCUUAAUUGAACUUCAUGAAACUUUAUUUCAAGUCUUAUUUCUCAUAAUUUUCAUUUAAAAUGAUUUUCCUUAGCUCAAUCUUGCAUUAGUAUCUUUUUAGUAUCUUUACACAUGCUUAAAAGGUAAAAUGCAUUAUAGAGAUGGAAAUUGAUUUGUAAAUGAUUAAUUUUCAAAAUUUUUUGCCAAAAAUUAGAAUGUCAAAUUGGCAUAAUUUUAUGGUUUGAAUUUUGUAGUAAAAUAAAAGCUUGAAGUGUAUGCAUGUGGGACCAAAAGAAGAUAUAAAAAAAGCAUGUUUGUUAUAAGUGUUAAAGUGCUAUGCAACUUCAUGCACUUUGCGCCACUUUAGCAAUUUAAAUAAGGCAAUGAGGAGCUGCUGACUUAGCAUCUUGGAAGACUCUCAUUGGCCAUAAUUUUGACCUUCUGGAAUGUAAAAAUUCAAGAGAAGAAGGCUUGGAAAGAAUAAAGAACUUAAGUGAGCUAAACAAUAAUGAACCAACCAUGAAAGAAAAAAGAAAAGACGGCUCUAGAAGGCCACUCAAAAUUAGAUAUUUUUGGGAGAUAUUUUGGAGCUUCAGGCACCUUAUGUUUGCCUAUAAAUAAAAGUAAGGCACUAACCAUUCAAAGAUUUUAGCUUAGACUUUAGAUUAGGAUUUACAUUUUUUGUUUCUUUAAUUUUUUGCACUUUACUUUUCUGUAUUUCAUUUUCUAGCAUUUUCUUACUUGCCAACAACUUUUAAUUCUAGUUUUUCCAAUUGAUUCUUAUUGUAAUUUUUACUUUCCUAAAUUGUUUUCAAUGUUCUUUUAGAUUUUGGCAAUGAAUUUAUGAAAUUCUUAUGAUUUCAUGUUCAAAUAUUGUUAAUUUCACGUUGAUAUCAAAUCUAGAUUUCAAUUCACGCACUUGUCCUCUUUGUACUCUUUUGUUCAAAACUUCUUGAUUUCUUGCUUAGUUUUACUUCAUUAUUUUCAUAGUUCUAACUCAUUAGGCUUUAAUCUAGUAAAAUUUUAGCAUCAAAUUCAUUUCCAAUCAUUUUAGUCAAUUCUUACAAGUUGCGAUUGAAAUCAGGUGGCAGUGCAAUUCUAAACAUGAUCUACAAGUUUCACUUGGAUUCAUCUCUCCUUUAGGCAAUUUAUUUACUUCUUCCAAAAUUUUAAUCUCUUAGAUUUACAUGUUUACUUGCUUAUUUUCAUUUUGUUGCAAUUUAAUUCAUGAGUUUGAUGGCUAUUUGGAUGAAUUGUUCAUUUGCUACUCUAAUUUUCUCUGUUUUGAGUAGAUAUUGAGUAGCUAAAUCAAUGAGCUGGUUUUUCUAUAUUUUGCUGUGAUUUUCUUGUUAGAUUUUGUAGUAAACUUGUCAUUAAAUCUUGUUUUAGCUCCUUUUUAGUGCAUUCCUUCUGGAGAAUUGUAGAUCUAAUUUUUCUUCCAUGAAUUAUUAGUUUCUAGCUUACAAAAUCAGUUUUUGUUCUUGCAAUUUUGUUGAAUCUUCCAAAUUUUCUUUAGUUUUUGUUCUUCAAUUUAAAUUGUCAUAUUGUUCUUUUACUGCUCUUGCAAUUUACAACUCAUAAUCAUUUGAUCUUGCAUCAUUUAGAGUUAGAAAUCCAUCUUGAAGUCACAAUUCCAGAUCUUUUUUUUUCUUUUACAUUCGAUUAAAACCUUUCAUUUAAACCUUGCAAUUUUAUUUCAAAAUUUUUUCUUUAAAUUUGUUUUUACUUUAACUCUUCACUUGAUAUUGCAAUUUUAAGUGUGAAUCCAUUUACUUUGUUGCCAAUGAGAUCUCAUUUUAAUUGUUGAGUUAUAGUUUGUCUAGAUUAGCUUAGUACUUUUGGGUUUGCAAGGUUAGUUGCAUUUUUCAUUUUCAUCACUACAAUUUCAAUUCAAUCUUUAUUGUACUUCGACUUAGCUAUUGUAUUUUACAUUUUGUUUAGCAUGCAUUUUACCUACUAUGCACUUGUAAAAUGACCCAAUUAGAAUGAAACAAUGAUGUUAUUAUAUAAAAAGAAAAUUAUCUUAUACUAGAAUUGAAUUUGCUUUUUCUUAAAAGAAUUCAUUGUUAAAUAUAUGAUGACACAAAAUUUUAAUAAUUACCAAAAGUAUAUCGUAAGUUACUAGAAAGUUAUUCAAAUUACCUUAAGAAGUUACCAAAAUUUUAUAAAAAAAAUUGCCAAAAUUAUAUCAAUGGUAUCAUAUUCUAAGUUACCAAACUAAUACUGGAGGUUACCAAAAUUGUAUCGAAAGUUACCAAAAUUUUAUCAAAAGUUAUCAAAUUUUACUUAUAUUAGACUAAAAUCAAAAUUAAAUUAUUACUCCCUUCAUCCCAAAUUGUUUAGGUGUUAUUAACUUUUAUUGAGUUUAAGAAAAAAGCUUUUGACCUUAAUGUAUUUAAUAUUAAAUAUUAAAUUUUUUUUAUAAAAUUAAAGUUUCAAGAUUUUUAAUGUCAAAAAAAUAAAAAAAUAUAUAAAAAAUCAUUUUAAAAUAUAAAAAGUAAGAGCUUUAGAUGUUAAAAAAAAAAACAAAUUUGGGACAUUUCAAAAAGAAAAGAUGGACAAAGAAAUGAGAUGGAUGGAGUAGUAUUUAUCAUUAUUAUCACAGUAUCAAAAAAUUUAUUAUUAAAUGAAUUCCUUAAAAAUAAAUUACACAUGCGAUAUGCACAUUGCAAACACUAGAUACCAUUUAAAAAUGGACCUUUUCAUUUUCAAAGAAGUUGACUUCAUACUGAGGUGAAUUACUAGCCAAAUUGGUUUAUGAAUACUUUACAUAACCUUUGAACUAUAUAUACACUCAAGGUGUGGAUUUUCAUAUAAGGAUUCUUUAGUCCUGAAACAUGUUUUGCCUUUGAUUCCUAAUGAAAGACCUUUUAUUUUUCUUGCACCUCCUUAUCUAUAAUAUACGAACACAACAAUAAUAAUCCAAACAAUAUGAAUAAAGAAAGGGUAAAGGCAUAGAAAGUCUACAUGUAAACAUUAACUCAAGAUUAUUGUGUAAUAAUUAGAACAUCAUAAAUAAAUAAAGAGAUUCAACAUACUUAUUUGGUGGUAAAGACGAAUACGUAGAAGCAAAACAAUCUCUAGAGUGGCUAUGUUUUCCUUUUUACUCUUCUUUUACUAGCAGCACUUAAUAGGUAGUAACCGUAACUUGUAGAAGUGAAAAGGGGACCUUAGCCUAUUUUAAUUAAAAACCCUAAAAACCUCUCUAUCAAAGGCUUAUUGAAUCAAAGGCCUAUAUUACCACCAAAUCAUACUGACCUAGUAAGAUGUGCAAAGUGCACACUUAGGUAAUCAUAUUAAAUUAUUUGGGCUUUCAUGCUUGUCUUAUUUUAGGACUAAACUCAUUAGUUGGUUUUCUUAAAUUAUUAAAAUCACCAAUUAAUGAUAGCCCACUUAUGAAAAAUUCUAAUAUUCUUCCACUUUGGCGGUAUUUGGAUUGUUUGAUUUUAAGAAAACUUGAUUUAGAAAACAAGACUUCAGGCCAAUUUACUUUUACUUUGAUGUGGCCAUAAUUUUAAAAACAAUGUAGCCCUUUGAGAUAACAUCUUAAUUAUCCUAUCUAAUAAAAUCAUCUAAUACUGAAUCAUGGUAGGCUUUAUGCCCCUUAUUAAUAUAAGACCAAUCCAUAAUUGCAAGUACUAGUGACUUUAUUAAUAAUGGAUCUCAAUGUGGUUGUGUAAUAAGAAAAUAAUACUUAAAUGUGAUCUCAACGUGUUAUUUUCAUUGUCAGUCUUCUUGUCAAUUUCUCUAAACUAGCUAAGAAAUCUCCAUGGCAUCUAGAUGUGCUUAUAUGUCUCCUUAAAUCCUUGAAGUUCCUUAAUGGUGUCAUAUAUCAGAUAUACCCAAAUGACAAAAAUAGUCAUACUUAACACAGACAUUAAGUCUUAAGAUUUCACAAUGCAUAUAAUAAACUUUAAUUUUUCAAGUGUACAUAAACUAACAAAAUAAAAUAACAACAUAAAGUAUCUAACAAUGACGAUUAUCAUUCAAGUAUGGAAUCAAUUAUCACAUAGAUAUUCCAAGCAUAAAAGAAAAGGGUCUAAUAUAAAGAUAAACCAUGAUGUGUGAGCAUGAAAUACAAAUGAUAUACUCUCAUUAAUAAACUACAUCAAAAUAUCUUAAAAUACUUAUGCUCUAAACAUGUUUACCAAACCUUAUAGGUCUUAAUCCUUUAGUCAAAGGAUCACCAAUCAUAUUGUCAAUCUCAAUGUGUUUGACAAUAAUCUUACUGUUUUUCACAAAAUCCUUAACUUUAAGAUAUACUAUCUUCAAAUAUUUAGACCCAUUGAUACUCUUGUUGUUUUUAGAAAAUAACACAAUAGACCUAUUAUCACAAUAAAUCUUUAAUAGUGUAGAGAUAGAAUCAACAAUAUGAAGGGUUGAUGUAAAAUUCUUAAGCCAAUUUGCCUGCAUAGUAGCUUCAUAGCAUGUAACAAUCUUAGCCUGUAUAGUGGAAGAAGCUAAGAAUAUUUGUUUCACACUUUUCCAAGGUACAUCUCUUUCAGCCAACAAAAAAAUAAACCCUGAAGUAAACUUCAUGUCAUCCCAACAAUCAGUAAAGUUAGAAUCUGUAUGCCUUAUUAUCUCAAGAUUGUCCAUCUUUUUGUACACCAACGAAUGGUAUUUGGUCUUUUGCAAAUUCUUCAUCAUUUUCUUAGUAGCAACCCAAUGAUCCAUAUCAGGAUUAGAAAGAUAUUUCUCAAGAACUCUCAUUGCAAAAGCAAUAUUUAGCCUAAUGUAAACUUGAACAUACAUGAGACUCCUAACUACACUAGAGUAUGGUAUGUUCUUCAUAGAUUCUUUCUCCAAAUCAUUCUUUGGGCACUAUCUAAGAUUAAGUCUAUCACCUUUCACAAUUGGUGCAUUCUUAGCCUUACAAUUUUGCAUGUUAAAUCUACUAAGCACAAGAUCAAUAUAAGAACUUUGUGAUAGCCCAAACAAAUUUUGAAAUCUAUCUCUAUGAAUUUCAAUGCCAAGAACAAAGGAUGCAUCCUCAAGAUCUUUCAUAUCAAAAGUCUUAGAUAACAACUACUUAGUUUCAUGCAAUAAACAAAUAUCAUUACAAACCAAUCAUAUGUCACCCAUAUAUAGCACAAGAAAAAUAUACUUACUCCCACUGAUUGUAAGGUAUAUGCAUUGAUCAUCUUUAUUUUCUUCAAAACCAAGUGAAGUAACUAUCUCAUCAAAUUUUAGAUACCAUUGCCUAAAAACUUACUUAAGGCCAUAGAUUGACUUUUUAAGCCAACAUACUAAAUGCUCAUUUCCAGAUUUCUAAAAUCCUUUAGGUUGCACCGUAUAAACCUUUUUUUUAAGAUCACCAUUGAAAAAAGCCAUUUCACAUCCACUUGAUAAAACUUCAAAUCAAAGUGUGCUACUAAGGCCAUAAUGAUCCUCGAAGACACCGGUGAAAAAGUUUGAUUUUAAUCUACUAAUUCCUUUUAAGUAAAUCUUUUUGCGACCAAUCUAGCUUUAAAUAUCUCAAAAUUUUCAUUAGAAUCUUAGUUUUAAACACCCAUUUACAACCAAUGGAUUUGUACCCUUUUGGUAAUUCAACAAGCUCUUAGGCACCAUUUUGAGCCAUAAAAUUCAUUUCAUUUUUCAUUGCAUCUAUCCAUACAUCAAACUGCUGACUGUUAAUAAUUUCACCAAAAGUCACAUGGUUAACAAUAUAACUGAUAUCAUAGUCAUUCUCUCGAAGAUAAAUUACAUAAUCAUUAGAUAUGAUAGAUCUUUUUUGUUUAGAAGAUCUCUUUAAAGGUAAUUCAAUCUUAUUUUCUUGAACUUAAAGCAUAUUAACAAGAGCAAGAUUAGUAAGAGGAAGGUUUAUAUCUUUUUGUCUUGAUCUCUUCUCUCAAUAGCCACUGACAAAAUACGACACUAUGCUACAUGAAAGUGAUAGAGAUAUGUUUAAUAGGUUCAUUGUUAUCGAUAGCCUCUAUCACACCCUUAUCAAUAAUAUCUAGCUUAAAAAACUUUGUUACUUGUGACUCUACAAUCUUAAUUCCACAUGUAAGGUAAUAAAACUUAUAUCCCUUGAAAUGGUCUAGAUACCUUAUGAAAAAAUAAUGAGUAUUCCUAGGUUCAGUCUUUCCUUUAAAAGGGUUAUAGAUUUUAGCUUCUGUAAAGCAUCCCCAAACUUGAAACUGAUUCAAACUGGGUUUCUUACUAGUCCACAAUUUAAAAGGUGUUUUAGGAAUAGAUUUACUAAAUACUUUAUCAAGUAUAUGUUUUAAUAGCUUCACCCCAAAGAGAUUUAAGAAGAUUGGUCCUACUUAUCAUGCUCCCAUCAUAUCUUUAAGGGUAUGAUUUUGCCUUUCAGUCACACCAUUUUAUUAAGGACUAUCAGCCAUAGUAUAUUAGGCAACAUUCCCACAUUCUUGUCAAUAUUUAGCAAAUGGUCUCAUGUGUUAUCCAGUUUUAUCAUGUCUACCAUAAUACUCACCACCUUGGUUAAACCUAAUGAUUUUGAUUUCUUUCCCUAAUUGUUUUUCUACAUGAAUUUUAAAAAUUUUGAAAUUUUUAAAAGCAUUAGAUUUUUCAUCAAUCAAGUAAAGAUACCUGUAGUGAGAAUAGUCAUCAAUAAAAAUAAUAAAACAUUUGUUACCACACAAGGUAAAUGUAAAAGAUCAAUUAAUAUUAGUGUGCAUAAUUACCCAAAGGUCAGAAUUACAAGUUGUCUUUUUUUUCUUAGUCUUAGUUAGUUUACCCUUAUGAAACCAACACAAAUGUCUAGCUUUUUAAAAUCAAUGAAAGGUAAAGUACCAUCUUUUAUCAAUUUUUGCACUCUUUCAUUAGAAAUGUGACCCAGCCUUUUAUGCCACAACAAAUAAGAGUAUUCUUUAGUUAAAGAUCUUUUAGACACUAUCUUUUCAACAUUAUUGCAACUAUAUUCCUUAUUAUAGGCCAAGCACAAUUUAUAUAAAUUGUCAACUAGUCUAAAUUCACCAACAACAUUUGAAUUUAAAAACAAGCCAACUUUUUCAAUUCCAAUGCCAAAAUAAUAACCAUGUUUGUCUAAAAAAAAGCUAAAAUCAAAUUCUUUUUAAAUGAAGGUACAUGAAAAACAUUUUCCAAAAUAAGUUCAAAACUAGAAUCUAAAUUUAAACAUAUUAUUCCUUUAUAACUAACGUCUACUUUAGCAUUGUUUCUCAUUCUAAGUUUGGCCUCUUUCUCACUUGCUUCUAUUUGCUUUUAAACCUCUACAAGGUAAUAACAAUAUGAAUAGUUAUACCACUAUCAAGCCACUAGGAAUUUCGUAAGGCACCGAUAAAAUAAGAUUCAAAACAAAUGAGAGUUAGUGAGUUACCUUCUUGUUUAUUCUUUUUCUCUAACCAAGCUUUAUAUUUAAGGCACUCAUGUUUCAUAUGACCUUUCUUCUUAUAGGAAAAACACUUAAUAUCUUUCUUAGUGAUAGCUUUAGGAACUCUUACCCAUUUAGUCUGACAUUGCCCUAUCUUUUAUUAUCCUAAACUGUCUUAUGAGUAUUAGGAACGAAUCUUCUAGGUUUCUCAUAAUUCCUUUGGUAAUUAGGUUUGGAGUAAGUAGUAAGAGAGGCACUUUCAUUAUUUUUUUUCUUGAGUUUUUCUUUUUCAAAGACACAUUUUGAAAUAUGCUCAUUAACACUUCAAACCUCAUUCGUAGCAUUAUAAGCAGUUUUGAUUUGAGUGAACUCAAUAGGUAAGGCAUUAAGGGCAUGAUGAACAAUGAAUAUGUCAAGAUGAACAAUUUCAUGAGAAGUUAAUUUGGUUUGAAUAUGGACCAUUCUCAUGAGAAAAUCUCUAACACUCCUUACGCUAUCAUACCUUAUACUUGUAAGCUCAGUCAUAAGGUUCGUAGCUUUACACUUACUAGAUUUUUGGUAUCUAUCACCUACAGCAUGGUAAAAAUCCCUAGCAAUUUCUAUGGUAUCCAACCCGUUCAAAAGAUAUUCAGAAAUAGAUUUUUUAAUGGCAUAUAGUCACAUAUGAUUUACCUUUUCCCAUUUGACAGUAAAUUCCUUUUAUUCAACAAUACUUUUAUCAAUAAGAUCGCAGGCUUUGGAAAAUGCAAGGCUAUAUCUAUCUCACUCAUAACCAAAGAAAAAUUUAAAUCUCCAUUCCAUCUUUUAUAAUUAGACCUAUUAAAAACUUUAAUAGUGGCUUGAUUGUUAGUGAAAGUAAAAGUCACUUUUCAGGACAAAAAUGCAACAUUAAUGAAUGGGCAAUAUCAUAAAAUAUAUAGCAAUAGUUUAUGAUGUGUUAAUAAUUAUUGAAAAGUUUUGGUGCAUCAUCAUAAACUUCCUUUAGGUAAAGAAUGUAACGUGCAAGUGAAAACUUUUUGCGUGAAGCUAAUAUGAGAAUAUCCAAGUUUUUGAAAAACCUAUUUCCUUUGGAUAAAUAGAUUUCUAAAUUGAUAAACCUCAACCAUGAUGCUUUAAGUUCAAAAACAAAUUACCUUACACAUUAACCCCUUUUAGGUAGGUAAUUGUAUAAAAUAAUUUAGUAACCAUCCUGUAAUUAUAGAAUGAAAAACUUAUCUCCUUUGGACAAAUAAAUUUUCUAGACUAGUACACCUCAACCAUGAUGCUUUAUGUUAAAAAAAAUUACCCUAGACAUUAACCCCAUUAGGCAGGUAAUUGUAUAAGAUAAUUUAUUAACCAUCCUACAAUUAUAGAAUGAUAAUAUAUUCCAUUAAUUUUAGUAAGUAAGCCACUCUAACAACCAAACACUUAUAUCAAUUAAUGAAGAUUUUUUCAAAUAAAAAAAUUUCAUUAAUUGCCCAAAAUUCUCAGUUUGCAUACUUAAUCAUAAUGUAUGCAAUGGACUAGUCCAACUGAGAUACUAAACCUAGAUGUAUCUUGUAAGGUCCUAUAAGCAAUGUACAUUGCAUUUAAACUCAAGGUUGAUUAAAAUCAAACUCUAAUUACUAAAUCAAUUAUGCACAUAAGAUUCAACUUUAUAGUACAUAAAUAUCAAAGCCUAUAUAGGGAAAAUACCUACUAUCAUUAAACUCCUAGUAUGCUAAUGAUAUUUUAUCAAGAUCACAAAAUAAAAUAGCUAACAUUAUGUGUAUAACAUAUAGUAAUUACUGAGCAAUGCAUGAAUGUCAAACAACAAAUAUUUCAUGCAAUUUAAAAAUUUUAAAAAAUAAUAAAAAAUUAAAAAUAAAAUUUCAAGUAUGCCAAAAGAAACUAGAGCAAAAAUGGACACCAAACAAGCCCACACACAUCCAAGUGCCAUUUAAUGCACGUAGACUUCGUUUAGUGUGGGGAAUAGUAUUUUUUUAACCUCUAAUCAAGUUGACUUAACCCAACUGGAAUAGUUCUCAACUUGUUUGGAUUUGAUUGUAUUUUUUUAUCAUUUUUUAUGAACUUUCUUAGAAUUUUCAUAAAAUUAAAGUGCCCAAAAUUUAAUUAAACUAUUUUUCUAUCAAACCCAAGUUAAAAAAACAUAUAAAAACACCGAAAACAAGAUCAAUUGAUUAAUAAUUUUCUUGUUACAUAAACUCAUAUUUUACCCAUUUUUGUUUUCUUCGUAUUUUGCCAAUCUAAAAUGAAAUUUUAUGAAAUUAAAUGCUUUGGUUUAACUUUAUACACAUGAAAAACAUGAUUCAAGAAUCAAUUUUGAAUUAAACAUAUAAAAUGUUGAUAUUCUAGUCAAAACAGGAUUUAGAUUAAAAUUUAAACCUAAUUUUCAGACCUAAUUUCUCUUUCUAUGUAGGGAAUUAGAAAACAAUCUUUAUAUGGUUUUAAUGCUCUUGCAAAGAGGAACAAAAACUUAAAUCAAUUUUGAAAAAUAAAGAUAAAAAUUUAAAUUUAUGAAAACAACAUAAUUUUACCCCAAAUAAGCUAUUUGUUCAAAAAUCAAUUACAAAUCAUGAUUUUAGUGUCCUAAUGUCACAUAAUGAUAGCUUUGAUACCACUUGUAAACAUUAACCCAAGAUCAUUAUGUGAUAAUUAGAACUCCAUAAAUAAAUAAAAAAGAUUCAUCAUACUUAUUUGGGUGGUUAUAAUGAAUAUGGGGAAGCAAAACAAUCCCUAAAUUGGCUAGGUUUUCCUUUUCACUCUUUUCUUAUUGGCAGCAUUCAAUAAGCAGUAACCAUAACUCAUAAAAGUGAAAAAGGUAUCUUAACCUAUUUUAAUUGAAAACCUUUGAAGCUGUUAGAAUUUUUCAGUGAGUUACUAUUAAUUAGUGAUUUUAAUGUUUAAUAAAACAAGCUGAUAAAUUUAGUUUUAAUACAAGACAGGCAUGAAAGCCGAAAUAAUUUAAUGUGAUCACUUAAGUAUAAGCUUUGCACAACAUAUUGGGUUAGUGUAGUUUGCAAAUUAUGUAGGCCUUUACCCGAGUAAACCUUUGAUAAAAAGGUUUCUAAGGUUUUAAUAUAAAUUGGCUAAGGUCUCUUCUUCACUUCUGAGUAAUGAUAUCUACCCAAUGAGAGCCGCUAGAAAGAACAAUGCGAAGAUAAAGAAUUAGUCUCUUCAGGAAUUGGUGUUGCUUUUAUUUAUCAACUAUGACUACCCAAAUAAGUACUCAUUAUGAUUAAAUUUGUGUUCUAGUAUUCAUAUAUGGUUAUUGAGAGUUAGAAUUUCGCCUACAUGUGGUGUCAAAGCCUAAUUAUGUAAUAUUAUGACUCAAAAUUAUGGUUUUAAAUUUUAAUUUUUGCAUGAAAUUAAGUUUUGGGUGAAAUCUUAUUAUUGUCAUAAUCCAAUUUUUUGAUCUUGUUUUACCAAAAUUGAUUUGAGGCUUUUGUUCUCCUCUAUGAGGAUUAACACAUGUAUGGAAUGUUUCUUAAUUCAUCCUAUAAAGAGAGAGGAGAGAGAGAAAUUGAGUUUUUAAAAAUUUGAAUUUAAGAUUUAAACCAAAAUUCAAAAUUUAAUUAAAACCUUAAUAUUUUAUGGGUUUUAAUUCAAAUUGGUUCUUGAAUAUUAUUAUCCAUGUGCUAUAAAGAUGAAACAAAGUGUUUAAUUUCAUAAAAUUUUAGAUUAUAUGCCCAAACUUGAAGAAAACCAAAUUGGAUUAUGUAUAAGUUUUUUAAUCUAAAAAUUUUGGCUCAAAUUGAUGUUAAUUCAUGUUAUUUUGAUACAAUUUGAAGCAUGAGUUUUGUAAAUAUAUGUGUUAAUUAAAGUUUAGACCAUUUAAUUGCAUUAAAACUCAAGGAAAAUAUGUAAAUCGAAGAAAGAAAAUCAUGUAACAAAAACGGGUCAAGAAUGACUAUGAACAUGAAAUUUUAUUCUCAAAUUCAUGGUGAUUUUAUGUGUUUUUGAUGCAAUUGUGGCCUGGGCUUUGUAAAUCUAUGUGUUAAUUGCAUGUUUAAGGGUUUAAUUUACUCAACUAAUAAAAAAUAAAAUUUGGACCAAGAAUCUGAAUCAGGUGAAUUGUGCUUCUUAAUGGGUAAGUGUGACCCAAUUGGAGGUAGGUGAUAAUGAACAGUGUUAACUGAUAGAACAAUAUCAAAUUCAUGAACUAUACUGAGUAGUGUAGAUAUAAAGUCAGGUAAAUAAUGUCAAAUCAUAAAUGACCCAUUUGGACUAAUUUGACGUCUAUUUUUUGAAUGCCGUUUAUUCUGGUAUCUCAAAAUUGUUAUGUCUAAUUUAUUUAUUAUUUUAUGAAAUUUUUUAAAUGGCAUAAAAUCAUUAUUAUAUAAUAUCUUACAUGAUAAUAAUUAUUAUAUUUUGUGCACAUGAAUUCUUUAUUUAUUUUAUAAUAAAUAUUUUGAAUGGAGAAGUCUAUGGAGGUAUGUACUCUCCUCAUCCAUGUUUUAAAUUACGUACUCUUAGCUGAAAUUAUCGUGCGUAAUUGAAUAAAUUAAGUCAAAUUUAUUUUACUAAUUUUUGGACUUUUGUUUAAAUGUAACAUGGAUUGUUAAUGUAAUUUGGACUUAAACUCCAGGAGGUUUUGGUACCACUAGUAUUUUAUUGAAAUUAUUUUAUAAUUAGAUAAUAUUAAAUUAUUAUUUAUAUGAAAUAAUUUGAGUUUGAAAUUGUUGCUUUGAUUUAUUUUUUCCAUGACUAUAUUGACAAUUAUUUAUCAUUGUUAAUUUGAGAAAUUUUUAUUUUUUGGUACAUGGUACAUAAAAUUAAAAUAUUCAAUUGAAUUAUUAAAUUAUUCAUAAAAUUCAAAACACUCGGUUUGAAUGUAAUAAAUUACUUACUGAUCUAGUGAGGCAUAUUCGAUUUAAGUUUCUCACAAAAAAAAAUAUUAUACAUAUAAUAAUCCAUCGAGAUAUGCAUUAAUUAUUAGUGUCUCAUACAAGAAUGAUCAAUUUUUAAUGACCUAAAGAGAUAUAUUAUGGUUAAUUAUCUCGUAAAAAAUGGUCAAAUUGCAUACACUUAGUUAAGUAUGCAAAUUAAAAUUAUGGGUAAUCCAAAUUUCCUGAUAAAAAAAAUAUAAUAAGUUAAUGUGGGUGUUUGGCUACCAAAGUAGCAUACUCAUUGAGACUUGCAAGAUUUUCUCAUGUACAGGAAUAAAAGUAUUUUCAAAUUAUCUUAUACAAUUGUCUGCCCAAAGGGUGUUAUUGUGCUUGGUAAUUUUCAGUGGACAUGAAGCAUCAUAGUUAAGGAUAUGCUAGUCUAAAAGGUCUGCCUACCCAAAGGGAAAGGCUUUUCAAAAACUAAAACAUUUUCAUAUUGACUUCAUGUUAAAAAUGCCUAAUCGCAUAUCACAUUCUCUGUCCAAAGGGGAGAUUGUGAUGAUGCACUUGAACUUUUCAGUUUAAUUACCAAUAACACAUCAUGAGCUAGUACUAUUUGUAUAGAUUGUUGCUUAUAUAUAUAUAUAUUUUUUUUCUUGAAUACUAAAGUUGAUUUGGUGAUAAAAAUUAAGAAGCUGUAAUUAAAAGUUAUAAAAAGUGAUUCAGAGCUUAAUUAAGUCAUAGGUGUUUUCUUGGACAUAAUCGUUAAGUAUUGAACAUUUUAUUGAUUAUUGUCCCAUUGUUUUAAAAUGUUACAUUUUGUGAUGACAAAAGUGUUGUACCUAAGACAAUUUGUAAAUACUUUGAAUAUUGUUUAGUCAUAUGAAUCCAUGAAAAAUAAUUGUUAUAUGCAUGGUUAGCAAGUUUGGUAAAUUACUUUGUUUUAAUUUAUCAUAGUUUGAUAAAGUAAUUUUAUGAAAGAUCAUGCUUAUGUAAAAUGUAACAUGUGAAAUUAAAUUUUAUUAUUUUGAGAUCAUGUGUUAUGUGUGACAAAUAUGUUUAGCAUGCUUACAAUGUUUUAGUUUUAUAUAUCAUAUAAUUAUAAUUUGGAAUAUCAGGCAUUAAGUUUAAAGCCUAAUAAAGUGGAUAAUGUGAUAUACAUUUAAGAAACUCAUAUUUUUCAUAGACAUAUGAAACAUGUUAUUGGUUAUAAUGAUUUAUGAAAAAUAUUUAAAUUUUAUGUUAGUUUGCUGAAACAGUGAGAGAGUAUUGUUGUUAAAGUUAUGCAAUAAUGUUAUGAGAAAUAACAUGUGUUCAAUAAUUGCAUAGUGAAUUUGUUUCACAUAAAUUGUUAGACUUGCUUUUAGAAUCUUUUGCUUUUUCAAAAUACUUACUAAACCAAGUAUGUUUUCAUAAGAUAUUAGUUGUCUUAUAAUAAUAAUAUUAUAAUAUGUUGAAAAAGUAGCAAGUAAAAAUUUAUUUUUUAGUAAGCAUUUAGAGCAUGUCUUUGGAUAUGAUGAAAUUUGAUAAAUAUUACCAUAAAGAUCUUAAGUAAUAAAAAUAAAUGAGUUGUGAAAGAAAAUGGACAAGAGUAAAAAUUUUAGUCUAUAAAAGUAGGUAAAAUUAGUUUUGCAAAUUUCAAAAUAUUAAAAGUUUAAACUAAAAUGUGCUAUUAUUAAAGCUUGCUAGGUUAAUUAGCUUAAAUGUUUUUGUCAUAACUCAUAUUUAGUAAAAGUUUAAACUAAAAUGUGCUAUUAUUAAGGCUUGCUAGAUUAAUUAGCUUUAAUGUUUUUGUCACAACUCAUAUUUAGUAAUAUUGAAAAUAUUAUAUUACAUGAACAUGAGAUUGGUUUAUAUUAUAAUCUUUGUUUGUAUAUGAUUAUCUAAAAAAAUAUACAAUGUUGACAUUCAUCAUAUACGGUUAUGUUGAGAUUUAUAAUAUGACGAUUGUGUAAUUUGUUGAAUCUCAUGCAAAUAUAAAGUAUCAACAUGAGUAGAUAUUCUUUUUGGCCUGUUAAUUUUUAAUUUUGAAAUUUCUUAUAGUCAUAUUUGAAAGAUUGAAAUGCCAUAAUAAAGUUUUAUUAAUUGUUCAAAUAAUUUACUUGGUAAUAUGGUAUGCUAAGUAUUUAUAUUGAUUGAAAAGCAUGACUUAUGGAACAUGAUUUGCAAAUUUUUUUAAGGUGCGUAAAAUGAUAAUGGACAUUCUAAGUUUUAACAUUUAGUGAUUCGUAGAGGUACAUUUAGAUUAGUAUUUCACUUGGAGUGAUCAUAUGUAUAAAUAAACAUAAAAAAAUCAAUAGACCUAUAAUGAUUAUAAAAUUUUUUAUGUUGUUAUGGUAUUAUCUUUAAAUUAUUACAUGUAAUUGUGUGCCUAAAAAGGGUGAUUAUAUGUUUUUAAUUUAGAGAUAAUUAUGAAAUAUUUUAUGAAGUGAAAAUAUAUAUAGACCUAGGGAAUUUAUCUACCUAAAGAAGAUAUAUUUUUGAAAAUCUUUAUAUUUUUCAUUAUUUUAAAGUGUAAUCACACAAAAGAUAUAAUAUUUUCUUUAAAAGAAUGUCCAACAUUAAAUUUACGAUGUGGCACAUUUAUUGUUUUGAUAAGACUAGUAAAGAUAUUAACCAAUUAAAGUCUUAUCUAUUUAGAUUGUUGAUUGCCUUUGUACUCAAAUUUAAUAUGCUAGAAAAAAUAUCAUUAUAAGUUAAUGUCUACCAUAAGUGAUAAGUUUUUUAAUGUUUUGUACAACAUAGUAUAUGUGUAAAUUGUUAGUCACUUUAAUUUAUCACAUCUAAGGAAAUACAUUUGUUGUAUAGUAUCUUAUGAUAGUCAAGAGAAUUAGCUUUCACACAAAAAAAUUUUAGACUUAUUAUGAUGUCCCAAUUUGACUUAAGUAAAAUUGAGAGUUUUUAAAAAUAAUUUCAUUUGAUAAAUAUUUAUUUUGGUUAUUUAACUUUCAAUUAAGAUAAUGAUUUGAUUAUCUUAGUUACCUUUAUCAAAUAUAGUAGUUAUCAAUUUUAAAGGACAUAUUGUUGUUAUUUGUUUACAAUGUGUUUUAAAAAAAAUUUAAUAUUUUCUUUUAAAAAAACUCACAUGAAGGGUAGAAUAUUGUUGUAUACGUAUCACAUGUGUGAGAGUUUUGAGGAAUGAAGUUUUGUAAAAAUAAAUAAAACUAUUUGUUUUGUUUUACUAGUUCAAUUCUUUUCUUAUUAAUCUUUCUCAAAUUUUGUUGAUUUACUUUUUGAGAGAGAACAUGAUUUUAUAAUUUUCUCUCAUUUCACUUCACUUGUUUUAAAUUUUAUAUGAAGUAAUUUUGAGAAUUAUUUCAAAAAAUGAUAAUAUAAAGUUAUUAUUAUUAUUAUUAUUAUUAUUAUUAUUAUUUUAUUAAUGUCAAACUUAUUCUUUUAAAGGAAGUGAAAAUCAUUGGGAGUUCUUCUACAUAUGUUUUUAAAUAUUAAGAACUCAUAAAUGUUAUAAAAGUUAUUGUUUUGGGGAUAUCAUAUAUGUUAAGAUCUGUGAGAGUUAAUAGGCUAUUGGUAUAGGUAUGUUAUAAAAGUUAUUGUUUUGGGGAUAUCAUAUAUGUUAAGGUCUGUGAGAGUUAAUAGGCUAUUGGUAUAGGUAUGUUUAAGACAUAAAGAAUUGAUAAUUUAAUGAAUUUUCAAAAUUUUCAAGAAUGAUCUCAUGUUAAAACAUUAAGAAUUUUGUGUUGCAUUGACAUAUGAAUAUAAAGAUUUAUUCAUAAUAUGUUAGCAAUUUGCAAGUGAUUUAUUAAAGUGAUAACAUGAAAAUCCAAAAACGAUAAUAGUUAUCACAUUUGGCAUUAAGGUAAAUAAUAUGUAAUUUUAUUAUGACUUCAUUUAUUGAAAUGCUCUUUAUUUAUUAUUCAAAGUUUGAUUGGAGCAAGUUUGUGAUUCGUUAGAUUAGUGUGAGUCAUUGUGAUUUGAUUAUAUGAUGGCAUGUUUUCUCUAUGUGAGGAUUAUGGGUGUUAUGAAACUCAUGAUAUGGAUAUCUACAUGUAUAGAAAAUAAAACCUAUUAAGGUAUUGAAUUUAGUAUGACAAUGAUGCAUUGUAAAUUUGUUUUUGAAACUAUUAUCAUUUUGGGUUUCUUUACAUUGUUAAAUGUUUUGCAUAUGAUUACUAAUUACUUAUAAGAUAUAAUUUGAGAUGAAUAAGUCUAUGACGUACCAUCAAAUUAAAUGGACACAAUUGUUUUAUAUAUACAUCAUAAUUAUAAUUUAUACAUAUAUUUAUUAUUACAUGUGCACAUCUUAUAUUGAAAUGUCAUAUUAUAAAAUCUUAAGACUGGAUAUCUAUUUUAAGUAUAAUUUUAAUAUCAUUUAAGUAUGUCUCAUAAAUGAUACCAAUAAAUAAUCUUGAGGAUAAAAAAGAGACAUAUAAUUAUAUUUGAAUGUCAUGAAGAUUUUUCAAUAAAUUUAAAAAAAUCAAUAAAAAGACUAAUAAUGAAAAUAAUACCUAAAUAUUAUUUUUUGCUACACGUCACACUAAAAUCUAUUUUAUAUAUAAUCUUUGACACUUAUAAUUAUGAAUUGAUCUUAUGUCAAUAAAUGAUUACAUAAAGAGCAAUGAUGGUAGAAAGAUUAUUUUUUGGAUAAAAAUUUAGAUGUUGAAGCGGUUCUUAUAAGAGACGAUCCUCUAUAGUUUACCAUUCCAAACAGCAGAGCAGAUCUCCCGCAUCACUCUCUGCCUCUUCCAUUCCACGUCCGACCAUUAUUUUGGUUAUAUAUCGGAACUGUUUUACCCGAAGUUGAGGUUGAACCAACGGCAGGUGAACAGCGCGUGUCAUUUACCGUACAACCAAAACGCAGCGUUUGGCUCUACUCUCCAAAACCCACACAAGCAUGUCAGGCAAGGCAGGCAAAGAUAGAAGUCCAACAUUUUUCUCCUGCAUUUUCCCGCAGUAGAAAGUGAAGCAAUUUUUUUGGUUAGUUUGAUGAUUGAAAGGAAAAUGAAUUCUUAUAUCUGUAAACCAAUUCCUUUCGUCCAAGCUCCAACAAUUUUUUUCAACUCAUCUAAAACUCUUCUCAUUAAAUUCCCCUAUUCUUUUUCUUUCCAUAAACCCUGUAAAAACGCUUUCAAACCUAAAUUAAGCUUUAUUAAACGCAAAAACCCCACUAUUACUGCGUCCAGUGAUUCCACUUCCAGUUCGAGUUCCGACUCAGUUGUCGCUUCCACCAUUGUCGAGGAAGAAGAUGCCGACUCCACUCAGUUAUUCGAAGUUUCUUUAUUUUUUUUUUACUGAUGAUAUAGCCCUUUUGAUCAAUGAGAAAAUAAUGUUGGGUGCGGAAAGUUGAAAUGGAAAACUUAGAAAUCUGAUUGCUUGUUGCUUUUGGUUUUUGGACGCAAAGAGCAGAUAAUAUAAUUUUGAAUGAUUAGAAGCUAAAAAUUUUAACUUUUGUGAAUGAAAAUAGGCGUCAUUUUACUUUCAUAUGGAACAAUUAUGUCUAACGGUGUGUUACUUUUCUAACUGUUUGCUCAUUUUUUUCAUCAAAUAUGAUUUUAGUUCAUACUGUUUUCUUUCAGCUGUAUUUAAUGAAGUAACAAGCAAGCAGCUAAAGUAACAACAAAUGAUAUUGCAUUUUGGCAAUGUUUUUUGAAGUAAAAAGCCAGUUGCAAGAGCAACAGCGUAAUGAUACCUUAUAUAUAGCCACACAGGUCUAAUGGUAUUUGAUGCCAAGUAGAGAAUCUGAAUAUGUUGUGUGGCUUCUUAUGGAUUAUGAAAUGCUUAACAGAUUUCGUAUAUGUGGAAUAAUUCAUCUAUUUGUGCAGUUUUUAAUUAUUAAAAUGGAUAUAUAUCAAGUUUCUUCCUUUGUUGUCAUAGAUACUUUUGUAGAUUUAAUCUAUGAAUAGUCAGUAUUACAUCUUAUGAGCUCUAUGUUUUUCCAUAAAUGGGCAAAUUGUUAUUUUCCUAACUAUAUAGGAAUCAUUUUCUUUGAAAGCAUAUAAAAGAAUUCCUAAGUUCUUUAAUGAUACACUGGAACAGUGAAACUGGUGUUUCAGAGUUAGUUUUACUCCUCUACUGCUGAUUGCUGAUAUGGGUACUUUUCUUGUUGCUUGCUUCUUUUACUUCAUCAAACUUAGCUGAAAGAAAUAACCUCUACAUUCAUUGGCGACCACAGAUUAAAUAGCUCAGGGAGAAUAACCUCUACAUCAUCUGGUAUCUGAACUUUGUGAGCAUAAUCACUCUUAUCUUGUAGAAUUUUAUUCCUACAAAAGUGUAGUUAAAACUUCCUUGAAUCAAACUUUAAGAUGUUGGCAUUUUUCCCUCCAGAAUUUGCACUUUAAGGAGUCAGGAUCAUGGACUCUAGAUUUACAUUGUCCUUAUUAUCUUUUAGAAUGCCUACUGGUUUUCUAAUGAUUGAAUAUCCUGUGGGUUUUCCUUUCCUUUUAAGUUUUGUUAAUUGCAAUAAUAUUCCAGAAAUUAAAGGAUGCAGAGAGACAAAGAAUAAAUAAACUGGAAGAGCUUGAAAGGAAGGCUGACUUACAGUUAGAGAGACAGCUUGUCAUGGCUUCCAGUUGGAGCAGAGCACUCUUGACCAUGCGUGGAAAGUUGAAGGGGACAGAGUGGGAUCCUGAGAAUUCACACAGAAUUGACUUUAGUGACUUUAUAGGACUUUUUAACUCGAACAAUGUUCAAUUUAUGGAGUUUUUGAAUUAUGGUCGGACAAUUUCAGGUAAGAAAGUUUUUCUAAACUUGUUUUAUCUCACAUUAAAUCUUUGGCUCUUUGCUCGCCACUUAAUCUGUGGUCGUUGUUUGUCUGUUUGCAGCUUCUUUUAUUAUGGAUUUUGGUUUGCACUUCACAAUAAAAUGCAGUCAUAGUUAUGGGACCAAAUUUAUAAGGUUAUUAUCUUUGAGCUAUUUGAUAAUGUAGAGGUUGUUUCAUAAUGCAUUGUUUUACUUGUAACUGCUAUAACUAUUGACUAUGAAUGGUCUUACUUAGGUUUUCUUAGAUGCAAACAUGUAUGAAGGGCUAAUUGUUGUCCAUUUCCACUAAAAUAGGAGGCUAAGAUUACUAUAUCUAUCUAUAUUGAUAUUAUUUGUUAUUUUAUAACUGGUUUUGGAAUCAAGUGUUAAGCUUUUGCUAUUCACAUAUUGUGAAGGGUUUCUGUGACACCUUUUUAAGAGGCUAUUUGGUGUGAUUGCAUAUACAUGACAUCAUACAUGCUAAUAAAGGAUUGGAUAGAGCGUUAUGUUCGGAUUUCAUACAUACGUUGCUGUAUGAAUUGGAUUCCUCCAGUUCUUUUUUAAAACAGUACUGGUGGACUUAGAUGGUGGAUUAUAUUACAGAAGGGUAGUGUAGCACAAUGAUUUUAUGUUGUUCUUUACCAGGUUACUGUUGUUUUUCAUUUCUUCAAACAUCAGUAAAUUAGGAUGUGAAGAACAGGUGCAUUUGUCCUAAAACCAAAUGAACUUGAGUAACAGCCAUUCAGCUCUAGGGAUUUUAAAAGAACCUGGAUAUCAUUUGUUUAUUUGUGAACCAAUGAUUGUUAAAGAAAAACAGGAAAAUAGCAUCGGAAUAGGAAUAACUUUGUUUGCAAUAGGACAAGUGGUCCGGUUUUGUCCAAGUAGGACUCGGGUAAUACUGUUUUUAUCUGUGUUAUACGAGCCUCACAUAACUUUUCAAUUUUGCUGACUCUUAGGACUGAUAUUAGGUUCUGGAAGUCUAGAAUGCUCAUUGAAUAAUGGGACGAAGGGAUCUAAAUUCAAUACUGAAAUGUUUGUACCUUGAUCUUGAACAUAUGAUACUGGAAGUAGGUUCACUAAAAUUGUCCUAAGUUAUGCUGAGGACAUUGAUAAUUUCAGUUGGCUAUUGUUAUGCUUUUUUCCUAUUUUUUCAUCCCUAAUGAUGUUCUUUUGCUUGCCUUUUGUUCCAUAAUAUUGUAUCCUAAGUGCUGUGAAGUCUUCGUUUUUACUUGAAGUACCCAUGUCAGGGUUCUAACUUUACUGCCUUUAACCAGGGCAAAAUUUAUAUCAGCAGAGGAAUGAACUUAUGGUACUUUUUGAUGAUUUUGUUGGUCAAAAUAUAUAAGAGGAACUUAUAAGAGAAUUGUACAAAUUUUUAAAAAUGAUGAAGAGUUCCAAAUAAAGGUAUCUUUUGCCCAAAUCAGGUUUUUUUGCUCCAUGGGCCUCCUGGGACUGGUAAAACACUACUGGCCAAAGCCUAUUGUUGGUGAAGCAGGACUACCAUUUCUUUGGCAGCAAAUGGCACUGAUCUGUAGAGGUGAGAGCUGGUUUCUUUACAAAAUUUCAUUGCUUUUAAUUUAUCAGAGUUAUCUUUGGAUUUUUCAGAUGCUUUAUUUUUAGGCUUUGUCCUAAAACAUCUUUAGGAAAAUAUGCCUUAAAUCAAUUGAAAUGAGGAGAAAUUUUAAAUGGCCUCUUUUUCCUCUUAAACUGUUACUCUUUCUUUUUCAGCUUAUUUAUUUCUUUAUACCUGGGUUGCUGUUUAAUCUUGUUGCUUUAUGUAUUUCAAAGGAUUCAUGGGUAGGAAAAUUUUGAAUAUGGUCUAUCAUUUAGCUUAUCAAUGGUUGUUCUCGACUGAAUCCAUGCCUUAAUUUUGUCAGUCCGAAUACCGUUCCUUGGUAUUGGUAUGUAAUGGAAAUUAGGUUUUAUAUGAUGUUGUAUUUGUAAUUUCAAGGCUUAUUUUGCCUUGAGUGUUUAUGUUUUGAGCUAUUAAAGGUACAGUUUAAAUGGUAGAAUGCUUAUUGAUUUAUGACUACCAGUUUAUUAUUUUUGAUGAUGCAAUUAUCAUGCAUCACUUUUGUGGGAAAACACUUAUUUAUAGCUGGUUGUAAUCUUGUAAUCUGUAUAUUUAGAUUUGUAUCUCUUGAAUUAAGCAUUUGUAUUAAGGACAGAAAAUUAGGAUAGACAAUCUCUUAAUUAUAUGAUUAGUUUUAAGAAGAUUUAGUUUCCUAGUUUACCCACUAGUUAGUUGUAUAUAAACCUAAGGUGAUUGUAUAAUUCUUUAUGAGUAAUUUUUUGAUAAACAUUCAGUUUUACUCUUAGUUUUUCACAUAGUUUUAUUUCUUAGCUUUUUCACAUGGUAUUAGAGCUCUAGGCUCUUCUUGGGAAGAAAAUUCUUUCGACUUUCAUUGCUAAAUUCUAUUUCGGACCUUCAUAGCUAAAUCUUAUUAAAUUUUUCAGUCUUAUUUUUCCUUCUUUGGCCUUUAUUGUCUAAAAUCAUCUCUGGUUAAACCUUUAUCAUCAAGACUCGUUUCAAUCCUGAGAAAGAUAACUAUUGGCUAUAUAUAGCAAAAUCUGUUACUACUACCCCGAUUUGAAGAGGGACAGCUAGUAAAACCACCAGAGUAUUAAUAGAAGUCUUGAGAAUAAAAGAGUGGACAUAGAAGAGGAUUGGAAAAACUAAAAGGCCUAUUGAAACUCUUGAAAAGCCUAUUGGGUAUGUUCUUUGGUAAGGUUUCUAGUUCAAGUAAAGCCUUCUAGUCUCAUGGAUUUAAUUUCUUAGUUAAAGCUUAUUAUGAGUUCUUAGGUCAUUGAACUUAGGAAGCCAAAGACAAUAUGACACAUUCCUCACAAAAAUUUAGUACAUAUACCUUGUGUUCUGGUAAUAAGAAAAUUGUUGUUGUAGAUGGUUCACUUACUAUAGUGGCAAGAUUAGGAGAUGUUCAAAUUAAUCCCUCAUUUGUUCUUAAAAAUGUUCUUCAUAUUCUUGGAUUGUCUACUAAUCUGAUAUCUACACAAACUUAGUUGAGACAUGAACUGCAAAGUGACUUUUUAUCCUUUCCAUUGUGAAUUUCAAGACCAGAGUUCGAGGAAGAGGAUUGGACUUGCUAAGGAAAAAGAUGGACUGUACUAUCUUGAAACAUCAAACAACACAAGUAAUAUCAAUGAUAGUUUUUCUUUGUCAUUUCUUUCAGAAAAAUCACCUAAUAUAGACAAAAUCUGGUUUUAUCAUUUUUGUCUUGGACAUCCGUCUUUUAGAAUUUUGAAAGACAUGUUUCCUUCUUUGUUCAAAGGAUUAAAUGCCAAAAUUUUUCAUUGUGAUGUUUGUGAACUUGCAAAGCAUAGAUGUGUUUCUUUUCCAGUUAGCAAUAAAAGAAGUUCUACUCCUUUUUACUUAAUUCACAGUGACAUAUGGGGUCCCUCUACAAUUCCUAAUAUUUCUGGUGCAAAGUGGUUUGUUUCUUUCAUAAAUGAUUGUACUAGGGUCCUUUGGAUAUUUUUAUUUAAAUCCAAAUCAGAUGUGAAUAGUGUGUUUUUAAGCUUUCCAAAAACAUGAUCCAAAAAUCAAUUUGAGUGAAAAUCAAAGCAUUUAGUUUGAUAAUGCCAAGAGACUAUUUCAACCAAAAAUUUAUCUUACUUAGCUCCAAAAGGAAGGGAUUAUCAUAGUCAUCUUGUGUUAAUACUGCAUAACAAGAAUGGAGGGGUAGGAGAGGAAGAACCGCCAUGUACUAGCCACAACGUCGAGCUUACUGUUUUUCAAGCAAAUGUACCCGAAUCCUACUAGGGGGAAGCUGUUCUCACUGCCACACACAUUAUAAAUAGGUUACUUUCAAAAGUUUUGGGAUUUAAAACUCUUAUGGAAUAACUCUUACAAAUCUAUCCCAACUUUAAUACCACAAACAACCUCACACUUAGAAAAUUUGGUAAUACAUCAUUUGUUUAUGCUCAUAGUCAUGACAGGGGGAAGCUGGAUCCUAGAGAAACUAAGUGCAUUUUUGUGGGAUAUUCAUCAACUCAGAAACUGUAUAAGUACUAUCAUCCUCUUACAAAAAAAUUGUGUCUACAAAUGUCACUUUUGAAGAAAGUAAACCAUUUUUAACUUAACCUUAUCUUCAGGAGGAGACUUCAUUCAUGGAAGAUAAUGAUAAAGACUUUUUUUUGCUUGACUUGUCCUCCUUAUCAACAUUUUCACCUAUUAAUGCUUUUGAGUCUAAACCUGUUUCUUUGGAGUUCAAGUCAAACAUUGAAUUUGAGUCUGAAUCCAUUCUAAACACAAAAAAUGUGACAACAUAAUAUUGUUCUUGAUUCUAUGAAGGAAUUAUAGGUGUAUUCAGGAAGGAAAGUUCCAAAUCCUGAACCAAUGCAAAUCCAAGAACCUGAUCUUAACUUUGAAAAUGAGGUAACUACAGUCUUUGACUCUAUUUCUCAAAAUGAGUAUAAAUCUCCUAAAAUUAUAACUAGUGAUUAUGAUCUACCUAUUGCCAUUAGGAAAGGAAUCAGAGAACGUACUAAGCAUCCAUUAUACCCAAUCUCUAAUUUUGUGUCAUUUGAAAAAUUUUCUCCAUCCCACAAAAAGUUCCUUUGUGAGCCUAAACACUAUUUUUAUUCCAACUACAUUAUCCUAGGCAUUAUCUAGUGAGAAAUGGAGGCAAGCCAUGAAGAUAGAAAUGGAGGCCUUAGAGAAAAAUAAGACAUGGGAACUGGUAGAGUUGCCUAAAGAAAAAAAAUCCAAUUGGGUGUAAAUGGGUUUUCAUUGUAAAAUACAAGGCAGAUGAUACUGUUGAAAGGUAUUAAGCCAGGUUGGUAGCUUCAAACUUAUGGAAUGGAUUAUCAAGAAACUUUUGCUCUAGUUGCCAAAAUAAAUACAGCUAGGAUUUUGUUACAUUGGCUAUAAAUUACAAUUGGCAGCUUUAACAAUUUGAUGUAAAGAAUGCUUUUCUUCAUGGUCAUUUGGAGGAAGAAAUAUAUAUGAAGGUUCCACCAGGAUUUGGAGGUCAUCUAGAAGCAAACAAAGUAUGCAAGCUGAAAAAGGCUUUAUAUUGCCUUAAAUAGUCUCCUGGGGCUUAGUUCAAGAGAUUUGCUAAAGUGAUGCUAACAAUGAGAUAUAAGCAGAGUCAAGGGGAUCACACAUUGUUUAUCAAGCAUUUUGAUUCAGGGAGAGUCACAGUUCUAUUAAUGUAUGUUGAUGAUAUAAUUGUAAUUGGAGAUGACGAAAAAAAAAGAGAAUCUCUACAAUAGUGUUUGGCUAGAGAAUUUGAGAUAAAAGAGCUAGAGAGAUUGAAGUAAUUCCUAGGAAUUUAUGUAGCUUACUCAUGGCAUGGUAUUUUUAUCUCACAAUAGAAAUAUGUGAUGGAUUUUUUGAAGGAAACUAGGAAGCUCACAUGUAAACUUGCCAAACCCCCUACAGAUCCUAAUCAUAAACUUAAAAAAGCCAAUGAAGAUGCUACUGUAGAUAGAGAGAUGUACCGGAGAUUAGUUGGAAGACUCAUUUAUCUCUUACAUGCUAGACUUGAUAUAGCAUAUGCUGUGAGUGUGAUAAGUCAAUUUAUGCAUAGUCCUAAAGAAGUGCACCUACAAGCUAUCUACUGUGUAUUGCACUAUUUGAAGGCCAAUCUUGAGAGAGGUAUCUUAUUCAAAAGAAAUUUGGGGCUGGUUCUAGAGGCCUAUACAUAUGCGAAUUAUGCAGGUUCAAUAACGAAUAGAAGAUCCAUCUUAGGACUCAGGCUACUACACUUUCCUAGGUGGUAAUCUUGUGACUUGGAGAAGUAAAAACAGAAUGUGGUGGCAAGAUCAAGUGCUGAAGUAAAGUUCAGAGCAAUGGCUCAAGGAAUUUGUGAACUACUAUGGUUAAAGAUUAUCCUAGAAGACUUGAAGAUCAAGUGAAUUGGACCAAUGAGACUUUAUUGUGAUAACAAAUCUGCAAUAAGCAUUGCACAUAAUCUUGUGCAACAUGACAGAACAAAACACAUUGAAGUAGACUGACAUUUUAUGAAGGAGGAACUAGAUAGUGGAUUGAUUUGUACGCCUUAUGUAUCAACUAAGGGUCAACUUAUAGAUAUUUUGACUAAAGGUUUCAUUAGUGCAACAUUUCAAGAAAUUAUUUCCAAGCUGGGAAUAGAAAUUAUUUCCAAGCUGGGAAUGGAAAACACCUAUUCAUCAGCUUGAUGGGGAGUGUAGGAAAACACUUGUUUAUAGCUGGUCGUAAUUUUUUAAUCUGUAUAUUUAUAUUUGUAUCUUUAGAAUUAAGUAUUUGUAUCCCUAGAAUUAAUGAUAGAAAAUUAGGAUAGAUAAUCCCUUAAUUAUAAGAUUAGUUUUAAGAUGAUUUAGUUUGCUAGUUUACCUACUAGUUAGUUGUGUAUAAACCUAAGGUGCUUGUAUAAUUCUUUGUGGGCAGUUUUUCAAUAUAUAUUCAGUUUUAUUCUUAGUUUUUCACACAGUUUUAUUUCUUAAUUUUUCCAUAACUUUUGAUGAUUGCAUGAUUGAUUCUUUUGACCAUUGUACAGCCUACCGUCAAUCCACUAGAUGAAUAUGGAGCCCUAAUUUAUGCUGGGGGAUGGGGAAUCCAUGAGAUCAAACUUCCAGGGAGGGUUACAUUUGCACCUGGAAAUGCUGGUUUUUCAACUUUUGGUGCACCACAUCCCAUAGAGGCAAGUGGGCCAGACUUUAUUUGAUCAUGUUUUUCAUUUAUGACAAUACAGCUGAGUUUUUAAAAAACUUUUUCAUUUUAUUUCUACAGACUCAAAUGAUUAGUGAUGAAACUUGGAAACUAAUAGAUAAUAUUUGGGAUAAGAGGGUUGAAGAAAUAAAAGCUGAAGCUUCAGGAGGUUGAAGUAGACAAGGAGAAGCCACAACUUUUGAUGGCCAGUCAUUUGCUUUGAAAUCAUGGUAAUGUUUUAUUCUUAGUCCGUGAGAAAUAUUUCAAUUUGAGGUGUUCCUUUUCUUCUCUAUGUCUCUCUCUAUUUAAUUUCUUUUGUGGUACAAAUGGAGGUAUUCUAUGUUGUAAAGCAUUCUUAUAUGUUAAGCUUAACUGUAUAUCUUUAUUUAUGAAACUGUUUUGCACAAUCACUAGGGGCUUUAUACUUGUGGUCUAGAGAGUUGACAUUUCUGCAUAAUUUAUACAUGAUGGCAACUUUGCUUCACUGCAAACUCCAGGACUACAUACGGUUAGUUAAUACUCCUUGUCAAUUGAGCCAUCCUCUUUUUUGCAAGUGCUAGAUGCCAAUGGGUCUGAGGUCAGUUGUAUGCUUUAAUUUGAAGAGCAAUAUACAUCAUUGCAAUCUAAGACAAACCCUUCAAGGCAUUCAAAAAUUGAGUUAUGUAGCUAGCUGUAGAAUUUAAAUGAAUUUUGUCAGUGAUCCAAAGGGAAAAUUUCGGGGAGGCUAUUUUCAUUUGUAGAUUAAUCCAUGUAUUGUUCAUAUAUAGCAUUCCUUUUAGUUACAAAAAUAUGUAAUAAUUAUAAGUUAAAAGUUUACUGGUAUUACCAUUUAAAUCCUGUCCAUGAAAAAUCAUUUUGAUUUGUUUGUCUUUGUUUUUGCUAGUCAAAGCAAGGCCAUUAUUAGACACGUCUUGACCAGAUUGGAUUACGUAUCAACCAAUUUGUCAGGCACUGCAAGAGAUUUCAGGUAAUUGGAAAGUCUGCUAACAUGAGAGCUUUGAGCUAGUUUAAUUUUCUGCGUUUGCUUUGUGAGAAUAUUCCAUUGAAGUGAGGAAAAAUAGAUAAAUUUUAUUAUGAACUCGAAUCAUUUCUUGAUAGUAUGGUUAGACUCUAAAAGUGAGGAGGUCAAGAUCUAAAUCUUCAUGAAACCUCCGUCGAGAUGGAAACUUGGGAAGGAGAGCAGCGAUUCGUUUGGCACUUUCCAAAUAUGAUGCAUACUUAAUGAUGAUAGAAGUAUCAUUCUUUUCUGCAUCAAUUUUGUCUCGGUCCAUGCUGAUUGCCUGAAAGGCACUAGCCAAAGGCAAGACAUGGAUACCAUGACCAUUCUCCUUUCCUACCAGGUCCUUAAGCGCCUUCUUCUUGAAAGUCCAGCUGCCAGUUCUCAGGUUGAAAUGGUAUAGGGGAAGAAAUCGUUGGCCAUAUAUGGCUACGAACUCCAUUGCCGCAAGAAUGUAUUCAAACUCCUCAUUUGACAUGUAGUAAGGAAAGCUGACUCUUGUCCAUCCAGGUUUUACUCCUGUGUAGCCCUGCAAUCAAACUUUGCAAUUGGCAUUAGAUAAGUUGAAUUAUAUUUUAUCUUUCUUUCAUUUGGUCCCAAAAAAAAGGAAAAUUUUGUACUGAUACCCUGUUAAUAGCUUCUCUUAAGGCAAGGGAUCGAGUCUGAUCAAUAUCAAGUAAACUGUGGCCAUAAGGUCCAGCACAAGCACAUCCACCCCGAGCUUGGAUGCCAAACAGAUCAUUUAGGAGGGUUGCAACAAAAGGGCCAUGGAGAGGUUUAUCCCUCUUGUUCCCAGUCUCUCCCCACAUGAAAAGUCCCCUCCCCUUUUCCUCUGCCUGGUCAACAUUAUUACCAUCGUUGGUUGUGGAGUAGACGAGGAAAGACAGUAUGGCUUGUCUUUGGGUCUCGGUGCUUGCAUUUCCUAAAACCCAUAUGUUUUGGUUUGGGAGAAGCCUCUCCAAUGCUUGAUUUAUGUACGACUUCUCCUGCUUUGCAAUCACUUCAUAACCAAUAUAUUCUUUUACCCAAAAAGCCAAUGCUGCUCUAAUAAUCUGAAUUAUUUGAGGAGUCCCUCCAUUUUCCCUUUCUUCUAUGUCACCUGCAUAUAAUGUGUCCUGCAAAAUAAAAUUCCCAUUUUACCACAUAUUAAAUUGCAUACCUGCGUCUCUAAAUGCAAGGGAAUGAGCCUGACCGAUAUCAGGAUAACUUAUCAUUCUCUGGAGUAUGGUUCCAUUUACCCUGUUGUGCAGUUAAUGCCUGUAUUCCUUACCAAACACGUGUAAUAACAAGUAUAUGUCUACUAAGAAAUUUGGUCGGAAAUCGCUCUUCUUCUAAAAUUGUAAUUAAAAUAAAUAUUUUUUAAAGACUCACUAGUGGAGAUUUAAACCAGCUUAAUCUGAAUCAGGAAUUUAUUUCUAGACUCCAAGAAGCCCAACAGCUACCUACCAAAUCAUUCUUUAUGUCUUCAGUUGAAGAAGGAAACCAAAUUUCUUACAAAAUGGGAGAUAUAACCAAGAACAAAAAAAAAAAAAUGAUAAAGCAUAGACAAUUUUCCAUUUUAUAGUAGAGAAGUUAACAAAAAAUAAAAUCUUUCAUCUAUUAAAUUGAAUUAAUCUGAACACAUAAAUAUAAUAAAAAUCUCUUCAUUUAUUAUCAAUUAAUUUUAAAUUAAAUGGAUUAAUUUAAAAUUAAAUAUCCAUUCUAAAAUUUUACAUUGAAAAUAAAUUCGAGAGUAAUUACCUGUUCAUUGAAACCAUUGACAUAAUUAACAGUUCCACCUCCACAAGUUGAUGGAGGAGAAGAUCCUAACUGAUAGAGAGCGUUGCUCAUUAGAAGGAUGCCGGGUGAUCCAGGGCCACCUAAAAACUUAUGUGGACUAAGGAAAAUAGCAUCAUAUCCAUCAAUCUCCCCUGACCUCAUAUCAAUCUCCACAUAUGGACCACUAUCCACGGAAACAAAAUGAUAAGCACAAUAAAAAAUGAAACUUCUCAUGGUUUUAACAUUAACACAAUAUAGAAACUUGGUUAAUAGUUGCGUCAUCUAAAAUUAAAAUAUUAAAAUUUUAAUUUUAAUGAUUAGAAUUUAAAUUCUGCCAAUCUCAAAUUUAAAAAUUUGGCAACAAUAAAAGCAAAUUCUUAUUGUGUACCUUGCUGCAAAAUCAAAGCAAACAAAACCUCCAUACUCGUGAAGAAGUUUGGCAAUCUCUCGAGUAUCUGGUUGAAUCCCAGUCACAUUACUACAAGCUGAAAAUGAACCAAGCAAAGGCCUAUUGGCGUGUUUAUACAACUCAAGCUGUUGUCUUAGUGCAUCAAUGUCCAUCAACCCAUUCUCAUCUAAACCAAUCUCCACAACUUCAGCAAGGCUUUGACGCCAAGAAAGCAAGUUGGAAUGGUGCUCGUAGGGGCCAAUAAAAACUACCCAUCUACUCUCAUUGAUUAAGCAAUUUAUUACCCCGUCCCUCAAAAUUGAUGGUACCGUAAUCCCCAUAACUUCUUGUAGCCUUUUAAUAGCAGCCGUAGUGCCUGAGCCACAAAACAGAAUUGCAUCAUCUUGGCCACCACCUAGACAUCUUUUAAUGUAGUUUGAUGCUUCAUGCACCAUUUUCGUCGUUCUGUACCCCACAAAACUGUCACACGUGUGAGUGUUCCCUACGCAAGAACGAAGCAAGAUCAGCUGACAAAUACUAGAAAACCAUCCCCCCCCCCCCCAAAAAAAAAAAAAUUAUACUAGAAAAUGGCACAUCAUUUUUGUUGAUUAAGUCAGAGUACCACAAUUGAAGAUCAGAAACAAAAAACCUUUACCAUAGAAUGGCAGAACAUUGGUGACGAUGAAGUUUUCGAUAUAGUGAAGAGAGCGAGCCGAUGAAGUAUGAUCAGCAUAAGUAAGUUUUCUAGUUCCAAAAGGAGAGUCAAAUUCUGCAUCACCACCAAUGAUUUGAGAUCGUAGCCAAGACAGCUUUUUCUCGGUGGAGCCAACCUUUGGCACACCCAUCUCUAGAGUCCUGAAUGACUCCGAACCUUGACAGAGUUUGCUGGAAACAUAGGAACAGCAUGUUGAUUCUGGUGACGUAUCCCUGUCACUACUGGUUGAAGUCUUACUAUCAUUUGCUGCGUUCAAUUUCGGGGCUUCAGUUGUUUCUCUAAACAUGGGUUGCUCUAACUCCAUUUCCCACCUAGAAAAAAUGAUUAAUGGCUGUUUUUAAUGUUGUUGUAGCUUAUGACGGGAGAAAGAAUGGAAAAAAUAAGAAGAAUGACAGGGAAGGAAGGCAGAAGCGGUUAUUUAUAUACUAGUUUUUUUUUUAUUGGCUGUGGGUGUCAACUAGAAGCCCAUCGAAAUCAACUGCUACUACCCAUGUAAUUUCUAUGAACAAAUAUCCACGUUCGUUCCCUGUUUCGAUCUACCAAGCUGGAUUUAUAAUUUUUCUCAAUCAUUCUAUCUCUUUUUUUGGCUAGUCGCUGAAAUUGACGUUGAAAUUUUGGAUUUGCAUAUACAUUUUUACUAUUAGAAAAAGGUCUAAACCGACAUAUUUGGAAGACAUUAGUAAAAUUUGACAUGAUUUCACCUCGUAUACAAUAUAUAAUAAACCAUAUUUGAUAAAGAAGAAAAAUAAAAGAAAAUGAAAUAAACAUGCAAAGGACAAAUAUUUUUCUUUCAUUUUGAUUUGAUUGGUGCGAACGGUGAAAAAUAUAAAAAAUAAUAAUAAUUUAAGUUGAAACAUUAUUUUUGGAAAAAAAUAAUAAUUUUUUCUUACACGCCUUUCACUCCUUUUCCUCUCACGAAACAACACGAUAGGACAAGGAACGAAUAAAAUACAAAGUACACGGUUUCAUUUAUUUAAUUAAUAAAACAAAAAAAAUGAAGUCGUCGGCGGACGGGGCUUUGACUCCCAAACCAUGGCCUCUGCACACCAAUAAGAAAAAUAUAGUUGGCUCAGAAACAAUGGGAUCUCUAAAUAGUUUGAACAAAACAAACUACAGAAAAUAGUAAGUCUUAAAGAGUUUUCAAAUUUCUCUUUCCUCUCCCCUAACGUUUAAAAGCAAAAGCACAUUGGAAUUUUUGUUAUUCUUUAUUUGAGGUUUUUCUUUUCUUAAUUAUUAUCGUCAUUUUUAGGUGGACUGUAGGAUACAGCAUUUACAGCUGAAUUUGGUCGGUGACUAUGGUCGGUUUUUGAAUGCUGGUUUGCUUUGUUUUUUUUUUUUUUGUUAUUAUUUAUUAUUUAUUUUUUUAUAAAUUGUAUUUAACAAAAUAAAGAAUAAAAUAUCUAUGAAAUGGAAUUGCCUCCUGUUAGCUUGAGCUUUCAAAAAUUCAUCCAGAUAAAGAUCCGACAAAGUUGGCUGUUUGACGGGGACUUCAUCAUUUAUAUUAUACCAAAUAGCCCGUGCAGCUGUUAGAAUAACAUUGAACCUUUCCUGCUCGACUUGUUCUGCCACUCGGCGUAUCCAAUCUGCUACUUUAAUUAGGAGAGCACUGCUACUUAGCCAGUAAAUGAUACAUUCACGUUCAUAUUCAGUAAGUUAUUUAAAAUUGAUUAAAUAAAUUUUAAAUUUUGAUUUAAUUACUAUUGAGUUAAAUUUAAAUAUUUUAAUAUUUGAUUUAAUAAAUCGUAAAUUUAAUCAAAAUUUUAUAUUUUAUAUAUUUUUAUUAUUUUAAUGAAAAUAUUAAUAUUUUAUUUUUAUAUAUCAAUUUAAAUUUAAAUUAAAAUAUAAAUAAUUAAAUUUAAAAUAAAACAUGAAAUCAAAUUUUUUUAUUUGAUAAAUGAAUCUAAUAAAACAAAUUCAAAAAAUUUAAUUUUUAUCUCAAAUUAAAUUUAAAUUUAAAAGUUAAAAUCCAACUAAAGUCAAACCAAACUUUGAAUAAAACUCAAGCUUCAACUUCUCAUUUCGGCUGAGUACGCUUUAUACUGACUGUCACGUCCCACGCAGAACCCAAUCUGUUCCAUGCUUCAGUCAAAACAGGGCAAUCGAAUAUUGCAUGCAACACCGAUUCCCCUGCCUCUUCACAUCUUGGACAAAUUCCAUCCACAAGAAGUUUCUUUCUUUUUUUUUUUUGCAAAGUUGAAUUUCAUAGGUAAGAAUCCAUCAACUUGACACCGCAUCCGGUGUUGGUCUGACUGUAAACAGUUAAUUACGAUCAAAUUUAUUAUAAAAUUUUAAAAAAUGUUUUUUUAAAAAAAACUAAAAACAAUUACCGUAUCGGUAAGUUGAGGCUGGAUCAGCGUUAGUACGGCCGAAAACCACCUUAAACAUGCUCGAAUAUUCUAUCUCUCUCCUUUUUUGUCUCUUGUUUCUUCCCUCGCUUUUUCUCUCCCUAAUUUAGUUUUUAUUUAAAAAAAAUUUCCACUCUUUUUUUCUUCUUGAUUCUUCUCUCCUUUCUUUAUUUUUUUCAACCCUUUAUGCAAAUUCCAAAAUAAUUUUCACAAAUGAACAAAUUUUGUCAUUCAUUGAAUCCCUUAAGCGAUUAAAAAAAGAAAAGAAAAUUAAAAUUCGUCUCCAUAUAGAAGCAAUUGGCUGACACAUCUCAACCAAUUGCCUCCUUCGGAGAUAAUUUUUAUGUUAGUUAUAGAUCUUAACUAAUUGUACAACAUUUCAACUUAUAUUGUAUUACAGGAGAAUUAAAAAUUGAGAAGAAAGUUUCUUGCUUCAUAUGCUCUAAGUUAUGUGAAUAAAAAAUAUAUAUCAAGAAGCAGUUUAAUACAAGUAGAGAACAAGAAGCAAUUUAAUACAAGUAGAAUUCUGUUUUAUUUUAAAACUAAAUUGUGACUCAUGUGAUACACGAAAUAAUUUUAUUUAUUUUAUGUAUAAAUAUAUAUAAAUUAAUUUUUUAAAAUUAUAUUUAAAUUUAAAAAAUUUAUAACAUAUAUAAAAUUUUAAAUUAGACUAACUUGUCAUAAAAAAAUAAAUUUUUUUAAAAGUAAAAAAGGGACAUAUUUGUCACCUUACACCAUUUUUUAUUUGCAAUAAUAUUUAUACAUUUUGAAUUUUAUAUCAAAUAAAAAUAAAUUAUAUGUCUUUCUUAAAAGAACAAAAACAUAUAUAUAUAUAUAUAAUAUAUUAUCAAAUGAUGAAUUAAAUAAUAAAAAAAUUAUAAGAAUAUUUUCAUUUUAUAAUUUGUUCAAAUUACUAUACAAAAUAUGAAAAAUGUUAAGAGAUAUGUGAAAAUAAAAAAGAAAAAAUUUGAAAAAAAAUUAAUUUCAUAAGAAUAAACUUAUAAAAGUAAUAGAAUAUACCUUGAAAAAAGAAAGAUACAAAUUGAAAAAAUAAAUUGCAAUAACAAUAAAAUAUUAUUUUAUUUAUUUAAAUGUGUAUAGAUACACGAAUUAAUAUUAUUUAAUUUACAUGUUUAAAGUAUAUAUAAAUUAAAUAUAGCAAUUAGGUUAUAACAUAUCUUGAGUUGAUUUGUAAAAAAUGGGAUAAUUAUGAAAAAAUAUAAAGUUAAUUAAAAAUCAAUUAUUAAAUAUAAAAUAUAGUAGUAGUAAUAGGUAUUACUAUAUGCUCUUUCAUUCAUUUUGUUGUCCAAUUUUAAUUUAAUAUAAAGCUAACACAAAUAUGUUAAAUAAAAACUUAAAAAAUUUCAUUUGUCCAAAAAAUUAGCAUGAUUCAUGAUUUAUCAAUUUUGUAUCACUUCAAGCAUAAAUAUUCACAAUUCAAGACCAAUGUAGCAAAAAAAAAUGUAACAUGAUUUUCAUAUGAUCAAAGAAAACAAUAAAGAAAUGUUGUCUAAUAUACUAAAGAAGAGAUUUGAUAAUUGUGAAUUUAUAUAUUUACCUUAAAAGGUUUAUUGUUAACAAUAUAAAAAUACAAGCAUCUUAGAAAGCUGGGACAUUUCUCUUUCAACGAGGAAAUUAUAAUUGUUUAUAAUUUUUCAUUAGAAAUGAGAGAUUUUUUGUUUAGUUUUAAAUUUCUUAAUGUUUGUGAUCUGUUAAUAAAUUAUAAGUGAUAAAAUAAAAUAGAUUUGUUUAAUUUUUAAUUUAAUAGAUUUUUGUGAUUUUUAAAUUGAGAGAGAAUAAUCUUUGUAUUUUAAAUUAUUAAAAAAAGAAGCAAAAUAGUUACUAAUAUUCGAAUGCAUCUUUACCAUUAUCUUCCAUAGGAAAUAGUGAUUUGUGAAAUAUUUUUAUUGUGAACUUAAACAAUUUUUAAGUUUAAUUUUUUUUAAUUUUAAAAGUAUUUGAAAAUUAAAUAAUUGAUUGAAAAAAAUUAUUUGAUUAAAACAAUUAAAAUUUAAAAAAUAUAUUGCAUGUCAUUAAGAUAAGUUGUACAAUGAGCAUCCACAUAAGUGUUUUUUAUUUGAUUUUCGUGUACUUUGUUAUAUCUUUACACUUUCCAAGAGAACUUCAUAAGUAUGCUGAGGUUUUAAAUGGUUGAGUAAGGAAGCCUAAAUCUUUUCCAAAUAAUCUAGGUGGGGAGCCACAUACCUUAAAGAUUUUAUGCAGUUGUUCAACCUGCCAAAUGGGGGAGAAACCAAUCUACUUUAGCCGUCUAAGAAGUAAAUAUAAGUGUAAGACAAUCAAUAAACAAUGAAAACCUAUAUGAAUUUCUGUUUCACUGCUUAUCUGAAUAGUCAGCAUAAUAAGUGUAAGACAAUCUACUUCAACUACCUGAUAUAAUGCAAUGUCAAAUAAUUCACAUACUAUAAAUGUUGAACUUAACUUAGUUGAUUUAUGCAGUUUCCUUUAAAGGUGACAUUUAGCAUAUCUGAUUCAAAUUCCAAUACCUAUAAUUCUUUCUUUAUCUUUGGACUUGCGGUUUCCUUGGAUAAAAAAAUAAUAAUUUGAAUAAUAUAAAAGAUAAUACAACAUGACAACACAAUCACCUCAAUUCUCCCUUUAAGGAUAGGCUUUCCCAUAAGAAGUUAUGCAAAAACACAGCCUAAACUCCACAGAUCCACUGAGACUUCAUAACUUGUUGAUCCCAUCAAAAGUUCAGGAGGGUAAUACCAUAGAGUUAAUACUCGACUUGUUAAUCAUUGCGUGUUCCUUGAAGUAAGGAUGUUUGCCAAUCUAAAGUCCCCUAAUUUCAAAAUUCCUUGAUUAUUUACCAAAAUGUUAGAUGCUUUAAUAUCUCAAUGCAUUAUACCUUGCAGAUGGCAAUACUCAAGCCCAAUAAUAGCUGCUUUGUAUAGCACUUGACCUAUACAUGAAGGUGAACCUAAAACUGAACUCAAACAUCCAAGAAUUGAAGAAAAGAUCAUAUCAUGACCAAAUAACAUAAUAUUAUGCUUUGCCUGUCAACUACAACCAAAAUCUAUGGUUUAAUUUCAAACUUAUCAUAAGAUACAAAACAAACCUGUGCCUCACUAAACUUGACAUUAGGAGAAAAAGAUAGGCUAGCAAGAUCAUGCUCCCUGUACUCAAAUAUAAGAUAUACAAUACUUGAAAACCGAGAUAUGAUUACCCCUUCCAAUUCAUGAUAUUUGGAUGGUCAAGCCUGCGUUAGGAAUUAUGACUUCUCGAGCCAUAAACCUUAUGCUUUUGGUUUGAAAAUGUCAAACUACACCUUCUUUCAAGUUACAACAUUCCUCCACAGUUUUCAACUUUGCAUGGCUGGGAAUACACUACUGGCAUUCUACCUUGUCUUAAUCUACUGUGAAUAUUUUAGGAUUGAAGAAAAAUUCUUUGUCAAAAUUCAAGAUGAACAAUGACCAAAUUAUGAAACCCUCACCAAUAUCUUUUUAACUUGUAAGGUAGAUUAUAUCCAAAAUUUAAAAUUUGUUAAUAAGAGAGCCAUAAAUUUAAUAUUUUUUCAGAUACAUAUUAUAUUUAAAAAUAGUUUUAAUUUAUAUUUGAAUUUUUUUUUUAAAAUCUAAUCUUUUUAUGAUAUUUUAACGUGUUAACUCGCAUAAUUUUAAAUAUUUUUAAUAUAAAAGAUUUUAUCAUUUACUUGAAUUUUGGUAAAGUGCACAAUUUUAUGGAUUUUUUUACUUGUCAAUAGAAAAAUUAUUCCACAUAAAUGUUCAUAGCACCACACUUAUCUAGUAAAUUUGUAUCUUGGAAUAAUAUAUAUAAAAAAUAUAUGAUUGUCUUCCAUUUUAAAUGUUGAAAGUUUUGGAUAAGUAAACCAAUUUAUAUAUGAGCUUAAUCUUCCACUUAAAUUUGGAUAACUUAAACAAAUCUUUUAAAUAUAAUUUUUAGAAUAAAUAGUUUAAAGUUAAUAAAUAUCUUAUGCGUUUUAAAAAGAGAAAUUUUAAGAGAUUUUCUUAUGUGUCAAAAAGAAAAAUGUCUAUCCACAUCAGUAAAUUUUAUAUGAUAAUUAUUUUAUGUUUAUAAUAUAUUAUAUAUAUAUAUUAUGAUUUAUGGGCUAUAAUAAAUACUAUAUCAAAAGAAUUGGUUGGCUUGAUUUUUCAAGUUUGGUUGAUUUUGCAUUAACUAAAUAUUUAAUAUAUUUAAUAUAUAUUAAUAUUUAAUUAUGGUUGGUCUUCCAUUAAUGAAAUAAUUAAUAUAUAUUAAUAUUUAAUUAAUGGCACUUGCACCUGACACUUAAUAGUAAAUAAAAUAUUAUUUUAUUUAAAGUUUAAUAAAUAAAAUAUUAUUUUAUUUUAACUUAAAUUUUAAUUAAGUGUGUGAUUAAUUAAGUUUGUUCAAAAAUAGACAGACACUUAAUUUUAUACAAAAAUAGAAAGAUAAAUUUAUUUAAAUCGACAAUUAUAAUUGUUAAAAGGCAGAUAGUUUUUGUUUAUUCAAAAUAGAUAAUUAUAUCAAUAGGAUAAAAGGACACUUAAUUAUAUAUAUAAACUCAUCUUAUUUUCUAAAAAAAGACACAAAAACAAUUAUUAGAACUCUCACUUUUUUCACUAAACUUUAGAUUUCCUUUUAUAAAGUUUUCUGUAUAUAAAGUUUUGCUACAAAAAAUCUUAUAAAAAUUCAUUAAUUUUGUAAUAUGCUUGUGAAUGCUUGGUUGGUUGAUUUUGUUAGUUUAAAACGUAAUUAGUUACUAAGUUUCAUUAUAUCAUCAAGAUUUAUGACCUGCAAUCUCUUUGCACACUUAUUAAAUAAAUAAUAUGGUAAAAGUGAAUAAAACUUUAAAAAAAAAACACUGUUACAUGCUUUGAAACAUUUUCUCAAAAUUUCAGAAUUUAACAAAAAUAAUAAUUUUAGAUUCACAAUUUUUGCACUAACAAUAUUUUCUAAGUUUUAAAAUAAUUUUAAUAUUGAUAUUACCUGAGCUUUAAAAUUUUAGUCCAAUGAUAAUGGUACUACCUUUACUUUUUGGAUUUUGAAAUUUUGAACUAAUGAUAACUGUAUUAAAUUUUUUCUGUUAAAUCUGAUUUUUUUGGUUGAAUUUGUUGAUAUGAUUUUUUGAUAUUGAAUUUACUAAUUAGACAAAAUUUAUCAUUUAAUUGUUUGUAUUUUGAUAAUUUGAAUUUUUGGUAAAAUUAAUUUUAAAAAUGCCAUGUUUAAUUGUUUGGAUUUUGAUGAUUUGGAUUUUUGGUAAAAACUAAUUUUAAAAAUGCCAUGUAAGUUUCUUAGUGACAGAUUGACAUGUUUUUGGACUGGUCCAUCAUUUAAAAAAUUAUAUUAAAUACAAAUUUAAUAAAAAAUUAAAACGUCUUAUUCAAAUAAAAUACUUAGAUUAACCCAAAAUCCAAAAUUUAUUACUACCACUUUCUUUUUAGAACAAAAAAAAAUAAAAUUGAAGAUAUCCAUUUCAUAUUAUUAGUACAUUCUCAUAUCCAUUUGUUCUCAUCUGCGUAAUACAAAAAACUCAAUCUUUCUUUCCCUUCCUUCAUUAUACCAAUCCAAUGUUCUAAACAACCAAUCUUCAUCAACCUUCUUCUAAUUAAUGCUUCCAACUUGACAGAAACCCAACUUAUUAGUCUUUAUUAAUAAUCAAAACUCAAAACAUAAAAAUAAUAAUCUAAAAAGAAAAGAAAAUCCCAAAAGCACUUUUCUACAAUCUGCAUCCCCUGUUUCACUCUUAAUUUCAUGGAAUCAACUCCAAAGAAAUUUGGGUAUUUCGAACUAUUUGCAUCAAAAGUAGCAUUUUGGUCGUUUUGACUGAAAUGGGAACAUUGUGAUGGAAGUUCAAAAGAACGGAAGAGCAAAAACCCACCGUUCAAAAGCACAAGCCGUUUACUUGUAUGGUUCAAAUAUCACAUUUUCAGAAACCAUUAUUACUUGAAUAGCUUCCAACUAAGCGUACAAUUCUCCUUCUUAGGGGAAUCAGAAUGUCGGUACAUUUUAUGUUUACUGUAGUCACCAUCGUUAUUUUUCACUUGUGUUUUUUGUAAUAUGAUAUUGGAGAUUUAAGUUUAUGUGGGCUAAAUAGAAACUCAAAGGAAAAGCUUUAAUAUACUUUUAGAAGAGAGGUUUUUUUAUUUGAGUUGCAAACUCAAGCUUUUAAAUUGAAAAGCCAUGUAUACUUUUUUGUUUAGCAUUGAAGUUAGGUACAAACAAUUUUUGAACACAAAAACUACUUUCAAUAAUAAUACUAGACUAGGUUUAAGUGUUGAGAUUUAAAUCUUAAAUCUAUUGAAUACUAUCUUUUAAGAGUGAUUCUAUAAAUCAACUAAAAUAUAUUUCAAAUUAUAAAGAAUGAGAUUUUAGCAAAAAAAAGCUUUUAGAGUAAAUUUAGAGAUGUUAAAUGAGUUGAGCAACCUAUUGCAUGACACUAUUGUUAUGAUGUGGGUAGUGCUUGUUAGAAAAUUUAAGAAAACAGAAAUAAUAAUAAAAAAAAAUAUGGCUUUGAGGCAUAAAAAACACUAUUAUAAAGACAAUUAUACCUAUAGGAUACAAUAAAUCCUUAAAAAACUCUCUAAAUCAGAAGUAGUAAACUUGGUCAGGUAAAAAGAUCUAUUUAUAAUAAAUGAACGGUUACCAAUCAAGUUAAUUCAAAAAGUUAUGACAUUCUGUAUAAUCAUGUUUUCUUGUUUAAAUAAACUUUAUUUAAUCAAUCAUAUUUUCAUAUUCAAAUAUGUUUAUUCGGACUAUCAUAUUUUUUUUUGUUUAAAUAUGUUUAUUUAGAAUUAGUAAUAUUUCAAAAUAAAAAAAUUAAAGGAUUUAAAAAUUAAAUCUAUUUACUUAACAAGCCUAAGUGCUCCAAGUGCCAAAAUGUAUAGGUGCCUAUCUUUAACUUUUAAAAUUGUCUAACAUCCUAGGAAAAUACCUAGCAAGUCCAAAUGACUUGGCCUACUCUAACACUUAGUUCAAUUACUUAAAUAACAUAAAUAAUCUUUUUUAAACUAUAUAUAAAUGAUCUUUUUACUCAAUAUGAGAUACACUACAUUCUAAACUACCAACAGUGCUUAGCAUAACCUGCUAUUAAAAACUUAGACUAAACCAAACAAGAAAUAUAUAUGUGUGUCGUGCUAGGUUAAAGAAUUUUAAUCUCAUGGAUCAACAUGGCAUGACCCAUUAAGUGCUAGUGCCAACAUGUGACAUCUGAGUUAACACAAUACAACACAUAACCCAAAGGACAUGUGAGCUUGCAUGAACAUACACAAACUCGAAUGAAUUGUAUUUAUAUUAUUUUUAUAUUGUGAUAAAAUUAUAUUACUUUUGGUAUUUUGUUGACAAUUUAUAAAAAUAAAAUUGUAUUAAAUAAAUUUAUUUAUGAAAUAUUUAAAAUUAUUAAUGGUUAAAUUUAUAAUUCUUUCCAUUCAUUUUACAUGCAAAAUAUAUGAUAUGUUACUUUUUAUAAAAAAAAUUCAUGAAAACUAUAUUAUUAGAAAAAAAAACUCAUAAAAAAUAAGUUAUUACGGCAAAAAAGUCGACACUCGAUCUUGUAAUAAUAAGUAACUAAAAUAUAGUUAGAAAGAAAAAAAAAGUGUGAAUAUUAUUAAAAUGUGCAUAUUACUUAAAGAUUUGUUAGAUGAAGAAGUCCGAACACAAGGUAAAGCACAUUAUAUAAAUGAAUUAUUAGAUUAUUGCAAUGAAAAAUAAAAUAAAAAUCUUGUUUCUUACAACAUCUUUUUGUGUAUGAUUUUAAAUAUAGAAGUAUAAAUUUUAAUAUCUUUAUUUAGUGAAUUUUAUUAUCUUUUAUCGUGAUUAUAAGCAUUUGUUGAAUCAUGCAAAUUUUGUGCUUUUAUUUCAUUUUACUUAUAUUUAUCCAACUUGUUAUUUUCAAUAGAUAACAAAAUUUUAAAAAAUACUAAAAUUUAAAAAAGUUAUUAAUGGAUCAUAUUUGACAUGACUCGUCAUAAAAAAUAAUAUCACACUUGGCAUGGCAUUAGGGUUGGUAGUCCAACCCACCAUUGGCGGAUUUCAACCCGACCUAACCUCAUAAGGUUGAUUUUUUUUUUUUUUAUAAAAAAUUAAGUUUCGGGUUGGAUCAGGUUGGGUAAUGUUAAGAAAAAAUCAAGGUCAGAUCGGGUUUGGGUUUUAGGCAAACCCGACUCGACCCGAUAUUAUAUAAAAAUUAUUUUUUUAAUUAAUUAUUUAAUUUUUUAUUUCUAUAUAUUUAUAAAAUUAUAUAUUUUAUAUAUUUAUAUUUUAAAAAAUAUUUUAUAUUUAUAAAAUAAUAUUUUAUUAAUUUUGGAUAGGAUCGGAUUGGGUACGAUUUAUACAAUAUCGGUUCAGGUCGAUUCAGAUAUAAAAAAUAAAAAAAUUUUCGGAUUGGGUUCGAAUUUUAUGAAUAUAAAGUCGGGUCAGGUUCGAGGUGAGCAAAAACCCGUCCCGAUUCGACCCAUUGCCAACCCUACAAUGACAUGUUCCAUGUAAGUUAUAGGUUACAUGCCGUGCUAGGCCAUGUUCAUUAAAAAAUAAUAUUAGGCCAAUAUCAUCUAUUAAUAUGUGAGUUGAUGUUUAAAUACGCUACAUCUUUGACAUAUUUAAAGUGAGUUGUCAAAACGUCUAGAUCCGGGGAUCUAUUGUUAGAUAUUGAUUUGAAGAAGUCACCACCAAUCUUUUUUAUCUAGGUGCGAUUGACCACCUAAGGAAUCUAUCCUUUUAAGGAACACCUAAGCCUAAAGGUCCAUAAAAGAAUAGGUUCAGGUCUACUAACCAGAAUAGGAUUUGAGAGUACGAUUACAUGUGAGGAAGGUUAUAACGCCUUUACAACGCCCAUCGAAAGAUGGUACCAGCUUAAUUUUAUGUUAUCCAAUAAGCCUUAAAAAUUUACCAAGUAAUUAAUUAUUGAAAAAUUAUUCUCAAUUGACUCUAAUACUUUUAGCAAAAAAUUAAAAAAAUUUUCUCACCUUAAGAGUAUGUAAGGAGACUACUGUUUCACUCGCAAAUGCUCUAUUGUGGGAUUAUUUAACAUUAAAGCAAAUUCAAGAAACACAAAGGAAAAGAAAUAAAAAAAAUGAUUCAGCUUUAGAUAUAAAUCAUUUUUUUCUUCAAAAACUCAUUGCUUUUGUACAAGAAAAACUGAUAUCUUCAACUUUUUUCCAAAAUGUUUUUCUAAAACUUUAAUUUCGAGUAAAAUUGAUACUUUCAAUUUUUUCUCAAAAAAACCUUUUUUAGAAAAUCCUUUUUAAAGAAAAUUGAUACUUUCAGCUUUUUCUUGAAAAUAUUUUUUUUGAAAAUUUAUUUUCAAGAAAAAUUGAUACUUUCAACUUUUUCUCAAAAAUAUUUUUUAGAAAACUUAUUUUCAAGGAAAAUUGAUACUUUCAACUUUUUAUUAAAAAUAUUUUUUUUGAAAUUUUAUUUAAAGAAAAUAAAUAAAUAAAUAAAAUAAAAUAAAAUAAAAUAAGAAAUACUAAAUAAUUCUAAUCUAAUAAAUAAAUAAUAAUAAUAAAAUAAAUAAAUAAAUAUAUAAAUAAAAAAAACCUUUUGAACGGCUUAGCUCUAAAUAGAAAGGGCGUCUCGAAAACGCGGUUCGGGCACAUUGGCUCGGUUCGGCUAGCACUAGGGUCAACGUAGGUCAAACGCGAGUUGGUGCUCAGGUUAGGUUGCCCGAUUUCAAAAUGCGUAGAUCUUCUGGGAAUAGUAACGCCAAAACGACGUCGUUUUUAGUAAGUAUAAAAGGUUCUAACCUCUAUUUUUUCUGUAGAUGGUUCUUUCCCUCUCUCUCUCUCUUUUUCCCUCUUUUCUCCUUCUUCUCUCUAAACAAACUAAGAACUUUGGUUGAAUCUCAUCUGAUUCUGAAAAAUGUUAUCGAAAUCUGAAUUUUUCGUCAAAAGUUCAUCGAAAAGUUGGUCGGUUUCUAGAAAGAGUACGCCAGAAAUUGGGUAGCUGGAAGAAAAAUUCAAUCAGUGCCGAAAAAAUCACCAAAAAAUUCACCAGAAUCUAAAAAUUUUUCAAAAAUUUCUAGAAAAAAUUAGCCUAAAAUUCUCCAAAAUUUUUAAAAAACCCCUAAAAUUAUUUCUGACCCUUUUGAACACCUUUUUUUCUUCUCUUUUUACUCUUUCUCUCUAUAUGUUUUGUGUUCUGGUCUUUGUGAUUUCUAGAUCUAUUUAUAGGGAUUGAUUAGAAAAGUUUCUGAUCAAUCCCAACUCCAUCUUGGAUUGAGAUUCAACUUUUGAAUCCAAUCCAGACUCUGAUUGAGUCUCAAAUUCACGGUAGAAUUCUANNNNNNNNNNNNNNNNNNNNNNNNNNNNNNNNNNNNNNNNNNNNNNNNNNNNNNNNNNNNNNNNNNNNNNNNNNNNNNNNNNNNNNNNNNNNNNNNNNNNNNNNNNNNNNNNNNNNNNNNNNNNNNNNNNNNNNNNNNNNNNNNNNNNNNNNNNNNNNNNNNNNNNNNNNNNNNNNNNNNNNNNNNNNNNNNNNNNNNNNNNNNNNNNNNNNNNNNNNNNNNNNNNNNNNNNNNNNNNNNNNNNNNNNNNNNNNNNNNNNNNNNNNNNNNNNNNNNNNNNNNNNNNNNNNNNNNNNNNNNNNNNNNNNNNNNNNNNNNNNNNNNNNNNNNNNNNNNNNNNNNNNNNNNNNNNNNNNNNNNNNNNNNNNNNNNNNNNNNNNNNNNNNNNNNNNNNNNNNNNNNNNNNNNNNNNNNNNNNNNNNNNNNNNNNNNNNNNNNNNNNNNNNNNNNNNNNNNNNNNNNNNNNNNNNNNNNNNNNNNNNNNNNNNNNNNNNNNNNNNNNNNNNNNNNNNNNNNNNNNNNNNNNNNNNNNNNNNNNNNNNNNNNNNNNNNNNNNNNNNNNNNNNNNNNNNNNNNNNNNNNNNNNNNNNNNNNNNNNNNNNNNNNNNNNNNNNNNNNNNNNNNNNNNNNNNNNNNNNNNNNNNNNNNNNNNNNNNNNNNNNNNNNNNNNNNNNNNNNNNNNNNNNNNNNNNNNNNNNNNNNNNNNNNNNNNNNNNNNNNNNNNNNNNNNNNNNNNNNNNNNNNNNNNNNNNNNNNNNNNNNNNNNNNNNNNNNNNNNNNNNNNNNNNNNNNNNNNNNNNNNNNNNNNNNNNNNNNNNNNNNNNNNNNNNNNNNNNNNNNNNNNNNNNNNNNNNNNNNNNNNNNNNNNNNNNNNNNNNNNNNNNNNNNNNNNNNNNNNNNNNNNNNNNNNNNNNNNNNNNNNNNNNNNNNNNNNNNNNNNNNNNNNNNNNNNNNNNNNNNNNNNNNNNNNNNNNNNNNNNNNNNNNNNNNNNNNNNNNNNGCCUCCGUGACGAGGGCGUCACGAGAUUGGGUGCGGGAGAAUGUCACGGACCUAAGGAAGAGUCCUGAAUCCCACAUCGAACAUAAUAGGAGGGUCACUGGGGAGAGUCACUGGGGUAUAUAAGGGUUCACAGCAUCUCUACCUUGUGAUGCACCUUUUGUAGGACAAAACCGUGGGGCCAGGGGGCCAGAGCGGACAAUACCUCACAAGGGUGUGAAUCGAGGCAGGUAGGCUGAUCUGGGACGACGGAUGAGUGGAUGCUUGGGUCUCGGAGCCACGCGGGUUCGAAGCUUAAGUCUCAACCCGUGACAAGUGGUAUCAAAGCUUUAGGCUCUUCUUGGGAAGCAAAAUUUUCAGCCUUAAUUGUUGACUUGUUUAGGCCUUCAUUGCUGAAUCAUGUUUAGGCCUUCAUUGCCGAACCCUUUCAAAGAAAGAUAUCACUACCACCCAAUUUGAGGAAAUGUUAACUGGAAAAAUCACUGGAGUACUACAGAUAUCUCAGAAACAAGGAGAGUUCAACAGGGAAGAGAUUGAAAAGCUGAGAAACUUAUUGAAAAUCCUUGAAAAGCAUACUAUGGUAUGUUCUUUGGGUAAAGUUUCUAGUUCAGGUAAAGCUUCUGGUUCUCAUGGAUUAAAUGUCUCGACUAAGCCUAUUACGAGUUCUUGGGUCAUUGACUCAGGAGCCACAGAGCACAUGACACAUUCCUCACAAAAGUUUAGUACAUAUAACCUGUGUCCUAGUAAUAAGAAAAUUGUUGUUGCUGAUGGUUCACUUAACACAGUAGCAGGAUUAGGAGAUGUUCAAGUUAAUCCUUCGUUUGUUCUCAAAAAUGUUCUUCAUGUUCUUAGAUUGUCUACUAAUCUGAUAUCUAUACAAAAACUUACCAGAGAUUUGAAUUGCAAAGUAACCUUUUAUCCCUCUUAUUGUGAAUUUCAGGACCAGAGUUCGGAGAAGAUGAUUGGACUUGCUAAGGAAAAGGAUGGACUAUACUAUCUUGAGACAUCAAAUAACACAAGUAGUAUCAACAAUAGUUUACCUUUGUCAUUUCUUUCUGAAAAAUCUUCCAAUAAAGACAAAAUCUGGCUUUAUCAUUUUCGUCUUGGAUAUCCUUCUUUUGGAACCUUGAGAAACAUGUUUCCUUCUUUAUUCAAAGGAUUAAAUGUUGAAGAUUUUCAUUGUGAUAUUUGCGAAUUUGCAAAACAUAGACGUGUCUUUUCCAAUCAGUAACAAAAGAAGUUCUACUCCCUUUUACUUGAUUCAUAGUGACAUUUGGGGUCCCUCUACAAUUCCUAAUAUUUCUGGUGCGAGAUGGCUUGUUUCAUUCAUAGAUGAUUGUAUUAGGGUCUCUUGGGUUUUUUUACUUAAAUCAAAAUCAGAUGUGAAUAGUGUGUUUUUAAGCUUCCAAAACAUUAUCUAAAAUCAAUUUGGAGUGAGAAUCAAGAGAUUUAGGUCUGAUAAUGCAAAAGACUACUUCAACCAGAGUCUAUCCACCUAUUUUAAAAAAAAGGGAUUAUCCAUGAGUCAUCUUGUGUUAAUACUCCACAGUAGAAUGGAGCGGCAAAGAGGAAAAACAGCCAUUUACUAGCCACAACCCGAGCCUUUCUUUUUCAAGCAAAUGUACCUAAAUCUUAUUAGGGGGAAGCUGUUCUCACUGCACACAUAUUAUAAAUAGGUUACCUUCAAGAGUUUUGGGAUUUAAAACUCCUAUGGAACUACUCUCACAAUUUUAUCCCAACCUCAAUACCACAAACAAUCUCAUACCUAGGAUAUUUGGUUGUACAUCAUUUGUUCAUGUUCACAGUCAUAACAAGGGAAAAUUGGAUCCAAGAGCGAUUAAGUGUAUUUUUGUGGGGUAUUCUUCAACUCAAAAAGGAUAUAAGUACUAUCAUCCUCCUACCAAAACAUUCUGUCUCUGCAGAUGUCACUUUUGAAGAAAAUAAACUAUUUUUUACUUAACCUUAUCUUCAGGGGGAGACUUCAUUUAUGGAAGAUAAGGAUAAAGACUUCUUUUUGCUUGAUUUGCCCCCUUCUUCAACAUUUACACCCAUUAAUUCUUCUGAGUCGAAACCUGUUUCUGCUGAGCCCAAGUCAAACACUGAAUUUGAGUCUGAACCCAUUUCGAAUACAGAAGAUGUGACAAAGGAUAAUAUCGUUCUUGAUUCUAUGAAGGAAUUACAGGUGUACUCAAGAAGAAAAGUUCUAGAUCUUGAACCAGUGCCAGUCCAAGAACCUGAUCCUAACUUUGGAAAUGAGGUAACUACAGUUUUUGACUCUGUUUCUCAAAAUGAGCAUGAAUCUCCUAAAACUAUAACUAGUGAUUAUGAUUUGCCUAUUGCCAUUAGGAAAGGAACCAGAGAAUGUACCAAGCAUCCACUAUACCCAAUAUCUAACUUUGUGUCAUUCGAAAAAUUCUCACCCUCUCACAAAAGUUUUCUUGUGAGCCUAAACACUAUUUCUAUUCCAACUACAUUAUCCGAGGCAUUAUCUAGUGAGAAAUGGAGGUAAGCCAUGAAAAUAGAAAUGGAGGCCUUAGAAAAAAAUCAGAUAUGGGAACUGGUAGAGUUGCCUAAAGGAAAAAAUCCAGUGGGGUAUAAAUGGGUUUUCACUGUAAAAUACAAGGCAAAUGGUACUGUUGAAAGGUAUAAAGCUAGGUUAGUGGCUAAGGGCUACACUCAAACCUAUGGAGUGAAUUAUCAGGAAACCUUUGCUCCAGUUGCCAAGAUGAAUACAGUUAGGAUUUUGUUAUCAUUGGCUGCAAAUUACAAUUGGCAGCUUCAACAAUUUGAUGUAAAGAAUGCUUUUCUACAUGGUGAUUUGGAAGAAAAAAUAUAUAUGAAGGUUCCACCAGGAUUUGGAGGUCAUCUAGAAGCAAACAAAGUAUGCAGGCUAAAAAAAACUUUGUAUGGCCUUAAACAAUCUCCUAGAGCUUGGUUCUGGAGAUUUGCCAAAGUGAUGCUAGCAAUGGGAUAUAAACAGAGUCAAGGAGAUCACACAUUGUUUAUCAAGCACUCUGAUUCAGGGAGAGUCACAGUUCUAUUAGUGUAUGUUGAUAUAAUUGUAACUGGAGAUGAUGAAAGAGAGAAAGAAUCUCUAAAACAGUGUUUGGCUAGAGAAUUUGAGAUAAAAGAGCUAGGGAGAUUGAAGUACUUCCUAGGAAUUGAAGUAGCUCACUCACAGCAUGGUAUUUUUAUCUCACAACAGAAAUAUGUGAUGGAUCUUCUGAAAGAAACUAAGAAGCUUGCAUGUAAACCUGCAAAUACCCCUAUAGAUCCUAAUCAUAAAAUUGGAGAAGCUAAUGAAGAUGCUGCUGUAAAUAGAGAGAUGUACUAAAGAUUAGUUGGAAGACUCAUUUAUCUCUCACAUUCUAGACCUGAUAUAGCAUAUGUUGUGAGUGUGGUAAGUCAAUUUAUGCAUAGUCCUAAAGAAGUGCACCUACAGGCUGUCUACCGUUUAUUGCACUAUUUGAAGGCCAAUCCUGGGAGAGGUAUCUUAUUCAAAAGAAAUUCGGGGUUAGCUCUAGAAGCAUAUACAGAUGCUGAUUAUGCAGGUUCAGUAACUGAUAGAAGAUCUACCUCAAGCUACUGCACUUUCUUAGGUAGUAAUCUUGUGACUUGGAGGAGUAAAAAAUAGAAUGUGGUGGCAAGAUCAAGUGCUGAAGCAGAGUUCAAAGCAAUGGCUCAAGGAAUUUGUGAACUACUAUGGUUAAAGAUUAUCCUAGAAGACUUGAAGAUCAAGUGGGAUGAACCAAUGAGACUCUACUGUGAUAACAAGUCUGCAAUAAGCAUUACACACAAUCCUGUGCAACAUGACAGAACAAAACACAUUGAAGUAGACCGGCAUUUCAUAAAGGAGAAACUAGACAGUGGGUUGAUUUGUACACCUUAUGUAUCAACCAAGGGUCAACUUGCAGAUGUGUUGACUAAAGGUCUCAGCAGUGUAACAUUUCAAGAAAUUAUUUUCAAGCUGGGAAUGAAAAACACCUAUUCACCAGCUUGAGCGGGAGUGUGGGAAAACACUUAUUUACAGCUGGCUUGUAAUCUUGUAAAUCUGUAUAUUAUAAUAUUUGCUAUCUCUAGAAUAAGUAUUCUGUACUCCCUAAAAUUAAGGAAGAUUUAGUUUCCUAGUUUAACCCCUAGUUAAGUUGUAUAUAAACCUAAGAUUCUUGUAUACCAUUCGAAAAUAAGCUGUUUUUUCAAUACUACCAACUCCAGUUUCCACAAUAAAGACUGUAUCGUUAUUCGGGUACUCUCCUACUCAAAAAGAAGUAUAAGUGCUAAUUGUACAUCCACGGAACAACAUUUGUCUCAUUAAAUGUCCCAUUCUUUGGAAAAUCACACCGCUUUUACCCAAAACUAACUCUCAAGGGGAGAAAGUAGGUGGAAGAUAGGCUUUGGGAUUUUAUCCAUUCCACUUUCUAUAUGCAUUCUACUAUUCCUUUGGGUGCCACCCAACCAAAAGCUAAGUUGAAAACAGGGAUAUAGAUUCAUUUAUACUUAGUCUUCAACAAAAAAACAGACUCUUAGUUUAUUCACAAUGUAAACCAUAGCCUCAAAAAGUACAAACUUUUGUGCCCUAGACACAUUGUCAAGAAUCUAAUCCACAAGUAAAUUUUGAAUCAAAAAAUACUAAGCCCACAACACCAUCACCGAUGAAUACUGAUCCACAAGUAAAUUCUAAAUCAUAAAAUGUUGUGCCUAUCACACCAUCAAUUGUGAAUACUCCGUCUGACGAUCUAGACAUGCCUAUAGCACUCAGGAAAGGUAUAAGAUCAUGCACUCAACACCUGCUGUCUAAUUAUCUAUCCUACAGUCAUUUGUCCACUGCAUUUCGUGCCAUGAUAGGAAAGAUUAAGGUAACUAAAAUCCCACAAGAUAUUCAUGAAGCUCUAAAAAUCCUAGAAUGGGAAGCUGCUACAUUGAAGAGAUGAAAGCAUUGAAAAGGAACGAGACUUGUGAUGUUGUAGAGUUGCCUAGAGGAAAAACAUUGGUUGAAUGUAAGUGGGUGUUUACUAUUAAGCAUAAUUCAAAUGGUAGAAUUGAGAGACACAAGGCCUGCUUUGUUGCGAAAAGAUUUACUCAAACUUUUGGAGUACAUUACACUCAAACCUUUGCUCCAUUUGAUAAAUUGAAUACUAUAAGGGCACUACUUUCACUAGUUGUUAAUCUUGACUGGCCAUUACACCAUAUGGAUGUCUAGAAUGCCUUUCCUAAUGGGGAGCUGGAUGAAUAAGUUUAUAUGGACCUGCCUCUUGGCUUUGAAGGGAGAAACAAUGACAAGAAGGUAUGCAAACUAAAGAAGUCUCUCUAUGGUUUAAAAUAGUGACCAAAGGCUUGGUUUGAUCACUUUACAAAUCAGUAAGGAGACACAGAUUUAGCCAAGGACAAACUGAUCAUACUCCUUUUUUCAAACACUAACAACAUGGAAAAAAGACUACUUUGAUCGUUUAUGUUGAUGAUAUUGUUAAAAUUAAAGCUUUAGAGAACAACUUGCUAAUCCCUUGGAUUAGCCUUUCAUUAUAUAGACAAUAAUAAGGAAAGAUAAUCAAUUACAAAGUACACAUUAAUGUUUCCAAUAAAUCCCUCCUAAACUAUCUCCCAUGAAAUAUUCCCAUAAUAUUCCAACUCACACACACGCAUACACUAAUGCUCCCCUUCAAGCUGGAGCAUAUAUAUAAGUCAUGCUCAGCUUUUACAUAUAUAGUCAACUCAAAACUUCUAGAAGUGAUUUCAUAAGAAUAUCGGCAAGUUGUUCCCCUAUGCGCACAUGCUUCAAUAAUAUUGUUCCACCCUGUAACUUUUCCCUAAUGAAAUGACAAUCAACUUUUAUAUGCUUGGUUCUUUCACGAAAUACUGGAUUUAAAGCAAUGUGAAUCGCCACUUGAUUAUCACACCAUAACUCUGCAAGAGUUCGAACUGAAAGCCCAAUUUCAUCUAAGAAUUGAAUCAUCCAUAAUACCUCUGUUGUAGCCAAAGCCAUCGCUCUAUACUCUACUUCUACGCUAGACCUAGCAACUACUUGCUACUUUUUUCUCUUCCAAAACACCAAAUUACUCCCAAGGAAGAUAGCAUAACCAGAUGUAGACUUACUAUCUAUAGGAAAGCCUACUCAAUCUGCAUCUGCAUAGGCUUGAAUACACCCAUCACUAGUAGAACUAUAGAGUAUUCUCUUUCCAAGAAUUCUCAACAAAUAUCGGAGGAUGGCAUCACUGCUCUCCAGUGAGUAUCUCUAAAAGCUCCCACGAAUUGACUAACCACACUUACUAGAAAAGAUAUAUUAGGUCUCGUCAUGGUCAGGUAAUUCAGUUUUCCCACUAGUCUCUUGUAAGGUGUGGGAUCAUCGAGUAAAGUGCCAUCUUACGGAGAAAGCUUGAUACCUGGAUCCAUCGGUGUGUCACUUGGCUUGGCAUGAAACAAGCCUGCAUCUUUAAAAUAUUCAGAACAUACUUCCUUUAAGAUAAAAAGAUUCCCUUUUUACACCUUCCCACUUCAAUACCAAGAAAAUAUUUCAAUUGACCAAGAUCCUUGGUCUCAAACUGGGACUUUAGAUAAAUCUUAAAUCUGUCAAUCGCUACAUUAUCACUGCCAGUGAUGAUUAAAUAUCAAUCUACCUACACCCCACAUAUAAGGCCAGAAACUCUGCCGCAUAUAAAAAUACUCGAAUGAUCCUUCCUCACUCUGUCGCAUGCCCUACUGAACAAUAGUUGCACUAAAUUUGCUAAAACCACGUGCAUGGAAACUGCUUAAAGACCAUAUAGAGACCUACGCAAAAGCACCCCUCCCCAGCCCCCCUCAGCAACAAACCCUGGAGGUUGCUCCAUAUAUACCUCCUUAAUCAGUCACCAUGUAGGAAAGCAUUCUUCUACAUCCAACUGAUGUAAUGCCCACUUAUGUCUAGGCAGUAAAAUAGAGAAAUAGGCGAAAUAAAUGUCAUCUUUAGCCAUUGGUGAAAGGUAUCAAAAUAAUCCUACUCCAUAACUGUCUGCACGUAUGCCCUUUGCUAACUCGUCUUGCCCUCCAAUCUAGCCAUGAACCAUCAAGAUUCAAUUUGUAGUGUAAACCCACUUGCACCCAACAGCUUGUUUCCCUUCUGGCAGGGAAACCAAGUCCCAUGUAUGGUUGGCCUAGGGCCAUCAUCUCAUCCUCCAUAGCCUUAUGCCAUCCUGAAUUUGCAAAAGCAUCACAAAGAGUACGCGGCACAGUGAUAGCAUCAAUUGUGACAAUACAAGUCUGAAGUUGAGCAAAAAGUCCUUUGUAUGAGGGCAUGUAUAAAGGAAAAUUUCUGCAAGUUCACGUACCUUUUCGUAGAGUAAUCAGUACAUCUUCAGCCACAAUGUCUCAAGGUGGAUCCAUCGACAAAGAGAUUGUCUUGAUAAAGGAAGUUUUCAUAGGUGGAUCUACGUAAGUCCUUUUAUACGUACAACCAAAUCAAGUAUUUGGGCAUGCCUCAAAAGGAGAUGCAUUGACCGAUGAACUAUGUAUUUGAUAAAUGAGAAAAUCUUUUUCUUCUUAUAUGAUAGGUGAUGGAUGAAACUAUAGUAUUGAAGGAAAAAGAACCGACUCAUGAAACGCGACAUCUGCUGAAUAAUAAAGCGACCCAGCUCUAAAGAGUAGCAUCGAUACCCUUUUUAGACAUGUGAAUAACCAAGGAAGAUACAUUUAAGAGAACAUGGGUUUAAUUUAGUGCAACUUGGAUGAGUGUCACAAACAAAACAUGUGCACCUAAACACCUAGAAGGAGAUUGUAAAUAAGGGACGAUCAGGAAACAAUACUUAAAGAGGAACUUUUCCUUUAAGAACCAAGGAUGGCAAAAGAUUUAUAAGAUAGAAUGCUACAAGGACAGCUUCACUCCAGAACACCUUAAGGACCUUCAUUUGAAACAAAAGAGCUCUAGCCACUUCCAACAAAUGAUGAUUCUUCCUUUCAGCAACCCCAUUUUGCUAUGGCGUAUUUGUACACAAGGACUGAUGAACAAUACCUUUUGCAUUUAGGAAUUGAACAACCUCUAUAGAAAAAUACUCUACCCCAUUAUCACUGCAUAAAAUUUUGGUAGACUUAUUGAAUUGAUUCUCUAUUUCAGCAUGAAAGGUAGUGAAGACAAAGAAUAAUUCGGUGUGGCUCCGCAACAAAUACAACCAGCAAACUCGUGAAUAAUCAUCAACAAACGUCACAAAGUAUCUAUAACUAGAUUCCGAAAUAAUAGGACAAGCCCCCCAUACAUUAUAAUGAAUCGCAUAAAGACCUUCAAUCCGUCCCCUACUAAUAGUUUGUUUCAUCAACUAAUCCUGAAAAACACAAUAAGUAGGAAAGAAAGAGACACUACAAUUCAAAUUCCUUGUAAUCUGACUAACUAAAAGUAAGUUAAAAGGAGAAGAAGGGACAUGUAGCACAAAAUGUAAAGGUAAUGUGGAUAUUGGUUGAGUCUUGCCACUUCCCACAACAUCUAUAGAGUUUCCAUCAACAACCAAAACAAACUAUUUCCCUGUCAUAGGAGUAUAUGAAUAAAGAAUACCUGUAGUACCCAUCAUGUGAUCCGAAGCUCCUAAAUCAAUCACCCAAGUCCUAAAAGGGGUAGCCAAGCAUGCAGUAGAUUUACCUUGUAUAAAAGUUAUUGUCAGAGAGGAGAUCGAAGUCUGAUUCUGAAGCAUCCGAAUAAGCCUAUCAUACUCAUCCUGGGAUAACUGAACUCCCUUAUUCUCUUACUACUGGGGCUAAAGCACAGCAUCAGUCACAUAUGCCGGUGGUGGGCCAAUAUUGCCUCAAAGAUGCGGACAAACAUUCCAUAAAUGUCCCUGCUAUCCCCAUUGAUAGCAAGACUGUGGGUCUCUUCUACCACUUCCAUGUCCUCUACCUCUCCACACAUCCUCUGUGUGAUUCUCGGCCUUCACGCUAUGGGGCCAUAAGUACUACCCUAUCUGCAUGUGGAGGAUUCAUGUUGGUUGACCCUAUUCAAGCACUUAUAAGCAUCAGUAGAGAAAGUGGGAUCUCCGCCACUAAUAUCUGAGUACUAGCACCGGCGCACUCCUUCCUCAAACCUGCUAAGAAAAACAUUAUAGCUAGAGCCUCUUGUUGCUCCUGAUUUGUUUCCAAAUCGGUAAACAAGGGCAUGAGUUCAUUAAACUUGUCAUAUACCUCCUUAAACACACAAAAUAUUCCCUCAGGCUCUUACCGGAUUGCUCCAUUCUAGUCUAUGCCCUAGUAACAUCGAAAAUCCUCUGCCAAUUCUCAGAAUUUAUAUAAACAAUUUGUAAAGCAUCCCAAAGUUCUUUCCUUGUGAAGUAUUAAUUGAACAUCACCUUGACUCAUCAUUCCAUCAAGUUGAACUAUUGUCCAAGUACUCGAUUGUCCUCAUGCUCCCACACUGCAUACUCCGAGCUUUCCUUUGUUGGCCGCUCACUUGUCAAAAGCCGAGCCUUUUCAAGACCUCGCAAGGUCACCAACACAGUCUCGUUCCAUGAUAAGUAGUUGGAGCCAUUGAGUUUCUCAUCCAACAACCAUGAGCCCGUGAUAAUCUCCUAAGUUAUCAUAUUCGAUGUGGUUGCCUCUUCCUUAGCCAUGGCUACAAAACCUUCUUCCUCCAAAAUACAACUAGUAAUCCUUCAAUCAGGUAACACAAUCCCAAAUCAACAACCAAGAACUUCGUCCCUAGUUCUGCAACCACACUCUACACCGAAAACUUGUCCUCUCGAUCUAUCAUUCACGAAGAGGUUGCAACCCCUUCUUGCUACCUUUGAGAAUAAAGGGGUGGCCCCCCUUUUAACUAAUGAAGGACUGUUGAAGAGAAAGGAAAAGUUUUAAGUACAUUGCUUUAGGGCUGCGAGAUCAAAGUCUGUAGUAACGACGGUUUAGUUGACGCCGCAAAGGCUAUAGCAGAUGAGUUUGGGGAAAGAGAGAGGUCCACAGCAGCUAGAAUUGCACUGCUAGCUUUGAUACCAUGUUAAAAUUAACGUUUUAGAGAACAAUUUGCUAAUCCCUUGGAUUAGCCUUUCAUUAUAUAGACAAUAAUAAGGAAAGAGAAUCAAUUACAAAUUACACAUUAAUGCUCCCAAUUAAUCCCUCCUAAAUUGUAUCCCAUGGAAUAUUCUUAUAAUAUUUCAACUCACACACGCAUACACUAACAGAUAUUAUAUUGAUAGGUGAUGACACUGAAGAAAUAGAAAGGUGAAAGAAAACUCUUGGAAAAGAAUUUGAGCUUAAAGAUCUUGGACAACUAAAAUACUUUUUAGGGAUGAAAGUUGCAAGAAGUAAGAAUAGCAUUAUUGUUUCCCAAAAGAAAUAUACGGUUGAUCUCUUGAAGGAAACUGGUAUGCUUGGCUAUAAACCAAUUGAUAGACCUAUAGAUCCUAAUGCGAAACUUGGAAAGAAAGGAGGAAUUCCAGUAGAUAAAGGGAGAUAUCAAUGACUAGUUGGAAAGCAGUUCUACUUAUCUCAUACAAGACCUAAUAUUGCCUUUGUAGUUGGAGUAGUAAGUCAGUACAUGCACUACCCAUUUGAGGAGCAUCUUGAAGUUGUGUAUCGAAUCUUAAGGUAUUUGAAGGUCACACCUGGUAAGGGUUUGUUGUUUGAGAAGAAUGAACAAAGAAAUGUGAUAGGGUUUAUAGACGCAGAUUGGGCAGGAUCAAUUGAAGACAAAAUCCACCUCUGGGUAUUGUACAAAGGUUUGGGGUAAUCUUGUCACAUGAAGGACCAAGAAACAAUCUAUUGUUGCUCAAAGUAGUGCAGAAGCAGAAUUUAGAGCUCUUGCACAAGGAACUUGCAAACUUAUCUAGCUGAAGAGACUUUUGGAAGAAUAGAAAAUGACAACUAAAUACCCUAUGAAACUGUAUUGCAAUAACAAGGCUGCUAUAAAUAUUGCUCAUAAUCCAAUGCAUCAUGAUUGAACAAAGCAUGUGGAAGUUGAUAGACAUUUUAUCAAAGAGAAGAUUGAUAUGGGAGUGAUCUAUAUGACCUAUGUUCCUACAAAGGAACAAGUAGCAGAUAUCCUAACAAAGUGACUAUAUAAACCAAGCUUUGAGACUCUUGUUGACAAGCUGAGAAUGAGAAAUAUGUAUUCUCCAGCUUUAGGGGAAGUGUUGAUAGAUUAUGUAUCUAAUCAGGAUCAAUUUCCCAAUUUGUUGGGAUAUAUAUUUUUGGUCUUUUAUUUCUUUCUAUAUUUGGAUGAUUAUGUCCUGAUUAUGUCCUAAUUUUGUGGGUUUCUUUGUACAUAUCGAUUCCUCUAUAUAUUUGGGGAUUCCCUUUUAAUAAAAUAAAACUCAGAGAACAUUGUUUUUAUCUCUGUUUUUCAACUACAAAUAGUCGUCCAUUACCCUAACCUCUAUUCUAUCAGCAGUUACAAAUUUGGCAGAUCAAGGCAACUAGACAGUUUGAACUGAAGAAGAGAAUAGAGAGAAAGGAUAACACCCAAGUCAAAAUGCUUAAGGCCAGUGUUUCACACAUUAGGUCAUAAAUUGAUAAUGCUACACUUCGUGCUUACAUUUAAUCACCAUGAAAGAAUAAGCCAGUGUCUAGGAAAAUAUCAUGGCAAUUAAUUUAUGAAAGAAAAGCAAAUAAAUAUGAACAAGCAACCAAAACCAAAACUGCAUAGGAACAACGAGUACCUCAACAUAUAACUUUCGGAUUUGUGGACCUUUGUCUUCAUCCAUCCCCUAGAACCAUUAAUAGUGUAAAGAACUUAGUAAGUUAAUAAAGCUAUUUAUAAUACAGAGAACAAGAAUAGUUAGUUGAUAAAAGCACCUGGACAUAUAAGUCAUAAAGAUCACAGAUUUUAUCUUCCAUGGCGUUAUCUAUGAUGUAUUGUUCUUUAAGGACUAGUUGUUCUUCAGAACCAAGCACUUCCUGUAAAUCAUCAGUUGCUACAUCCCUUCGUUUAGAUGCCUGGAAAGUUAUGCAUGUUCAUAAGCAAAGAACUAAAACAUGUUAUCAUCAUUUGCCACUGAAUUUGCACAUAUACCAAAUAAUAUAUUGCAGCAUAAGAAUGCCUUUCAUAACAUAAGAUAAAAAUUCGCAGCCAUAAAUGUUUGUAUCACAUUAUUCUCACAGCACUAAAUGAAGAUCAAAGUUUGUCUAUAUUUUGCCACAAGUGCUGCCUCUUCUGAGAAAAAAAGUUGUAUGAUGCUGGUGAUCAAAGUGAUGAUAACCAUAUCAGUCAUUAUAAUACUGAGUAUCAAUGAUGAUAGCAAAAGGGUGUAAAAUUAUUGAAACACCAAUAUAGAACCAAGGCAUCAAAGAGAGGACUGCUUCUUGUGAGAAAGAAACUAAGAACCUACGACCUCAAAGCAUCUAAAAACUAUUUGGAAAUUGCUCAAAGUGAUUUUUGAGGAAACCUGCAAUUUGAUCAUUUCAGUGACCUCCAUUUUAAUCUUUUGAAAUCUAUCAGCUUUUUCCCGCUUCGCAGAGAGUCCCAGUAAAACCAUCUCUCUUAAGUUCCUCUGUAUCCAAACAAUCAAUUGCAGCAAGGGUAAAGAAGAAGGUUAGUAUCUAAGAACAUAAUUAAAAACAUAAAGAGCUUAAAAAGUUAGUUAGGAAAAUGCAACCAUCUUAAUUAUCAGAAGGAGAGAGAGAGAGAGAAUGCAACUAUCCAGAAAACUUGAAAUCAAUCACCGGUUAGACUACUUAAACUAGAAAUUAAGCCAAUGAAGCAUUGUCUUGAUGGCAAGCAGUAGACCUUGGAACUUUUAGGUCCCAUGUUCAAGUCUCAGCCUUUGUAGGUUUAAUUAGUUUGUUUAUCAAUGUCUUAUUGGAUAAAAUGUCUUAUUGGAUGCUAAUUUCUACUUGUACAAGUAAUCUAAUUAAAAUGACACUUGAAAUUCAGAAGUUAUGCUAAUUUCAUUUAUCCUUGACCAAAAUCAGAAUAAUUUCCAAAUUAUAGUAUGUCAAAGGAAUUAACGUAUUGGCAAGGCAUAGAACAGAAUUAAAAAAGAAUUACCCAUAUCACAUAAGCUUAAAUGCUAUUGAUUCAAAAUUUCUUUGCAAAAAGGUUCUCAUAUUUAUGAUAACUUCAUAUAUUGGAGUCCAUAAUAAAUGCAUAAUUUAUCAAUAUUUUAUAUUAAAAAUAACACUUCUAUUCUAUGGAACAUUUCAAUAUCUGUCCCAAAAAUAUCAUAUUCUACACUAAUCUCAAUCUUUUCUUACUAUUAUUAUCAUAACUACUACCAUUCCUACUAACAGUACUAUUCUUUUUUUCACUUAAUUAAGCAUAAUCAAGGGCACAAGGCACACAAAAAGUGCUAAGGCCAUUGUAUUCUGUUAUGGCAAAAUAUGCAAAAAAAAAAAAGUGCUCACCCUAGGGAAGCAAAGCAAAAAUUCUUAAAAGAUUAAUAAAUGGCCAUAAAAACAAACUUAUAUUUAUUAUACCUAAAAACUUGCAUUAUACAAUUUCUUUAAUCAGCAAAAAAGUGCUGACACCAUUCUGUUUCUUAAUGUGCCAUAAAUAUCAAACAUUAGUAAAAGUCAUCAUAAAACUCUAGCUGUAAGUUCUCUCACUUCCAUCACCAGCAAGAAUUUAUACAUGGACGAUAUUAUACUUUCCCUGUACUUGAAAAAGACACGCUCAUGUAUCAUAUUUCUUUGUUGAAGAAACACCAUUGAAGAAAACAUAAGAGAAGCUAAGACACAGGAAUAAGAAUACAAGGUAUGGGUACUGACAUGAUGACAUAGCCAUUUUCAAAAUUUUAAGAUACAAUAACAAAAUAUGAUAUAUGCAUAUAUAACAAACACACUGAACCUUUUCCAACUAUUACAGGGAUCACCUACAUGGAUAUUAUUCCAUAUUUAAAAUCAUAUGCUCAAUCAACUUAGUAAAAAUGAGCCUUUUCUUUCUUUAUGAUAUUCAUCCAUCUCCUAUGAAGCACGAGCACACCUUGCACCCUGUGUGUCCAUGUUGGACACUGUCCAAACACAAACACUCUUCCGACAUGGAGGCAAUGUGUUUACACAUAGAUAACGUAAAAUGGCAUGAAUCAAGGCCAAAGCCCUGUAAGAUUGAACAUUAUAAACAUUUUUCCCCUUUUCUUUUAUCUCUGUUAUAGGAUAUUUCCUUCAAUUCACCAUCACAUUUUUCCAAGAUGCAACCCAAACUAGAAAUAGAUGUAAGUGAGAGGGAGCAGUGUCCAUUCUUCAUAGAAAAGAACUCAAAUAAUGCAUUCUUUUUCUGUGCCUUUUGCAUUUCAAGGCAAAAACUUACUGACGAAAAGCAAGCUGCCUCAAUAAAGACCCCUAGAGAGGUUUAAGUUAUUUUUCCUAGAUUGCACUACACCUUGGCACCUAGGCACAGGGCUUGACUUCACAGCUAAAUUGAAAUUAUUUGCUCAAAUUAAAAUUAUUUGCUCAUAUACAAUAAUGUGACACAAUAAGAAAAUUCGGGAAAAAUAUAUACUAGUAAAUAAUAAAGCAUGUACACAAACACAUAGAUAGAAAUACAUUUAUAUAGAAAAUAGGUAUAUAAUCCAUCAAAAUAUAUAUAUAUAUAUAUACUUACAUUCAAUCAUUGUGGCCGUAGUUGCGUUUUUGGUUGCAUCGCAUUUAUCGCGAUUGAGGAUGAAACAGAUGCUAUCACAAUCAUUGUGCUCAUCGCGAUUGUGAACUUUUUUCAGUUUUGCACAACUUAUCGUAAAGCAUAGUAAUCAUAAUUAUAAUAAUAAAAACUCAUUUUUAACGAUUUUUAAAGUAAUUUAUAACACUCUUAUGAUCUUUUAUUUAUAUGAAAAAAAAUAUUAUUCACAAUUUUUUAUAUUAUGUUAAAACAUUUGUAGUUAGAAAAACACUAAUUCUUAUAUCUAUAAAUUUCUACAAAUACAAUUAUUAAAAAUUAACAAGGUAAAACAUGUUAAAUGUGCUUAUGUCUAUGAAUUGUUGCAAUUCACAAUGUUACUCAUUAAAGAUGGCUAAUGUUCAACUUUUGGAUUAAUGAACUUUUUUAAAGAGUAUGAAUCUAUAUAAAUAUAAAUUUUUACUUAUUAACAAUUUAAAGACUAUAAUUCUUAAUUUAUAUAAUUUAUUUUACCAUAUUUGUAUAUAUAGAGUGAUUAAUUUUGCAAGCUUUUUCUAGAUUGUCAUUGCCAAAAUAUAAGGUAAUAGGCCUCUUUGAAUGGAAAAUAUCCAUUUGCAUUAAUUAGAAAUUGCAAAUAUAAGACAAUGGGCCACUCAAAUUUUCAUUAGAUUGUUUUCCUCAAAUUUCACCACCUCAAUCUCCCUCUUAUUUUCAUCAAUUUUUUCUUUUCUGCUUAGAAUUCCUCUUUUCUAUCUUCUCCCUACCACCUUUCCCCUUUUCUCUCCCACUUCUAUUUCCACUUCUUUCUUCUCCAUAUUCUACCAUUCUACCAUUCUACCAUUCUACCAGCCACCAAGAACCAACAACCACCACCCUCUUCUCAUCCUGGCGGCACUAAUGGCCACCAUCUCACAACAGCAGCCACCACCUCCUUCUCUCUUCUCCGCUUGGUGUCAGAUUUCCAACCACCACAAGCAUGUUGGAAGUCCAAGGCUAUAUCACACUGCUAAAGCCGAAUUAGCUCAGGUUAGAUUAUUUGUCAAAGUUACUUACCUUCAAUUAUUUGUUCUUGAUCUUUAUUGAGUUUGUUUGAAGCUAAUUUUGAGUGAAUAAUGUAGGUCUAGGGUCCUUUCUCCGUUUUGGGUUUUUUGCUGUUGAUUUAGACAAAAUGAUUUUUUUUAUUGUUCUUGUACAAUAUUUCUGGACGGAAAAUGGAUUAAUGCCAAUAACAGACUAUUAUUUCCGCCAUUACACCAUUUUUCACAUUGUGAUUGUGCCACUACAGACAUGAAUAAAAUUCAUAGCCAUUUUUUAUGGAAUAGCAGCGGCAAAGGGUGGCGCCACCGCAAAAUAGCAGCCACUACACUGCUAUCAUACCAUUAUUUAAAACCCCGCUCAAGGCAUUUCACUCUGAUUAAAUUUUACUUUCCUUGAUGUUAUGCACUACGCUAAUAAGGUUUUACUUUCUGCAAUUUGACUUACCAGGCUCUAGUGCACUAAUUCCAGACCUACGUGACUGAGUGCAUACCUUCAGUGUUCUCAACUGCACCGAAUGCCCAAGAAUAUUCAUAAGCCUAUUGAUUAACUCCUCUGAUAUUUUCCCUUGGCUUGACUGCUGAAAUUACCAUAGAAAUGGUUUAGAAACUAACCAUAACUUUUAACUGAAAUUGAAACCCCUCCCCCCCACCACCAAAAUAAAAAAAAACACAAAGCUACUGAAAUAACAGAACAGGCAAUUUUUUUUUCUUACUGCUAAUCUGGCAACUUUAGCAAGCUUCAGCUUCACUUCACGAGGCAGCCUUCUUUUAAGAGCUGCAGAUGAAGCAUCUACAUCCUGAACUUCCAUGGUUGCCGGUCUCACUGUCAUGAAUAUUGAGCAGACACCAGCUAGUUACAUAGAAUAUAUCUUAAACUUCUUCAUAAAGUAAGAAAUUAAACAACCUAAGCUAACCACAUAACUCACAUUCUGCAACAACUUUCUCCAACUCUCUUAUGGCCCUUUCAAGCAUUGUUCCUUUUGGCCUCAAAUUAGAAACAUCCUUUGACUGCACAAAGGGACUUUUCUGGCAAUUUUGAAUAUAAGAUCACCUUAAUUAGUCUAAGCACAUGCAAAUCAUUAUGCAACCAUGAAAGAGAUGAAAAACACAUUUACAAGGAUAAGAUAUCAAAUGUACCAGCCUUUAUACCUUAGAAAGAUAACAGCGAAGGGGAGCUUAGCUGGCACAGGGCCCCCAAUUAAUGUUUAGAAGUUAGUUUAUAGGCAUUGUUUCUCACCUCAAUUAAAAAAUUAAAAAAAAAAUUUGGCCCCUAAAAGAGUUUACAAUGUGGUCCCCCUUCUAGCGUACAAGCCUAGUACUAUGUGGUUAACAAUUUUUAAACUCAAAAGUCUUCUAUCCAUGGGUUCUACCAAUUUGCAACAAUUUUAAUCAAAAUAUUAUUAGUUUGCUUGUGUUGGACUCUUUUCCCGCAACAGUUCAUACACACUAACAUUAGGCUCCUUAAUUAAAGAGCUAGUACUUAGAUGUCCUGUUACAAAAACAAUUAAAAUAACUAAAGAAACUGUGAACCACACAGCAGCCAAGAACUUGAUACAGAUCAAUUGCUCCAACUUCUAAAGCUUACCAUUUUCUCCAUCAGUAAUUAAAAGAAAGAAGAAAGAGAUCAAUUGUGUAUAAGUAAUUUUCCGGUCAUUAUUACCUUUUUAUUUCUUUUCCAUAAGCCAUGUAACUUAUGUCAUCACAUUUACUUUAGUCACACAUAAGAAAUAUCCCAUCGCAUGGAUAUUUCCAAUCUGCUAGCAAAACAAAAGGAGGUAUACCAGAACAUAUGAUCUGAUUAGAGGUAUGCCCCAAAAGUUGAGGAUACAAUUUUGAUUGUUUGCAUUUAUCAUCAGGUCUAACUUUAAGAUCAUAAAGAAAAGGCAAUAAAUUAUCUAUAUUUUUAAGAGUGUAAGUUAAUCUACUCAGACUUGACUUGCUAGUUGCUCAUAGUCAACUGAACUGCUAUUGAGUCAACUGAACUGCUAUUGAGUCCCAUUAAUUUAGAGCUUGCUAAAACUUGGUUUGAGCAGCUAGCAAGCCCACUCAAGUAGCUGACUUUCACUAAUUUAUUUUGCACUCAAUCUAUAAUUUUACGUAUAGGGAUUUUAGUCCAAAAACUUGAAACUUGUGAUUAACCUUGAUCCAGCUAAAUUUUCAGUCAAUAUUCAUUUAGUCAAGGUGAGAUCAAGUAUCUCCUCCAGUCAAGUAAGAUUAUAGAAAAUGGAACUCAAUCAAGUCAAGUUUUGACCACCAACUCACUAUGUCAAGUUGAUCAAUCAAGAUUACCCCCCACAAUGCAGUACUGCUGGCAAAUUCAAAUUUAUUAAGCAACAGAUAAGGACUAAGGAGCUUAGAAUGUUCUUAAUUAUUGGCAAGAUUUGAACACCAGUAUUUCCAGUAGUUGCAUCAACACUAAAGCAAAUGCCAAAGUCAUCCAGUAUUACAGAUUAUGGUAGGAUAAAUAUACAUGCAUCAUUAGAGGAAGUAGCUCAGCUAAUCAUAGAAUGAGAUUAAAGAAUUUUAAACUAGAAAUAUAGCUAAUUAUAAUAUUUUAAUUUCAAAUUGUAAAUAGGAAUCAGUUAUAUCAAAGACAGAGGCACUUCACACAUGGAAAUGGCCUCAACAUUGAAUUACUUGAGACCACUUAUUGUGACAAUUGACAAAAUAAGAUCAAGUCUACACAUUCUUCUUGAAAUUUGGAGAUACAAUUGCUUACCUCUGGUUGCGCUGGAUAAACAGGAAGAUUAAGAUCUGGCAGUUCACCACAUGUUGCCCUUUUCUCCCUCUGCUCUAUUUUGGUGGAAAUUCCUUCUUUAUCAUUAUCAGUCAUCAAUUUUCUCACUGGAGACUCAAGUUGUUUACAAGAAUUUUUUUCCAGAUACUUCUGAUGGGUUGCUAGAGAGUUUGCAUUAUUUCCUAUAUCACUAGAGUGGAUGGUUGCACUCCUAUACUUAUCAGCAUCCUUUGAAUUUAGUGGAGAUAUAGAAGCAUCAUUAUUUGAGAUUGCUGUGUAUGAAGAAUGCUCACACUUAGUUCCAAUGGUAGCAGGCUUCUUAAAAGAAGAUCUUACAGGAGAACUCAACAGGUUAUGCAAUUUCUGAUCAUGUUCAUUAAUAACAGCUGAGUUCUGCAAGAGAGCAGAAGAUUGUUCUUCAAGCAGAGCAUUUGUUGCAGCAAAAUUUAGCCUCCCCUGUUCAACUUUCAUAUGUUUACUGGGUAAGUGAUCAUCAACUUUCUCUCCUUGAGCUUCGGCCAUAUUUUUACUCCGUUUUCUUGAUUGUUGAGCUACUGACAAUACAGGUUCAUUUCUGGACCAAAACAAUAUAUCAUUAAAAAGGAGUCAAAUUGACAAUCAACCUAACUAAUUAUUUUCUCAAACAAAAAGUACAACAUGAAUAACUAUUAAAAUCGGCAAUUAAAAAAAAUUAAGACUCACAAAUCAGUGAUUAUAUUCUCAAAGUAAUAGCUCAUGUUGAAAAAACUAAAGUUAUGCUUUUAAUAGCUCAUGGUUUAAUUGAAAACAAUAAAGAUAAAACAUUACUCCUAAAAAGAAAAAAGUUAAUUGUACAAGAGCUAAGCAACAAGUGUUGUUACAGCUUUCCCAGCUUAAGUAUUAAAUUCUCUUUUUAAGUAACUAUAAUGAACAAAGUGUUGGAGAAGGAAGGUUCAAGUUCCACUUGCAAUACUCUCCCACAAUGUCCUACAACACUACAAGUUUUUGAAGUAAUUGCUAACAAGAUAUUCAUUUGCAACAAUUACAUUUUAUAUAUGACAUCUCCCUCAAAUUCAGUACCACUGGGCAUGUGAGUGAAUUCCAUCUUCCUUUAGGAUCUUUAUUGUCAGUUUUCACCUAGCUCCAUGAAGUGCCAAGGCACCUUCCUAUGCCAUUGCCUUUGCUCAUAGUUUUGAAGUCUGGACAUUUAAAUUAUGACAUAAAAGCACCCAUAUUGAAGAAAACAGCACAGAGAGUUUGGAAUUUCAUGCUUCUAAUCAACCCACCAAAAUGAAGAAUUUGACUUAAAAGUCAAUCUCAAAAUAGAACCAACCUGCAAGCCCACGAAAUCCAAGUCACAUAUACUUGGAAAGCUUGAUAAGUCUAGUUUCUAAAUCAUCAAACCAUUCAUGAAUUGGAAUUUCCUACGAGUUACAAGUUUGACCAAAAUGCGCUGCUAAAGGCAGAAUCCAGCAUUUUAGGUGUCUCUUUCCAUUUCAAUGACUAGAACAAGUUCUACUUGUAUAUUUUUUAAAAGUUUAAUUUUGAUCGUCACCUAUUCCUGAAGGGUUGUUGCAUGGCUGGUAAUUAUUUUCCAUUCAUUGUAUUGAAAAUUCAGACUUGAGUAUGAGUAAAAUUCAAAGCUUUGUGCUUUUAAGAAGAAAUUAUCCUCUUAACUUUGAACUCUUUUGUGUGAAUUCCUUAUAGUGGUGAGUUUGUUUGCUUUCCAUAUCUAGGACGGGCUAAUCCCGUGAGCUGUAUGAUUUCUUUUGUUUCCUCUGCAACCCGGUAUGAAAAUUUGCAGGGCCACCAUCAGGGUAAUUCAUCACUCUCCUCAUCAGGUACUUUCAUCAGUGUCUGUUUUAUGAUUCCCAUCUUCAACCUUCUUUUGGUUUAAUUAUUUUUCCACGUUCAGGUUCCACUAGCACUUAAAGAAGGUUCUAUGCCUAGUUAGAUUAGAACCAAAGAGUUUUUUGAAGCAAAAGGGUAUCAAAAAGUAGAUAAAAUUUGGGUUACCAAAAAUUAAAUUCAGCUAUCAAUCACUACUCCUCCUGAUAUUCCUAGGUAGUGUUGCAGCAAAAAGCCAAAUAAAAAUUUAUAAUACUUCAAUUAUAAAAAGGGAUAGCUCAUAUAACUUGUUUUAAUUGCAUGUGCAACACGCACAUGAACCGUAUCUUAAUUACUUAAGUGAGAACCAUACAGUUUAUAAGUUAUUUUUUUGGAAGAAUUGACCACUAAACUAGUAAAAUGCAGAUUCCAUUAUUUAUGUACUCUACCAAUUGUUUUCAACUGAAGUUUUCUUAUUAAUAUUUUUUGGUCGAUUUUUUAAAAUAAUUAUUUUUUAACCCCAAGUAUUCUACUAAUUUUAGGAUUUAUCACUUUAUUACAGGUUCAUAGUUGUUUAACCACAACAGAGUUCAACAUAAUACUAUAUAUUCUUAGAUACUCAUCCCUUUUUAAGUGUUGACCUUGCUAUACUACAAUAAAAUAAGAAUUCUUCACCUUCAAGAUCUUGCUUUCUUUUUGCUACCAUUCUCAUAGGCUGCUUUAGUUUAUUGAAAUAAGAAUUCUCUUAUUUUCCCAAUCAUCAAGCACAACUUUUUCUUGGACUCAUUUCUCUUUUUUUUUUCCUUCUCGUAGAUUGCUUUCUUGUACUGAAAUAAGUCUAUCAAUCAUAAAACACUGUUUUUUGAGAUUAUAAAAACUACUUUUAAUAACUAUAAUUUUAUAAAACAGUUUAAAUGGUAUAAUUAUAAAUUAAUGAAAAGAGGAAGUGUAAUAUAGUCAUCACAAAAGUUUUAUACCCCUCAAGCCACAUUUAUAUAUGGUAUAGAUUUUGCAGAUGCAAACAGAUGGAUGCAAAAACCUAUUGAAGCUCAUAAUUUUAUUCCACAAGCAAACCAAGAGAGUUUUGCCAUCUCUCUGCCAGAAUACUAGGCAACACAAAUAAAAGAAUCCUCAAUGCUGGUUGUUUGCAUUUUACAACUCAUAAAGCCCUGCUUACAUGGCAGACAGCCCUCGAACCUUCCCACAGAUAUGAAACUCCAAAGAAUCAUAGUACAAAUUACAUAUUUCCCAAAAAUUUUGUAAAAAAUUGGAUAUUUGCCACAAUCAACACAGUGAAAAUAAAAAUAAAAACAGAAAAUCAUUCUUUUAACUCCAUCUACAUGAGAUUUUGAUAUGUUGCGUAAGAACUUAUGCUUAGUUUAGACUUUUAUUGGAGCAUAUUCUUGUUAACAUUGUUAAAUGUUAAAUAAAAUAAGGAAGAAAACAAUUACUACAAACACCAAAUAUAUCUUUCAAUGACUAAGCAUGCUACUAACAUUAACAUUCAUUUUUUCUUGACAUUACAUCCCAUAAAAUUUGAAUAGUGGAAACCAAAAGACAUGGCUUCUUAAUUAUGGCUAAGGAAACCAACAAUUACUAAUUAUUCUCUUUUAAAGAUUUUGGACUGAUUAAUAAAAAAAUUUUCAUAAUUGAUAUAUCAUUUAUCAAUUAUACUUUAGAUUAAAAACUCCAAAAAAAGCUAUCGUUUUCCUGGAUCGUCCCAACAGCCAAGACAUGAAAAGCAUAUAAAGAAGAAUGAUUUAAAUAGUGAAAAAAAAAAAAAAAAAAAAAAAAACUCACAUGCAUUCCAAUUUCUCAGAGUUUACAAGUAAUCCAUUUUGCUUAAUUGUUGACUUGUCAUCUUGAAAACAUUCAUCCUGCAGAACAAUGGACAAAUGAACGUCUUUAGCGAUCAAUUAACUACUUUUGGUAUCUUAAGAAUAGAUGAAAACCACCAGCAAUGCAAUGAAAAAAGUACUAUUGAAAAGCCACAAUCGAAAUAUGCUAGCAAAAGCACAAACAAAAAGAUCUGCCAAUUGAAUCAUAACAGUUUGACCUGCAAAUGAGCUAUUAAUUCUUGGUAAAAAGGCAAGGCCCAAAAUUCUAGGGAGCAUUUCAUCUACAAUUUUUUUUAUUACAAUCCUACAAUUGUCCAAUCACAAUAAAAAAUUAUGUAGGGUCCACCACUUAUAACUGUAGACUCCACAUAAAAUUUUGAUGGAUCCCACACUAUUAUGAAUUAUGAUUAAUUAUAUUACAAUGACUAUAGAUGAUAUGCUCCCCAAAAUCCAACUUGAAAAAUGAUUACCAAAAAUAAAGGUACUUGACUUUUAUAAGAUUACUACUUUACCCUCAAUAAUAACUUUAUUUUGUCUUUUAGUUGUAAUUUAUAAAACAUCAAGGGAUAUAAAAGAAAACUUAACAAUAAACUCAUUUCUAUUUGAAGGAUAAAAAAAUUGGGACUUCCAAAAAAGAAAAGAACAACAAAAGAAACGAGAGAGUUUUGACCUAUUAUAAUUCCUUUACAUAUCAUUUCAACAAAGAAAUCUUGUAUGUAUAGCUGAUUGUAUCAACAAUCUCAAAUAUUUUGGGCAAGUACCUAGCACUAUGGGGUCCAAAAAAUGGCAAAUACUUCACCCAAAAUGCUGCUUCAAACAAAUCGAUGAAACUUUAAAUUAUAUGAAAGUGGUGGAUAAGGCAAAUCACCCUCUAUAGCUCUUCAUCUAUGAAUGGUAGACAUUGAAAUCGGACUUCAAUGUCAGUUUUUUUCCCAUAAUUUGUCUAAACACUGAACACCCUCAUGCACACAUGUGCUCGCACAAACAAAAGAACCAAUUGCCUUAAUUCCUCAGCAAAUGGAGUCAUGAUUAAAAAAAGUGUAAAAAGGAGAUUUAAAAUUUUCACUCUUUUAAGAGACUAUAUUUGGAAAGUAAAUCAAUAGUAACAGAACCAGUCAAGGAUAACAAAUUCAUUAAAAUAACUAAUAAAACAAUAAAGUAAGAGAUAACAGCCAAAUUUGUAAGAUCUGCUGAAUUUGCAAUUUUAAACUAAUGUCCAUUAUAUUACAAGCUCAAAAAAGGAAUUAGAUCCCCAAUAUAUCCUUAAAGAAUAUUAAUGCUUCAUUUGGAACAAUUCUUCAAUGCCUUAACAACAGCCAAUUUACUACUUACAACCAACAAAGAAAAGCAAAGCUCGUAAGUCAAAAUAGAAGGAAAAAAAAAAAAAGAAGACCUGACUGGCUUAACGUCCUUUCAACAUCCUUUUCUUAAAUAAGCACCCUUUUGAUUGGCCAACAAGCAGAAAUACAGCAAAAACAAGCAUAAGAGACAAUCUUCAAUGCAUGCACACAUACAUAUAUACAUAUAGACAGAAAUAUAUAUAUAUAAAAGAAACUGCAGACACGCUUAAGCCUCAAAGGCAGUAAAAGUAAAAAAUGAGGAGCAGAGGCUAUUAGCGCCUUACAACAUCAUUCUCACAUGAGCAAAUUUUGAGAACUCAUUGGGAAGUAUAUUCAAGCCCACAGCUGCCAAUUAUUUAUUAAAAAUAAGUAUUGUUCUAACUUAGAAGGCUUCAUAUCUCUACCUUUUUGCAUAUUGUACAAGGUGUAAUAAAGUUGAAGUUAGCCUGUUACUGUGGGAAAACACUUAUUUACAGCUGGUUGUAAUCUUGUAAUCUGUAUAUUUAUAUUUGUAUCUCUAGAAUUAAGUAUUUGUAUCCCUAAAAUUAUGAUAGACAAUCUCUCAAUUAUAGGAUUAGUUUUUUAGGAAGAUUUAAUUUCCUAGUUUAACCCCUAGUUAGUUAUAUAUAAACCUAAGAUUCUUGUAUAAUUCUCAAUAAGCAGUUUUCCAACAUACAUUCAGUUUUCACACUGAUUUAUUUCUUAGUUUUUCCACAAAGGUAUCAGAGCUUUAGGUUCUUCUUGGGAAGCAAAAUUUUCAGCCUUCAUUGCCGACUUUUUUAGGCCUUCAUUGCCGAAUCCUGUUUAGGCCUUCAUUGCCAAACACUUUCAAAGAAAAAUAUCACUACCACCCAAUUUGAGAAAAUGUUAACUGAAAAAAUCACUGGAAUACUACAAAUGUCUCAGAAACAAAGAGAGUUCGACAGGGAAGAGAUUAAAAAGCUAAGAAACUUAUUGAAAAUCCUUGAAAAGCCUACUGUGAUAUGUUCUUUGGGUAAGGUUUCUAGUUCAGGUAAAGCUUUUCGGUUCUCAUGAAUUAAAUGUCUCGACUAAGCCUAUUACGAGCUCUUGGGUCAUUGACUCAGAAGCCACAGACCACAUGACACAUUCGUCACAAAAGUUUAGUACAUAUAACAUGUGUCCUAGUAAUAAGAAAAUUGUUGUUGCAGAUGGUUCACUUACCAUAGUGGCAGGAUUAGGAGAUGUUCAAGUUAAUCCCUCGUUUGUUCUCAAAAAUGUUCUUCAUGUUCCUGGAUUGUCUACUAAUCUGAUAUCUAUACAAAAACUUACCAGAGAUAUGAAUUGCAAAGUAACUUUUUAUCCCUCUUAUUGUGAAUUUCAGAACCAGAGUUCGGGGAAGAUGAUUGGACUUGCUAAGGAGAAGGAUGGACUAUAUUAUCUUGAGACAUCAGAUAACACAAGUAGUAUCAAGAAUAGUUUACCUUUGUCAUUUCUUUCUGAAAAAUCUUCCAAUAAAGACAAAAUCUAGCUUAUCAUUNNNNNNNNNNNNNNNNNNNNNNNNNNNNNNNNNNNNNNNNNNNNNNNNNNNNNNNNNNNNNNNNNNNNNNNNNNNNNNNNNNNNNNNNNNNNNNNNNNNNNNNNNNNNNNNNNNNNNNNNNNNNNNNNNNNNNNNNNNNNNNNNNNNNNNNNNNNNNNNNNNNNNNNNNNNNNNNNNNNNNNNNNNNNNNNNNNNNNNNNNNNNNNNNNNNNNNNNNNNNNNNNNNNNNNNNNNNNNNNNNNNNNNNNNNNNNNNNNNNNNNNNNNNNNNNNNNNNNNNNNNNNNNNNNNNNNNNNNNNNNNNNNNNNNNNNNNNNNNNNNNNNNNNNNNNNNNNNNNNNNNNNNNNNNNNNNNNNNNNNNNNNNNNNNNNNNNNNNNNNNNNNNNNNNNNNNNNNNNNNNNNNNNNNNNNNNNNNNNNNNNNNNNNNNNNNNNNNNNNNNNNNNNNNNNNNNNNNNNNNNNNNNNNNNNNNNNNNNNNNNNNNNNNNNNNNNNNNNNNNNNNNNNNNNNNNNNNNNNNNNNNNNNNNNNNNNNNNNNNNNNNNNNNNNNNNNNNNNNNNNNNNNNNNNNNNNNNNNNNNNNNNNNNNNNNNNNNNNNNNNNNNNNNNNNNNNNNNNNNNNNNNNNNNNNNNNNNNNNNNNNNNNNNNNNNNNNNNNNNNNNNNNNNNNNNNNNNNNNNNNNNNNNNNNNNNNNNNNNNNNNNNNNNNNNNNNNNNNNNNNNNNNNNNNNNNNNNNNNNNNNNNNNNNNNNNNNNNNNNNNNNNNNNNNNNNNNNNNNNNNNNNNNNNNNNNNNNNNNNNNNNNNNNNNNNNNNNNNNNNNNNNNNNNNNNNNNNNNNNNNNNNNNNNNNNNNNNNNNNNNNNNNNNNNNNNNNNNNNNNNNNNNNNNNNNNNNNNNNNNNNNNNNNNNNNNNNNNNNNNNNNNNNNNNNNNNNNNNNNNNNNNNNNNNNNNNNNNNNNNNNNNNNNNNNNNNNNNNNNNNNNNNNNNNNNNNNNNNNNNUUUUCUUCUUGAAGCUUCUGGAUUUUUUACUUUAACUUACCCUUUUCAGACUCAAAUUCUUUUGUCGUAAGCUCUAAGUCUAAUGGUGUCUCUUCAAGUUUUUCUCUUGUUGGUGGUUGAAAGCUUUUAUAAGUGAAUACCAUUUCUUGUCUUUGUUUUGCUCUCCAAACCAAAUACCCUGGAGUGACUUUAUCAGUAAACGAUCUAGGACUCACUCUUCGGGGAUUUUUCCAUGCUUUAAUCAUUUCAUUCAUCCUCUGAAAUUCUUUUGGCUCACUAUAAGAGAAAUCUAACUGAUAAAGCCCAUGCAUCAUAGGAAUGAAACUGUUUUGCCCCAAACUACCUUAUCACUGGGAGUGGUGCAUAAUUUGACGCUCCUCAUAAACCCAAAAGUGGGACCACUAUAUUAUCCCCACAUUGAUACAAUAUAGGCUCACGAUUCAUCCAUGGGGCCAACCACCUUACUUCGAUACUGGUCAAUUUUUGUAGGAAAGUUAUCCAUUCCAUUUUAGAAUUUCAUUCUGACCACCCACUUUCACAGAAUUCCUUGAUCGGGGCUCAAUUACGGACAUAAAGCUUUGAGAAAGCACCUUUUCUCCAUUCGAAAUGGCUUUUCAUCCAUAAGUAUAAUAACUGUAUGCAACCUAUAAAGCGCCCUCCAUUUCGAUGACAGUAACUCAAAGAUUCGAUAGUCUUUGCUAAUAUUACCAUUGAAGGGUUAUAACCAUUGCUCACACUCUCAAAUAAGUCAACCACCACUAUCUCAAUAUAACCCAAAACCUUUGGGAAGAUCAUUAUUUUGUAUAUCGCUAAGGCAAAUACAUUUAACCCCCGUUCUUCGUUGGCAUGUUGCACUAGAAACUCAUGAAAAAACUUUCAAAGUAGGCAAACUUGUUCUUGUUUUUUCUUUGUAUGAGAAUCCACAACUUCUUUGUCUAUUCCCAUGAGUUAAGCCAAACCCUUACUUAAUCCUGACUUGUGUUUUUUGACAUAUAUCUUAUCAGGAGCCUUGAGGUGCAAACCUAACAAAGUCAAAUAUUCUUCGAUCGUUGGUGUCAUAUCAACUUCAUUGAAGAUGAAACACUUGUAUGCAGGAUCUUGAAAUUAUGCUGUAGCUCUGAUUAGUUGAUCAUCGACAACUACUGCUAGAAAGUGUGCUAUAUGCCCGUGUCUCUGGCAAAACUGCUAUUGUCUUGACAGACUCAUCUUCUUUCAUAUAUCAACCAAAUAGAUUAUUUUGUUUGAAGAGGAUAGAUGUUUCUUGAGACAAUGUAGAAUCAUAUCCAAUUGGUAAACAAUCUCUCAUCUUCAGUUGAAUCUUUUCUGACUGGAUUCUUACUUCAUUGGCUGUCUUACAAAGUGUUAAUAUAGAUGAAGAACAAACUAGUCGUUCUGUGGAGUUCAUGAAAAAUUUUUGUUGAAGAUCAUCUUUCAAGCAAAUGUUCAUUAUGAAACUUUAUGACAUGAGCAUAAACCAAUGCAAAAGAAUGAGAGAAAAGAUUAGUAUGCCCAGGGAAAAAAGGAAUAAAUAAAUAACUAAGUAAAUUAAAACAUCACACAAAAUAAGAGGAAUGAACUCUAUGCUUCUAGUUAAUUCUAAAAGGGAAGAAUGAUGGCUCUAUCUAUAGGCUAGGCAUUCUUAAGGUUCACUAUAUGGGGUUUGAGGUUAAAGUCUAAAGGUUCCUAAAUUGCUUCUUACAUUAUUGUCCAUCACAGACUAGUAAGGCACCCUAAUCCUCACCCAUUACAGGCUACAAGCGAAAAAAGUUCAAUUUAAGUGGGAAUAUUUCGCUAGCCACUACGGAGGCAUUAAACCUCAUGAAAGCAAUAGGUACUUUACUCCCUCUUAGAAGGAUGGAGCUCAAGUAUAGAGCUCAUGUUAUGCAUAUGCAUAUGAAUGACAUAAUUAAUAAAGUAAAUAAACAUGAGUGAAUAAAAAAAUCUAUACAGAAGGUUCAAUUUUAUUAGGCUUUUGGAUAACACAAAUUUAUUUGCUGGCUUGACUCUCAAGUAUCCCUAGUGGAGUCGCCAAGCUGUCAAAACGUCUAGAUUUGGGGAUCUAUCGCUAGACAUUGACUUGAAGGAGUCGCCACCAAUCUUUUUUAUCUAAGUAUGAUUGGCCACUUAAGGAAUCUAUCCUUUUAGGGAACACCGAGUUUAAAGGUCCCUAAAAGAAUAGGUUUAGGUCUACUAACCAGAACAGGAUUUGAGAGUUCAAUUACGUGUGAGGAAGGUUAUAGCACCCUCACAAUGCCCAUUGAAAAAUAGUACCAGCUUAAUUUUGUGUUAUCCAAUAAGCCUUAAAAAUUUACCAAGUAAUUAAUUAUUGAAAAUUAUUCUCAAUUGACUCUAAUACUUUUAGCAAAAAAUUGAGAAAAUCUCCUCACCUCAAGAGUGUGCAAGAAAACUAUUGUCUCACUUGCAAAGGCUCCAUCGUCGGAUUAUUUAACAUUAAAGAAAAUUCAAGAAAAUAAAAAAGAAGAAAAAAUGAUUGCUUUUAUAUAGGGAAAAUUGAUACUUUCAACUUUUCCUCAAAAAAACCAUUUUAUAAAACUUAUUUUUAAGGAAAACUGAUACUUUCAACUUUUCUCCAAAAAUAUUUUUUAGAGAGCUUAUUUUCAAGGAAAAUUGAUACUUUCAACUUUUCCUCAAAAAAUAUUUUUUAGAAAGCUUAUUUUCAAGGAAAAUUGAUAUUUUCAACUUUUCCUCAAAAAUAGUUUUUUGAAAAACUUAUUUUCAAGAAAAAUUGAUACUUUCAACCUUUCCUCAAAAAUAUUUUUUUUUGAAAAACUUAUUUUCAAGGAAAAUUGAUACUUUCAACUUUUUCUUAAAAUUUUUUUUUGAAUUUUAUUUAAAGAAAAUAAAAUAAAUAAAAUAAAAUAAAAAGUAUUAAACAAUUCUAAUCUAAUCAAUAAAUAAUAAUAAUAAUAAAUAAAUAAAUAAAUAAUAAAAAAUGAAAAAAAAAACCUAUGAAUGGCUCAGCUUAGCGGCUCGGCUCGGCUCGGCUCGACUUAAGGAAGAAAGGGCGGCUCGAAGAUGCGGCUCGAAGAUGCGACUCAGGGAGUCAGCUUGGCUCAGCUCGGCUCCAGGGGUUGGAUAGCACUCGAGUCACACACGGAUCAAUGCUCGGGUCGGGUUGCUCGAUUUCAAAACGCGCGGAUCCUCUGGGAACAGUAACACCAAAACGACGUCGUUUUUAGCAAAUAUAAAAGGCUAUCCCUUCUGUUUUUUCAACAGAUCUCUCAUCCCCUCUCUCUCUCUUCCCUUGUUUUUCUCCUCCCACUCUCUAAACCAAUGAAGAACUCUGGUUGAAUCUCAUCAGAUUCUAGAAAAUAUGGUCGGAAUCUGGGUUUUUCAUCGAAAGUUCAUCGAAAAGUUGGUCGAUUUCUGGAAACGGUGUCGAAAACUGGGUAGCUGACCGAAAAAAUCAAACUUGGUCGAAAAAGUCACCAGAAAAUUCAAACUUCGACGAAAAAUUCAACCGAAAUCUAAAAAUUUUCCAGAAAUUCCCAGAAAAAAAUCACUAAAAAUUCAAAAAAAUUCCCAUCGAUUCCUAAAGCUAUUCUAACACACAAAAACCUUUUUUUAGCUUCUGUUUCUUCUCUGUGUGUCCUCUUCUAUUUUAUUCUAGCACCUAUUUAUAGGGAUUAAUCAAAAUAGUUUCUGAUCAAUCCCAACUUCUCCUUGGAUUGUGAUUCAAUCCUUGAAUCCAAUAUGGACUCUGAUUGAAUUCCAAAUUCACGGUAGGAUUCCCAAAUUUUCAUCCCAAUCUCAGCCGAAUAAAAAGAAAAAGAAAAUCAAAUUAAAUAAAAAAUUUUAAUAGGUAAUUAAAAGAAAAUAAUUAUAUAAAUAAAAAUCUUAAUAGAUAAAUAAAAAUAAUAAUAUAUAAUAGAUAUAUAAAUAGAUAAGUAAUAAUAAAAGAUAUAUAUUAAUAAAUAGUAAUAAAAGAUAAGUAAAUAAUAAAUAAAUAAAUAAAAUACAAAAAUACAAAAUACAGAAUAAAUAAAAAAAUAAAAAUAAAAUAAAAUAAAAUAAAAUAAAACAAAUUGAAAUGAGCUUACCCAUUUGAACCAUGCCCAAUGGAUUCGGGCUUGGAUCCAAUUGGGUGUCUACAAUGGGUGAUUGUGAUUGGAAUGAAACAAUAAAAAAUUUUCAUCAAUGCCUUUCGUUGCUGUUCCAGACGCAGGCUUGGCAAUGGUGAUGAUAAUAUAAUGAUAAGAGAUUUAAAAAAUGCAACAUAUCUUUCAAAUUUGAAAUAGUAAAAAACAAAUCUAAUCAAUUUUAAUCAAAAUAUACAUUCAAAAUUUAUGGUCCAUAUAUUCUUGAAAAGUGAUUAAAUUAAAAAAAAUUCUAGAAUUGACAUUUUUGAAUUCAAGAUUUAUACAAAAUUUUUCAUAUUUGAUAGGUUUUCAUUUUGAAUUUAAAUAAUUUAUCAAAUAGAAUUACUUUGUAAACCCAUUUUAGAGAUAAUACAUUAUUACAAUUGAGAUUUUUAUAUUUAAAAAAUAUGUUUAUAUUAUUAGGAAAUUUAUUUUUAAUAAAAAUAUAUCUAAAUUAGAUUUUAUUGUUAACAAUUUUAAAAUUAUCCAUGUAGAUAUCCAUAUAAAUUACUUUUUUUGUGGUAAAUUCCUAUGUGUCAAAAAAUGAUAUAUAUAUAUAUAUAGGCAUUUACAUAUCCCAUAAUACUUACAUCUAAAAUUUGAAAGUUUUUGAUAACUAAAUAAUUUUUUAAAUAUUUAUUUCUUGAUAAAUAGCCUAAAAUUAAGAAAUGUCUUAUAUGUCGUUAUAGAGAAAUUUUAAGAAUUUUAUCACAUGUCAAAAAGAAAAACCAUCAAUGUAAGCAAACCUUAUAAUGUAACAAUGUAUCCUGUAAUAUAAUAUAUAUUAUAUAUUUUUAAAAGAUUAUUAGUUAUCCAAGUGAUAAAAAUAGUCAUACUUGACACAGACUCCAAGUCUUAAGAUUUCACAAUGUAUAUAAUAAACUUUAAUUUUCCAUGUGUACAUAUACUAGCAAAGUAAAAUAAGAACAUAAAAUGUCAACCAAUGAUUCUCAUCAUUCAAGCAUAGAAUUAAAUAUCACAUAGAUAUUCCAAGUGUAAAGGGAAAGGUCCAACAUAGAGACAAACCAUGAUGUGUGAGUAUGAAAGACAAAUGAUAUACUCCUAAUAAUAAAUUACAUCAAAAGACCCUAAAAUACCUAUGUUCUCAAUAUGUUUACCAAAUAGUAUAGGUCGUAUUCCCGUAGUCCAAGGAUCAACAAUCAUGUUGAUUGUCUGAAUGUGUUUGACAACAAUCUUACAAUUUUUCAUAAAAUCCCUAACUUUAAAAUAUAUUAUCUCCAAAUGUUUAAACCACUAGUGCUCUUGUUGUUAUUAGAAAACAACAUAGUAGACCUAUUAUCCCAAUAAAUCUUUAAAGGUCUGGGGAUGGAAUUAAUAAUACAAAGGCCUAACAUAAAAUUCAUAAGCUAAAUUGCCUAUGUAGCAGCUCUAUUGCAUGCAACAAACUCAACUUGUAUAGUGAAAAAAAAUAAAAGUGUUUUUUUCACACAUUUCCAAGACAGCUCCUACAGCCGACAUAAAAAAAUACUCUGAGGUGGACUCCAUGUCAUCCUAACUAGUGAAGUUAGAAUUUAUAUACCCUAUUAUCUGAAGAUUGUCCAUUUUUUUGUAUACCAAUGUAUGGUUCUUUUGUCUUUUGCAAGUACCUAAUCACUUUCUUAAUAACAACCCAGUGAUCCAUACUAGAAUUUGAAAGACAUCUCUCAAGAACUCACUUUGCAAAAGCAAUAUCUAGCCUAGUGCAAACUUGAGCAUACAUGAGACUCCCAACUGCACUAGAAUAUGGUAUGAUCUUCAUGGAUUCUUUCUCCAAAUCAUUCUUUGGGCACUGACUAAGGUUAAGUCUAUCACCUUUGACAAUGAGUGCAUUCCUAGCCUUACAGCUCUGUAUGUUAAAUUUAUUAAGCACACGAUUAAUGUAAGACCUUUGCGAUAGUCUCAGCAAAUUGUGAGACCUAUCUUUAUGAAUUUCAAUCCCAAGAACAAGGGAAGCAUUCCUAAGGUUUUUCAUAUCAAAAGUCUUGGAGAAUAACUGCUUAAUUUCAUGUAACAAACCAAUAUCAUUACAAGCCACUAAGUGUCAUCCACAUAUAACACAAGAAAGAUAUAUUUACUCCCCCUAAUUUUAAGGUAUAUGCAUUGAUCAACUUUAUUUUCCUCAAAACUAGGGGAAGAAACUAUCUUAUCAAAUUUUAGAUACCUCUACUUAGAAGCUUAUUUAAGGGCAUAGAUUGACAUUUUAAGUUAACAUACUAAAUGCUCUUUUUCAAAUUCUUGAAAUCUUUUUGGUUGCAUCAUAUAAACCUUUUCUCUAAAAUCACCAUUGAGAAAAGCCAUCUUUACAUCAUGUAAUAAAGUUUCAAGUUAAAAUGUACUACCAAGGCCAUAACAAUCCUAAAGAAUUUUUGGAAGACAUUGGUAAAAACGUUUCGUUAUAAUCUACUCUUCCCCUCUAAAUAAAUUACUUUGCCACCAAUUUAACUUUAAAUAUCUCAAAUUUUUCCUUAGAACCUUUCUUGGUUUUAUACACCUAUUUACAACCAAUGGAUAUAUACUUUUUUGGCUGUUUAACAAGCUCCUAAGCACCAUUUUGAGCGAUAAAAUUUACGCCAUUUUUUAUUACAUCCAUCCAUACAUUAAAUUACAGACUGCUAAUAGUUUCACCAAAAGUCACAAGGUUAACAACAUGACUAAUGUCAUAGUCACUCUCUCAAUGAUAAAUUACAUAAUCAUUAAAGAUGUCGGAUCUUCUUUGCUUGGAAGAUCUCUUAAAAGGUAUUUCAAUAUCAUUCUUUUGAACUUGAAGUACAUCAGUAGGAAGAAGGUUUAUGUCCUAUUGCCUUGAUCUCUUCUUUCAAUGGCCACUGGCAUAAUAUGGCAUUGUAUUAUAGGUAAAGCGAUGGAGGUAUGUCUAAUAGAUUCACAAUUAUCCACAUCCUCUAUCACACUCUUAUCAACAACAUUUAGUUCAAGAAACUUUGCCACAUAUGACUCUACAAACUUUGUUCCACGUAUAGGACAAUAGAACUUAUAUCCCUUAAAGUGAUCUAGAUACUCUAAAGAAAAGCAAUAAGUACUCUUAGGUUCAAUCUUUCUUUCAAAAGGUUAUAGAUUCUAACUUUUGCAAGACAUCCGCAAACCUUAAAAUGGUUCAAUUGGGGUUUCCUACCAGUCUACAAUUCAAAAGGUGUUUUAGGAACAGAUUUACUAGGUACUCUAUUAAGUAUAUACAAGGCGGUAUUAAUACCUUCACCUCAAAAAGACUUAAGAAGAUUGGUCCUACAUAUAAGCUCCUUAUCAUACCCUUAAGGGUGUAAUUUUGCCUUUCGACCACACCAUUAUGUUCAAGACUACCAAGCAUAGCAUAUUAAGAAAAAUCUGACAUUCUUGUAAGUAUUUAGAAAAUGGUCUCAUAUGUUUAACUAGUUUCGCCAUAUCUACCAUCAUACUCACCAUCUUGGAGCUAAUGACUUUGAUAACUUUCCCUAAUUAUUUCUCUACCUCAAUUUAAAAAUUUUAAAUUUUUUAAAAGCAUUUCGAUUUUCAUCAAUUAGGUAAAGAUGCCUAUAGCAAAAAUAGUCAUAAAUAAAAGUAACAAAAUAAUUGUUACCACAAAAGAUAGAUAUAAGAGGUCCACUAUUAUCAGUGUACACAAUUUUCAAAAGGUCAAAAUUAUAAAUUGCCUCAUUUUUCUUAGUCUUAGUUAGUAUAUGUUUUAUACAAUCAAGACAAGUGUCUAACUUUUCAAAAUCAAAGGAAGGUAAAGUACAAUUUUUUAUCAAUUUUUGCACUUUUUCACUAGAAAUGUGACCUAAUCUUUUACGCCACAACAAAAAAGACUUUUCUUUAGUUAGAUAUUUUUAAGAUACUGUCUUUUCCACAUUAUUGCAACUAUAUUAAUUAUCAUAUGCCAAGCACGGUUUGUAUAAAUUGUCAAUUAGUUUAAAUUCAUCAACAAUGAAUUUUCUUUAGUCAAAGAUUUUUUAGUCACUAUUUUUUUAACAUUAUUGCAACUAUAUUAAUUAUUGUAGGCUAAGCACAGUUUAUAUAAAUUGUCAAUUAGUUUAAAUUCGCCAACAACAUUUGAAUUUUAAAAACAAAUCAACUUUUCCAUAUCCAAGCCAAAAUAAAUAACCAUGUUCUUCAAAAUAAAAACUAAAUCAAAUUCCUCUUAAAUGAAGGUGUAUGAAAAACAUUUUGCAAAAUAAGUUCAAAGCCAGAUUCUAAAUUUAAGCCUAUUGUUCCUACAUAAUUAAUGGCUACUUCAGUAUUGUUUCAAACUCUAUGUGUUGCCCCUUUCUCACUUAGCUUUCAUUUGUUUUUGAAUCAUAGCAAAGGUAACAAUAAUAUGAAUAGUUGCACCACUAUCAACCUACUAGGAAUUUGGUAGGCCAUUGACAAAUUAGGAUUUAAAACAAACGAGAGCUAGUGAGUUACCUUCUUGUUUAUUCUUUUUCUUUAACCAAGCUUGAUAUUUAGGGUACUCAUGUUUCAUAUGACAUUUUUUUUACAGGAAAAACACUUGAUAUCUUUCUUAAUGACAACUUUAAGCCCUGUCACCUUUUUUGUCUGACCACUACCUUAUCCCUUGUUUUCUUGAACUUUCUUGUGAGCAUUAGGAACAAAUUUCCCAGAUUUUUCAUAAUUUCUUUUGUAAUUAUAUUUGGAGUAUAUAGUAAAAAAAACACUCUCACCCUUUUCUUUCUACAGUUUUUCUUCUUUAGAGACAAACUUUUAAGUAAGAUCAUUAACACUUCAAAACCUCAUUCAUAGCAUUAUAGACAGUUUUGAUCUGAGUGAACUCCAAAAGUAAGGCAUUGAAGGCAUGAUGAACAAUGAAUUUAUCAGGAAGGUCGAUUUCAUGAUAAGUCAAUUUGGUUUGAAUGUGGACCAUUCUCAUGAUGAAAUCUCUAGCACUUCUAACACUGUCAUACCUUAUACUUGUAAGCUCACUCAUAAGGUUCUUAGUUUUACACUUAUUGGAUUUUUGGUAUUUAUUGGCUUCAGCAUGGUAAAGAUCCCUAGCAAUUUUUGUGGUAUCCAACUCACUCAAAAGGUAUUCAAAAAUAGAAAUAUUAAUGACAUAUAGAUGCAUAUGAUUUGUCCUUUCCCAUUCGGGAAAAUAUUCUUUUUGUUUAGCAAUGCUUUCAUUAGUAAAAUUAACUAGCUUUGAAAAACGUAAGGCUACGUCUAUCUCAUUUAUAACUAAAGCAAAAUUCAAAUCUUUAUUCCAUUUUUUAUAAUUAGACCCAUGAAGAACUUUAAUAGUGGCUUAUUGUUAUUGAUAAUAAAAGUCAACAUUCAAGAUAAAAAUGCAACAUUAGUAAAUGGCGAUAUGAUAAAAUAUAUAGCAACAGUUCAUGAUGUACUAACAAUUAUUGAAAGGUCUUGGUACAUCACCACAAACUCCUUUUCGGAUAAAGAAUGUAAUAUGCAAGUAGGAACUUUUCGCGUAAAGCUAAUACGAAAAUGUGCUAGCUUUUAAAAAACAUAUCCCCUUCGGGCAUAUAGAUUUUCUAGAUUGGUACAACUUCAACCAUGAUGAUUUAUAUUCCAAAACAAAUUACCCUAUACAUUAACCCCCUUUAGGCAGUAAAUUGCAUAAGAUAAUUUAUUAACCAUCCCGUAACCAUAGAAUGAUAAAAUAUUACAUUAAUUUCAAUAAGUGAGCUACUUUGAAAACCAAAUAUUGAUAUCAAUUAAUAAAGAUUUUUUCAAAUAAAAAAAUUUCAUUAAUUGCCCAAAACUCUCAGUUUACAAACUCAACCAUAAUGUGUGCAAUGGAUUAUCCCAACUAAAAAACUAAGCUUAAAUGUAUCUAAUUAGGUCUUAUAUGCAGUAUACAUUAAAUUUAAACUAGUGUCUUGAAUUUUUUUUAAAAUCAAUUUUUAAUUACUAAAUCAACUAUGCACUUAAGAGCACAUAAAUAUCAAGGCCUAUUUAGGAAGAAUGCCUACUAUCAUUAGACUCUCAUCAUACCAAAAUAUUUUAUCACAAAAUAAAAUAAUAAAAUAAUAUGUAUAACAUAUAGUAAUUAUUGAGCAAUGCAUGAAUGUCAAACAAAUAUUCAUGUAGUUUAAAAAUUUUUUAAAAAAAAUUAGAAAUAAAAUUCCAAGUUUGCCAAAAAAAACUAGAGCAAAAAUGGUGCUAGAGACGCCCACACGUGCCAUAUGCGCCCCCCACCAUGCAUGGAUUUUGUUCAACAUGGGGAAUGAUUUUCUUUAACCUCUAAAUGAGUUGACUCAAUGCGACUGGAACAAUUCUUUACCUAUUCUAGUCUGUUCGUAUUUUUCCACCAUUUUUUAUGCAUUUUCUUGGUAAUUUCAACAAAUUCAAGUGCCCAAAAAAUUUUUUUUUCUAUCAAACCCUUGACAAAAAGUAUAAAAACAUGACAAAAAUAAGAUCAAUUGGUUAAAAAAUUUUCAAAUUACAUAAACAUGUAUUAGAUCCCUUUUUAUUUUCUUCGUGUUUGGCUAAUCUAAAAUAAUAUGAAAUUAAACGCUUUGAUUUAACUUUAUAACACAUGAGCAACAUGAUUCAAGAAUCAAUUUUGAAUUAAACACAUAAAAUGUUUGAUGUUUUAAUCAAAACAAGAAUUUAGAUUAAAACUUAAACUUAAAAAUUUUCAACCUUGAUUUCUCUCUCGAUAUAAGGAAUUAGAAAAUGAUCAUUAUAUAAUUUUAAUCCUUUUUUAGAGAGGAACUAAAAUCCUAAAUCAAUUUCAAAAAAUAAAGAUCAAAAUUUAAAAAUUUGACAACAACAUAAUUUCACACUAAAUAUGUUGUUUGUUCAAAAAUCAACUAUAAAUCAUGGUUUUAGGGGCCUAAUAUCACAUAAUGAUAGCUCUGAUACCACACGUAAACAUUAACCCAAGUUUAUUGUUUGAUAAUUAGAACAUCGUAAACAAAUAAUGAGAUUUUUCAUACUUAUUUGGGUGGUCAUGACGAAUAUAUCACAACGAAACAAUACUUAAAGUACUUAGGUCUUUCUCUUCACUCUUGUCAUAUUGGUGAUACUCAAUGAGCAGUAACCGUAACUUGUAUAAAAGUAAAAAAAAAAAAGUUAUUUGAACCUAUUUUAAUUGAAAACCCUUGAAGCCUCCUCAUUAAACACUUACUAGACUAAAGGUCUACAAAACCUCCAAACUAGAUUGAUCUGGUAAGAUGUGUAAGUCUUACAUUUAAGUGAUCACAUUAAAUUAUUUAAACUCUCAUGCUUAUCUCAUGUUAAGAGUAAACACAUCAACCAAUUUUAUUAAAUUAUUAAAACCAACUAUUAAUGGUAGCCCACUUAUGAACAAUUCUUGCUUUAUAUCCUAAUAAAACAUCAACGGGGAGUUUAUAAAGCAAAAGAUGAAGACUAUAUUAAGAGCAAUGGUGGUGGAAAGAUUGUUUUCUAAACAAAAAUUUAGAUGUUGAAGCGGUCUUCAUAAGAGAUGACUUUCUAUGUUAGAAUGGUUCCACUAAAAUAGUAUACUAAGGUUAUAUUUGAUACAUAUGAUUGUUAAUAGAAUAUGAAGAAUAUUCAUAAGGUUUGGAAUGAGGAUUAAUAUCCUCUUGGCAUAGGAUUAUUCAAUCCUCUCAAAGUAGAGAGAAUAAUUUUUAAAUUUAUAGAUUAAACUUACAGGUUCAAUUAUACCUUUAAAAAUUACUUUAAUAAUUUAAAUUGUAUAAACUUUGAAUAAGGAUAAUUUUAACAAAUAAAUAAAUUAUCCUAUCCCAAUCUUUACAUAUAGAAAACACAAAACAAGAUGACAUUAUUUAAUCUAAUUCUAUUUAUAAUAUCAUUGUACCCUAUCAAGUUAUAAUCUUAUGUACCAAACAUGGCAUAAGAUUAUUAUAUCCAUGUAUAUUGAUAUUAUUUGUUAUUUUAUAACUAAGCUUUUGCGAUUCACAUAUUGUGAGGGGUUUUUGUGACAACUUUUUAAAAGACUAUUUGGCAUGAUUGUAUAUACAUGACAUCAUACAUGCUAAUAGAGGAUUAGGAUAGAGCGGCAUAUUCGAAUUCACCUAUAAGGUACUGUGUGAAUUGAAUUCCUCAAUUCUUUUUAUUGGUGACCUAGAUUGGUGGAUUAUAUUAUAGAAUGGUGGUGUAGCACAAUGAUUUUAUGUUGUUUUACAACAAUUAUUGUUCAUUUCUUCAAACAUCAGUAAAUAAGAUUGAAGAACGGGUGCAUUGUCCUAAAACCAAAUGAACUUGAGUAACAACCAUAAGCUCUAAGGAUUUUCAAAGAACUUGGAUAUCAUUUUGUUUGUUGAGAACCAAAAGAUGGAAAGAAACAAGAAAGUAGUAUCGAAAUUAGCAAUAACCUUUAGUUUACAAUAAAUAAGUUAGUUGAUUUUGUCUGUGUACACUUGGGUAUACUAUUUGUUAUUUAUGUUAAUGAGCCUUACAUAAAUUUUCAAUUUGGCUGACUUUAGGACUGAUAUUAGGUUCUAGAAGUCUAGAAUCCCUGUUGAAUAUAUAGGGUGAAGAAAUCUAAAUAUUCAAUACUGAAAUUAUUUUAUACUUUGAUCUUAGCAUAUGAUAUUGGAAGUAGUUUACUAAAAUUUGGUAAGUUAUAUUGAGACAUUGAUCUUUCAAUUGGCUAUAUGUUAUGCCUUUUUCAUAUUUUUUAUCCUAAAGAUUGAAGGAGAAAUUCUAUUUGUGGAUGAGAUGCUAUGAUUUGCAAGAGUGAAUUAAAAUGGAAUUUGUAUUAAUGGAUAUAUUAUUACUUUAAGUAUAUUAUAUUUUUGGAAAGUUUGCUGAAUCUACUUUCCAAUGAAAUAAACGUAAGUCGAAUCAGAGUUUUCUAUUAAGAGUUGUCUAAUUUUUACUUAAUGAUAUGUAGACUGCCUGACAACAGUAGCAAUGAGGAAUUACAAAAUUUCUCUUAAUUUUUAUACAAUCAAUUACGAAUUGAGCCAUACAUGUUUAAAAAGGUUAUUGAGUUUAUAAUCCAAUGAAACAAGCAGAAUUGAAUUUGGAGUCUGUUAUGAAUAAAUAUGUCAUUUUGAUUACAAUAUAUACAUGCUAUCUGGUAGUAGCAUAUGACAUGGAUUGCAAAAAUUAUUACAAUUAAUCUACAAUAAAUUAUGAGGUGGGCCACAUAUGUUGUCAUAACAUCUUGAUCCGGGGAUCCAUUACUAGAUAUUAUUUUUAGGAGUCGUUACUAAUCUUUUUUAUUUAGGUGCGAUUAGCCACAUAGAAAAUUUAUCUAUUUUAAGGAACACCUAAGCCUAAGGUUCCCUAAAAGAAUAGUUUCAAGUCUACUAAUCAAAACAGGGUUCGAGAGUACGGUUACGUAUGAGAAGGGUUAUAGCACCCUCACAACGCCCAUCAAAAGAUGGUACUAGCUUAAUUUUAUGUUAUCCAAUAAGCCUUAAAAAUUUACCAAGUAAUUAAUUAUUGGAAAUUAUUCUCAAUUAACUCUAAUACUUUUAGCAGAAAAUAGAAAAAAUUUCCUCACCACAAGAGUAUGCAAGGAAACUACUGUUUCACUUGCAGAGGCUCUAUCGUCGGAUUAUUUAACAUUAAAAAAAAAUCAAAAAAGAAAAGAAAUAAAAUGAAAAAAAAAAACAAUAAUAAUUCAACUUUAGAUAUAAAUCCUUUUCUCUUCAAAAACUCAUUGCUUUUGUACAAGAAAAAUUGAUACUUUCAAUAUUUCCUUAAAAGCAUCUGAGAGUUUCUAUUUUAAGGAAAAUUGAUACUUUCAACUUUUCCUUAAAACGUUUUUUUUUAAGAAACAUUGAUACUUCCAACUUGUUCCCAAAAUGUUUUUCUGAAACUUUAAUUUCGAGAAAAAUUGAUACUUUCAACUUUUCCUCAAAAACAUUUUUUUUAAAUUUAUUUUUAAGGAAAAUUAAUACUUUUACGUUUUCCUCAAAAAUAUUUUUUAGAAAAUUAUUUUCAAGGAAAAUUUAUUCUUUCAAUUUUUCCGCGAAAAUAUUUUUUAGAAAACUUAUUUUCAAGAAAAAUUGAUACUUUCAACUUUUGCUCAAAAAUAUUUUUUAGAAUUUUAUUUUAAGAAAAUCAUUAAAAAAUAAAAUAAAAUAAAAAUGAGAAUAAAAAUAAAAUAAGGAAUACCAAAUUAUUCUAAUCUAAUCAAUAAAUAAUAAUAAUAAUAAUAAAUAAGGAAAAAAAAACUUUUGGAACGGUUCGGCUUGACUUAAUGCAGCUCGGCUUGAAAGAUAGAAGUGGUUCAAACGUGUGGCUCGGCUCGACUCAACUGGGGUCCAGGUAAAGACACAGUCGCUAACCGGGUUGGCGCUCGGGUUGGGUCACCCGAUUUCAAAACGUGCGAAUCUUCUGGGAAUAGUAAGGCUAAAACGACAUUGUUUUCGGUCAAUAUAAAAGGCUCCAACCUCUAUUUUUUCACAGAUUGCUUCCUUCCUCCUCUCUCUCUUCAUUUUUUUCUCCUUUUUCUUUCUAAAUAGAAUCCAGAUUUCGGUUGAAUGUCUACUAGAAUCUAGAAAAAUAGGUCAAAAACUUCAAAGGUGGCCGAAAAUCUCGUUGAAAAACUUGAAUCUUACUAAAAAAUUUCAUCGGAUUCUGAAAAAUUUUUAGAAAUUUUUAGAAAAAAAAACUUCAAAAAUUCUAAAAAAUUUCCCACAAAUUCCUAACAUUGUUUCUAACGCACUAGAAACUUUUUUAGCCUCUAUUUCCUCUCUGUGUAUUUUUUGAUCUUUUUGUGUGCUCUCUGUGGACUUAUAUAUAAAGAUUGAUCAGAAGAGUUUUUGAUCAAUCCUAACUCUUUCAAGGAUUUGGAUUCAAUCUUUGAAUCCAAUCCUAAUUCUGCCAACCUCUAAUUUCACGGUCAAAUCCAAUUUUUUCUGAUCCUAAUCCUAGCCAAAAAUCAAUCAAGAUAAAAUAAAAAAAUACAUAUUAAUAAUUAAUAGAUAAAUAAUAAAAUAUAUAUAUUAAUAAAUAAUAAUAAAAUAAAAAUAAAAUAAAAAAACAAAAGGGCUUACCCAUUUGGACCAGGCCCAAUUGAUCCGGGCCUGUACCAAAUUGGGUGUCUACAUAUGUUUGAAAAGGUUUUUGAGUCUACUUUUUUAUUAAACAAACGAAAUUGAAUUUGGAGUGUUUUAUGAAUAAAUAUAUAAUUUUUAUUAGAAGAUAUACAUACUAUCUGAUAGCAGCAUAUGACAUAGAUUACAAAAGUUAUUUCAAUUAAUCUAUAUGAAAUUACGAGGUGGGCCAUAUAUAGUUAAAAAAUUUAUCGAGUUUAAUUUCUAACGUACUAAAAAUAUUUUAAUUUUGAGUUGGAUAUCUUAAGAUAGGAUCAUUUUAGUGAAAGUAGCAUAGGCUACCAAAAUUAGUUAUAUAACUUAGUUGUUUUUAGUAUUAAUGGUCUUAAAGUGCAUUGAUUAAUAUCUGUUAUAUUGAAAUGAUUUUGAAUUGUCCAUUAAUUGUUUUGGGGGAAAAACUAAGUGGUAGAACCGAAAGGAAAUAAGUAGAAUCUUACACACUUUGCUUAUUUUAAAACUUAUGUAUAUAUAUAUAUAUAUGUUUCUAAAUAAAUGAGAUUUAUUUCUUUAUUUUCGAUAUAAGAAAAUAGGCUGAGCAUAUGAUUAUUUUACGUUUUGCUAUAUAAAUGAUGGAUCAUGUUUAUAAAUGAAAUGAGAAAUUGAUUUAUGUUUAAUGAAUGAUUUUAUAAUAGCUACAUAUUUUACAUCUUGAGAAGUGGGAUUAUCGAUACUAGAACUAAUUAUACGACCCUAGCUAACGGAUUAUAGUAGUUAACAUAGUCACGAUCAAAUGGUACUGCUAGUGAGUCAUAGUAGUUAGUGUAAAGGUCUGGCUAACAGGUUAUAAUAGUUACUAAAGAUCAUAAGGAUAAAAUUAUCGAUAUUGCCAAUGUUACGGAUUAUAAUAGUGAUCAUAAUUAAUGAUAAACUAAUGAUAAUGAUGAUUUAUAAUGAUGAUGAUUUUAAAGAUUGAUUCAUGAUUUGAUUUGAUUACAAUAUUUGAAUGGUAACAUAUUUUGUAAUGAUUUAUGAAUUGAUAUGUUUUGAUUUUGAUUUAUGAUCUACAAAAUAUUUGACAUAAUGUUGAUUUUUGAAAUAUUUUGAUGUAUUAUUUGACAAAUGUUUUGAAUUAUCUAUAUGAUAUGUAUGAAACCAAUGUUUGAUCCGAUAAAGUGUAUGAUCCUAUACUAGCUUAACUGUAAUUUGUUCAUUCUCUUUCUACCUUUUCUUUACACAUGAGUAACUGAUAAAUAUGUUUAGUCUUAUUAAAAGCUAGAAGAUCAAAUUAGAAAUAUUACUUGGGCAUUAAAAAUAUUGUUAGCUAGUGAGAUCUUAUGAAAUUAUUUUAUAUGUUUUUUAUGAAUUAACCUUUGGAUAUAUAGAGAUGUAUCAUUAGUUAGAUUAAAUUUAUGAAUUUUACUUGGGCAAAUUAUUUUUAUUAAAGAAUUUUAAAAUGAUUAAGAGAAAAAAUUUUGUUUUACUUUAAAGUUUUAUUUGAAGAUAAUAUAACAGUGUUACAUCUUAGUUUUGGGGUAUGACACCAUUAGUAGACAAGUCUUGACCAGAUUGGAUUACGUAUCAGCCAAUUUGUCAGGCAUUGCAACAGAUUUCAGGUAAUUGGAGAGUCUGCUAACAUGACAGGCUUGAGCUAGUUUAAUUUCUGCUUUUUGCUGUGAGAAAUAUUCCAAUUGAAGGAGGAAAGAUAGAUAAUUUGAUUAUGAACUGCGAAUCAUUUUUGUAGUAUAGUUAGACUCUGAAGUGAGGAGGUUAAGAUUACUCGCGAAACAUCCUUGAGAUGGAAACUUGGGAAGUGAGAGCAGCGACUCGUUUUGGUACUUUCAAAAAUAUGAUGCAUACUGAAGGAUGACAGAGUUAUCAUUCUUUCCUGCAUCAAUUUUGUCACGGUCCAAACUUAUUGUUCUGAAAAGCACUAGCCAAAGGCAAGACAUGGAUGCCGUGACUAUUCUCCUUUCCUACCAGGUCCUUAAGCGCCUUCUUCUUGAAAGUCCAGCUGCCAGUUCUCAGGUUGAAAUGGUAUAGAGGAAGAAAUCGUUGGCCAUAGAUGGCUACGAACUCCAACGCCGCAAGAAUGUAUUCAAACUCCUCAUUUGACAUGUAGUAAGGAAAGCUGACUCUUGUCCAUCCAGGUUUUGCUCCUAUGUAGCCCUGCAAUCAAACUUUGCAAUUGGCAUUAGAUAAGUUGAAUUAUAUUUUACUUCUCUUUCAUUUGGUCAAAAAAAAAAAAGGAAAAUUUUGUACUGAUACCCUUUUAAUAGCUUCUCUGAACGCAAGGGAUCGAGUCUGAUCAAUAUCAAGCAAACUGUGGCCAUAAGGUCCAGCACAAGCACACCCAUCUCGAUCUUGGAUGCCAAUCAGAUCAUUUAGGAUGGUUGCAACAAAAGGGCCAUGGAGAGGUUUAUCCCUCUUGUUCCCAGUCUCUCCCCACAUGAAAAGUCCCUUACCCUUUUCACCGCCCGUUCAACAUUGUUUAACCUCGUUGGUUGUGGAGUAGAUGAGGAAAAGACAUAUGGCUUGUCUCUGGGCUCGGUGCUUGAUUUCUAAACCCGUUAUGUUUUGGUUUGGAGAAAGCCUCAUCCAAUGCUUGAUUUAUGUCCAUACUUCUCCUGCUUUGGCAAUCACUCAUAACCAAUAUAUUCUUUUUACCCAAAAGUCAAUGCUGCUGCUAACAAUCUGAAUUAUUUGAGGAGUCCCUCCCAUUUUCCCCUUUCUUCUCAUGUCAUCUUACAUAUAUUGUGUCCUGCAAAAUACAUACCCCAUUUUACCACAUUUUAAAUUGCAUACCUGCUUCCCUAAAUGCUGGGGGAAUGAAUCUGAUAAUAUCAUGAUAACUUAUCAUUCUAUGUAGAAGUAUUUUUUAUGACACGUCGUGCCUUUAGGAAAUUUGGUUGGAAAAUCUCUUUUCUUCUUAAAAUUGUAAUUAAAAUAAAAAAAUUUUUUAGAGACACUUAUCAUUCACUAGUCUAUGUCUAAACCCGCUCCAUCUGAAUCAGGAAUUUAUUUCUAAACUCCAAAAAGCCUGACAGCUACCUAAUCAUUCUUUAUGUCGUCCAGUCGAAGAAAGAAACCAAAAUUUCUUACAAAAUGGGAUAUAUAAGCAAGAAUAAGAAAAAGGUAAAGAAAAUACAAAUUUCCAUUUUAUUGUAGAGAGGUGAACAAAAAAUAAAAUCUUUCAUCUAUUAAAUUGAAUUAAUCUGAACACAAAAAUAUAAUAAAAAUCUCUUCAUUUAUUAUCAAUUAAUUUUAAAUUUGAGUGUAAUUACCUGUUCAUUGAAGCCAUUGACAUAAUUAACAGUUCCACCUCCGCAAGUUGAUGGAGGAGAAGAUCCCAGCCGGUAGAGAGUCUUGCUCAUUAAAAGGAUGCCGGGCGUUCCAGGGCCACCUAGAAACUUAUGUGGGCUUAGGAAAAUGGCAUCAUAUCCAUCAAUCUCCCCUGACCUCAUAUCAAUCUCCACAUAAGGACCACUAUCCACAAAAACAAAAUGAUAAGCACUAUCAAAAAUCAACUUCUCAUUGCUUUAUAACAUUAACAUAAUACAUAAAACUUGGCUAAUAAUUAAUUGUGAGAUCUGUUAUUAAAAUAUUAAACUUUUAAUUUUAACAAUCAAAGAUUAAAUUCUGACAACCUCGAAUAUAAAAGCUUGACAACAAAAAAUGAAAAUUCUUACUGUGUACCUUGCUGCAGAAUCAAAGCAAACAAAACCUCCGUACUCAUGAAGAAGUUUGGCAAUCUCUCGAGUAUCUGUUUGAAUCCCAGUCACAUUACUACAAGCUGAAAAUGAGCCAAGCAAAGGCCUAUUGGCGUAUUUAUACAGCUCAACCUGUUUUCUUAGUGCUUCAAUGUCUAUGAACCCAUUCUCAUCUAAACCAAUCUCAACAACUUCAGCAAGGCUGUGACGCCAAGAAAGCAAGUUUGAGUGGUGCUCGUAAGGGCCAAUAAAAACUACCCAUCGAUACUCAUUCGGUAAGCAAUUUAUUACCAUGUCCCUCAAAAUUGAUGGUACCGUAAUCCCCAUAACUUCUUGUAGCCUUUUAAUAGCAGCCGUGUUGCCUGAGCCACAAAACAGAAUUGCAUCAUCUUGACCGCCUCCUAGGCUUCUUUUAAUGUAGUUUGACGCUUCAUGCACCAUUUUCGUCGUCCUGUGCCCCACGUAACAGUCAGACGUGUGAGUGUUACCUACGCACGAACCAACCAAGAUCAGCUGACAAAUACUAAAACCCUAAUAUAUAUAUAUAUAUAUAUAUUAUACUCGGAAAUGACGCCAUCACUUUUGUUAAUUAAAUCAGAGUAUCACAAUUGAAGAUCAGAAGAAAAAAAACCUUUACCGUAGAAUGGCAGAACAUUGGUGACGAUGAAGUUUUCGAUAUAGUGAAAAGAGCGACCCGAUGCAGUAUGAUCAGCAUAAGUAAGUUUUCUAGUUCCAAAAGGAGAGUCAAAUUCUGCAUCACCACCAGUGAUUUGAGAUCGUAGCCAAGACAGCUUUUUCUCGGUGGAGUCAACCUUUGGCACAUCCAUCUCUAGAGCCCUGAAUGAUUCCGAGCCAUGGAAGAGUUUGCUGGAAACAUAGGAACGGCAUGUUGAUCCUGGUGACUUAUGCCUGUCCCUGGUUGAAGUCUUACUAUCAUUUGCUGCCUUCAAUUUCAGGGCUUCCGUUGUUUCUCUAAACAUGGGUUGCUCAAACUCCAUUUCCCACCUGGAAACAAAGAUUAGUGCCUGUUUUUAUUGUUGUUGUCGCUUAUGACAGGAGAAAGAAUGGAAAAAGUAGUUGUAGAAGAAGAAAAAGAUAAGAAUGAGGGUAAGGAAGGCAGACUUCGUUAUUUAUAUCCUAUUAAAAUACAAAGUAACCUUUUGACACGGUUUCAUUUUUUUAAUUAAUAAAACAAAAAGACAAAGUUUUAGGCGUGAGGGGGGUUUGACUCCGAAACCAUGGCCUCUACACUCCAAUAAGAAAAAUAUUGCUGUCUCAGAAACAAUGGGAUCUCUAAAAAGGAUUGAAAAAAAAAAAAAAAAACCUACAGAAAAUAGUAAGCCUACGUUUGGAAUAUAUUAUUCCUUGGAGUGUAAGAAUUUCCAUAUUUCUCAUUCCUCUCCCUAAAAUUUGAUUAUGGAGUAUCAAAUAGCCCAAGCAAUUGUUAGAAAAACAUUGAACCUUUCCUGGUCUACUUGGUUUGGAACGUGAUGUAUCCAAUCUGCCGUAUUAAUAAGGAGAGCAUUGCUAUUUAGAGGUGUCAAUAAUAUACCCAUACUCACGAGUUAUUCAUUUUAUAAAUUAGAUUACUUAAUUGAUAAAAAGAAUGAGAAUUUUUGUAUCUCAUUAUAAUUUGCACGGAUAGUUAUGAUUUCAAAAGAGUAAAAUGUGUAAAGAAAGCAAAGAAUUUGAUUGCUUUUCAGAAACUUAAUAUGAUUUUGGCAAUAUGCAUGAUAAUUUUAUUAAUGAUUAUUCAUCAAUAAGUAACAUUUAUGAAUUAAAAUUAAAUUUUGAUUUAUUGAAAAAGUAUUAAAAAAAUCAGUUAAAAAAAAUAAAUGAAAGAAUGAAGAAACAAACAAACGGAUCAAAUAAAAAAAAAAUAAAAAGAGAACCAACACAAAAUAAAAGUAGUGAAAUAGAUCUUCAAACCAAUACUCCACCACACUCAAGGCUAUUCAUUUGUAUUUGUGAUGAAGUGGCAUAUUAAAAAUAAAUAAUUUAAUUUAAUUAAGAAUGAUUUAAGAUAAAUAAUAAAAAUUUGAUUACUAAUUGAUAUAAUUUUAACUAUAGAAGGUAAAUAAUACAUACUCUUUAAGGUAAUGUUGUUCUUUCCAAAAUAGUUAAAUAUAAAAAUAAGCCAUUUAUUAUGCAUUUCUUAUCAAUUUGGCACCAAAAAAAUAAAAUAUUUAGUUUGGCACUCUAAUUUUCUUUCUUUCAUCACUUUGUUAUCGGAAACUAGCGUCAUCAGUCAAUUUAUUGACGUGAUAUAAAUAUCUAAUAAGAUAUUAACACAUGCUGAGAAAAUCUAAUCAAUGUCAAAUCAUCAAUAUUACAUCCGAAUUUAAAGAAAAUUUAAAAAAAUUUAAAUAUUUUUUAAAAAAUAUUUAAGCAUUUUAAAAAUUAUUUUAAAAACAAAAACUAAAAUUUUAAAAAUUUUUAAAAAUUAUUAAAACUUAAAAAAUUAAAAAAAUCUCAAAAUUUUAUUAGAAAAAUAAAAAAAUUUUGAAAUUUUCAUAAAAAUGAUAAUUUUAGUAAACAUAAAGUUUUCAUAAAUUUAAAAAAAAAAUCUCUAAAGCUUAAAAAAUUGAAAGUAAAAGAUCUAAAAUUUUUUGAAAAUAUCUAAAAAUUUUAAAAUAAUUGUAAUUCUUAUAAAUUAGGAAAAUUCUUCAUUUUUUUAAUCUUACAAUUUUAAUUUUCUUAUAUAUUUUGUGAUUUUUUACAUUUUUUUAAAUGUUUAUGGAUUUUUAUUAAAAUUUUAAGUUUUUUAUUUUAUAUUUUUCAAAAAAUUUAAUUUUUAGUAAAUUUCUUAGAAUAUUUCAUAUUUUUGAAAUUUUUUUAAUUUUUUCAAAAUUUUUGAAAAUAUUUUAUAAAAUUUUAGAUUUUAAUAAAAAUUAGAUUUUUUGUAAUUUUCAAAUUUUGUCAAAAAAUUCUAGAUUUUUUAGUUUUUGUGAACCUAUUUUUUUUAAUUUUUUAGAAUAUUUUGGAUUUUUUUUGGAUUUUUUGUCAAAAUUUGAGAUUUUAUGAAUUUUUUAAAGUUUUGAUAUUUUUUUAAAUUUUAUGUUCAAAUAAGAUUUCAUAUUUAUUUAAUUUUUCUAAUUUUAAAAAUAUUUUAGCUUUUAAAUUUUGUUGAAUUUUUUUACUAUUGAUGUGGUAAUUGAUGAUGUGGCACUACUAAACUUUUUGAUACAUGUCAGUAUCUUAUUAGAUGUUAAUGCCAUGUUGACAAAUUGAGUAAUUGCUUUAGUACGAGGUAUCAAAGUAAAUGGCGAAAUGAAAGUUAAAGAACCAAAUUGAUAAUUUUGUUUCUUAAAGUACUAAACUGACAGAAAGUGUAUAGUACAUGAAAUAUUUUUAUAUUUAACUUUUCCAAUCAUGAAAAAACCUAAAAGAGACUUGAAAUUGUUAUACAUGUAAUCGAUAAUCAUUCCUUAGUGUUGACCUUUAGAGUUCAAAGGAUGUCUCAUACCCAAAUAAUUUUUGGGUUUUUCCUACAUGUAAUAAUAAUAUUAAUUACCAAAUUACUGCUUAAUUUGAAAAAAAAAUGACAUUAAUAUAAAGAUAAAUGUACAUAAAAGAGAAGUUCUUUGUCCUUAGCUCUUUCCCUAAACAGUUGGAUCUCUAGCUCUACCUGUAAAUCAUUUAACGAAACACAAAUCAAUUGAUUACGUCACAACAUAUAAGUGAUUUAGUUACAAAUUAUGAUUCUUCUCAAACAAUAAAAUGAUGGGUGAUUGUGAUUGGAAUGAAACAAUAAAAAAUUUUCAUCGAUGCCUUUCGUUGCUGUUUCAGACACAGACUUGGCAAUGGUAAUGAUAAAAUGAUUAGUGACUGUGGCCAUGAUUAAAUUUUUAAAAUAAUCUAAUGAUAAGAGAAUAAUAUGCAACAUAUCUUUCAAAUUUGAAAUAGUAAAAAACAAAUCUAAUCAAUUUUAAUCCAAAUAUACAUUUAAUAUUUUUGGUCAAUAUAUUCUUGAAAAAUGAUUAAAUUAAAAAAAAAAAGAAAAAUUCUAGAAUUGACAUUUAUGAAUUCAAGAUUUAUACAAAAUUUUUCAUAUUUGAUAGGUUUUCAUUUUGAAUUUAAAUAAUUUAUCAAAUAGAAUUACUUUAUAAACCCAUUUUAGAGAUAAUAUAUUAUUACAAUUGAGAUUUUUAUAUUUAAAAAAUAUGUUUAUAUUAUUAGGAAAUUUAUUUUUAAUAAAAAUAUAUCUAAAUUAGAUUUUAUUGUUAACAAUUUUAAAAUUAUCCAUGUAGAUAUCCAUAUAAGUUAAUUUUUUGUGGUAAAUUCCUAUGUGUCAAAAAAUGAUAUAUAUAUAUAUAUAGGCAUUUACAUAUCCCAUAAUACUUACAUCUAAAAUUUGAAAGUUUUCGAUAACUAAAUUUUUUUAAAUAUAUUAUUUCUUGAUAAAUAGCCUAAAAUUAAGAAAUGUCUUAUAUGUCGUUAUAGAGAAAUUUUAAGAAUUUUAUCACAUGUCGAAAAGAAAAACCAUCAAUGUAAGCAAACCUUAUCAUGUAACAAUGUAUCCUGUAAUAUAAUAUAUAUUAUAUUUUUUUAAAAGAUUAUUAGUUAUCCAAGUGAUAAAAAUAGUCAUACUUGACACAGACCCCAAGUCUUAAGAUUUCACAAUGUAUAUAAUAAACUUUAAUUUUCCAUGUGUACAUAUACUAACAAAGUAAAAUAACAACAUAAAAUGUCAACCAAUGAUUCUCAUCAUUCAAGCAUAGAUUUAAAUAUCACAUAGAUAUUCCAAGCAUAAAGGGAAAGGUCCAACAUAGAGACAAACCAUAAUGUGUGAGUAUAAAAGACAAAUGAUAUACUCUUAAUAAUAAAUUACAUCAAAAGACCCUAAAAUACCUAUGUUCUCAAUAUGUUUACCAAAUACUAUAGGUCUUAUUCCUGUAGUCCAAGGAUCAACAAUCACGUUGUUAGUCUGAAUGUGUUUGACAACAAUAUUAUAAUUUUUCAUAAAAUCCCUAACUUUAAAAUAUAUUAUCUCCAAAUGUUUAAACCACUAAUGCUCUUGUUGUUCUUAGAAAACAACAUAGUUGACCUAUUAUCCCAAUAAAUCUUUAAAGGUCUGGAGAUGGAAUUAAUAAUACAAAGGCCUGACAUAAAAUUCAUAAGCCAAAUUGCCUAUGUAGUAGCUCUAUCGCAUGCAACAAACUCAACUUGCAUAAUGGAAAAAAAUAAGAGUGUUUGUUUCACAUAUUUCCAAGACAAAGCUCCUACAUCGACAUAAAAAAAUACCUUGAAGUGGACUCCAUGUCAUCCUAACAACUAGUGAAGUUAGAAUUUAUAUACCCUAUUAUCUGAAGAUUGUCCAUUUUUUUGUAUACCAACGUAUGGUUUUUUUGUCUUUUGCAAGUACCUAAUCACCUUCUUAACAGCAACCUAGUGAUUCAUACUAGGAUUUGAAAGAUAUCUCUCAAGAACUCACUCUGCAAAAGCAAUAUCUAGCCUAGUACAAACUUGAGCAUACAUGAGACUCCCAACUGCACUAGAAUAUGGUAUGUUCAUCAUGGAUUCUUUCUCCAAAUCAUUCUUUGGGCAUUGACUAAGAUUAAGUUUAUCACCUUUAACAAUGAGUGCAUUCCUAGCCUUACAACUUUGUAUGUUAAAUUUAUUAAGCGCAUGAUUAAUGUAAGACCUUUGCAAUAGUCCCAACAAAUUUUGAGAUCUAUCUCUAUGAAUUUCAAUCCCAAGAACAAAGGAAGCAUUCCUAAGGUUUUUAUAUCAAAAGUCUUGGAGAAUAGCUACUUAAUUUCAUGUAACAAACCAAUAUCAUUACAAGCCACUAAGUGUCAUCCACAUAUAACACAAGAAAGAUAUAUUUACUCCCCCUAAUUUUAAGGUGUAUGUAUUGAUCAACUUUAUUUUCCUCAAAACCAAGGGAAGUAACUAUCUGAUCAAAUUUUAGAUACCUUUACUUAGAAGCUUAUUUAAGGGCAUAGAUUGACGUUUUAAGUCAACUUACUAAAUGUUCCUUUUCAGAUUCUUGAAAUCUUUUUGGUUGCAUAAUGUAAACCUUUUCUCUAAAAUCACAAUUGAGAAAAGCCGUCUUUACAUCCAUCUAAUAAAGCUUCAAGUUAAAGUGUACUACCAAGGCCAUAACAAUCCUAAAGAAAUUUUUGGAAGACACUGGUAAAAACAUUUUGUUAUAAUCUACUCUUUCCCUCUAAAUAAAUCACUUUGCCACCAAUGUAACUUUAAAUAUCUCAAAUUUUUCUUUAGACCCUUUCUUGGUUUUAUACACCUAUUUACAACCAAUGGAUUUAUACUCUUUUGGCUGUUUAACAAGCUCCUAAGCACCAUUUUGAGCCAUAAAAUUUAUCUCAUUUUUUAUUGCAUCCAUCCAUACAUUAAAUUACAAAUGCUAAUAGUUUCACCAAAAGUCACAAGGUUAACAACAUGACUAAUGUCAUAGUCACUCUCUCAAUGAUAAAUUACAUAAUCAUUAGAGAUGUCGGAUCUUCUUUGUUUAAAAGAUCUCCUAAAAGGUAUUUCAAUAUCAUUCUUUCAAACUUGAAGUACAUCAGUAGGAUGAAGGUUUAUGUCCUAUUGCCUUGAUCUCUUCUUUCAAUGGCCACUAGCAUAAUAUGGCACUGUAUUAUAGGUAAAGUUAUGAAGAUAUGUCUAACAGAUUCACGGUUAUCCACAGCCUCUAUCACACUCUUAUCAACAACAUGUAGUUUAAGAAACUUUGCCACAUGUGACUCUACAAACUUAGUUCCACGUAUAGGACAAUAAAACUUAUAUCCCUUGAAACGAUCUAGAUACUCUAAAGAAAAGCAAUGAGUACUCCUAGGUUCAAUCUUUUUCUCAAAAGGUUAUAGAUUCUAACUUCUGCAAGAAAUCCACAAACUUUAAAAUGAUUCAAUUGGGGUUUCAUACCAAUCUACAAUUCAGAAGUUGUUUUAGGAACAAAUUUACUAGGUACUUUAUUAAGUAUAUACAAGACGGUUUUAAUACCUUCACCUCAAAAGGACUUAAGAAGAUUGGUCCUACAUAUAAGCUCUUUAUCAUACCCUUAAGGGUGUGAUUUUGCCUUUCGACCACACCAUUAUGUUCAAGACUACCAAGCAUAGCAUAUCAAGAAAAAUCUGACAUUCUUGUAAGUAUUUAGAAAAUGGUCUCAUAUGUUAUCUAAUUUCGCCAUAUCUACCAUCAUACUCACCACCUUGGAGCUAAUGACUUUGAUAACUUUCCCUAAUUCUUUCUCUACCUCAGUUUAAAAAUUUUAAAUUUUUAAAAGCAUUUCAAUUUUCAUCAAUUAGGUCAAGAUACCCAUAGCGAAAAUAGUCAUAAAUAAAAGUAACAAAAUAUAUGUUACCACAAAAGAUAGAUAUAAGAGGUCCACUAUUAUUAGUGUACAUAAUUUUCAAAAGGUCAAAAUUGCAAAUUGCAUCAUUUUUCUUAGUCGUAGUUAGUAUAUAUUUUAUACAAUCAACACAAGUGUCUAACUUUUCAAAACCAAGGGAAGGUAAAGUACUAUUUUUUUAUCAAUUUUUGCACUUUUUCACUAGAAAUGUGACCCAACUUUUUACGCCACAACAAAAAAGACUUUUCUUUAGUUAGAGAUUUUUAAGAUACUGUCUUUUCCACAUUAUUGCAACUAUAUUAAUUAUCAUAUGCCAAGCACGGUUUGUAUAAAUUGUCAAUUAGUUUAAAUUCAUCAAUAAUGAAUUCUCUUUAGUCAAAGAUUUUUUAGUCACUAUUUUUUCAACAUUAUUGCAACUAUAUUAAUUAUUGUAGGCUAAGUUUAUAUAAAUUGUCAAUUAGUUUAAAUUCACCAACAACAUUUGAAUUUUAAAACAAGUCAACUUUUUCAUAUCCAAUGCCAAAAUAAUAACCAUGUUUGUCCAAAAUAAAAACUAAAAUGAAAUUCCUCUGAAAUGAAGGUGUAUGAAAAACAUUUUGCAAAAUAAGCUCAAAGUCAGAUUCUAAAUUUAAGCCUAUUGUUCCUACAUAAUUAAUGGCUACUUCAGUAUUGUUUCAAACUCUAUGUGUUGCCUUUUUCUCACUUAGCUUUCAUUUGUUUUUGAAUCCUAGCAAAGGUAACAACAAUAUGAAUAGUUAAACCACUAUCAACCUACUAGGAAUUUGGUAAGCCACUGACAAAUUAGGAUAUAAAACAAACGACAGCUAGUGAGUUCCCUUCUUAUUUAUUUUUUUUCUUUAACCAAGCUUGAUAUUUAGGGUAUUCAUGUUUCAUAUGACAUUUUUUUUAUAGGAAAAACACUUGAUAUCUUUCUUAAUGAUAGCUUUAAGCCCUCUUACCUUUGUAGUCUGACCACUACCUUAUCCCUUGUUUUCUUGAUCUUUCUUGUGAGCAUUAGGAACAAAUUUCCUAGAUUUCUCAUAAUUUUUUUUGUAAUUAUAUUUGGAGUAUGUAGCAAAAAAAAACACUUUCACCCAUUUCUUUCUACAGUUUUUCUUCCUUAGAGACAAACUUUUAAAUAAGAUCAUUAACACUUCAAAACCUCAUUCAUAGCAUUAUAGACAGUUUUGAUCUGAGUGAACUCCAAAAGUAAGGCAUUGAGGGCGUGAUGAACAAUGAAUUUAUCAAGAAUGUCAAUUUCAUGAGAAGUCAAUUUGGUUUGAAUGUGGACCAUUCUCAUGAUGAAAUCUCUAGCACUCUUAACACUAUCAUACCUUACUACUUGUAAGCUCACUCAUAAGGUUCUUAGCUUUACACUAUAAUGGAUUUUUGGUAAUUUAUUGCCUUCAGCAGGUAAAGAUCCCUUAAGCAAUUUUUGUGGUAUCCAACUCACUCAAAAGGUAUUCAAAAAUAGAAAUAUUAAUGACAUAUAGACGUAUAUGAUUUGUCUUUUCCCAUUUGGGAAAAUAUUCCUUUUCUUUAGCAAUGCUUUCAUUAGUAAAAUUAGCAGGCUUUGAAAAAUGUAAGGCUACGUCUAUCUCAUUUAUAACUAAAGCAAAAUUCAAAUCUUCAUUCCAUUUUUUAUAAUUAGACCCAUGAAGAACUUUAAUAGUUGCUUAUUGUUAUUGAUAAUAAAAGUCAACAUUCAAGAUAAAAAUGCAACAUUAGUAAAUGGCAAUAUCAUAAAAUAUAUAGCAACAGUUCAUGAUGUACUAACAAUUAUUGAAAGGUCUUGGUACAUCACCACAAACUCUUUUUUGGAUAAAGAAUGUAAUAUACGAGUGGGAACUUUUCGGAUAACGCUAAUAUGAAAAUGUGCUAGCUUUUAAAAAUUAUAUCCCCUUCGGACAGAUAGAUUUUCUAGAUUGGUAAAACUUCAACCAUGAUGAUUUAUAUUCCAAAACAAAUUACCUUAUACAUUAACCCCCUUUAGGCAGUCAAUUGCAUAAAAUAAUUUAAUAACCAUCCCGUAACCAUAGAAUGAUAAAAUAUUACAUUAAUUUCAAUAAGUGAGCCAUUUUGACAACCAAAUAUUGAUAUCAAUUAAUGAAGAUUUUUUCAAAUAAAAAAAUUUCAUUAAUUGCUCAAAACUCUCAGUUUACAAACUCAACCAUAAUGUGUGCAAUGGACUAUCCCAACUAAGAAACUAACCCUAAAUGUAUCUAAUUAGGUAUUAUAAGCAGUGUACAUUAAAUUUAAACUAGUGUCUUGAAUUUUUUUUAAAAUCAAUUUGUAAUUACUAAAUCAACUACGCACUUAAGAGCACAUAAAUAUCAAGGCCUAUUUAGGAAGAAUACCUAUUAUCAUUAGACUCUCAUCAUACCAAAAUAUCACAAAAUAAAAUAAUAAAUAAUAUGUAUAACAUAUAGUAAUUUCUGAGCAAUGCAUGAAUAUCAAACAAAUAUUUCAUGCAGUUUAAAAAUUUUAAAAAAAAUUAGAAAUAAAAUUCCAAGUUUGCCAAAACUAACUAAAGAAAAAAUGGUGCUAGACGAGACGACACGUGCCCCAUGUGCCACCCACCAUGCAUGGAUUUUGUUCAACAUGGGGAAUGGUUUUUUUUAACCUCUAAAUGAGUUGACUCAAUGCGACUGGAAUAAUUCUUUACCUAUUCUAGUCUGUUCGUAUUUUUCCACCAUUUUUUAUGCAUUUUCUUGGUAAUUUCAACAAAUUGAAGCGCCCAAAAAUAAAACAAAUUUUCUAUCAAACCCUUGAUAAAAAAGUAUAAAACAAUGACAAAAAUAAGAUCAAUUGGUUAAAAUUUUUCAAAUUACAUAAAUAUAUAUUAGACCGCUUUUUGUUUUUUUUGUGUUUGGCUAAUCUAAAACAAUAUGAAAUAAAAACGCUUUGAUUUAACUUUAUAACACAUGAGAAACAUGAUUCCAGAAUCAAUUUUUAAUUAAACACAUAAAAUGUUUGAUGUUUUAAUCAAAACAAGAAUUUAGAUUAAAACCUAAACCCAAAAAUUCUCAACCUUGAUUUCUCUUUCGAUAUAAGGAAUUAGAAAAUGAUCAUUAUAUAAUUUUAAUCUUUUUUUAGAGAGGAACUAAAAUCUUAAAUCAAUUUCAAAAAAUAAAGAUCAAAAUUUAAAAUUUUGACAAUAAUAUAAUUUCACACUAAAUAUGUUGUUUGUUCAAAAAUCAAUUACAAAUCAUGAUUUUAGGGGCCAAAUAUCACAUAAUGAUAGCUCUGAUACCACACGUAAACAUUAACCCAAGUUCAUUGUUUGAUAAUUAGAACAUCGUAAAUAAAUAAAGAGCUUUGUCAUACUUAUUUGGGUGGUCAUGACGAAUAUAUGAAGCAAAACAAUACUUAAAGUGCCUAGGUCUUCCUCUUCACUAUUCUCUUAUUAGUGACACUCAAUGAGCAGUAACUGUAACUCGUAUAAAAGUAAAAAAGAAAAGGUUAUCUGAACCUAUUUUUAUUGAAAACCCUUAAAGCCUCCUCAUCAAACACUUAGUAGACUAAAGGUCUACAAAACCUCUAAACCAGAUUGAUCUAGUAAGCUAUGUAAGUCUUACAUUUAAGUGAUCACAUUAAAUUAUUUAAACUCUCAAGCUUAUCUCGUAUUAAGAGUAAACACAUCAAUCAAUUUUAUUAAAUUAUUAAAACCAACUAUUAAUGGUAGCCCACUUAUGAACAAUUCUUGCUCUAUAUCCUAAUAAGACAUCAACAGAGAGUUUAUAAAGUAAAGAUGAAGACUAUAUAAAGAGCAAUGGUGGUGGAAAGAUUAUUUUCUAAAUAAAAAUUUGGAUGUUGAAGCGGUCUUCAUAAAAGAUGACUCUCUAUGUUAAAGUGGUUCCACUAAAAUAGUAUACUAAGGUCAUAUUUGAUACAUAUGAUUAUUAACAGAAUAUGAAGAAUAUUUGUAAGGUUUGCAAUGAGGAUUAAUAUCCUCUUGGUAUAGGAUUAUUCAACCCUCUCAAAGUAAAGAGGAUAAUUUUUAAAUUUAUAGAUUAAACUUGCAGGUUCAAUUAUACCCUUAAAAAUUACUUUAAUAAUUUAAAUUGUAUAAACUUUGAAUAAGGAUAAUUUUGACAAAUAAAUAAAUUAUCCUAUCCUAAUCUUUACAUAUAGCAAACACAAAAUAAGAUGACAUUAUUUAAUCUAAUUCUAUUUAUAAUAUCAUUGUACCCUAUCAAGUUAUAAUCUUAUGUACUAAACAUGGCAUAAGAUUAUUAUAUCUAUGUAUAUUGAUAUUAUUUGUUAUUUUAUAACUAAGCUUUUGCGAUUCACAUAUUGUGAGGGGUUUCUAUGAUAACUUUUUAAAAGGCUAUUUGGCAUGAUUGCAAAUACAUGACAUCAUACAUGCUAAUAAAGGAUUAGGAUAGAGCGGUAUAUUCGAAUUCACCCAUAAGGUACUGUGUGAAUUGAAUUCCUNNNNNNNNNNNNNNNNNNNNNNNNNNNNNNNNNNNNNNNNNNNNNNNNNNNNNNNNNNNNNNNNNNNNNNNNNNNNNNNNNNNNNNNNNNNNNNNNNNNNNNNNNNNNNNNNNNNNNNNNNNNNNNNNNNNNNNNNNNNNNNNNNNNNNNNNNNNNNNNNNNNNNNNNNNNNNNNNNNNNNNNNNNNNNNNNNNNNNNNNNNNNNNNNNNNNNNNNNNNNNNNNNNNNNNNNNNNNNNNNNNNNNNNNNNNNNNNNNNNNNNNNNNNNNNNNNNNNNNNNNNNNNNNNNNNNNNNNNNNNNNNNNNNNNNNNNNNNNNNNNNNNNNNNNNNNNNNNNNNNNNNNNNNNNNNNNNNNNNNNNNNNNNNNNNNNNNNNNNNNNNNNNNNNNNNNNNNNNNNNNNNNNNNNNNNNNNNNNNNNNNNNNNNNNNNNNNNNNNNNNNNNNNNNNNNNNNNNNNNNNNNNNNNNNNNNNNNNNNNNNNNNNNNNNNNNNNNNNNNNNNNNNNNNNNNNNNNNNNNNNNNNNNNNNNNNNNNNNNNNNNNNNNNNNNNNNNNNNNNNNNNNNNNNNNNNNNNNNNNNNNNNNNNNNNNNNNNNNNNNNNNNNNNNNNNNNNNNNNNNNNNNNNNNNNNNNNNNNNNNNNNNNNNNNNNNNNNNNNNNNNNNNNNNNNNNNNNNNNNNNNNNNNNNNNNNNNNNNNNNNNNNNNNNNNNNNNNNNNNNNNNNNNNNNNNNNNNNNNNNNNNNNNNNNNNNNNNNNNNNNNNNNNNNNNNNNNNNNNNNNNNNNNNNNNNNNNNNNNNNNNNNNNNNNNNNNNNNNNNNNNNNNNNNNNNNNNNNNNNNNNNNNNNNNNNNNNNNNNNNNNNNNNNNNNNNNNNNNNNNNNNNNNNNNNNNNNNNNNNNNNNNNNNNNNNNNNNNNNNNNNNNNNNNNNNNNNNNNNNNNNNNNNNNNNNNNNNNNNNNNNNNNNNNNNNNNNNNNNNNNNNNNNNNNNNNNNNNNNNNGUUUACAAACUCAACCAUAAUGUGUGCAAUGGAUUAUCCAACUAAGAAACUAAGCCUAAAUGUAUCUAAUUAGGUCUUAUAAGCAGUGUACAUUACAUUUAAACUAGUGUCUUGAAUUUUUUUUAAAAUCAAUUUUUAAUUACUAAAUCAACUACGCAUUUAAAAGCAUAUAAAUAUCAAGGCCUAUUUAGGAAGAAUACCUACUAUCAUUAGACUCUCAUCAUACUAAAAUAUUUUAUCACAAAAUAAAAUAAUAAAAUAAUAUGUAUAACAUAUAGUAAUUACUAAGCAAUACAUGAAUGUUAAACAAAUAUUUUCAUGCAGUUUAAAAAUUUUACAAAAAAUUAGAAAUAAAAUUCCAAGUUUGCCAAAAGAAACUAUAGCAAAAAUGGUGCUAGACAAGCCCGCACGUGCCACAUGUGCCACCCACCAUGCAUGGAUUUUGUUCAAGAAAGGGAAUGGUUUUCUUUAACCUCUAAAUGAGUUGACUCAAUGCGACUGAAACAAUUCUUUACCUAUUCUAGUCUGUUCGUAUUUUUCCACCAUUUUUUAUGCAUUUUUUUCAGUAAUUUCAACAAAUUGAAAUGCCCAAAAAUAAAACAAUUUUUAUAUCAAAACCUUGAUAAAAAAUUAUAAAAAAAUGACAAAAAUAAGAUCAAUUGGUUAAAAUUUUUCAAAUUACAUAAACAUAUAUUAGACCCUUUUUGUUUUCUUCGUGUUUGGCCAAUCUAAAACAAUAUGAAAUUAAAUGCUUUGAUUUAACUUUAUAACACAUGAGAAACAUGAUUCAAGAAUCAAUUUUCAAUUAAACACAUAAAAUGUUUGAUGUUUUAAUCAAAACAAGAAUUUAGAUUAAAACUUAAACCUAAAAAUUUUCAACCUUGAUUUCUCUAUCGAUAUAAGGAAUUAGAAAAUGAUCUUUAUACAAUUUUAAUCCUUUUUAGAGAGGAACUAAAAUCCUAAAUCAAUUUCGAAAAAUAAAGAUCAAAAUUUAACAUUUUGAAAACAACAUAAUUUCACACUAAAUAUGUUGUUUGUUCAAAAAUCAAUUACAAAUCAGGAUUUUAGGGGCCUAAUAUCACAUAAUGAUAGCUCUGAUACCACACGUAAACAUUAACCCAAGUUCAUUGUUUGAUAAUUGGAACAUCGUAAACAAAUAAAGAGAUUUGUCAUACUUAUUUUGGUGGUCAUGACGAAUAUAUCGAAGCGAAAUAAUACUUAAAGUGCCUAGGUCUUCCGCUUCACUCUUCUCUUAUUGGAGACACUCAAUAAGCAGUAACCGUAACUCGUAUAAAGUAAAAAAAAAAAAAAGGUUAUCUGAACCUAUUUUAAUUGAAAACCCUUGAAGCCUCCUCAUCAAACACUUACUAGACUAAAGGUCUACCAAACCUCCAAACCAGAUUGAUCUAGUAAGAUGUGUAAGUCUUACAUUUAAGUGAUCACAUUAAAUUAUUUAAACUCUCAUGCUUAUCUUGUAUUAAGAGUAAACACAUCAACCAAUUUUAUUAAAUUAUUAAAACUAACUAUUAAUGGCAGCCCACUUAUAAAUUAUUCUCGCUCUAUAUCCUAAUAAGACAUCAACGGGGAGUGUAUAAAGCAAAAAUGAAGACUAUAUAAAGAGCAAUGGUGGUGGAAAGAUUGUUUUAUAAACAAAAAUUUGGAUGUUGAAGCGGUCUUCAUAAGAGACGACUUUCUGUGUUAGAGUGGUUCCAUUAAAAUAGUAUACUAAGGUCAUAUUUGAUACAUAUAAUUAUUAAUAGAAUAUGAAGAAUAUUCGUAAGGUUUGCAAUGAGGAUUAAUAUCCUCUUAGUAUAGGAUUAUUCAAUCAUCUCAAAGUAGAAAGGAUAAUUUUUAAAUUUAUAGAUUAAACUUAUAGGUUCAAUUAUACCCUUAAAAAUUAUUUUAAUAAUUUAAAUUGUAUAAACUUUGAAUAAGGAUAAUUUUGACAAAUAAAUAAAUUAUCCUAUCAUAAUCUUUACAUAUAGCAAACACAAAAUAAGAUGACAUUAUUUAAUCUAAUUUUAUUUAUAAUAUCAUUGUACCCUAUCAAGUUAUAAUCUUAUGUACCAAACAUGGCAUAAGAUUAUUAUAUCUAUGUAUAUUGAUGUUAUUUGUUAUUUUAUAACUAAGCUUUUGCGAUUCACAUAUUGUGAGGGGUUUCUGUGACAACUUUUUGAAAGGCUCUUUGGUGUGAUUGCAUAUACAUGACAUCAUACAUGCUAAUAAAGGAUUAGGAUAGAGCGGUAUAUUCGAAUUCACCCAUAAGGUACUGUGUGAAUUGAAUUCCUCAAUUCUUUUUAUUCAUGACCUAGAUUGGUGUAUUAUAUUACAGAAUGGUGGUGUAUCACAAUGAUUUUAUGUUGUUGUACAGCAAUUAUUGUUCAUUUCUUCAAACAUCAGUAAAUAAGAUUGAAGAACAGGUGCAUUGUCCUAAAACCAAAUGAACUUGAGUAAAAACCAUCAGCUCUAGGGAUUUUCGAAGAACUUGGAUAUCAUUUUGUUUAUUGAGAACCAAAUGAUGGAAAGAAAUAGGAAAGUAGUAUCGAAAUUAGGAAUAACCUUUAGUUUACAAUAGAUAAGUUGGUUGAUUUUGUCUGUGUACACUCGGGUAUACUAUUUUUUAUUUAUGUUAAUGAGCCUCACACAAAUCUUCAAUUUGGCUGACUUUAGGACUGAUAUUAGGUUCUGGAAGUCUAGAAUGCCUACUGAAUAUAUAGGGUGAAGAAAUCUAAAUAUUCAAUACUGAAAUUAUUUUAUACCUUGAUCUUAGCAUAUGAUAUUGGAAGUAGUUUACUAAAAUUGGGUAAGUUAUAUUGAGACAUUGAUAUUUCAAUUGGCUAUAUGUUAUACCUUUUUCAUAUUUUUUUAUCCUAAAGAUUGAAGGAAAAAUUCUAUUUUUAGAUGAGAUGUUAUGAUUUGCAAGAGUGAAUUAAAAUGGAAUUUGUAUUAAUGGAUAAAUUAUUACUUUAAGUAUUAUAUAUUGUUGGAAAGCUUGUUGAAUUUACUUUACAAUGAAAUAAACGUAAGUCGAAUCAAAGUUUUCUAUUAAGAGUUGUGUAAUUUUUAUUUAAUGAUAUGUAGACUGCCUGACAACGGUAGCAAUGAGGAAUUACAAAAUUUCUCUGAAUUUUUAUACAAUGAAUUACGAAUUGAGCCAUACAUGUUUAAAAAGGUUAUUGAGUUUAUAUUCCAAUGAAACAAGCAGAAUUGAAUUUGGAGUCUUUUAUGAAUAAAGAUAUCAUUUUGAUUACAAUACAUACAUGUUGUCUGGUAGUAGCAUAUGAUAUGGAUUGCAAAAAUUAUUACAAUUAAUCUACAAUAAAUUAUGAGGUGGGCCAUAUAUGUUGUCAUAACAUCUAGAUCCAGAGAUCCAUUGCUAGAUAUUAUUUUUAAGAGUCGUCACCAAUCUUUUUUAUCUAGGUGCGAUUGGUCACCUAGAGAAUUUAUCCUUUUAAAGAACACCUAAGCCUAAGGGUCCCUAAAAGAAUAGUUUUAGGUCUACUAAUCGGUACAGGGUUCGAGAGUACAGUUACGUGUGAGGAAGGUUAUAGCACCUUCACAACGCCCAUCUAAAGAUGGUACCAGCUUAAUUUUAUGUUAUCCAAUAAGCUUUAAAAAUUUACCAAGUAAUUAAUUAUUAGAAAUUAUUCUUAAUUGACUCUAAUACUUUUAGUAGAAAAUUGAAAAAAUUCCCUCACCUAAAGAGUAUGCAAGGAAACUACUGUUUCACUUGCAGAGGCUCUAUCGUCGGAUUAUUUAACAUUAAAGAAAAUUCAAAAAAAAAAAGAAAUAAAAUGAGAAAAAAAAGAAUAACAAUUCAACUUUAGAUAUAAAUCCUUUUCUCUUAAAAAACUCAUUGCUUUUGUACAAAAAAAUUGAUACUUUUAAAUUUUCCUCAAAAGCAUUUGAGAGUUUCUAUUUUUAAAAAAAUUGAUACUUUCAACUUUUUCUUAAAACGUUUUUUUUAAGAAAAAUUGAUACUUUCAACUUUUCCUCAAAAUGUUUUUCAGAAACUUUAAUUUCGAGGAAAAUUGAUAUUUUUAACUUUUUCUCAAAAAUAUUUUUUUUAAUUUAUUUUUAAGGAAAAUUAAUACUUUUACCUUUUCCUUUAAAAUAUUUUUUAGAAAAUUAUUUUCAAGGAAAAUUGAUACUUUCAACUUUUCCGUGAAAAUAUUUUUUAAAAAAUUUAUUUUUAAGAAAAAUUGAUACUUUCAACUUUUCCUCAAAAAUAUUUUUUUAGAAUUUUAUUUUAAGAAAAUCAUUAAAAAUAAAAUAAAAUAAAAAUCAGAAUAAAAAUAAAAUAAGGAAUACCAAAUUAUUCUAAUCUAAUCAAUAAAUAAUAAUAAUAAUAAUAAUAAUAAUAUAAUAAUAAUAACAAUAAUAAUAAUACUAAUAAAAGAAAUAAUAAUAAUAAUAAAUAAGAAAAAAAACUUUUGGAAUGGCUCGGCUCGGCUUAAGAGAUAAAAGUGAUUUAAACGUGAGGCUCAGCUGGAAACAGCUCGGUUCGGCUGGGGUCCAGGCAGAGACGUGGGUCGCUAAUCAGGUUGGUGCUCGGGUUGAGUCAUCCAAUUUCAAAACACGUGGAUCUUUUAAGAAUAGUAAGGCUAAAACGACAUCGUUUUCAGUCGGUAUAAAAGGCUUCUACUUCUGUUUCUUCGUAGAUUGUUUCCUUUCUCCUCUCUCUCUUCUUUUUUUUUCUCUUCCUUCUCUCUAAAUAGAAUCUAGAUUUCGGUUGAAUGUCUAUCGAAAUCUGGAAAAACAGGUCAAAAACUUUAAAGUUGGCCCAAAAUCUCGCCAAAAAAGUUGAAUCUUACCGAAAAAUUUCACCCGAUUCUGAAAAGUUUUAGAAAAUUUCAAAAAAAAAACUCAAAAAUUCUAAAAACUUUUUCGCAAAUUCCUAACGUUGUUUCUAACGCACCAGAACUUUUUUUAACCUCUGUUUCCCCUUUAUGUAUUUUUCGAUCUUUUUAUGUGCUCUCUGUGGACCUAUUUAUAAGGAUUGAUCAGAAGAGUUUCUGAUCAAUCCCAACGCCUUUUGGGAUUUUGAUUCAAUCUUUGAAUCCAAUCCCAAUUCUGCCAACCUCCAAUUUCAUGACCAAAUCCAAUUUUUUUUUAUCCUAAUCCUAGCAGAAAAUCAAUCAAGAUAAAAUAAAAAAAACACAUAUUAAUAGUUAAUAGAUAAAUAAUAAAAAAAUAUAUUAAUAAAUAAUAAUAAUAAUAAAAAAAUAAAAUACCCAUUUGGACCAAGCCCAAUUGAUCCGGGCCCGGAUCAAAUUGGGUGUCUACAUAUGUUUGAAAAGGUUUUUGAGUCUACUUUUCGAUUAAAUAAGCGAAAUUAAAUUUGGAGUCUUUUAUGAAUAAAUAUAUAAUUUUUAUUAAAAGAUAUAUAUACUAUCUGAUAGCAACAUAUGACAUAGAUUGUAAAAGUUAUUACAAUUAAUCUACACGAAAUUACGAGGUGGGCUAUAUAUAGUUAAAAAAUUUAUCGAGUUUAAUUUCUAAUGUACUAAAAAGAUUUUAAUUUUGAGUUGGAUAUCUUAAGAUAGGGUCAUUUUAGUGAAAGUAGCAUAGGCUACUAAAAUUAGUUAGUUAACCCUUAUAUAACUUAGUUGCUUUUAGUAUUAAUGGUCUUAAAUUGGAUUAAUUAAUUUUUGUUAUAUUGAAAUGAUUUUGAAUAGCCCAUUAAUUAUUUUGGGGGAAAAACUAAGUGGUGGAACCAAAAGGAAAUAAGUAGAAUCUUACACAUUUUGCUUAUUUUGAAACUUAUGUAUAUAUGUAUGUUUCUAAAUAAAUGAGAUUUAUUUCUUUAUUUUCGAUAUAAGAAAAUAGGCUGAGCAUAUGAUUAUUUUACGUUUUGCUAUAUAAAUGACGGAUCAUGUUUAUAAAUGAAAUGAGAAAUUGAUUUAUGCUUAAUGAAUGAUUUUAUAAUAGCUACAUAUUUUACAUCUUGAGAAGUGGGAUUAUCGAUACCAAAACUAGCUAUACUACCCUAGCUAACGGAUUAUAGUAGUUAAUAUAGUCACGAUCAAAUGGCACUACUAGUGGGUCAUAGUAGUUAGUGUAAAGGUUUGGCCAGCAGAUUAUAAUAGUUAGUAAAGAUCAUAAGGAUAAAAUUAUCAAUAUUUCCAAUGUUACGGAUUAUAGUAGUGAUCAUUGUUAAUGAUAAAGUAAUGAUAAUGAUGAUUUAUGAUGAUGAUGAUUUUAAAGAUUGAUUCAUGAUUUGAUUUAAUUACGAUAUUUGAAUGGUAACAUAUUUUGGAAUGAUUUAUGAAUUGAUCUAUUUUGAUUUUGAUUUAUGAUCUACAAAAUAUUUGACAUAAUGUUGAUUUUUGAAAUAUUUUGAUGUAUUAUUUGACAAAUGUUUCGAAUUAUCUAUAUGAUAUGUAUGAAACCGAUGUUUGAUCCGAUAAAGUGCAUGAUCCUAUACUAGAUUAGCUGGAAUUUGUUCAUUCUCUUUUUACCUUUUCUUUACACAUGAGUAACUGAUAAGUAUAUUUAGUCUUACUAAAAGCUAGAAGAUCAAUUUGGAAAUAUUACUUGGACAUUAGAAAUAUUGUUAGCUAGUGAGAUCUUAUGAAAUUAUUUUAUAUGUUUUUUAUUAAUUAACCUUUGAUAUAUAGAGAUGUAUCACUAGUUAGAUUAAAUUUAUGAAUUUUACUUGGCAAAUUAUUUUUAUUAAAGAAUUUUAAAAUGAUUAAGAGAAAAAAUUUCGUAUUACUUUAAAGUUUUAUUUGAAGAUAAUAUAACGGUGUUACAUCUUAGUUUUGGGGCAUGACACCAUUAUUAGACAAGUCUUGACCAGAUUGGAUUACGUAUCAGCCAAUUUGUCAGGCAUUGCAACAGAUUUCAGGUAAUUGGAGAGUCUGCAAACAUGACAGGCUUGAGCUAGUUUAAUUUCUGCUUUUGCUUUGUGAGACUAUUCCAAUGAAGUGAGGAAAGAUAGAUAAAUUUGAUUAUGAACUCGAAUCCAUUUUUGAUAGUAUAGUUAGACUCUGAAAGGGAGGAGGUUAAGAUUCAAAUCUUCGUGAAACCUCCUUCGAGAUGGAAACUUGGGAAGGAGAGCAGCGACUCGUUUGGCACUUUUCAAAUAUGAUGCAUACUGAAGGAUGACAGGAGUAUCAUUCUUUCCUGCAUCAAUUUUGUCACGGUCCAAGCUUAUUGUCUGAAAAGCACUAGCCAAAGGCAAGACAUGGAUACCGUGACUAUUCUCCUUUCCUACCAGGUCCUUAAGCGCCUUCUUCUUGAAAGUCCAGCUGCCAGUUCUCAGGUUGAAAUGGUAUAGAGGAAGAAAUCGUUGGCCAUAGAUGGCUACGAACUCCAACGCCGCAAGAAUGUAUUCAAACUCCUCAUUUGACAUGUAGUAAGGAAAGCUGACUCUCGUCCAUCCAGGUUUUGCUCCUAUGUAGCCCUGCAAUCAAACUUUGCAAUUGGCAUUAGAUAAGUUGAAUUAUAUUUUACUUCUCUUCAUUUGGUCAAAAAAGAAAAAAAGGAAAAUUUUGUACUGAUACCCUUUUAAUAGCUUCUCUGAACGCAAGGGAUCGAGUCUGAUCAAUAUCAAGCAAACUGUGGCCAUAAGGUCCAGCACAAGCACACCCACCUCGAGCUUGGAUGCCAAACAGAUCAUUUAGGAUGGUUGCAACAAAAGGGCCAUGGAGAGGUUUAUCCCUCUUGUUCCCAGUCUCUCCCCACAUGAAAAGUCCCCUACCCUUUUCCUUUGCCUCGUCAACAUUGUUACCAUCGUUGGUUGUGGAGUAGAUGAGGAAAGACAGUAUGGCUUGUCUCUGGGUCUCGGUGCUUGCAUUUCCUAAAACCCUUAUGUUUUGGUUUGGGAGAAGCCUCUCCAAUGCUUGAUUUAUGUACGACUUCUCCUGCUUUGCAAUCACUUCAUAACCAAUAUAUUCUUUUACCCAAAAAGUCAAUGCUGCUCUAACAAUCUGAAUUAUUUGAGGAGUCCCUCCAUUUUCCCUUUCUUCUAUGUCACUUGCAUAUAUUGUGUCCUGCAAAAUAAAUACCCCAUUUCGCCACAUUUUAAAUGCAUACCUGCUUCCCUAAAUGCUGGGGAAUGAAUCUGAUUAAUAUCAUGAUAACUUAUCAUUUUCUAGAGUAUUUUUCUACUGGCACUGUCGUGCAUUCAGAAAUUUGGUUGGAAAUCUCUUUUCUUCUAAAAUUGUAAUUAAAAUAAAAUUUUUUUAGAGACACUUAUCAUUCACUAGUCUAUGUCUAAACCCGCUCCAUCUGAAUCAGGAAUUUAUUUCUAAACUCCAAAAAGCCUGACAGCUACCUAAUCAUUCUUUAUGUCGUCCAGCCGAAGAAAGAAACCGAAAUUUCUUACAAAAUGGGAUAUAUAAGCAAGAAUAAGAAAAAGAUAAAGAAAAUACAAAUUUCCAUUUUAUGGUAGAGAGGUGAACAAAAAAUAAAAUCUUUCAUCUAUUAAAUUGAAUUAAUCUGAACACAAAAAUAUAAUAAAAAUCUCUUCAUUUAUUAUCAAUUAAUUUUAAAUUUGAGAGUGAUUACCUGUUCAUUGAAGCCAUUGACAUAAUUAACAGUUCCACCUCCGCAAGUUGAUGGAGGAGAAGAUCCCAGCCGGUAGAGAGCCUUGCUCAUUAAAAGGAUGCCGGGCGUUCCCGGGCCACCUAGAAACUUAUGUGGGCUUAGGAAAAUGGCAUCAUAUCCAUCAAUCUCCCCUGACCUCAUAUCAAUCUCCACAUAAGGACCACUAUCCACAAAAACAAAAUGAUAAGCACAAUCACAAAUCAACUUCUCAUUGCUUUAUAACAUUAACAUAAUACAUAAACUUGGCUAAUAAUUAAUUGUGAGAUCUGUUAUUAAAAUAUUAAACUUUUAAUUUUAACAAUCAAAGUUUAAAUUCUGACAACCUCGAAUAUAAAAGCUUGACAACAAAAAAUGAAAAUUCUUACUGUGUACCUUGCUGCAAAAUCAAAGCAAACAAAACCUCCGUACUCAUGAAGAAGUUUGGCAAUCUCUCGAGUAUCUGUUUGAAUCCCAGUCACAUUACUACAAGCUGAAAAGGAGCCAAGCAAAGGCCUAUUGGCGUAUUUAUAGAGCUCAAGCUGUUUUCUUAGUGCUUCAAUGUCUAUGAACCCAUUCUCAUCUAAACCAAUCUCAACAACUUCAGCAAGGCUUUGACGCCAAGAAAGCAAGUUGGAGUGUUGCUCGUAAGGGCCAAUAAAAACUACCCAUCGAUACUCAUUAGGUAAGCAAUUUAUUACCAUGUCCCUCAAAAUUGAUGGUACCGUAAUCCCCAUAACUUCUUGUAGCCUUUUAAUAGCAGCCGUGGUGCCUGAGCCACAAAACAGAAUUGCAUCAUCUUGACCGCCACCUAGGCUUCUUUUAAUGUAGUUUGACGCUUCAUGCACCAUUUUCGUCGUCCUGUGCCCCACGUAACUGUCAGACGUGUGAGUGUUACCUACGCACGAACCAACCAAGAUCAGCUGACAAAUACUAAAACACAAAAAAUAUAUCUAUAUAUAUAUAUAUAUAUAUUAUACUCGGAAAUGACGCCAUCACUUUUGUUAAUUAAAUCAGAGUAUCACAAUUGAAGAUCAGAAGAAAAAAAACCUUUACCGUAGAAUGGCAGAACAUUGGUGACGAUGAAGUUUUCGAUAUAGUGAAAAGAGCGACCCGAUGCAGUAUGAUCAGCAUAAGUAAGUUUUCUAGUUCCAAAAGGAGAGUCAAAUUCUGCAUCACCACCAGUGAUUUGAGAUCGUAGCCAAGACAGCUUUUUCUCGGUGGAGUCAACCUUUGGCACAUCCAUCUCUAGAGCCCUGAAUGAUUCCGAGCCAUGGAAGAGUUUGCUGGAAACAUAGGAACGGUAUGUUGAUCCUGGUGACUUAUGCCUGUCCCUGGUUGAAGUCUUACUAUCAUUUGCUGCCUUCAAUUGCAGGGCUUCCGUUGUUUCUCUAAACAUGGGUUGCUCAAACUCCAUUUCCCACCUGGAAACAAAGAUUAGUGGCUGUUUUUAUUGUUGUUGUAGCUUAUGACAGGAGAAAGAAUGGAAAAAGUAGUUGUAGAAGAAGAAAAAGAUAAGAAUGAGGGUAAGGAAGGCAGACUUGGUUAUUUAUAUACUAUUAAAAUACAAAGUAACCUUUUGACACGGUUUCAUCUUUUUAAUUAAUAAAACAAAAAGACAAAGUUUUAGGCGUGAGGGGGGUUUGACUCCGAAACCAUGGCCUCUACACACCAAUAAGAAAAAUAUUGCUGUCUCAGAAACAAUGGGAUCUCUAAAAAGGAUUGAAAAAAAAAAAAAAACCUACAGAAAAUAGUAAGCCUAUGUUUGGAAUAUGUUAUUCCUUGGAGUGUAAGAAUUUCCAUAUUUCUCAUUCCUCUCCCUAAAAUUUGAUUAUGGAGUAUCAAACAGCCCAAGCAAUUGUUAGAAAAACAUUGAACCUUUCCUGAUCUACUUGGUUUGGAACGUGAUGUAUCCAAUCUGCCGUAUUAAUAAAGAGAGCAUUGCUAUUUGGAGGUGUCAAUAAUAUACCCGUACUCACGAGUUAUUCAUUUUAUAAAUUAGAUUACUUAAUUGAUAAAAAGAAUGACAAUUUUGGUAUCUCAUUAUAAUUUUCACGGAUAGCUAUGAUUCCGAAAGAGUAAAAUGUGUAAAGAAAGCAAAGAAUUUGAUUGCUUUUAAACUUAGUAUGAUUUUGGCAAUAUGCAUGAUAAUUUUAUUAAUGAUUAUUCAUCAUUAAGUAACAUUUAUGAAUUAAAAUUAAAUUUUGAUUUAUUGAAAAAGUAUAAAAAAAUCAGUUAUAAAAAAUAAAUGAAAGAAUGAAGAAACAAACAAACGGAUCAAAUAAAAAAAAUAAAAAGAGAACCAAUACAAAAUAAAAGUAGUGAAAUAGAUCUUCAAACCAAUACUCCACCACAAUAAAGGCUAUUCAUUUGUAUUUAUGAUGAAGUGGCAUAUUAAAAAUAAAUAAUUUAAUUUAAUUAAGAAUGAUUUAAGAUAAAUAAUAAACAUUUGAUUACUAAUUGAUAUAAUUUUAACUAUAGAAGGUAAAUAAUACGUUCUCUUUAAGGUAAUGUUGUUCUUCCAAAAUAGUUAAAUAUAAAAAUACCCAUUUAUUAUGCAUUUUUUUUAUCAUUUGCACCCAAAAAAAUAAAAUAUUAGUUUGGCACUCUAAUUUCAUUAUUUCAUCACUUUGUUAUCGGAGACUAGCGUCGUCAGUCAAGUUUAUUGAUGUGGUAUAUAACACUCGAUAAGGAUAUUAACAUAUGCUAAGAAAAGCUAAUCAAUGUCAAAUCAUCAAAAUUACAUCUGAAUUUAAAGAAAAUUCUAAAAAAAAUUUAAAAUAUUUUUUAAAAAAUAUUUAGCUUCUAAAAAAAUUAAUUUUAAAACCAAAACUAAAAUUUUUAAAAAUUUUUAAAAAAUUACCAAAACUUAAAAAAUUCAGAAAAAUCUCAAAAUUUUAUUAGGAAAAUAAAAAACUUUUCAAAUUUUCAUAAAAAUCAUAAUUUUAGUAAACAUAAAAGUUUUCAUAAAUUUAAAAAAAAUCUCUAAAGCUUAAAAAAAUUGAAAGUAAAAGAUCUAAAUUUUUUUGAAAAUAUCUAAAAAUUUUAAAAUAAUUGUAAUUCUUGUAAAUUAGGAAAAUUCUUCAUUUUUUUAAUCUUACAAUUUUAAUUUUCUUAUAUAUUUUGUGAUUUUUUACAUUUUUUUAAAUGUUUAUGGAUUUUUAUUAAAAUUUUAAGUUUUUUAUUUUAUAUUUUUCAAAAAAAUAUUAACUUUUUGUAAAUUUCUUAGAAUAUUUCAUAUUUUUGAAUUUUUUUAAUUUACUCAAAAUUUUUGAAAAUAUUUUAUAAAAUUUUAGAUUUUAAUAAAAAUUUGAUAUUUUUUUAAUUUUCAAAUUUUGUCAAAAAAGUCCAGAUUUUUUAUUAUUUGUAAACCUCUUUUUUAAUUUUUUAGAAUUUUUUUGGUUAUUUUUUAAUUUUUUAUCAAAAUUUUGAGAUUUUAUGAAUUUUUUUAUGUUUUGAUAUUUUUUAAAAUUUUAUGUUCAAAUAAGAUUUCAUAUUUAUUUAAUUUUUUUAAUUUUUAAAAAUAUUUUAGACUUUUAAAUUUUGUUGAAAUUUUUUACUAUUAAUGUGGUAAUUGAUGAUGUGGCACUACUGAACUUUUUGAUACAUGUCAGUAUCUUAUUAGAUGUUAAUGCCAUGUUGACAAAUUGAGUAAUUGCUUUAGUACGAGGUAUCAAAGUAAAUGGCGAAAUGAAAGUUAAAAAUCCAAAUUGAUAAUUUUGUUUUUGAAAGUACUAAACUGACAGAAAGUGUAUAGUACAUGAAAUAUUUUUAUGUUUAACUUUUCCAAUCAUGAAAAGACCUAAAAGGAGACUUGAAAUUGUUAUACAUGUAAUCGAUAAUCAUUCCUUAGUGUUGACCUUUAGAGUUCAAAGGAUGUCUCAAACCCAAAUAAUUUUUGGGUUUUUCCUACAUGUAAUAAUAAUAUUAAUUACCAAAUUAUUGCUUAAUUUGAAAAAAAAAUGACAUUAAUAUAAAGAUAAAUGUACAUAAAAGAGCAGUAACUGUAACUCGUAUAAAAGUAAAAAAAAAAAAAAAAGGUUAUCUGAACCUAUUUUAAUUGAAAACCCUUGAAGCCUCCUCAUCAAACACUUACUAGACUAAAGGUUUACAAAACCUCUAAACCAGAUUGAUCUAGUAAGAUGUGUAAGUUUUACAUUUAAGUGAUCACAUUAAAUUAUUUAAACUCUCAUGCUUAUCUUGUAUUAAGAGUAAACACAUCAACCAAUUUUAUUAAAUUAUUAAAACUAACUAUUAAUGGCAGCCCACUUAUAAAUUAUUCUCGCUCUAUAUCCUAAUAAGACAUCAACGGGGAGUGUAUAAAGCAAAAAUGAAGACUAUAUAAAGAGCAAUGGUGGUGGAAAGAUUGUUUUAUAAACAAAAAAUUUGGAUGUUGAAGCGGUCUUCAUAAAAGACGACUUUCUGUGUUAGAGUGGUUCCAUUAAAAUAGUAUACUAAGGUCAUAUUUGAUACAUAUAAUUAUUAAUAGAAUAUGAAGAAUAUUCGUAGGUUUGCAAUGAGGAUUAAUAUCCUCUUGUAUAGGAUUAUUCAAUCAUCUCAAGUAGAAAGGAUAAUUUUUAAAUUUAUAGAUUAAACUUACUGGUUCAAUUAAUACUCUUAAAAAUUACUUUAAUAAUUUAAAUUGUAUAAACUUUGAAUAAGGAAUUUUUGACCAAUAAAUAAAAUUAUCCUAUCCUAAUCUUUACAUAUAGCAAACACAAAACAAAAUGACAUUAUUUAAUCUAAUUUUAUUUAUAAUAUCAUUGUACCCUAUCAAGUUAUAAUCUUAUGUACCAAACAUGGCAUAAGAUUAUAUAUCUAUGUAUAUUGAUAUUAUUUGUUAUUUUAUAACUAAGCUUUUGCGAUUCACAUAUUGUGAGGGGUUUCUGUGACAACUUUUUAAAAGGCUAUUUGGUGUGAUUGCAUAUACAUGACAUCAUACAUGCUAAUAAAGGAUUAGGAUAGAGCGGUAUAUUCGAAUUCACCCAUAAGGUACUGUGUGAAUUGAAUUCCUUAAUUCUUUUUAUUCGUGAUCUAGAUUGGUGGAUUAUAUUACAAAAUGGUGGUGUAGCAUAAUGAUUUUAUGUUGUUUUAUAGCUAUUAUUGUUCAUUUCUUCAAACAUCAGUAAAUAAGAUUGAAGAACAGGUGCAUUGUCCUAAAACCAAAUGAACUUGAGUAAAAACCAUCAGCUCUAGGGAUUUUCGAAGAACUUGGAUGUCACUUUGUUUAUUGAAAACCAAAUGAUGGAAAGAAAUAGGAAGGUAGUAUCGAAAUUAGGAAUAACCUUUAGUUUACAAUAGAUAAGUUAGUUGAUUUUGUCUGUGUACACUCGGGUAUACUAUUUUUUAUUUAUGUUAAUGAGCCUCACACAAAUCUUCAAUUUGGUUGACUUUAGGACUAAUAUUAGGUUCUGGAAGUCUAGAAUGACUAUUGAAUAUAUAAGGUGAAGAAAUCUAAAUAUUCAAUAUUGAAAUUAUUUUAUACCUUGAUCUUAGCAUAUGAUAUUGGAAGUAGUUUACUAAAAUUAGGUAAGUUAUAUUGAGACAUUGAUAUUUCAAUUGGCUAUAUGCUAUGCCUUUUUCAUAUUUUUUUUAUCCUAAAGAUUGAAGGAGAAAUUUUAUUUUUGGAUGAGAUGCUAUGAUUCGCAAAAGUGAAUUAAAAUGGAAUUUGUAUUAAUGGAUAAAUUAUUACUUUAAGUAUUAUAUAUUGUUGGAAAGCUUGCUGAAUCUAUUUUUCAAUGAAACAAACGUAAGUUGAAUCAGAGUUUUCUAUUAAGAGUUAUCUAAUUUUUACUUAAUGAUAUGUAGACUGCUUGACAGCAGUAGCAAUAAGGAAUUACAAAAUUUCUCUGAAUUUUUAUACAAUGAAUUACGAAUUGAGCCAUACAUGUUUAAAAAGGUUAUUGAGUUUAUAUUCCAAUGAAACAAGCAGAAUUGAAUUUGGAGUCUUUUAUGAAUAAAUAUAUCAUUUUGAUUACAAUAUAUACAUGCUAUCUAGUAGUAGCAUAUGACAUGGAUUGCGAAAAUUAUUACAAUUAAUCUACAAUAAAUUACGAGGUGGGCCAUAUAUGUUGUCAUAACAUCUAGAUCCGGGGAUCCUUUGCUAGAUAUUGUCUUUAGGAGUGAUCAUUAAUCUUUUUUAUCUAUGAGCGAUUGGUCAUCUAGGGAAUUUAUCCUUUUAAAGAACACCUAAGCCUAAGGGUCCCUAAAAGAAUAGUUUCAUGUUUACUAAUCAGAACAGGGUUCAAGAGUACGGUUAUGUGUGAAAAAGGUUAUAACACCCUUACAACGCCCAUCGAAAGAUGGUACCAGCUUAAUUUUAUGUUAUCCAAUAAGUUUUAAAAAUUUACUAGAUAAUUAAUUAUUAGAAAUUAUUCUCAAUUGACUAUAAAACUUUUAGUAAAAAAUUAAAAAAAAAUUUUCACCCAAAGAGUAUGCAAGGAAACUACUGUUUCACUUGCAGAAGCUCUAUCGUCAGAUUAUUUAACAUUAAAGAAAAUUCAAAAAGGAAAAGAAAUAAAAUGGGAAAAAAGAAUAAUAAUUCAACUUUAGAUAUAAAUCUUUCUCUUCAAAAACUUAUUACUUUUGUAUAAGAAAAAUUGAUACUUUUAACUUUUCCUCAAAAGAAUUUGAGAGUUUCUAUUUUAAGGACAAUUGAUACUUUCAACUUUUCCUUAAAACAUUUUUUUUAAGAAAAAUUGGUACUUCUAACUUUUUCCCAAAAUAUUUUUCUGAAACUUUAAUUUUGAGGAAAAUUGAUACUUUCAACUUUUCUUCAAAAAUAUUUUUUUUAAAUUUAUUUUUAAGAAAAAUUGAUACUUUUACCUUUUCCUCAAAAAUAAUUUUUAGAAAAUUAUUUUCAAGGAAAAUUGAUACUUUCAACUUUUUCUCAAAAAUAUUUUUUUAGAAUUUUAUUUUAAGAAAAUCAUUAAAAAAUAAAAAUAAAAAUAAAAUAAGGAAUACAAAAUUAUUCUAAUCUAAUCAAUAAAUAAUAAUAAUAAUAAUAAAUAAGAAAAAAAAAAUUUUGGAACAGCUCGGCUUGAGAGAUAGAAGUGGUUUAAACGUGAGGCUCAGCUAGAAACGGCUCGAUUGGGCUGGGCUAGGGUCUAGGUAAAAAUGCGGGUCGCUAAUCGGGUUGGUGCUCGGGUUGAGUCACCCGAUUUCAAAACGUGCUGAUCUUCUGGGAAUAGUAAGGCUAAAACGACAUCGUUUUCAGUCGGUAUAAAAGGCUUCAACCUCUGUUUUUUUACAGAUUGCUUCCUUCUUCCUCUUUUUUUCUUUUUUUUUUCUCCUCCUUCUCUCUAAAUAGAAUCCAAAUCUCAGUUGAAUAUCUGCUGAAAUCUGAAAAAAAACAGGUCAAAAACUUCGAAGUUGGCCGAAAAUCUCGCCAAAAAAGUUGAAUCUUACCGAAAAAUUUCACUGGAUUCUGAAAAAUUUUUAGAAAUUUUUAGAAAAAAAAUUCUAAAAUUCUAAAAUCUUUCCCAUAAAUUCCUAACACUGUUUCUAACGCACCAGAACUUUUUUUAACCUCUGUUUCCUCUCUGUGUAUUUUUUGAUCUUUUUGUGUGCUCUCUGUGGACCUAUUUAUAAGGAUUGAUCAGAAGAGUUUCUGAUCAAUCCCAACUCCUUCUGGGAUUUUGAUUCAAUCUUUGAAUCCAAUCCCAAUCCUGCUAACCUCUAAUUUCACGGCCAAAUCCAAUUUUUUUAUCCUAAUCCUAUCCGAAAAUCAAUCAAGAUAAAACAAAAAAAACACAUAUAAUAAUUAAUAGAUAAAUAAUAAAAAAAUUAUAUUAAUAAAUAAUAAUAAAAAAUAAAUAAAAUGGGCUUACCCAUUUUGACUAGGCCCAAUUGAUCCAAGCCUGGACCAAAUUGGGUGUCUACAUAUUUUUGAAAAGGUUUUUGAGUCUAUUUUUCGAUUAAACAAGCGAAAUUGAAUUUGGAGUCUUUUAUGAAUAAAUAUAUAAUUUUUAUUAGAAGAUAUGCAUACUAUCUGAUAGCAACAUAUAACAUAGAUUGCAAAAGUUAUUACAAUUAAUCUACACGAAAUUAUGAUGUGGGCCAUAUAUAGUUAAAAAAUUUAUCGAGUUUAAUUUCUAAUGUACUAAAAAGAUUUUAAUUUUGAGUUGGAUAUCUUAAGAUAGGGUCAUUUUAGUGAAAGUAGCAUAGGCUACCAAAAUUAGUUAGUUAACCCUUAUAUAACUUAGUUGUUUUUAGUAUUAAUGGUCUUAAAGUGGAUUGAUUAAUUUCUGUUAUAUUGAAAUGAUUUUGAAUAGCCUAUUAAUUAUUUUGAGGGAAAAACUAAGUGGUGGAACCAAAAGGAAAUAAGUAGAAUCUUACACACUUUGCUUAUUUUGAAACUUAUGUAUAUAUGUAUGUUUCUAAAUAAAUGAGAUUUAUUUCUUUAUUUUCGAUAUAAGAAAAUAGGUUGAGCAUAUGAUUAUUUUAUGUUUUGCUAUAUAAAUGAUGGAUCAUGUUUAUAAAUGAAAUGAGAAAUUGAUUUAUGUUUAAUGAAUGAUUUUAUAAUAGCUACAUAUUUUACAUCUUGAGAAAUGGGAUUAUCGAUACCAGAACUAGUUAUACUACCCUAGCUAACGGAUUAUAAAAGUUAAUAUAGUCACGAUCAAAUGGCACUACUAGUGGGUCAUAGUAGUUAGUGUAAAGGUUUGGCCAGCAGGCUAUAAUAGUUAGUAAAGAUCAUAAGGAUAAAAUUAUCGAUAUUGCCAAUGUUACGGAUUAUAGUAGUAAUCAUAGUUAAUGAUAAACUAAUGAUAAUGAUGAUUUAUGAUAAUGAUGAUUUUAAAGAUUGAUUCAUGAUUUGAUUUAAUUACGAUAUUUGAAUGGUAACAUAUUUUGUAAUGAUUUAUGAAUUGAUCUAUUUUGAUUUUGAUUUAUGAUCUACAAAAUAUUUGACAUAAUGUUGAUUUUUGAAAUAUUUUGAUGUAUUAUUUGACAAAUGUUUCGAAUUAUCUAUAUGAUAUGUAUGAAACCGAUGUUUGAUCCGAUAAAAUGUAUGAUCUUAUACUAGAUUAGCUGUAAUUUGUUCAUUCUCUUUCUACCUUUUCUUUACACAUGAGUAACUGAUAAGUAUAUUUAGUCUUAUUAAAAGCUAGAAGAUCAAAUUUGGAAAUAUUACUUGGACAUUAGAAAUAUUGUUAGCUAGUGAGAUCUUAUGAAAUUAUUUUAUAUGUUUUUUAUUAAUUAACCUUUGGAUAUAUAGAGAUGUAUCACUAGUUAGAUUAAAUUUAUGAAUUUUACUUGGCAAAUUAUUUUUAUUAAAGAAUUUUAAAAUGAUUAAGAGAAAAAAUUUCGUAUUACUUUAAAGUUUUAUUUGAAGAUAAUAUAACGGUGUUACAUCUUAGUUUUGGGGCAUGACACCAUUAUUAGACAAGUCUUGACCAGAUUGGAUUACGUAUCAGCCAAUUUGUCAGGCAUUGCAACAGAUUUCAGGUAAUUGGAGAGUCUGCUAACAUGACAGGCUUGAGCUAGUUUAAUUUCUGCUUUUGCUUUGUGAGAAUAUUCCAAUGAAGUGAGGAAAGAUAGAUAAAUUUGAUUAUGAACUCGAAUCCAUUUUUGAUAGUAUAGUUAGACUCUGAAAGGGAGGAGGUUAAGAUUUAAAUCUUCGUGAAACCUCCUUCGAGAUGGAAACUUGGGAAGGAGAGCAGCGACUCGUUUGGCACUUUUCAAAUAUGAUGCAUACUGAAGGAUGACAGGAGUAUCAUUCUUUCCUGCAUCAAUUUUGUCACGGUCCAAGCUUAUUGUCUGAAAAGCACUAGCCAAAGGCAAGACAUGGAUGCCGUGACUAUUCUCCUUUCCUACCAGGUCCUUAAGCGCCUUCUUCUUGAAAGUCCAGCUGCCAGUUCUCAGGUUGAAAUGGUAUAGAGGAAGAAAUCGUUGGCCAUAGAUGGCUACGAACUCCAACGCCGCAAGAAUGUAUUCAAACUCCUCAUUUGACAUGUAGUAAGGAAAGCUGACUCUUGUCCAUCCAGGUUUUGCUCCUAUGUAGCCCUGCAAUCAAACUUUGCAAUUGGCAUUAGAUAAGUUGAAUUAUAUUUUACUUCUCUUUCAUUUGGUCAAAAAAGAAAAAAAGGAAAAUUUUGUACUGAUACCCUUUUAAUAGCUUCUCUGAACGCAAGGGAUCGAGUCUGAUCAAUAUCAAGCAAACUGUGGCCAUAAGGUCCAGCACAAGCACACCCACCUCGAGCUUGGAUGCCAAACAGAUCAUUUAGGAUGGUUGCAACAAAAGGGCCAUGGAGAGGUUUAUCCCUCUUGUUCCCAGUCUCUCCCCACAUGAAAAGUCCCCUACCCUUUUCCUUUGCCUCGUCAACAUUGUUACCAUCGUUGGUUGUGGAGUAGAUGAGGAAAGACAGUAUGGCUUGUCUCUGGGUCUCGGUGCUUGCAUUUCCUAAAACCCUUAUGUUUUGGUUUGGGAGAAGCCUCUCCAAUGCUUGAUUUAUGUACGACUUCUCCUGCUUUGCAAUCACUUCAUAACCAAUAUAUUCUUUUACCCAAAAAGUCAAUGCUGCUCUAACAAUCUGAAUUAUUUGAGGAGUCCCUCCAUUUUCCCUUUCUUCUAUGUCACUUACAUAUAUUGUGUCCUGCAAAAUAAAUACCCCAUUUUACCACAUUUUAAAUUGCAUACCUGCUUCCCUAAAUGCUGGGGAAUGAAUCUGAUUAAUAUCAUGAUAACUUAUCAUUCUCUAGAGUAUUUUUCUACUGGCACUGUCGUGCAUUCAGAAUUUGGUUGGAAAUCUCUUUUCUUCUAAAAUUGUAAUUAAAAUAAAAAAUUUUUUUAGAGACACUUAUCAUUCACUAGUCUAUGUCUAAACCCGCUCCAUCUGAAUCAGGAAUUUAUUUCUAAACUCCAAAAAGCCUGACAGCUACCUAAUCAUUCUUUAUGUCGUCCAGCCGAAGAAAGAAACCGAAAUUUCUUACAAAAUGGGAUAUAUAAGCAAGAAUAAGAAAAAGGUAAAGAAAAUACAAAUUUCCAUUUUAUGGUAGAGAGGUGAACAAAAAAUAAAAUCUUUCAUCUAUUAAAUUGAAUUAAUCUGAACACAAAAAUAUAAUAAAAAUCUCUUCAUUUAUUAUCAAUUAAUUUUAAAUUUGAGAGUAAUUACCUGUUCAUUGAAGCCAUUGACAUAAUUAACAGUUCCACCUCCGCAAGUUGAUGGAGGAGAAGAUCCCAGCCGGUAGAGAGCCUUGCUCAUUAAAAGGAUGCCGGGCGUUCCAGGGCCACCUAGAAACUUAUGUGGGCUUAGGAAAAUGGCAUCAUAUCCAUCAAUCUCCCCUGACCUCAUAUCAAUCUCCACAUAAGGACCACUAUCCACAAAAACAAAAUGAUAAGCACAAUCACAAAUCAACUUCUCAUUGCUUUAUAACAUUAACAUAAUACAUAAACUUGGCUAAUAAUUAAUUGUGAGAUCUGUUAUUAAAAUAUUAAACUUUUAAUUUUAACAAUCAAAGUUUAAAUUCUGACAACCUCGAAUAUAAAAGCUUGACAACAAAAAAUGAAAAUUCUUACUGUGUACCUUGCUGCAAAAUCAAAGCAAACAAAACCUCCGUACUCAUGAAGAAGUUUGGCAAUCUCUCGAGUAUCUGUUUGAAUCCCAGUCACAUUACUACAAGCUGAAAAUGAGCCAAGCAAAGGCCUAUUGGCGUAUUUAUACAGCUCAAGCUGUUUUCUUAGUGCUUCAAUGUCUAUGAACCCAUUCUCAUCUAAACCAAUCUCAACAACUUCAGCAAGGCUUUGACGCCAAGAAAGCAAGUUGGAGUGGUGCUCGUAAGGGCCAAUAAAAACUACCCAUCGAUACUCAUUAGGUAAGCAAUUUAUUACCAUGUCCCUCAAAAUUGAUGGUACCGUAAUCCCCAUAACUUCUUGUAGCCUUUUAAUAGCAGCCGUGGUGCCUGAGCCACAAAACAGAAUUGCAUCAUCUUGACCGCCACCUAGGCUUCUUUUAAUGUAGUUUGACGCUUCAUGCACCAUUUUCGUCGUCCUGUGCCCCACGUAACUGUCAGACGUGUGAGUGUUACCUACGCACGAACCAACCAAGAUCAGCUGACAAAUACUAAAACCCAAUAUAUAUAUAUAUAUAUAUAUCUUAUACUCGGAAAUGACGCCAUCACUUUUGUUAAUUAAAUCAGAGUAUCACAAUUGAAGAUCAGAAGAAAAAAAACCUUUACCGUAGAAUGGCAGAACAUUGGUGACGAUGAAGUUUUCGAUAUAGUGAAAAGAGCGACCCGAUGCAGUAUGAUCAGCAUAAGUAAGUUUUCUAGUUCCAAAAGGAGAGUCAAAUUCUGCAUCACCACCAGUGAUUUGAGAUCGUAGCCAAGACAGCUUUUUCUCGGUGGAGUCAACCUUUGGCACAUCCAUCUCUAGAGCCCUGAAUGAUUCCGAGCCAUGGAAGAGUUUGCUGGAAACAUAGGAACGGCAUGUUGAUCCUGGUGACUUAUGCCUGUCCCUGGUUGAAGUCUUACUAUCAUUUGCUGCCUUCAAUUUCAGGGCUUCCGUUGUUUCUCUAAACAUGGGUUGCUCAAACUCCAUUUCCCACCUGGAAACAAAGAUUAGUGGCUGUUUUUAUUGUUGUUGUAGCUUAUGACAGGAGAAAGAAUGGAAAAAGUAGUUGUAGAAGAAGAAAAAGAUAAGAAUGAGGGUAAGGAAGGCAGACUUGGUUAUUUAUAUACUAUUAAAAUACAAAGUAACCUUUUGACACGGUUUCAUUUUUUUAAUUAAUAAAACAAAAAGACAAAGUUUUAGGCGUGAGGGGGGUUUGACUCCGAAACCAUGGCCUCUACACACCAAUAAGAAAAAUAUUGCUGUCUCAGAAACAAUGGGAUCUCUAAGAAGGAUUGAAAAAAAAAAAAAAAGAACCUACAGAAAAUAGUAAGCCUAUGUUUGGAAUAUAUUAUUCCUUGGAGUGUAAGAAUUUCCAUAUUUCUCAUUCCUCUCCCUAAAAUUUGAUUAUGGAGUAUCAAACAGCCCAAGCAAUUGUUAGAAAAACAUUGAACCUUUCCUGAUCUACUUGGUUUGGAACGUGAUGUAUCCAAUCUGCCGUAUUAAUAAGGAGAGCAUUGCUAUUUAGAGGUGUCAAUAAUAUACCCGUACUCACGAGUUAUUCGUUUUAUAAAUUAGAUUACUUAAUUGAUAAAAAGAAUGAGAAUUUUUGUAUGUCAUUAUAAUUUGCACGGAUAGUUAUGAUUCCAAAAGAGUAAAAUGUGUAAAGAAAGCAAAGAAUUUGAUUGCUUUUCAGAAACUUAGUAUGAUUUUGGCAAUAUGCAUGAUAAUUUUAUUAAUGAUUAUUCAUCAAUAAGUAACAUUUAUGAAUUAAAAUUAAAUUUUGAUUUAUUGAAAAAGUAUAAAAAAAUCAGUUAUAAAAAAUAAAUGAAAGAAUGAAGAAACAAACAAACGGAUCAAAUAAAAAAAAUAAAAAGAGAACCAAAACAAAAUAAAAGUAGUGAAAUAGAUCUUCAAACCAAUACUCCACCACAAUAAAGGCUAUUCAUUUGUAUUUAUGAUGAAGUGGCAUAUUAAAAAUAAAUAAUUUAAUUUAAUUAAGAAUGAUUUAAGAUAAAUAAUAAAAAUUUGAUUACUAAUUGAUAUAAUUUUAACUAUAGAAGGUAAAUAAUACGUACUCUUUAAGGUAAUGUUGUUCUUUCCAAAAUAGUUAAAUAUAAAAAUAACCCAUUUAUUAUGCAUUUUUUUUUAUCAAUUUGGCACCAAAAAAAUAAAAUAUUUAGUUUGGCACUCUAAUUUUCAUUCUUUCAUCACUUUGUUAUCGGAGACUAGCGUCAUCAGUCAAUUUAUUGACGUGGUAUAAACAUCUAAUAAGAUAUUAACACAUGCUAAGAAAAUCUAAUCAAUGUCAAAUCAUCAAUAUUACAUCUGAAUUUAAAGAAAAUUCUAAAAAAAUUUAAAUAUUUUUUAAAAUAUUUAAGCAUUUUAAAAAAUUAUUUUAAAAACAAAAACUAAAUUUUUAAAAAAUUUUAAAAAAUUACCAAAACUUUAAAAAUUCAAAAAAAUCUCAAAAUUUUAUUAGGAAAAUAAAAAAACUUUUGAAAUUUUCAUAAAAAUCAUAAUUUUAGUAAACAUAAAGUUUUCAUAAAUUUUUUAAAAAAAAUCUCUAAAGCUUAAAAAAAUUGAAAGUAAAAGAUCUAAAAUUUUUUGAAAAUAUCUAAAAAUUUUAAAAUAAUUGUAAUUCUUAUAAAUUAGGAAAAUUCUUCAUUUUUUUAAUCUUACAAUUUUAAUUUUCUUAUAUAUUUUGUGAUUUUUUACAUUUUUUUAAAUGUUUAUGGAUUUUUAUUAAAAUUUUAAGUUUUUUAUUUUAUAUUUUUCAAAAAAAUUUAAUUUUUAGUAAAUUUCUUAGAAUAUUUCAUAUUUUUGAAUUUUUUUAAUUUUUUCAAAAUUUUUGAAAAUAUUUUAUAAAAUUUUAGAUUUUAAUAAAAAUUUGAUAUUUUUUGAAUUUUCAAAUUUUGUCAAAAAAUUCUAGAUUUUUUAUUAUUUGUGAACCUUUUUUUAAUUUUUUAGAAUUUUUUUGGAUUUUUUUUAUUUUUUGUCAAAAUUUUGAGAUUUUAUGAAUUUUUUUAAGUUUGAUAUUUUUUAAAAUUUUAUGUUCAAAUAAGAUUUCAUAUUAUUUAAUUUUUCUAAUUUUUAAAAAUAUUUUAGACUUUUAAAUUUUGUUGAAUUUUUUUACUAUUAAUGUGGUAAUUGAUGAUGUGGCACUACUGAACUUUUUGAUACAUGUCAGUAUCUUAUUAGAUGUUAAUGCCAUGUUGACAAAUUGAGUAAUUGCUUUAGUACGAGGUAUCAAAGUAAAUGGCGAAAUGAAAGUUAAAAACCAAAUUGAUAAUUUUGUUUCUUAAAGUACUAAACUGACAGAAAGUGUAUAGUACAUGAAAUAUUUUUAUAUUUAACUUUUCCAAUCAUGAAAAGACCUAAAAGGAGACUUGAAAUUGUUAUACAUGUAAUCGAUAAUCAUUCCUUAGUGUUGACCUUUAGAGUUCAAAGGAUGUCUCAUACCCAAAUAAUUUUUGGGUUUUUCCUACAUGUAAUAACAAUAUUAAUUACCAAAUUACUACUUAAUUUGAAAAAAAAAAGACAUUAAUAUAAAGAUAAAUGUACAUAAAAGAGAAGUUAUUUUUCCUUAGCUUUUUCCCUUAACAGUUGGAUCUCUUGCUCUACCUGUAAGUCAUUUAACAAAACACAAAUCAAUUGAUUACGUCACAACAUAUAAGUGAUUUAGUUACAAAUUAUGAUUCUUCUCAAACAAUAAAAUGAUGGGUGAUUGUGAUUGGAAUGAAACAAUAAAAAAUUUUCAUCAACGCCUUUCGUUGCUGUUUUAGACACAGAUUUGGCAAUGGUAAUAAAAUGAUUAGUGACCGUGGCUGUGAUUAAAUUUAUAAAAUAAUCUAAUGAUAAGAGAAUUAAAAUAUGCAACAUAUCUUUCAAAUUUGAAAUAGUAAAAGACAAAUCUAAUCAAUUUUAAUCGAAAUAUACAUUCAAAAUUUAUGGUCCAUAUAUUCUUGAAAAAUUAUUAAAUUAAAAAAAAAAGAAAAUUUCUAGAAUUGACAGUUUUGAAUUCAAGAUUUAUACAAAAAUUUUCAUAUUUGAUAGGUUUUCAUUUUGAAUUUAAAUAAUUUAUUAAAUAGAAUUACUUUAUAAACCCAUUUUAGAGAUAAUACAUUAUUACAAUUGAGAUUUUUAUAUUUAAAAAAUAUGUUUAUAUUAUUAGGAAAUUUAUUUUUAAUAAAAAUAUAUCUAAAUUAGAUUUUAUUGUUAACAAUUUUAAAAUUAUCCAUGUAGAUAUCCAUAUAAGUUAAUUUUUUGUGGUAAAUUCCUAUGUGUCAAAAAAUGAUAUAUAUAUAUAUAUAGGCAUUUACAUAUCCCAUAAUACUUACAUCUAAAAUUUGAAAGUUUUCGAUAACUAAAUAAUUUUUUAAAUAUAUAUUUCUUGAUAAAUAGCCUAAAAUUAAGAAAUGUCUUAUAUAUCGUUAUAGAGAAAUUUUAAGAAUUUUAUCACAUGUUAAAAAGAAAAACCAUCAAUGUAAGCAAACCUUAUAAUGUAACAAUGUAUCCUGUAAUAUAAUUUAUAUUAUAUAUUUUUAAAAGAUUAUUAGUUAUCCAAGUGAUAAAAAUAGUCAUACUUGACACAGACCCCAAGUCUUAAGAUUUCACAAUGUAUAAAAUAAACUUUAAUUUUCCAUGUGUACAUAUACUGACAAAGUAACAUAACAACAUAAAAUGUCAACCAACGAUUCUCAUCAUUCAAGCAUAGAAUUAAAUAUCACAUAGAUAUUCCAAGCAUAAAGGGAAAGGUCCAACAUAGAGACAAACCAUGAUGUGUGAGUAUGAAAGACAAAUGAUAUACUCCUAAUAAUAAAUUACAUCAAAAGACCCUAAAAUACCUAUGUUCUCAAUAUGUUUACCAAAUACUAUAGGUCGUAUUCCUGUAGUCCAAGGAUCAACAAUCAUGUUGUUAGUCUCAAUGUGUUUGACAACAAUCUUACAAUUUUUCAUAAAAUCCCUAACUUUAAAAUAUAUUAUCUCCAAAUGUUUAAACCACUAGUGCUCUUAUUAUUCUUAGAAAAAAACAUAGUAGACCUAUUAGCCUAAUAAAUCUUUAAAGGUCUGGAGAUGGAAUUAAUAAUACAAAGGCUUGACAUAAAAUUCAUAAGCCAAAUUGCCUAUGUAGCAGCUCUAUCGUAAGCAACAAACUCAACUUGCACAGUGGAAAAAAAUAAGAGUGUUUGUUUCACACAUUUCCAAGACAAAGCUCCUAUAGCCAACAUAAAAAAAUACCCUGAAAUGGACUCCAUGUCAUCCUAACAACUAGUGAAGUUAGAAUUUAUAUACCUUAUUAUCUAAAGAUUGUCCACUUUUUUGUAUACCAACGUAUGGUUUUUUUAUCUUUUACAAGUACCUAAUCACUUUCUUAAUAGCAACCUAGUGAUCCAUACUAGGAUUUGAAAGAUAUCUCUCAAGAACUCACUCUACAAAAGCAAUAUCUGGCCUAGUGUAAAUUGAGCAUACAUGAGACUCCUAACUGCACUAAAAUAUGAUAUGUUCUUCAUGGAUUCUUUCUCUAAAUCAUUCUUUGGGCAUUGACUAAGGUUGAGUCUAUCACCUUUGACAAUGAGUGCAUUCCUAGCCUUACAACUCUAUAUGUUAAAUUUAUUAAGUGCACGAUUAAUGUAAGACCUUUGCGAUAGUCCCAACAAAUUUUGAGACCUAUCUUUAUGAAUUUCAAUCCCAAGAAUAAGGGAAGCAUUCCUAAGGUUUUUCAUAUCAAAAGUCUUGGAGAAUAGCUGCUUAAUUUCAUGUAACAAAGCAAUAUCAUUAUAAGCCACUAAGUGUCAUCCACAUAUAACACAAGAAAGAUAUAUUUACUCCCCCUAAUUUUAAGGUAUAUGCAUUGAUCAACUUUAUUUUCCUCAAAACCAAAGAAGUAACUAUCUUAUCAAAUUUUAGAUAACCCUACUUAGAAGCUUAUUUAAGGGCAUAGAUUGACGUUUUAAGUCAACAUACUAAAUGCUCCUUCUCAGAUUCUUGAAAUCUUUUUAGUUGCAUCAUAUAAACUUUUUCUCUAAAAUCAUUGUUGAAAAAAGCCGUCUUUACAUCCAUGUAAUAAAGCUUUAAGUUAAAGUGUACUACCAAGGUCAUAACAAUCCUAAAGAAAUUUUUGAAAGACACUAGUAAAAAUGUUUCGUUAUAAUCUACUCUUUUCCUUUAAAUAAAUCACUUUGCCACCAAUUUAACUUUAAAUAUCUCAAAUUUUUCCUUAGAACCUUUCUUGGUUUUAUACACCCAUUUACAACCAAUGGAUUUAUACUAUUUUGGCUGUUUAACAAGCUCUUAAGCACCAUUUUGAGCCAUAAAAUUUACCUCACUUUUUAUUGCUUCCAUCCAUACAUUAAAUUACAGACUGCUAAUAGUUUCAUCAAAAGUCACAAGGUUAACAACAUGACUAAUGUCAUAGUCACUCUUUCAUUGAUAAAUUACAUAACCAUUAGAGAUGUCGGAUCUUCUUUGUUUGGAAGAUCUCCUAAAAGGUAUUUCAAUAUCAUUCUUUUGAACUUGAAGUACAUCAAUAAGAAGAAGGUUUAUGUCUUAUUGCCUUAAUCUCUUCUUUCAAUGGCCACUGGCAUUAUAUGGCACUAUAUUAUAGGUAAAGUAAUGGAGAUAUGUCUAAUAGAUUCACGGUUAUCCACAGCCUUUAUCACACUCUUGUCAACAACAUUUAGUUCAAGAAACUUUGCCACAUGUGACUCUACAAACUUAGUUCCAUGUGUAGGACAAUAAAACUUAUAUCCCUUGAAUUGAUCUAGAUACUCUAAAAAAAAGCAACGAGUACUCUUAGGUUCAAUCUUUUUUUCAAAAAGUUAUAGAUUCUAACUUCUAUAAGACAUCUACAAACUUUAAAAUGGUUCAAUUGGGGUUUCCUACCAGUCUACAAUUCAAAAGGUGUUUUAGGAACAGAUUUACUAAGUACUCUAUUAAGUAUAUACAAGGCAGUUUUAAUACCUUCACCUCAAAAAGACUUAAGAAGAUUAGUCCUACAUAUAAGCUCCUUAUCAUACCCAUAAGGGUGUGAAUUCACCUUUCAACCACACCAUUAUGUUCAAGACUACCAAGCAUAGCAUAUUAAGAAAAAUAUGACAUUCUUGUAAGUAUUUAGAAAAUGGUCUCAUAUGUUAUCUAGUUUCACUAUAUCUACCAUUAUACUCACCACCUUGGAGCUAAUGACUUUGAUAACUUUCUUUAAUUAUUUCUCUACCUUAGUUUAAAAAUUUUAAAUUUUUUAAAAGCAUUUAAAUUUUCAUCAAUUAGGUAAAGAUACCCAUAGCGAAAAUAGUCAUAAAUAAAAGUAACAAAAUAUUUGUUACCACACAAAAUAGAUAUAAGAGGUCCACUAUUAUCAGUGUACACAAUUUUUAAAAGGUCAAAAUUGUAAAUUGCCUCAUUUUUCUUAGUCUUAGUUAGUAUAUAUUUUAUACAAUCAACACAAGUGUCUAACUUUUCAAAACCAAGGGAAGGUAAAGUACUAUUUUUUAUCAAUUUUUGCACUUCUUCAUUAGAAAUGUGACCUAACCUUUUACACCACAACAAAAAAGACUUUUCUUUAGUUAAAUAUUUUUAAGACAUUGUUUUUCACAUUAUUGCAACUAUAUUAAUUAUCAUAGGCCAAGCACGGUUUAUAUAAUUUGUCAAUUAGUUUAAAUUCAUCAACAAUGAAUUUUCUUUAGUCAAAGAUUUUUUAGUCACUACCUUUUCAACAUUAUUGCAACUAUGUUAAUAAUUGUAGGCUAAGCACAGUUUAUAUAAAUUGUCAAUUAGUUUAAAUUCACCAACAACAUUUGAAUUUAAAACAAGUCAACUUUUCCUUAUCCAAUGCCAAAAUAAUAACCAUGUUUGUCCAAAAUAAAAACUAAAAUCAAAUUCCUCUUAAAUGAAAGUACAUGAAAAACAUUUUCCAAAAUAAGUUCAAAGCCAGAUUCUAAAUUUAAGCCUAUCAUUCCUACAUAAUUAAUGGCUACUUCAGUAUUGUUUCAAACUCUAUGUGUUGCCCUUUUCUCACUUAGCUUUCAUUUGUUUUUGAAUCCUAACAAAGGUAACAACAAUAUGAAUAGUUACACCACUAUCAACCUACUAGGAAUUUGGUAGGCAACUGACAAAUUAGGAUUUAAAACAAACGAGAGCUAGUGAGUUACCUUCUUGUUUCUUUUUUUUCUUUAACCAAGCUUGAUAUUUAGGAUACUCAUGUUUCAUAUGACAUUCUUUUUACAGGAAAAACACUUGAUAUCUUUCUUAAUGAUAGCUUUAAGCCCUCUUACCUUUUUAGUCUGACCACUACCUUAUCCCUUGUUUUCUUAAACUUUCUUGUGAGCAUUAGGAACAAAUUUCCCAGAUUUCUCAUAAUUUCUUUUGUAAUUAUAUUUGGAGUAUGUAGCAGAAAAAACACUCUCACCUUUUCUUUCUACAGUUUUUCUUCCAUAGAGACAAACUUUUAAAUAAGAUCAUUAACACUUCAAAACCUCAUUCAUAGCAUUAUAGACAGUUUUGAUAUGAGUGAACUGCAAAAGUAAGGCAUUAAGGGCAUGAUGAACAAUGAAUUUAUCAAGAAGGUCAAUUUCAUGAGAAGUCAAUUUGGUUUGAAUGUGGACCAUUCUCAUGAUGAAAUCUCUAGCACUCCCAAUACUGUCAUACCUUAUACUUGUAAGCUCACUCAUAAGGUUCUUAGCUUUACACUUAUUGGAUUUUUGGUAUUUAUUGCCUUCAGCAUGGUAGAGAUCCCUAGCAAUUUUUGUGGUAUCCAACUCACUCAAAAGGUAUUCAAAAAUAGAAAUAUUAAUGACAUAUAGAUGCAUAUGAUUUGUCUUUUCCCAUUUGGGAAAAUAUUCCUUUUGUUUAGCAAUGCUUUCAUUAGUAAAAUUAGCAGGCUUUGAAAAAUGUAAGGCUACGUCUAUCUCAUUUAUAACUAAAGCAAAAUUCAAAUCUUCAUUCCAUUUUUUAUAAUUAGACCCGUGAAGAACUUUAAUAGUGGCUUAUUGUUAUUGAUAAUAAAAGUCAACAUUCAAGAUAAAAAUGCAACAUUAGUAAAUAGGCAAUAUCAUAAAAUAUAUAGCAAUAGUUCAUGAUGUACUAACAAUUAUUGAAAGGUCUUGGUGCAUCACCACAAACUCCUUUUUGGAUAAAGAAUGUAAUAUGUGAGUAGGAACUUUUCGCAUAAAGCUAAUAUGAAAAUGUCCUAGCUUUUCAAAAAACAUAUCCCUUCGGGCAUAUAGAUUUUCUAGAUUGGUACAACUUCAACCAUGAUGAUUUAUAUUCCAAAACAAAUUACCCUAUAUAUUAACCCCUUUUAGGCAGUCAAUUGCAUAAGAUAAUUUAAUAACCAUCCCGUAACCAUAGAAUGAUAAAAUAUUACAUUAAUUUUAAUAAGUGAGCCACUUUGACAACCAAACACUUAUAUCAAUUAAUGAAGAUUUUUUCAAAUCAAAAAAUUUCUUUAAUUGCCCAAAACUCUCAAUUUACAUACUCAACCAUAAUGUAUGCAAUGGACUAUCCCAACUAAGAUACUAAACCUAAAUGUAUCUAAUUAGGUCUUAUAAGCAGUGUACAUUAAAUUUAAACUAAAGUCUUGAAUUUUUUUUAAAAUCAAUUUUUAAUUACUAAGUCAAUUAUGCACUUAAGAUUCAACUUGAGAGUACAUAAAUAUCAAGGCCUAUUUAGGAAGAAUACCUAUUAUCAUUAGACUCCUAACAUACCAAAAUAUUUUAUCACAAAAUAAAAUAAUAAAAUCAUGUGUAUAACAUAUAGUAAUUACUGAGCAAUACAUGAAUGUCAAACAAAUAUUUCAUGUAGUUUAAAAAUUUUCAAAACAAAUAUUAGAAAUAAAAUUCAAAGUAUGCCAAAAGAAACUAGAGGAAAAAUGGAUGCCGAACGAGCCCAUACAUGCCACACGCACCACCCCCUAUGCAUGGAUUUUGUUUAACAUGGGGAAUGGUCUUCUUUAACCUCUAGUUCGGUUGACUCAAUGCAACUGUAAUAGUUUUUUACCUAUUCUAGUUUGUUUUUAUUUUUUCCACCAUUUUUUAUGCAUUUUCUAGGUAUUUUCAUCAAAUUGAAGUGCCCAAAAAUAAAACUAUUUUUCUAUCAAACCCAUUGAAAAAAAAGUAUAAAAAACACAAAAAUAAGAUCAAUUGGUCAAAAUUUUUGAAUUACAUAAACAUAUUAGACCUAUUUUUUGUUUUCUUCGUGUUCGGCCAAUCUAAAACAAUAUUAAAUUAAAUGCUUUGAUUUAACUUUAUAACACAUGAGAAACAUAUUUCAAGAAUCAAUUUCGAAUUAAACAUAAAAUGUUUGAUGUUUUAAUCAAAACAAGAAUUUAGAUUAAACUUAAACCUAAAAAUUUUCAACCUUGAUUUCUCUUCUAGAUAUAAGGAAUUAGAAAAUGAUCUUUAUAUAAUUUUAAUCCUUUUUUAGAGAGGAACUAAAAUCCUAAAUCAAUUUCGAAAAAUAAAGAUCAAAAUUUAAAAUUUUGACAACAACAUAAUUUCACACUAAAUAUGUUGUUUGUUCAAAAAUCAAUUACAAAUCAUGAUUUUAGGGGCCUAAUAUCACAUAAUGAUAGCUCUGAUAGCACACGUAAACAUUAACCCAAGUUCAUUGUUUGAUAAUUAGAACAUCGUAAACAAAUAAAGAGAUUUGUCAUACUUAUUUGGGUGGUCAUGACGAAUAUAUCGAAGUGAAACAAUACUUAAAGUGCCUAGGUCUUCCUCUUCACUCUUCUCUUAUUGGCGACACUCAAUGAGCAGUAACCGUAACUCGUAUAAAAGUAAAAAAAAAAAGGUUAUCUGAACCUAUUUUAAUUGAAACCCUUGAAGCCUCCUCAUCAAACACUUACUAGACUAAAGGUCUACAAAACCUCCAAACCAGAUUAAUCUAGUAAGAUGUGUAAGUCUUACAUUUAAGUGAUCACAUUAAAUUAUUUAAACUCUCAUGCUUAUCUUGUAUUAAGAGUAAACACAUCAACCAAUUUUAUUAAAUUAUUAAAACCAACUAUUAAUGGUAGCCCAUUUAUAAACAAUUCUCACUCUAUAUCCUAAUAAGACAUCAACGGGAGUGUAUAAAGCAAAGAUGAAGACUAUAUAAAGAGGAAUGGUGGUGGAAAGAUUAUUUUCUAAACAAAAAUUUGGAUGUUGAAGCGAUCUUCAUAAGAGACGACUCUCUGUGUUAGAGUGGUUCCACUAAAAUAGUAUACUAAGGUCAUAUUUUAUACAUAUGAUUAUUAAUAGAAUAUGAAGAAUAUUCGUAAGGUUUGCAAUAAGGAUUAAUAUCCUCUUGGUAUAGGAUUAUUCAAUCAUCUCAAAGUAGAGAGGAUAAUUUUUAAAUUUAUAGAUUAAACUUACAAGUUCAAUUAUACCCUUAAAAAUUACUUUAAUAAUUUAAAUUGUAUAAACUUUGAAUAAGGAUAAUUUUGACAAAUAAAUAAAUUAUCCUAUCCUAAUCUUUACAUAUAGCAAACACAAAACAAGAUGACAUUAUUUAAUCUAAUUUUAUUUAUAAUAUCAUUGUACCCUAUCAAGUUAUAAUCUUAUGUACCAAACAUGCAUAAGAUAUUAUUAUAUCUAUGUAUAUUGAUAUUAUUUGUUAUUUUAUAACUAAGCUUUUGCGAUUCACAUAUUGUGAGGGGUUUCUGUGAUAACUUUUUAAAAGGCUAUUUGGUGAUUGCAUAUACAUGACAUCAUACAUGCUAAUAAAGGUUAGGAUAGAGCGGUACAUUCGAAUUCACCCAUAAGGUACUGUGAAUUGAAUUCCUCAAUUCUUUUUAUUCCUAGAUUGGUGGAUUAUAUUACAGAAUGGUGGUGUAGCACAAUGAUUUUAUGUUGUUUUACAAAGCUGGUGUAGCACAAUGAUUUUAUGUUGUUUUACAACAAUUAUUGUUCAUUUCUUCAAACAUCAGUAAAUAAGAUUGAAGAACAAGUGCAUUGUCCUAAAACCAAAUGAACUUGAGUAAAACCCAUCAGCUCUAGGGAUUUUCAAAGAACUUGGAUAUCAUUUUGUUUAUUGAGAACCAAAUGAUCGAAAGAAAUAGGAAAGUAGUAUCGAAAUUAGGAAUAACUUUUAGUUUACAAGAGAUAAGUUGGUUAAUUUUGUCUGUGUACACUCAGGUAUACUAUUUUUUAUUUAUGUUAAUGAGCCUCACACAAAUUUUCAAUUUGGCUGACUUUAGGACUGAUAUUAGGUUCUGGAAGUCUAGAAUGCCUAUUGAAUAUAUAAGGUGAAGAAAUCUAAAUAUUCAAUACUGAAAUUAUUUUAUACCUUGAUCUUAGCAUAUGAUAUUGGAAGUAGUUUACUAAAAUUGGGUAAGUUAUAUUGAGACAUUGAUCUUUCAAUUGGCUAUAUGUUAUGCCUUUUUCAUAUUUUUUUAUCCUAAUGAUUGAAGGAGAAAUUCUAUUUUUGGAUGAGAUGCUAUGAUUUGCAAGAGUGAAUUAAAUGGAAUUUGUAUUAAUGGAUAAAUUAUUACUUUAAGUAUUAUAUAUUGUGGGAAAGCUUGCUGAAUCUACUUUCCAAUGAAACAAACAUAAGUCGAAUAAGAGUUUUCUAUUAAGAGUUGUCUAAUUUUUACUUAAUGAUAUGUAGACUGCCUUGACACAGUAGAAAUGAGGAAUUACAAAAUUUCUCUUAAUUUUUAUACAAUCAAUUACGAAUUGAGCCAUACAUGUUUAAAAAGGUUAUUGAGUUUAUAAUCCAAUGAAACAAGCAGAAUUGAAUUUGGAGUCUGUUAUGAAUAAAUAUGUCAUUUUGAUUACAAUAUAUACAUGCUAUCUGGUAGUAGCAUAUGACAUGGAUUGCAAAAAUUAUUACAAUUAAUCUACAAUAAAUUACGAGGUGGGCCAUAUAUGUUGUCAUAACAUCUUGAUCCGGGGAUCCAUUGCUAGAUAUUAUUUUUAGGAGUCGUUACUAAUCUUUUUUAUUUAGGUGCGAUUAGCCAUAUAGAAAAUUUAUCAUUUUAAGGAACACCUAAGCCUAAGGUUCCCUAAAAGAAUAGUUUCAAGUCUACUAAUCAAAACAGGGUUCAGGAGUACGGUUAUGUGUGAGAAAGGUUAUAGCACCCUCACAACACCCAUCGAAAGAUGGUACUAGCUUAAUUUUAUGUUAUCCAAUAAGCUUUAAAAUUUUAUCAAGUAAUUAAUUAUUAGAAAUUAUUCUCAAUUGACUCUAAUACUUCUAGCAGAAAAUUGAAAAAACUCCAUCACCUUAAAAGCAUGCAAGGAAACUACUAUUUCACUUGCAGAUGCUUUAUCGUUGGAUUAUUUAACAUUAAAGAAAAUUCAAAAAGGAAAAGAAAUAAAAUGGGAAAAAAAGAAUAAUAAUUCAGCCUUAGAUAUAAAUCCUUAUCUCUUCAAAACUCAUUGCUUUUGUACAAGAAAAAUUGAUACUUUUAACUUUUCCUCAAAAGCAUUUGAGAGUUUCUAUUUUAAGAAAAAUUGAUACUUUAACUUUUCCUAAAAAUAUUUUUUUAAGGAAAAAUUAAUACUUCCAGCUUUUCCACAAAAUGUUUUUUCUGAAACUUUAAUUCGAAAAAAAUUGAUACUUUCAAACUUUUCCCAAAAACAUUCUUUUUUAAAUUCUAAUUCUAAGAAAAUUGAUUACUUUUACCUUUUCUUCAAAAAUAUUUUUUAAGAAAAUUAAUUUUUCAAAGGAAAAUUCGAUACUUUCAACUUUUUCGCGAAAAAUAUUUUUUAGAAAACUUAUUUUUCAAGAAAAAUUGAUACUUUCAACCUUUUCCAUCAAAAUAUUUUUUAGAAUUUUAUUUUAAGAAAAUCAUUAAAUAAAAUAAAAUAAAAAAUAAAAAAAAUUAAAAGGAAUACAAUUAUUCUAAUCUAAUCAUAAAAAUAAUAAUAAUAACAAUAAUAAAUAAAUAAAUAAAAAAAAACUUUUGGAUGGCUUGGCUCGGCUUGGCCGGCUUGAGAUAGAAGUGGUUUAAACGUGAGGCUCAGCUAGAAAUGGCUCGGCUCGGCUCGUUUGGGGUCCAAGUAGAGACGCGGGGUCGCUAAUCGAGUUGGUGCUCAGGUUGAGCCGCCCGAUUUCAAAACACGUUGAUCCUUUGGGAAUAGUAAGGCUAAAACGACAUCAUUUUCAGUCAGUAUAAAAGGCUUCAACCUCUAUUUUUUUGUAGAUUGCUUCCUUCCUCCUUUCUCUUUUCUUCUUUUUUCUCUUCUUUCCCUUAAAUAGAAUCUAGAUUUCAAUUGAUUCUGCCAAAAUNNNNNNNNNNNNNNNNNNNNNNNNNNNNNNNNNNNNNNNNNNNNNNNNNNNNNNNNNNNNNNNNNNNNNNNNNNNNNNNNNNNNNNNNNNNNNNNNNNNNNNNNNNNNNNNNNNNNNNNNNNNNNNNNNNNNNNNNNNNNNNNNNNNNNNNNNNNNNNNNNNNNNNNNNNNNNNNNNNNNNNNNNNNNNNNNNNNNNNNNNNNNNNNNNNNNNNNNNNNNNNNNNNNNNNNNNNNNNNNNNNNNNNNNNNNNNNNNNNNNNNNNNNNNNNNNNNNNNNNNNNNNNNNNNNNNNNNNNNNNNNNNNNNNNNNNNNNNNNNNNNNNNNNNNNNNNNNNNNNNNNNNNNNNNNNNNNNNNNNNNNNNNNNNNNNNNNNNNNNNNNNNNNNNNNNNNNNNNNNNNNNNNNNNNNNNNNNNNNNNNNNNNNNNNNNNNNNNNNNNNNNNNNNNNNNNNNNNNNNNNNNNNNNNNNNNNNNNNNNNNNNNNNNNNNNNNNNNNNNNNNNNNNNNNNNNNNNNNNNNNNNNNNNNNNNNNNNNNNNNNNNNNNNNNNNNNNNNNNNNNNNNNNNNNNNNNNNNNNNNNNNNNNNNNNNNNNNNNNNNNNNNNNNNNNNNNNNNNNNNNNNNNNNNNNNNNNNNNNNNNNNNNNNNNNNNNNNNNNNNNNNNNNNNNNNNNNNNNNNNNNNNNNNNNNNNNNNNNNNNNNNNNNNNNNNNNNNNNNNNNNNNNNNNNNNNNNNNNNNNNNNNNNNNNNNNNNNNNNNNNNNNNNNNNNNNNNNNNNNNNNNNNNNNNNNNNNNNNNNNNNNNNNNNNNNNNNNNNNNNNNNNNNNNNNNNNNNNNNNNNNNNNNNNNNNNNNNNNNNNNNNNNNNNNNNNNNNNNNNNNNNNNNNNNNNNNNNNNNNNNNNNNNNNNNNNNNNNNNNNNNNNNNNNNNNNNNNNNNNNNNNNNNNNNNNNNNNNNNNNNNNNNNNNNNNNNNNNNNNNNNNNNNNNNNNNNNNNNNNNAAUACAUUCUUGCGGCGUUGGAGUUCGUAGCCAUCUAUGGCCAACGAUUUCUUCCUCUAUACCAUUUCAACCUGAGAACUGGCAGCUGGACUUUCAAGAAGAAGGCGCUUAAGGACCUGGUAGGAAAGGAGAAUAGUCACGGCAUCCAUGUCUUGCCUUUGGCUAGUGCUUUUCAGACAAUAAGCUUGGACCGUGACAAAAUUGAUGCAGGAAAGAAUGAUACUCCUGUCAUCCUUCAGUAUGCAUCAUAUUUGAAAAGUGCCAAACGAGUCGCUGCUCUCCUUCCCAAGUUUCCAUCUCGAAGGAGGUUUCACGAAGAUUUAAAUCUUAACCUCCUCCCUUUCAGAGUCUAACUAUACUAUCAAAAAUGGAUUCGAGUUCAUAAUCAAAUUUAUCUAUCUUUCCUCACUUCAUUGGAAUAUUCUCACAAAGCAAAAGCAGAAAUUAAACUAGCUCAAGCCUGUCAUGUUAGCAGACUCUCCAAUUACCUGAAAUCUGUUGCAAUGCCUGACAAAUUGGCUGAUACGUAAUCCAAUCUGGUCAAGACUUGUCUAAUAAUGGUGUCAUGCCCCAAAACUAAGAUGUAACACCGUUAUAUUAUCUUCAAAUAAAACUUUAAAGUAAUACGAAAUUUUUCUCUUAAUCAUUUUAAAAUUCUUUAAUAAAAAUAAUUUGCCAAGUAAAAUUCAUAAAUUUAAUCUAACUAAUGAUACAUCUCUAUAUAUCCAAAGGUUAAUUAAUAAAAAACAUAUAAAAUAAUUUCAUAAGAUCUCACUAACUAACUAUAUUUCUAAUGUCCAAGAAAUAUUUCCAAUUUGAUCUUCUAGCUUUUAAUAAGACUAAAUAUACUUAUCAGUUACUCAUGUGUAAAGAAAAGGUAAAAAGAGAAUGAACAAAUUACAGCUAAGCUAGUAUAGGAUCAUACACUUUAUCGGAUCAAACAUCGGUUUCAUACAUAUCAUAUAGAUAAUUCAAAACAUUUGUCAAAUAAUACAUCAAAAUAUUUCAAAAAUCAACAUUAUGUCAAAUAUUUUGUAGAUCAUAAAUCAAAAUCAAAACAGAUCAAUUCAUAAAUCAUUGCAAAAUAUGUUACCAUUCAAAUAUCGUAAUCAAAUCAAAUCAUGAAUCAAUCUUUAAAAUCAUCAUCAUCAUAAAUCAUCAUUAUCAUUAGUUUAUCAUUAACUAUGAUCACUACUAUAAUCCGUAACAUUGGCAAUAUCGAUAAUUUUAUCCUUAUGAUCUUUACUAACUAUUAUAACCUGCUGGCCAAACCUUUACACUAACUACUAUGACCCACUAGUAGUACCAUUUGAUCAUGACUAUAUUAACUACUAUAAUCCGUUAGCUAGGGUCGUAUAACUAGUUCUGGUAUCGAUAAUCACACUUCUCAAGAUGUAAAAUAUGUAGCUAUUAUAAAAUCAUUCAUUAAACAUAAAUCAAUUUCUCAUUUCAUUUAUAAACAUGAUCCAUCAUUUAUAUAGCAAAACGUAAAAUAAUCAUAUGCUCAGCCUAUUUUCUUAUAUCGAAAAUAAAAAAAUAAAUCUCAUUUAUUUAGAAACAUACAUAUAUACAUAAGUUUCAAAAUAAGCAAAGUGUGUAAGAUUAUACUUAUUUUCUUUCGGUUCCACCACUUAGUUUUUCCCCCAAAAUAAUUAAUGGGCUAUUCAAAAUCAUUUCAAUAUAAUAGAAAUUAAUCAAUCCACUUUAAGACUAUUAAUACUAAAAACAACUAAGUUAUAUAAGGGUUAACUAAAUAAUUUUGGUAGCCUAUGCUACUUUCACUAAAAGUGACCCUAUCUUAAGAUAUCCAACUUAAAAUUAAAAUCUUUUUAAUAUGUUAGAAAUUAAACUCGAGAAAUUUUUUAACUAUAUAUGGACCACCUCGCAAUUUCGUGUAGAUUAAUUGUAAUAACUUUUGCAAUCUAUGUCAUAUGCUGCUAUCAGAUAGUAUGUAUAUCUUCCAAUAAAAAUUAUAUAUUUAUUCAUAAAAGACUCCAAAUUCAAUUUCGCUUGUUUAAUCGAAAAGUAGACUCAAAAACCUUUUCAAACAUAUGUAGACACCCAAUUUGGUCCGGGCUCAGAUCAAUUGGGCUUGGUCCAAAUGGGUAAGCCUAUUUUAUAUAUAUAUUUUUUAUUAUUUAUCUAUUAAUUAUUAAUAUGUGUUUUUUUUAUUUUAUCUUGAUUGAUUUUCGGCUAGGAUUAGGACAAUUGGCCGUGAAAUUAGAGUUUGAUAGAAUUGGGAUUGGAUUCAAAGAUUGAAUCAAAAUCCCAGAAGGAGUUGAGAUUGAUCAGAAACUCUUCUGAUCAAUCCUUAUAAAUAAGUCCACAGAGAGCACACAAAAAGAUCGAAAAAUACACAGAGAGAAAACAGAGGUUAAAAAAAGUUUUGGUGCGUUAGAAACAACGUUAGGAAUUUGUGGGAAAGUUUUUAGAAUUUUUGAAAUUUUUUUUCUGAAAAUUCUAAAAAUUUUUUAGAAUCCGAUGAAAUUUUUUGGUAAGAUUCAACUUUUUUGGUGAGAUUUUUGGCCAACUUUGAAGUUUUUGACCUGUUUUUGUAGAUUUCAACAGAUAUUCAACCGAAAUCUGGAUUCUAUUUAGAGAGAAAGAAAAGAAAAAAGAAGAAGAGAGAGAGGAGGAAGGAAGCAAUUUACGAAAAAAUAAAGGUUGAAGCCUUUUAUACCGACUGAAAAUGAUGUCAUUUUAGUUUUACUAUUCCUAGAGGAUCCGCGCAUUUUGAAAUCGGGUGACUCAAACCGAGCGUCAACUCGAUUAGCGACCCGCAUCUUUACUUGGACCCCAACCGAGCCGAGCCGUUCCAAAAGUUUUUUUUUCCUAUUUAUUAUUAUUAUUAUUUUCUUUAUUAUUAUAUUUAUUGUUAUUAUUAUUAUUAUUAUUUAUUAGAUUAGAAUAAUUUGGUAUUCCUUAUUUUAUUUUCAUUCCUAUUUUUAUUUUAUUUUAUUUUUUAAUGAUUUUCUUAAAAUAAAAUUCUAAAAAAAUAUUUUUGAGGAAAAGUUGAAAGUAUCAAUUUUUCUUGAAAAUAAGUUUUCUAAAAAAUAUUUUACAAAAAAGUUGAAAGUAUCAAUUUUCCUUGAAAAUAAUUUUCUAAAAAAUAUUUUUGAGGAAAAGGUAAAAGUAUCAAUUUUUUUAAAAAAUAAAUUAAAAAAAUGUUUUUGAGGAAAAGUUGAAAGUAUCAAUUUUCUUUGAAAUUAAAGUUUCAGAAAAACAUUUUGGGGAAAAGUUAGAAGUACCAAUUUUCCUUAAAAAAAUAUUUUAAGGAAAAGUUGAAAGUAUCAAUUUUUCUUAAAAUAGAAACUCUCAAAUGCUUUUGAGGAAACAGUUAAAAGUAUCAAUUUUUUUGUACAAAAGCAAUGAGUUUUUGAAGAGAAAAGGAUUUAUAUCUAAAGCUGAAUUAUUAUUCUUUUUUUUCCCAUUUUAUUUCUUUUUCUUUUUGAAUAUUCUUUAAUGUUAAACAAUCUGACAAUAGAAUCUCUACAAGUGAAACAGUAGUUUCCUUGCGUACUCUUAAGGUGAGAAAAUUUUUUCAAUUUUCUACUAAAAGUAUUAGAGUCAAUUGAGAAUAAUUUCUAAUAAUUAAUUACUUGAUAAAUUUAUAAAGCUUAUUGGAUAACAUAAAAUUAAAUCGGUAUCAUCUUUUGAUGGGCAUUGUGAGGGUGUUAUAACCUUCCUCACACGUAACCAUACUCUCAAACCCUAUUCUGAUUAGUAGACCUGAAACUAUUCUUUUAGGGACCCUUAGGCUUAGGUGUUCCUUAAAAGGAUAAAUUCCCUAGGUGGCCAAUCGCACCUAGAUAAAAAAGAUUGGUGACGACUCCUAAAGACAAUAUCUAGCAAUGGAUCCUCGGAUCUAAUGUUAUGACAACAUAUAUGGCCCACCUCGUAAUUUAUUGUAGAUUAAUUGUAAUAAUUUUUGCAAUCCAUGUCAUAUGCUACUACCAGACAGCAUGUAUAUAUUGUAAUCAAAAUGAUAUAUUUAUUCAUAAAAGACUCCAAAUUCAAUUCUGCUUGUUUCAUUGGAAUAUAAACUCAAUAACCUUUUUAAACAUGUAUGGCUCAAUUUGUAAUUCAUUGAAUAAAAAUUUAGAGAAAUUUUGAAAUUCCUCAUUGCUGUUGCUAUCAGGCAGUCUAUAUAUCAUUAAGUAAAAAUUAGACAACUCUUAAUAGAAAACUCCGAUUCGACUUAACGUUUGUUUCAUUGGAAAGUAGAUUCAGCAAGCUUUCCAACAAUAUAUAAUACUUAAAGUAAUAAUUUAUCCAUUAAUACAAAUUCCAUUUUAAUUCACUCUUGCAAAUCAUAGCAACUCAUCCAAAAAUAGAAUUUCUCCUUCAAUCUAUAGGAUAAAAAAAUAUGAAAAAGGCAUAACAUAUAGCCAAUUGAAAGAUCAAUGUCUCAAUAUAACUUACCCGAUUUUAGUAAACUACUUCCAAUAUCAUAUGCUAAGAUCAAGGUAUAAAAUAAUUUCAGUAUUGAAUAUUUAGAUUUCUUCACCCAAUAUAUUCAAUAGGCAUUCUAGACUUCCAGAACCUAAUAUCAGUCCUAAAGUCAGCCAAAUUGAAAAUUUGUGUGAGGCUCAUUAACAUAAAUAAAAAAUAGUAUACCCGAGUGUACACAGACAAAAUCAACCAACUUAUCUAUUGUAAACUAAAGGUUAUUCCUAAUUUCGAUACUACUUUCCUAUUUCUUUCCAUCAUUUGGUUCUCAAUAAACAAAAUGAUAUCCAAGUUCUUUGAAAAUCCCUAGAGCUGAUGGUUUUACUCAAGUUCAUUUGGUUUUAGGACAAUGCACCUGUUCUUCAAUCUUAUUUACUGAUGUUUGAAGAAAUGAACAAUAAUUGCUGUAAAACAACAUAAAAUCAUUGUGCUACACCACCAUUCUGUAAUAUAAUCCACCAAUCUAGGUCACGAAUAAAAAGAAUUGAGGAAUUCAAUUCACACAGUACCUUAUGGGUGAAUUCGAAUAUACCGCUCUAUCCUAAUCCUUUAUUAGCAUGUAUGAUGUCAUGUAUAUGCAAUCACGCCAAAUAGCCUUUUAAAAAGUUAUCACAGAAACCCCUCACAAUAUGUGAAUCGCAAAAGCUUAGUUAUAAAAUAACAAAUAAUAUCAAUAUACAUAGAUAUAAUAAUCUUAUGCCAUGUUUGGUACAUAAGAUUAUAACUUGAUAGGGUACAAUGAUAUUAUAAAUAAAAUUAGAUUAAAUAAUGUCAUCUUGUUUUGUGUUUGCUAUAUGUAAAGAUUAGGAUAGGAUAAUUUAUUUAUUUGUCAAAAUUAUCCUUAUUCAAAGUUUAUACAAUUUAAAUUAUUAAAGUAAUUUUUAAGGGUAUAAUUGAACCUGUAAGUUUAAUCUAUAAAUUUAAAAAUUAUCCUCUCUACUUUGAGAUGAUUGAAUAAUCCUAUACCAAGAGGAUAUUAAUCCUCAUUGCAAACCUUACGAAUAUUCUUCAUAUUCUAUUAAUAAUCAUAUGUAUCAAAUAUGACCUUAGUAUACUAUUUUAGUGGAACCACUCUAACACAGAGAGUCGUCUCUUAUGAAGACUGCUUUAACAUCCAAAUUUCUAUGUAGAAAACAAUCUUUCCACCACCAUUGCUCUUUAUAUAGUCUUUAUCUUUACUUUAUACACUCCCUGUUGAUGUCUUAUUAGGAUAUAGAGCAAGAAUUGUUCAUAAGUGGGCUACCAUUAAUAGUUGGUUUUAAUAAUUUAAUAAAAUUGAUUGAUGUGUUUACUCUUAACACGAGAUAAGCUGAGAGUUUAAAUAAUUUAAUGUGAUCACUUAAAUGUAAGACUUACAUAGCUUACUAGAUCAAUCUGGUUUAGAGGUUUUGUAGACCUUUAGUCCUACUAAGUGUUUGAUGAGGAGGCUUUAAGGGUUUCAAUAAAAUAGGUUCAGAUACCUUUUUCUUUUUUACUUUUAUACGAGUUACAGUUACUGCUCAUUGAGUGUCACUAUAAGAGAAUAGUGAAGAGGAAGACCUAGGCACUUUAAGUAUUGUUUUACUUCAUAUAUUCGUCAUGACCACCCAAAUAAGUAUGACAAAGCUCUUUAUUUAUUUACGAUGUUCUAAUUAUCAAACAAUGAACUUGGGUUAAUGUUUACGUGUGGUAUCAGAGCUAUCAUUAUGUGAUAUUAGGCCCCUAAAAUCAUGAUUUGUAAUUGAUUUUUGAACAAACAACAUAUUUAGUGUGAAAUUAUGUUGCUGUCAAAAUUUUAAAUUUUGAUCUUUAUUUUUCGAAAUUGAUUUAAGAUUUUAGUUCCUCUCUAAAAAAGGAUUAAAAUUAUAUAAAAAUCAUUUUCUAAUUCCUUAUAUCGAGAGAGAAAUCAAUGUUGAAAAUUUUUAGGUUUAAGUUUUAAUCUAAAUUCUUCUUUUGAUUAAAACAUCAAACAUUUUAUGUGUUUAAUUCAAAAUUGAUUCUUGAAUCAUGUUUCUCAUGUGUUAUAAAGUUAAAUCAAAGCAUUUAAUUAAAUAUUGUUUUAGAUUGGCCAAACACGAAGAAAACAAAAAUGGGUCUAAUAUAUGUUUAUGUAAUUUGAAAAAUUUUAACCAACUGAUCUUAUUUUUAUCAUUUUUUUAUACUUUUUUAUCAAGGGUUUGAUAGAAAAAUUGUUUUAUUUUUGGGCACUUCAAUUUGUUGAAAUUACCAAGAAAAUGCAUAAAAAUGAUGGAAAAAUACAAACAAACUAGAAUAGGUAAAUAAUUGUUCCAGUCGCAUUGAGUCAACUCAUUUAGAGGUUAAAAAAAACCAUUCCCCAUGUUGAACAAAAUCCAUGCAUGGUGGGUGGCCAUGUGGCACGUGCAGGCUUGUUUAGCACCAUUUUUGCUUUAGUUUCUUUUGGCAAACUUGGAAUUUUAUUUCUAAUUUUUUAAAAAUUUUAAACUGCAUGAAAAUAUUUGUUUGACAUUCAUGCAUUGCUCAGUAAUUACUAUAUGUUAUACAUAUUAUUUUAUUAUUUUAUUUUGUGAUAAAAUAUUUUGGUAUGAUGAGAGUCUAAUGAUAAUAGGUAUUCUUCCUAAAUAGGCCUUGAUAUUUAUGUGCUUUUAAGUGCAUAGUUGAUUUAGUAAUUAAAAAUUGAUUUUAAAAAAAAUUCAAGACACUAGUUUAAAUUUAAUGCACACUGCUUAUAAGACCUAAUUAGAUACAUUUAGGCUUAGUUUCUUAGUUGGGAUAGUCCAUUGCACACAUUAUGGUUGAGUUUGUAAACUGAGAGUUUUGGGCAAUUAAUGAAAUUUUUUUAUUUGAAAAAAUCUUCAUUAAUUGAUAUCAAUAUUUGGUUGUCAAAGUGGCUCACUUAUUGAAAUUAAUGUAAUAUUUUAUCAUUCUAUGGUUACGGGAUGGUUAUUAAAUUAUCUUAUGCAAUUGACUGCCUAAAGGGGGUUAAUAUAUAGGGUAAUUUGUUUUGGAAUAUAAAUCAUCAUGGUUGAAGUUGUACCAAUCUAGAAAAUCUAUAUGCCUGAAGGGGAUAUAGUUUUUUAAAAGCUAGGACAUUUUCAUAUUAGCUUUACGCGAAAAGUUCCUACUUGCAUAUUACAUUUUUUAUCCAAAAAAGAGUUUGUGGUGAUGUACCAAGACCUUUCAAUAAUUGUUAGUACAUCAUGAACUGUUGCUAUAUAUUUUAUGAUAUUGCCAUUUACUAAUGUUGCAUUUUUAUCUUGAAUGUUGACUUUUAUUAUCAAUAACAAUAAGCCACUAUUAAAGUUCUUCACGGGUCUAAUUAUAAAAAAUGGAAUGAAGAUUUGAAUUUUGCUUUAGUUAUAAAUGAGAUAGACGUAGCCUUACGUUUUUCAAAGCCUGCUAAUUUUACUAAUGAAAGCAUUGCUAAACAAAAGGAAUAUUUUCCCAAAUGGGAAAAGACAAAUCAUAUGCGUCUAUAUGUCAUUAAUAUUUCUAUUUUUGAAUACCUUUUGAGUGAGUUGGAUACCACAAAAAUUGCUAGGGAUCUUUACCAUGCUGAAGGCAAUAAAUACCAAAAAUCCAAUAAGUGUAAAGCUAAGAACCUUAUGAGUGAGCUUACAAGUAUAAGGUACGAUAGUGUUGGGAGUGCUAGAGAUUUCAUCAUGAGAAUGGUCCACAUUCAAACCAAAUUGACUUCUCAUGAAAUUGACCUUCCUGAUAAAUUCAUUGUUCAUCAUGCCCUCAAUGCCUUACUUUUGGAGUUCACUCAGAUCAAAACUGUCUAUAAUGCUAUGAAUGAGGUUUUGAAGUGUUAAUGAUCUUAUUUAAAAGUUUGUCUCUAAGGAAGAAAAACUAUAGAAAGAAAAGGGUGAGAGUGUUUUUUUUGCUACAUACUCCAAAUAUAAUUACAAAAGAAAUUAUGAGAAAUCUGGGAAAUUUGUUCCUAAUGCUCACAAGAAAGUUCAAGAAAACAAGGGAUAAGGUAGUGGUCAAACUAAAAAGGUAAGAGGGCUUAAAGCUGUCAUUAAGAAAGAUAUCAAGUGUUUUUCUAUAAAAAGAAUGUCAUAUGAAACAUGAGUACCCUAAAUAUCAAGCUUGGUUAAAGAACAAGAAUAAACAAGAAGGUAACUCACUAGCUCUCGUUUGUUUUAAAUCCUAAUUUGUCAGUGGCCUACAAAAUUCCUAGUAGGUUGAUAGUGGUGCAACUAUUCAUAUUGUUGUUACCUUUGCUAGGAUUCAAAAACAAAUUAAAGCUAAGUGAAAAAGGGGCAACACAUAGAGUUUGAAACAAUACUUAAGUAGCCAUUAAUUAUGUAGGAACAAUAGGCUUAAAUUUAGAAUCUGGCUUUGAACUUAUUUUGAAAAAUGUUUUUCAUACACCUUCAUUUAAGAGGAAUUUGAUUUUAGUUUUUAUUUUGGACAAACAUGGUUAUUAUUUUGGCAUUGGAUAUGGAAAAGUUGACUUGUUUUAAAAUUCAAAUGUUGUUGGUGAAUUUAAACUAAUUGACAAUUUAUAUAAACUAUGCUUAGCCUGUAAUGAUUAAUAUAGUUGCAAUAAUGUUGAAAAAAUAGUGACUAAAAAAUCUUUGACUAAAGAAAUUCAUUAUUGAUGAAUUUAAACUAAUUCACAAUUUAUACAAACCGUGCUUGGCAUAUGAUAAUUAAUAUAGUUGCAAUAAUGUGGAAAAGACAGUAUCUUAAAAAUCUCUAACUAAAGAAAAGUCUUUUUUGUUGUGGGGUAAAAGGUUAGGUUACAUUUCUAGUGAAAAAGUGCAAAAAUUGAUAAAAAAUAAUACUUUACCUUCCCUUGGUUUUGAAAAGUUAGACACUUAUGUUGAUUGUAUAAAAUAUAUACUAACUACGACUAAGAAAAAUGAGGCAAUUUGCAAUUUUGACCUUUUGAAAAUUAUGUACACUAAUAAUAGUGGACCUCUUAUAUCUAUCUUUGUGGUAACAUAUAUUUUGUUACUUUUAUUUAUGACUAUUUUCGCUAUGGGUAUCUUUACAUAAUUGAUGAAAAUUGAAAUGCUUUUAAAAAAUUUAAAAUUUUUAAACUGAGGUAGAGAAAUAAUUAGGGAAAGUUAUCAAAGUCAUUAGCUCCAAGGUGGUGAGUAUGAUGGUAGAUAUGGCGAAACUAGAUAACAUAUGAGACCAUUUUCUAAAUACUUACAAGAAUGUCAGAUUUUUCUUAAUAUGCUAUGCUUGGUAGUCUUGAACAUAAUGGUGUGAUCGAAAGGCGAAAUCACACCCUUAAGGUAUGAUAAGAAGCUUAUAUGUAGGACUAAUCUUCUUAAGUCUUUUUUAGGUGAAUGUAUUAAAACCGUCUUGUAUAUACUUAAUAGAGUACAUAGUAAAUUUGUUCCUAAAACACCUUUUGAAUUGUAGACUGGUAGGAAACCCCAAUUGAACCAUUUUAAAGUUUGUAGAUGUCUUGCAGAAGUUAGAAUCUAUAACCUUUUGAAAGCAAGAUUGAACCUAGGAGUACUCGUUGCUUUUUUUAGAGUAUCUAGAUCGCUUCAAGGGAUAUAAGUUUUAUUAUCCUACACAUGGAACUAAGUUUGUAGAGUCACAUGUGGUAAAGUUUCUUGAACUAAAUGUUGCUGAUAAGAGUGUGAUAGAGGCUGUGGAUAAUCGUGAAUCUAUUAGACAUAUCUCCAUCACUUUACCUAUAAUACAGUGCCAUAUUAUGCUAGUGGCCAUUGAAAUAAGAGAUCAAGGCAAUAGGACAUAAACCUUUUUUCUACUGAUGUACUUUAGUUCAAAAGAAUGAUAUUGAAAUACCGUUUUGGAGAUCUUUCAAACAAAAAAGAUCUGACAUCUCUAAUGAUUAUGUAAUUUAUCAUUGAGAGAGUGACUAUGACAUUAGUCAUGUUGUUAACCUUGUGACUUUUGGUGAAACUAUUAGCAGUCUGUAAUUUAAUGUAUGGAUGGAUGUAAUAAAAAAUGAGAUAAAUUUUAUGGCUCAAAAUGGUGUUUAAGAGCUUGUUAAAUAGCCAAAAGAGUAUAAAUCCAUUGGUUGUAAAUAUGUGCAUAAAACCAAGAAAGGUUUUAAGGAAAAAUUUGAGAUAUUUAAAGUUAAAUUGGUGGCAAAGUGAUUUAUUUAAAGGGAAAGAGUAGAUUAUAACAAAACGUUUUUACUAGUGUCUUCCAAAAAUUUUUUUAGGAUUGUUAUGGCCUUGGUAGUACACUUUAACUUGAAGCUUUAUUACAUGGAUGUAAAGACGGCUUUUUUCAAUGGUGAUUUUAGAGAAAAGGUUUAUAUAAUGCAACCAAAAAGAUUUCAAGAAUCUGAGAAGGACCAUUUAGUAUGUUGACUUAAAACGUCAAUCUAUGCCCUUAAAUAAGCUUCUAAGUAAAGGUAUCUAAAAUUUGAUAAGAUAGUUACUUCCCUUGGUUUUGAGGAAAAUAAAGUUGAUCAAUGCAUAUACCUUAAAAUUAGGGGGAGUAAAUAUAUCUUUCUUGUGUUAUAUGUGGAUGACACUUAGUGGCUUGUAAUGAUAUUGGUUUGUUACAUGAAAUUAAGCAGCUAUUCUCCAAGACUUUUGAUAUGAAAAACCUUAGGAAUGCUUCCCUUGUUCUUGGGAUUGAAAUUCAUAAGAUAGGUCUCAAAAUUUGUUGGGACUAUCGCAAAGGUCUUACAUUAAUCGUGCGCUUAAUAAAUUUAACAUAUAGAGCUGUAAGGCUAGGAAUGCACUCAUUGUCAAAGGGGAUAUACUUAACCUUAUUCGUGCCCAAAAGAUGAUUUGGAGAAAGAAUCCAUGAAGAACAUACCAUAUUCUAGUGUAGUUGGGAGUCUCAUGUAUGCUCAAGUUUGCACUAGGCUAGAUAUUGCUUUUGCAGAGUGAGUUCUUGAGAGAUAUCUUUCAAAUCCUAGUAUGGAUCACUGGGUUGCUAUUAAGAAAGUGAUUAGGUGUUACAAAAGACAAAAAAACCAUAUGUUGGUAUACAAAAAAGUGGACAAUCUUCAGAUAAUAGGGUAUAUAAAUUCUAACUUCACUAGUUGUUCGGAUGACAUGGAGUCCACUUCAAGGUAUUUUUUUAUGUCGGCUGUAAAAGCUUUGUCUUGGAAAUGUGUGAAACAAACACUUUUAUUUUUCUCCAUUAUGCAAGUUGAGUUUGUUGCCUGUGAUAGAGCUGCUACAUAGGCAAUUUGGCUUAUGAAUUUUAUGUCAAGCCUUUGUAUUAUUAAUUCCAUCUCCAGACCUUUAAAGAUUUAUUGGGAUAAUAGGUCUACUAUGUUGUUUUCUAAGAACAACAAGAGCACUAGUGGCUUAAACAUUUGGAGAUAAUAUAUUUUAAAGUUAGGGGUUUUAUGAAAAAUUGUAAGAUUAUUGUCAAACACAUUAAGACUAACAACAUGAUUGUUGAUCCUUGGACUACAGGAAUAUGACCUAUAGUAUUUGGUAAACAUAUUGAGAACAUAGGUAUUUUAGGGUCUUUUGAUGUAAUUUAUUAUUAGGAGUAUAUCAUUUGUCUUUCAUACUCACACAUCAUGGUUUGUCUCUAUGUUGGACCUUUCCCUUUAUGCUUGGAAUAUGUAUGUGAUAUUUAAUUCUAUGCUUGAAUGAUGAGAAUCAUUGGUUGACAUUUUAUGUUGUUAUUUUACUUUGUUAGUAUAUGUACACAUGGAAAAUUAAAGUUUAUUGUAUACAUUGUGAAAUCUUAAGACUUGGGGUCUGUGUCAAGUAUGACUAUUUUUAUCACUUGGAUAACUAAUAAUCUUUUAAAAAUAUAUAAUAUAAAUUAUAUUACAGGAUACAUUGUUACAUUAUAAGGUUUGCUUACAUUGAUGGUUUUUCUUUUUGACAUGUGAUAAAAUUCUUAAAAUUUCUCUAUAACGACAUAUAAGACAUUUCUUAAUUUUAGGCUAUUUAUCAAGAAAUAUAUAUUUAAAAAACUAUUUAGCUAUCGAAAACUUUCAAAUUUUAGAUGUAAGUAUUAUGGGAUAUGUAAAUGCCUAUAUAUAUAUAUAUAUAUAUCAUUUUUUGACACAUAGGAAUUUACCACAAAAAAUUAACUUAUAUGGAUAUCUACAUGGAUAAUUUUAAAAUUGUUAACAAUAAAAUCUAAUUUAGAUAUAUUUUUAUUAAAAAUAAAUUUCCUAAUAAUAUAAACAUAUUUUUUAAAUAUAAAAAUCUCAAUUGUAAUAAUAUAUUAUCUCUAAAAUGGGUUUAUAAAGUAAUUCUAUUUGAUAAAUUAUUUAAAUUCAACAUGAAAACCUAUCAAAUAUGAAAAACUUUGUAUAAAUCUUGAAUUCAAAAAAUGUCAAUUCUAGAAUUUUUCUUUUUUUUUUUUUAAUUUAAUCAUUUUUCAAGAAUAUAUGGACCAUAAAUUUUGAAUGUAUAUUUCGAUUAAAAUUGAUUAGAUUUGUUUUUUACUAUUUCUAAUUUGAAAGAUAUGUUUCAUUUUUUAAUUCUCUUAUCAUUAGAUUAUUUUAAAAAUUUAAUCACAGCCACAGUCACUAAUCAUUUUAUCAUUACCAUUGCCAAGUUUGCAUCUGAAACAGCAACGAAAGGCAUCGAUGAAAUUUUUUAUUGUUUCAUUCGAAUCACAAUCACCCAUCAUUUUAUUGUUUGAGAAGAAUCAUAAUUUGUAACUAAAUCACUUAUAUGUUGUGACGUAAUCGAUUGAUUUAUGUUUCGUUAAAUGAUUUACAUGUAGAGCUAGAGAUCCAAUUGUUUAGAGAAAGAGCUAAGGACAAAGAACUUCUCUUUUAUGUACAUUUAUCUUUAUAUUAAUGUCAUUUGUUUUUCAAAUUAAGCAGUAAUUUGGUAAUUAAUAUUAUUAUUACUUGUAGUAAAAACCCAAAAAUUAUUUAGGUAUGAGACAUCAUUUGAACUCUAAAGGUCAACACUAAGGAAUGAUUAUUGAUUACAUGUAUAACAAUUUCAAGUCCCCUUUUAGGUUUUUUCAUGAUUGAAAAAGUUAAAUAUAAAAAUAUUUCAUGUACUAUACAUUUUCUGUUAGUUUAGUACUUUAAGAAACAAAAUUAUCAAUUUGGUUCUUUAGCUUUCAUUUCGCCAUUUACUUUGAUACCUCGUACUAAAGCAAUUACUCAAUUUGUCAACAUGGCAUUAACAUCAAAUAAGAUACUGACAUGUAUCAAAAAGUUCAGUUAGUGCCACAUCAUUAAUUACCACAUCAAUAGUAAAAAAAUUCAACAAAAUUUAAAAGUCUAAAAUAUUUUUAAGAAUUAAAAAAAUUAAAUAAAUAUGAAAUCUUAUUUGAACAUAAAAUUUAAAAAAUAUCAAAACUUAAAAAAAUUCAUAAAAUCUCAAAAUUUUGACAAAAAAUAAAAAAAAUCCAAAAAAUUCUAAAAAAUUAAAAAAAGGUUCACAAAUAAUAAAAAAUCUAGAAUUUUUUAACCAAAUUUGAAAAUUCAAAAAAUAUCAAAUUUUUAUUAAAAUCUAAAAUUUUAUAAAAUAUUUUCAAAAAUUUUGAAAAAAUUAAAAAAUUAAAAAAUAUGAAAUAUUCUAAGAAAUUCACUAAAAAUUAAAUUUUUUUGAAAAAUAUAAAAUAAAAAACUUAAAAUUUUAAUAAAAAUCCAUAAACAUUUAAAAAAAUGUAAAAAAUCACAAAAUAUAUAAGAAAAUUAAAUUGUAAGAUUAAAAAAAUGAAGAAUUUUCCUAAUUUAUAAGAAUUACAAUUAUUUUAAAAUUUUUAGAUAUUUUCAAAAAAUUUUCGAUCUUUUACUUUCAAUUUUUUUAAGCUUUAGAGAUUUUUUUUUUUUUAAAUUAUGAAAACUUUAUGUUUACUAAAAUUAUCAUUUUUAUUAAAAUUUCAAAUUUUAUUUUAUUUUUCUAAUAAAAUUUUGAGAUUUUUUUGAAUUUUUUAAGUUUUGAUAAUUUUUUAAAAAUUUUUAAAAAUUUUAGUUUUUGUUUUUAAAAUAAUUUUUUAAAAUGCUUAAAUAUUUUUAAAAAUAUUUAAAUGUUUUUUAGAAUUUUCUUUAAAUUCGGAUGUAAUAUUGAUGAUUUGACAUUGAUUAGAUUUUCCUAGCAUGUGUUAAUAUCUUAUUAGAUAUUUAUAUCACGUCAAUAAAUUGACUGAUGACGCUAGUCUCCGAUAACAAAGUGAUGAAAGAAUGAAAAUUAGAGUGCCAAACUAAAUAUUUUAUUUUUUUGGUGCCAAAUUGAUAAAAAAAUGCAUAAUAAAAGGGUUAUUUUUAUAUUUAACUAUUUUGGAAAGAACAAUAUUACCUUAAAGAGUACGUAUUAUUUACCUUCUAUAGUUAAAAUUAUAUCAAUUAGUAAUCAAAUUUUUAUUAUUUAUCUCAAUCAUUCUUAAUUAAAUAAAUUUUUAAUUUUUAAUAAUGCACUUUCAUCAUAAAUACAAAUAAAUAGCCCUUUAUUGUGGUGGAGUAUUGGUUUGAAGAUCUAUUUCACUACUUUUGUUUUGUUUUGGUUAUUUUUUAUUUUUUUAUUUGAUCCGUUUGUUUGUUUCUCAUUCUUUCAUUUAUUUUUUAUAACUGAUUUUUUUAUAAUUCUUCAAUAAAUAAAAUUUAUUUUUAAUUCAUAAAUGUUACUUAUUGAUGAAUAAUAUUAAUAAAAUUAUCAUGCAUAUUGCCAAAAUCAUACUAAGUUUCUGAAAAGCAAUCAAAUUCUUUGCUUUUUUUUACACAUUUAUCUUUUGGAAUCAUAACUACGUGCAACUAUAAUGAGAUACGAAAAUUCUCAUUCUUUUUAUCAAUUAAGUAAUCUAAUUUAUAAAAUGAAUAACUCGUGAGUACGGGUAUAUUAUUGACACCUCUAAAUAGCAAUGCUCUCCUUAUUAAUUCGGCAGAUUGGAUACAUCACGUUCCAAACCAAGUAGAUCAGGAAAGGUUCAAUGUUUUUCUAACAAUUGCUUGGGCUAUUUGAUACUCCAUAAUCAAAUUUUAGGGACAGGAAUGAGAAAUAUGGAAAUUCUUACACUCCAAGGAAUAAUAUAUUCCAAACAUAGGCUUACUAUUUUCUGUAGGUUUUUUUUUUUUUUUCAAUCCUUUUUAGAGAUCCCAUUGUUUCUGAGACAGCAAUAUUUUUCUUAUUGGUGUGUAGAGGCUAUGGUUUCGGAGUCAAACCCCCUCACGCCUAAAACUUUGUCUUUUUGUUUUAUUAAUUAAAAAAAUGAAACCGUGUCAAAAGGUUACUUUGUAUUUUAAUAGUAUAUAAAUAACCAAGUCUGCUUCCUUACCCUCAUUCUUAUCUUUUUCUUCCUCUACAACUACUUUUUCCAUUCUUUCUCCUGUCAUAAGCCACAACAACAAUAAAAACAGCCACUAAUCUUUGUUUCCAGGUGGGAAAUGGAGUUUGAGCAACCCAUGUUUAGAGAAACAACGGAAGCCCUGAAAUUGAAGGCAGCAAAUGAUAGUAAGACUUCAACCAGGGACAGGCAUAAGUCGCCAGGAUCAACAUGCCGUUCCUAUGUUUCCAGCAAACUCUUCCAUGGCUCGGAAUCAUUCAGGGCUCUAGAGAUGGGUGUGCCAAAGGUUGACUCCACCGAGAAAAAGCUGUCUUCGCUACGAUCUCAAAUCAGUGGUGGUGAUGCAGAAUUUGACUCUCCUUUUGGAACUAGAAAACUUACUUAUGCUGAUCAUACUGCAUCGGGUCGCUCUUUUCACUAUAUCGAAAACUUCAUCGUCACCAAUGUUCUGCCAUUCUACGGUAAAGGUUUUUUUUCUUCUGAUCUUCAAUUGUGAUACUCUGAUUUAAUUAACAAAAGUGAUGGCGUCAUUUCCGAGUAUAAGAUAUAUAUAUAUAUAUAUAUAUAUAUAUAUAUUGGGGUUUUAGUAUUUGUCAGCUGAUCUUGGUUGGUUCGUGCGUAGGUAACACUCACACGUCUGAUAGUUACGUCGGGCACAGGAUGACGAAAAUGGUGCAUGAAGCGUCAAACUACAUUAAAAGAAGCCUAGGUGGCGGUCAAGAUGAUGCAAUUCUGUUUUGUGGCUCAGGCACCACGGCUGCUAUUAAAAGGCUACAAGAAGUUAUGGGGAUUACGGUACCAUCAAUUUUGAGGGACAUGGUAAUAAAUUGCUUACCUAAUGAGUAUCGAUGGGUAGUUUUUAUUGGCCCUUACGAGCACCACUCCAACUUGCUUUCUUGGCGUCAAAGCCUUGCUGAAGUUGUUGAGAUUGGUUUAGAUGAGAAUGGGUUCAUAGACAUUGAAGCACUAAGAAAACAGCUUGAGCUGUAUAAAUACGCCAAUAGGCCUUUGCUUGGCUCAUUUUCAGCUUGUAGUAAUGUGACUGGGAUUCAAACAGAUACUCGAGAGAUUGCCAAACUUCUUCAUGAGUACGGAGGUUUUGUUUGCUUUGAUUUUGCAGCAAGGUACACAGUAAGAAUUUUCAUUUUUUGUUGUCAAGCUUUUAUAUUCGAGGUUGUCAGAAUUUAAACUUUGAUUGUUAAAAUUAAAAGUUUAAUAUUUUAAUAACAGAUCUCACAAUUAAUUAUUAGCCAAGUUUAAGUAUUAUGUUAAUGUUAUAAAGCAAUGAGAAGUUGAUUUUUGAUUGUGCUUAUCAUUUUGUUUUUGUGGAUAGUGGUCCUUAUGUGGAGAUUGAUAUGAGGUCAGGGGAGAUUGAUGGAUAUGAUGCCAUUUUCCUAAGCCCACAUAAGUUUCUAGGUGGCCCUGGAACGCCCGGUAUCCUUUUAAUGAGCAAGGCUCUCUACCGGCUGGGAUCUUCUGCUCCAUCAACUUGCGGAGGUGGAACUGUUAAUUAUGUCAAUGGCUUCAAUGAACAGGUAAUUACUCUCAAAUUUAAAAUCAAUUGAUAAUAAAUGAAGAGAUUUUUAUUUUAUUUUUGUGUUCAGAUUAAUUCAAUUUAAUAGAUGAAAGAUUUUAUUUUUUGUUCACCUCUCUACCAUAAAAUGGAAAUUUGUAUUUUCUUUACCUUUUUCUUAUUCUUGCUUAUAUAUCCCAUUUUGUAAGAAAUUUUGGUUUCUUUCGUCGGCUGGACGACAUAAAGAAUGAUUGGGUAGCUGUCAGGCUUUUUGGAGUUUAGAAAUAAAUUCCUGAUUCAGAUGGAGCGGGUUUAGACAUAGACUAGUGAAUGAUAAGUGUCUCUAAAAAAAUUUUUUAUUUUAAUUACAAUUUUAGAAGAAAAGAGAUUUCCAUGCACGACAGUGCCAGUAGAAAAAUAUUCUAGAGAAUGAUAAGUUAUCAUGAUAUUAAUCAGAUUCAUUCCCCAGCAUUUAGGGAAGCAGGUAUGCAAUUUAAUAUGUGGUAAAAUGGGGUAUUUAUUUUGCAGGACACAAUAUAUGUAAGUGACAUAGAAGAAAGGGAAAAUGGAGGGACUCCUCAAAUAAUUCAGAUUGUUAGAGCAGCAUUGACUUUUUGGGUAAAAGAAUAUAUUGGUUAUGAAGUGAUUGCAAAGCAGGAGAAGUCGUACAUAAAUCAAGCAUUGGAGAGGCUUCUCCCAAACCAAAACAUAAGGGUUUUAGGAAAUGCAAGCACCGAGACCCAGAGACAAGCCAUACUGUCUUUCCUCAUCUACUCCACAACCAACGAUGGUAACAAUGUUGACGAGGCAAAGGAAAAGGGUAGGGAACUUUUCGUGUGGGGAGAGACUGGGAACAAGAGGGAUAAACCUCUCCAUGGCCCUUUUGUUGCAACCAUCCUAAAUGAUCUGUUUGGCAUCCAAGCUCGAGGUGGGUGUGCUUGUGCUGGACCUUAUGGCCGCAGUUUGCUUGAUAUUGAUCAGACUCGAUCCCUUGCGUUCAGAGAAGCUAUUAAAAGGGUAUCAGUACAAAAUUUUCCUUUUUUUUUUUUGACCAAAUGAAAGAGAAGUAAAAUAUAUUUCAACUUAUCUAAUGCCAAUUGCAAAGUUUGAUUGCAGGGCUACAUAGGAGCAAAACCUGGAUGGACAAGAGUCAGCUUUCCUUACUACAUGUCAAAUGAAGAGUUUGAAUACAUUCUUGCGGCGUUGGAGUUCGUAGCCAUCUAUGGCCAACGAUUUCUUCCUCUAUACCAUUUCAACCUGAGAACUGGCAGCUGGACUUUCAAGAAGAAGGCGCUUAAGGACCUGGUAGGAAAGGAGAAUAGUCACGGCAUCCAUGUCUUGCCUUUGGCUAGUGCUUUUCAGACAAUAAGCUUGGACCGUGACAAAAUUGAUGCAGGAAAGAAUGAUACUCAUGUCAUGCUUCAGUAUGCAUCAUAUUUGAAAGGUGCCAAACGAGUCGCUGCUCUCCUUCCCAAGUUUCCAUCUCGAAGGAGGUUUCACGAAGAUUUAAAUCUUAACCUCCUCCCUUUCAGAGUCUAACUAUACUAUCAAAAAUGGAUUCGAGUUAAUAAUCAAAUUUAUCUAUCUUUCCUCACUUCAUUGGAAUAUUUUCACAAAGCAAAAGCAGAAAUUAAACUAGCUCAAGCCUGUCAUGUUAGCAGACUCUCCAAUUACCUGAAAUCUGUUGCAAUGCCUGACAAAUUGGCUGAUACGUAAUCCAAUCUGGUCAAGACUUGUCUAAUAAUGGUGUCUUGCCCCAAAAGUAAGAUGUAACACCGUUAUAUUAUCUUCAAAUAAAACCUUAAAGUAAUACGAAAUUUUUUCUCUUAACCAUUUUAAAAUUCUUUAAUAAAAAUAAUUUGCCCAAGUAAAUUUCAUAAAUUUAAUCUAACUAAUGAUACAUCUCUAUAUAUUCAAAGGUUAAUUAAUAAAAAACAUAUAAAAUAAUUUCAUAAGAUCUCACUAGCUAACAAUAUUUCUAAUGUCCAAGUAAUAUUUUCAAUUUGAUCUUCUAGCUUUUAAGAAGACUAAACAAACUUAUCAGUUACUCAUGUGUAAAGAAAAGGUAGAAAGAGAAUGAACAAAUUACAGCUAAGCUAGUAUAGGAUCAUACACUUUAUCGGAUCAAACAUCGGUUUCAUACAUAUCAUAUAGAUAAUUCAAAACAUUUGUCAAAUAAUACAUCAAAAUAUUUCAAAAAUCAACAUUAUGUCAAAUAUUUUGUAGAUCAUAAAUGAAAAUCAAAAUAGAUCAAUUCAUUAAUCAUUGCAAAAUAUGUUACCAUUCAAAUAUCAUAAUCAAAUCAAAUCAUGAAUCAAUCUUUAAAAUCAUCAUCAUCAUAAAUCAUCAUUAUCAUUAGUUUAUCAUUAACUAUGAUCACUAUUAUAAUCCGUAACAUUGGCCAUAUCGAUAAUUUUAUCCUUAUGAUCUUUACUAACUAUUAUAACCUGUUGGCCAAACCAUUACACUAACUACUAUGACCCACUAGUCAUACCAUUUGAUCGUUACUAUGUUAACUACUAUAACUAGUUUUGGUAUCGAUAAUCCCACUUCUCAAUAUGUAAAAUAUGUAGCUAUUAUAAAAUUAUUCAUUAAACAUAAAUCAAUUUCUCAUUUCAUUUAUAAACAUGAUCCAUCAUUUAUAUAGCAAAAUGUAAAAUAAUCAUAUGCUCACCCUAUUUUCUUAUAUCGAAAAUAAAGAAAUAAAUUUCAUUUAUUUAAAACAUACAUAUAUACAUAAGUUUCAAAACAAGUAAAGUGUAUGAGAUUCUACUUAUUUCUUUUCGGUUCCACCACUUAGUUUUUCCCUCAAAAUAAUUAAUGGGCUAUUCAAAAUCAUUUCAAUAGAACAGAAAUUAAUCAAUCCAUUUUAAGACCAUUAAUACUAAAAACAACUAAGUUAUAUAAAAGUUAACUAACUAAUUUUGGUAACCUGAGCUACUUUCACUAAAAUGACCCUAUCUUAAGAUAUCCAACUCAAAAUUAAAAUCUUUUUAGUAUAUUAAACUCGACAAAAUUUUUAACCAUAUAUGGCCCACCUUGUAAUUUCUUAUAGAUUAAUUGUAAUAACUUUUGCAAUCUAUUCAUUGCUGCCAUCAGAUAGUAUGUAUAUCUUCUAAUAAAAAUUAUAUAUUUAUUCAUAAAAGACUCUAAAUUCAAUUCAGCUUGUUUAAUCAAAAAGUAGACUAAAAAAAGCUUUUCAAACGUAUAUGGCCCACCUCAUAAUUUAUUGUAGAUUAAUUGUAAUAAUUUUUGCAAUCCAUGUCAUAUGCUACUACCAACAAAACAUGUAUAUAUUCUAAUCAAAAUGAUAUAUUUAUUCGUAAAAGACUCCAAAUUCAAUUCAGCUUGUUUCAUUGGAAUGUAUACUCAAUAACCUUUUUAAACAUGUAUGGCUCAAUUCGUAAUUCAUUGUAUAAAAAUUAAGACAAAUUUUCUAAUUCCUCAUUGCUGCUGUUGUCAGGCAGCCUAUAUAUCAUUAAGUAAAAAUUAGACAACUCUUAAUAGAAAACUUAGAUUCGAUUUACAUUUGUUUCAUUAGAAAGUAGAUUCAGUAAGUUUUCCAACAAUGUAUAAUACUUAAAGUAAUAAUUUAUCCAUUAAUACAAAUUCCAUUUUGAUUCACUUUUGCAAAUCAUAACAUCUCAUCCAAAAAUAGAAUUUCUCCUUCAAUCUUUAGGAUGAAAAAAUAUGAAAAAGGCAUAACAUAUAGCCAAUUGAAAGAACAAUGUCUCAAUAUAACUUACACGAUUUUAGUAAACUACUUCCUGUAUCAUAUGCUAAGAUCAAGGUAUAAAAUAAUUUCAGUAUUGAAUAUUUAAAUUUCUUUACCUUAUAUAUUCAAUAGGCAUUUUAGACUUCCAGAACCUAAUAUCAAUCCUAUAGUCAGCCAAUUUGAAAAUUUGUGUGAGGCUUAUUAACAUAAAUAAAAAAACAGUAUACCCAAGGGUACACAGAGAAAAUCAACGAACUUGUCUAUUGUAAACUAAAGGUUAUUCCUAAUUUUGAUACUACUUUCCUGUUUCUUUCCAUCAUUUGGUUCUCAAUAAACAAAAUGAUAUCCAAGUUCUUUGAAAAUCCCUAGAGCUGAUGGUUGUUACUCAAGUUCAUUUGGUUUUAGGACAAUGCACCUGUUCUUCAAUCUUAUUUACUGAUGUUUGAAGAAAUGAACAAUAAUUGCUGUAAAACAACAUAAAAUCAUUGUGCUACACCACCAUUCUGUAAUAUAAUCCAUCAAUCUAGGUCACGAAUAAAAAGAAUUGAGGAAUUCAAUUCACACAGUACCUUAUGGGUGAAUUUGAACAUACCACUCUAUCCUAAUCCUUUAUUAGCAUGUAUGAUGUCAUGUAUAUGCAAUCACGCCAAAUAGCCUUUUAAAAAGCUAUCACAGGAACCCCUCAUAAUAUGUGAAUCGCAAAAUCUUAGUACUUGAUUCCAAAAUCAAUUAUAAAAUAACAAAUAAUAUCAAUAUACAUAGAUAUAAUAAUCUUAUGCCAUGUUUGGUAUAUAAGAUUAUAACUUGAUAGGGUACAAUGAUAUUAUAAAUAUAAUUAGAUUAAAUAAUGUUAUCUUGUUUUGUGUUUGCUAUAUGUAAAGAUUAGGAUAGGAUAAUUUAUUUAUUUGUCAAAAUUGUCUUUAUUCAAAGUUUAUAUAAAUUAUUAAAGUAAUUUUUAAGGGUAUAAUUGAACCUGUAAGUUUAAUCUAUAAAUUAAAAGUUAUCCUCUCUACAUUGAGAGGAUUGAAUAAUCCUAUACCAAAAAGAUAUUAAUCCUCAUUGCAAACCUUACGAAUAUUCUUCAUAUUCUAUCAAUAAUCAUAUGUAUCAAAUAUGACCUUAAUCUACUAUUUUAGUAGAACUACUCUAACACAGAGAGUCGUCUCUUAUGAAGUCCAGUUCAACAUCCAAAUUUUUGUUUAGAAAACAAUCUUUCCACCACCAUUGCUCUUUAUAUAGUCUUCAUCUUUGCUUUAUAAACUCCCUAUUGAUGUCCUAUUAGGAUAUAGAGCGAGAAUUGUUCAUAAGUGGGCUAUCAUUAAUAGUUGGUUUUAAUAAUUUAAUAAAAUUGGUUGAUGUGUUUACUCUUAAUAUGAGAUAAGCAUGAGAGUUUAAAUAAUUUAAUGUGAUUACUUAAAUGUAAGAUUUGCACAUCUUACUAAAUCAAUCUGGUUUGAAGGUUUUAUAGACCUUUAGUCUAGUAAGUGUUUGAUGAUGAGGCUUUAAGGGUUUUCAAUUAAAAUAGGUUUAAAUAACUUUUUUUUUUUUUACUUUUAUACGAGUUACGGUUACUGCUCAUUGAGUGUCACCAAUAAGAGAAGAGUGACAAGGAAGACCUAGGCACUUUAAGGAUUGUUUUGCUUCGGUAUAUUUAUCAUGACCACCCAAAUAAGUAUAACGAAUCUCUUUAUUUGUUAUGAUGUUCUAAUUAUCAAACAAUGAUCUUGGGUUAAUGUUUACAUAUGGUAUCAGAGCUAUCAUUAUGUGAUAUUAGGACCCUAAAAUCAUGAUUUGUAAUUGAUUUUUGAACAAACAACAUAUUUAGGGUGAAAUUACAUUGUUGUCAAAAUUUUAAAUUUUUGUUCUUUAUUUUUUGAAAUUGAUUUAGAAUUUUAAUUUCUCUUUAAAAAAAGAUUAAAAUUAUAUAAAGAUCAUUUUCUAAUUCCUUAUAUCGGGAGAGAAAUCAAGGUUGAAAAUUUUUAGGUUUAAGUUUUAAUCUAAAUUCUCGUUUUGAUUAAAACAUCAAACAUUUGAUGUGUUUAAUUCAAAAUUGGUUCUUGAAUCAUGUUUCUCAUGUGUUUUAAAGUUAAAUCAAAGCAUUUAAUUUCAUAUUGUUUUAGAUUGACCAAACAAGAAGAAAAUAAAAAGAGGUCUAAUAUGUGUUUAUGUAAUUUGAAAAUUUUUGACCAAUUGAUCUUAUUUUUGUCAUUUUUUUAUACCUUUUUUUCAUGGGUUUGAUAGAAAAAUGGUUUUAUUUUUUGGCACUUCAAUUUGAUGAAAAUACCAAGAAAAUGCAUAAAAAAUGAUGAAAAAAAUACGAACAAACCAGAAUAGGUAAAGAAUUGUUUCAGUCACAUUGAGUCAACCUAAUUGGAGGUUAAAGAAGACCAUUCCCCAUGUUGAACAAAAUCCAUUAAUAGUGGAUGGCGCUUGUGGCACGUGUGGGUACAUCUAGCAUUCAUUCAUUGCUCAUUAAUUACUAUAUGUUAUACACAUGAUUUUAUUAUUUUAUUUUGUGAUAAAAUAUUUUGAUAUGUUGGGAGUCUAAUAAUAGUAAGUAUUCUUCCUAAAUAGGCCUUGAUAUUUAUGUACUCUCAUGUUGAAUUUUAAGUGCAUAAUUGAUUUAGUAAUUAAAAAUUGAUUUUAAAAAAUAUUCAAGAUUCUAGUUUAAAUUUAAUGUACACUGCUUAUAAGACCUAAUUAGAUACAUUUAGGUUUAGUAUCUUAGUUGGGAUAGUCCAUUGCAUACAUUAUGGUUGAGUAUGUAAACUGAGAGUUUUGGGCAAUUAAUGAAAUUUUUCGAUUUGAAAAAAUCUCCAUUAAUUGAUAUUCAUGUUUGGUUGUCAAAGUGGCUCACUUAUUGAAAUUAAUGUAAUGUUUUAUCAUUCUAUGGUUAUGUGAUGGUUAUUAAAUUAUCUUAUGCAAUUGAUUGCCUAAAGGGGGUUAAUGUAUAGGGUAAUUUGUUUUGGAUAUAAAUUAUCAUGGUUGAAGUUGUACCAAUCUACAAAAUCUAUCUGCUCGAAGGGGAUAUGUUUUUUGAAAGCUAGGACAUUUUCAUAUUAGCUUUAUGCGAAAAGUUUCUACUUGCAUAUUACAUUCUUUAUCCAAAAUGGAGUUUGUGGUGAUGCAUCAAGACCUUUCAAUAAUUGUUAGUAUAUCAUGAACUGUUGCUAUAUAUUUUAUGAUAUUGCCUAUUUACUAAUGUUGCAUUUUUGUCUUAAAUGUUGACUUUUAUUGUCAAUAAUAAUAAGCCACUAUUAAAGUUCUUCACGGGUCUAAUUAUAAAAAAUGGAAUGAAGAGUUGAAUUUUGCUUUGGUUAUGAAUGAGAUAGACAUAGCCUUACGUUUUUCAAAGCUUGCUAAUUUUACUGAUGAAAGCAUGGCUGAACAAAAAGAAUUUUUUCCCAAAUGGAAAAAGGCAAAUUGUAUGCAUCUAUAUGUCAUUACUAGGUCUUUUUUUGAAUACCUUUUGAGUGAGUUGGAUACCACAAAAUUGCUAGGGAUCUCUAUCAUACUGUAGGUAAUAAAUAAGAAAAAUCCAAUAAGUGUAAAGCUAAGAACCUUAUGAGUGAGCUUACAAGUAUAAGGUAUGACAGUGUUGAGAGUGUUAAAGAUUUCAUCAUCAGAAUAGUCCAUAUUCAAACCAAAUUGACUUCUCAUGAAAUUGUCCUUCCUGAUAAAUUCAUUGUUCAUCAUGCCCUUAUUACUUACCUUACUUGUUGACUUUACUCAGAUCAAAACUAUCUAUAAUGCUAAGAAUGAGGUUUAAAAUGUUAAUGAUUUUAUUUAAAAGAAUGUCUCUAAGAAAAACUAGAGAAAGAAAAAGGUGACGGUGUUUUUUUGGCUACAUACUCCAAACAUAAUUAAAAAAGAAAUUAUGGAAAAUCUGGAAAAUUUGUUCCUAAUGCUCACAAGAAAGUUUAAGAAAACAAGGGACAAGGUAGUGGUCAGACUAAAAAGGUAAGAGGUUUUAAAGCCGUCAUUAAGAAAGAUGUUAAGUGUUUUUCCUGUAAAAAGAAUGUCAUAUGAAACAUGAGUACCCUAAAUAUCAAGCUUGGUUAAAGAAAAAGAAUAAACAAUAAGGUAACUCACUAGCUCUUAUUUGUUUUAAAUUCUAUUUUGUCAGUGGCCCACCAAACUCCUUAAUAUAUAUUAGGCUAUUUAUCAAGAAAUAUAUAUUUAAAAAAUUAUUUAGUUAUCGAAAACUUUCAAAUUUUAGAUGUAAGUAUUAUGGGAUAUGUAAAUGCCUAUAUAUAUAUAUAUAUAAUUUUUUGACGCAUAAGAAUUUACCACAAAAAAUUAACUUACAUGGAUAUCUACAUGGAUAAUUUUUCAAUUGUUAACAAUAAAAUCUAAUUUAGAUAUAUUUUUAUUAAAAAUAAAUUUCCUAAUAAUAUAAACAUAUUUUUUAAAUUUAAAAAUCUCAAUUGUAAUAAUAUAUUAUCUCUAAAAUGGGUUUAUAAAAUAAUUCUAUUUGAUAAGUUAUUUAAAUUCAAAAUGAAAACCUAUGAAAUAUGAAAAAUUUUGUAUAAAUCUUGAAUUAAAAAAUGUCAAUUCUAGAAUUUUUCUUUUUUUUAAUUUAAUCAUUUUUCAAGAAUAUAUGUGGACCAUAAAUUUUGAAUACAUAUUUCAAUUAAAAUUGAUUAGAUUUGUUUUUUACUAUUUCAAAUUUGAAAGAUAUGUUGUAUUUUUUAAUUCUCUUAUCAUUAGAUUAUUUUAAAAAUUUAAUCCUAGCCACAGUCACCAAUCAUUUUAUCAUUACCAUUGCCAAGUUUGCGUCUAAAUUAGCAAUGAAAGGCAUCGAUGAAAAUUUUUUGUUGUUUCAUUCCAAUCACAAUCACCCAUCAUUUUAUUAUUUGAGAAGAAUCCUAAUUUGUAACUAAAUCACUUAUAUGUUGUGACGUAAUCAAUUUUAUUUGUGUUUCGUUAAAUGAUUUAUAGGUAGAGCUAGAGAUCCAACUGUUUAAGAAAAGAGCUAAGGACAAAGAACUUCUCUUUUAUAUUAAUUGAUCUUUAUAUUAAUGUCGUUUUUUUUUUAAAUUAAGUAGUAAUUUAGUAAUUAAUAUUAUUAUUACAUGUAGGAAAAACCCAAAAAUUAUUUGGGUAUGAGACAUCCUUUGAACUCUAAAGGUCAACACUAAGGAAUGAUUAUCGAUUACAUGUAUAACAACUUCAAGUCUCCUUUUAGGUUUUUUCAUGAUUGGAAAAGUUAACUAUAAAACUAUUUCAUGUAUUAUACAUUUCUGUCAGUUUAGUACUUUAAGAAACAAAAUUAUCAAUUUGGUUCUUGAACUUUCAUUUCGUCAUUUACUUUGAUACUCAAAUUAAAGCAAUUACUCAACUUGCCAACAUGAUAUUAACAUCUAAUAAGAUACUGACAUGUGUCAAAAAGUUUAGUCACUACCAUAUCAUCAAUUACCGCAUCAAUACUAAAAAAAUUCAAAAAAAAUUUAAAAAUCUAAAAUAUUUUUAAAAAUUAGAAAAAUUAAAUAAAUAUGAAAUCCUUUUUAAUUAUAAAAAUAAAAAAAAUAUGAAAACUUAAAAAAUUUCAUAAAAUCUCAAAAUUUUAACAAAAAGUCCAAAAACAAUCCAAAAAAUUCUAACAAAUUAAAAAAAAAAAAAGGUUCACAAAAAAUAAAAAAUCUAGAAUAUUUUGACAAAAUUUGAAAAUUUAAAAAAAAUUAAUUUUUCUUAAAAUCUAAAAUUUUAUAAAAUAUUUUCAAAAAUUAUGAAAAAAUUAAAAUCAUUUCAAAAAUAUGAAAUAUUCUAAGAAAUUUAUUAAAAAUUAAAUUUUUUUUGAAAAAUAUAAAAUAAAAAACUUAAAAUUUUCAUAAAAAUCCAUAAAAAUUUAAAAAAAUGUAAAAAAAUCGCAAAAUUUAUAAAAAAAUUAAAUUUGUGUGAUUAAAAAAAUAAAGAAUUUUCCUAAUUUAUAAAGAUUACAACUAUUUUAAAAUUUUUAGAUUUUUUCAAAAAAGUUUAGAUCUUUUACUUUCAAUUUUUUAAAAUUUUAGAGUUUUUUUUUUAAAUUUAUGAAAACUUUAUGCUUACUAAAAUUAUCAUUUUUACGAAAAUUUGAAAAAAAAUUUUAUUUUUGUAAUAAAAUUUUGAGAUUUUUUUUGAAUUUUUUAAGUUUUAAUAAUUUUUAAAAAAAUUUUAAAAUUUUUUGUUUUUGUUUUUUAAAAUAAUUUUUUAAAAUGCUUAAAUAUUUUUAAAAAAAUUUUAAAAUUUUUUAGAAUUUUUCUUUAAAUUCGGAUGUAAUAUUGAUGAUUUGACGUUGAUUAGAUUUUCUUAGCAUGUGUUAAUAUCUUAUUAAAUAUUUAUACCACGUCAAUAAAUUUACAGAUGGCGUUAGUCUCCGGUAACAAAGUGAUGACAGAAUGAAAAUUAGAGUAACAAACUAAAUAUUUUAUUUUUUUGGUGCCUAAUUGAUAAAAUAUGUAUAAUAAAUGGGCCAUUUUUAUAUUUAACCAUUUUGGAAAGACCAACAUUACCUUAAAAAGUACAUAUUACUUACCUUAUAUAGUUAAAAUUAUAUCAAUUAGUAAUCAAAUUUUUAUUAUUUAUCUUAAAUCAUUCUUAAUUAAAUUAAAUUAUUUAUUUUUAAUAUGCCACUUCAUCAUAAAUACAAAUGAAUAGCCUUCAAUGUGGUAGAGUAUUGGUUUGAAGAUCUAUUUCACAACUUUUAUUUUGUUUUGGUUCUCGUUUUAGUUUUUUUAUUUGAUCCAUUUGUUUGUUUCUUCAUUCUUUCAUUUGUUUUUUAUAACUGAUUUUUUUAUAUUUUUCAAUAAAUCAAAUUUUAAUUUUAAUUCAUAAAUGUUACUUAUUGAUGAAUAAUCAUUAAUAAAACUAUCAUGCAUAUUGCCAAAACCAUACUAAGUUUCUGAAAAGCAAUCAAAUUCUUUGCUUUCUUUACAAUUUUCACUUUUUAGGGAUCUUAUCUAUCCGUGUAAAUUAUACCAAGAUACAAAAGUUCUCAUUCCUUUUAUCAAUUAAGUAAUCAAAUUUAUAAAAUUAAUAACUUGUGAGUAUGGGUAUAUUAUUGACACCUCUAAAUAGCAAUGCUCUCCUUAUUAAUAUGGCAGAUUGGAUACAUCAAGUUCCAAACCAAGUAGAUCAGGAGAGGUUCAAUGUUUUUCUAACAAUUGCUCGGGCUAUUUGAUACUCCAUAAUCAAAUUUUAGGGACAGGAAUGAGAAAUAUGGAAAUUCUUACACUCAAAGGAAUAAUAUAUUCCAAACAAAGGCUUACUAUUUUCUGUAGGUUUUUUUUUUUCUUCAAUCUUUUUUGGAGAUCCCAUUGUUUCUGAGACAGCAAUAUUUUUCUUAUUGGUGUGUAGAGGUCAUGGUUUCGGAGUCAAAACCCCCUACCGCCUAAAAUUUUGUCUUUUUGUUUUAUUAAUUGAAAAAAUGAAACCGUGUCAAAAGGUUACUUUGUAUUUUAAUAGUAUAUAAAUAACCAAGUCUGCCUUCCUUACCCUCAUUCUUAUCUUUUUCUUAUUCUACAACUACUUUUUCCAUUCUUUCUCCUGUCAUAAGCUACAACUACAAUAAAAAAAGCCAUUAAUCUUUGUUUCCAGUUGGGAAAUGGAGUUUGAGCAACCCAUGUUUAGAGAAACAACGGAAGCCCUUAAAUUGAAGGCAGCAAAUGACAGUAAGACUUCAACCAGGGACAGGCAUAAGUCACCAGGAUCAACAUGCGGUUCCUAUGUUUCCAGCAAACACUUCCAUGGCUCGGAAGCAUUCAGGACUCUAGAGAUGGGUGUGCCAAAGGUUGACUCCACCGAGAAAAAGCUGUCUUGGCUACGAUCUCAAAUCAUUGGUGGUGAUGCAGAAUUUGACUCUCCUUUUGGAACUAGAAAACUUACUUACGCUGAUCAUACUGCAUCGGGACGCUCUUUUCACUAUAUCGAAAACUUCAUCGUCACCCAUGUUCUGCCAUGCUACGGUAAAGGUUUUUUUUCUUCUGAUCUUCGAUUGUGAUACUCGGAUUUAAUUAACAAAAGUGAUGGUGUCGUUUUCGAGUAUAAGAUACAUACAUAUAUAUAUAUAUAUGGGGGUUUUAGUAUUUGUCAGCUGAUCUUGGUUGGUUCGUGCGUAGGUAACACUCACACAUCUGACACUUAUGUGGGGCACAGGACGACGAAAAUGGUGCAUGAAGCGUCAAACUACAUUAAAAGAUGCCUAGGCGGGGGUCAAGAUGAUGCAAUUCUGUUUUGUGGCUCAGGCACUACGGCUGCUAUUAAAAGGCUACAAGAAGUUAUGGGGAUUACGGUACCAUCAAUUUUGAGGGACAUGGCAAUAAAUUGCUUACUUAAUGAGUAUCGAUGGGUAGUUUUUAUUGGCCCUUACGAGCACCACUCCAACUUGCUUUCUUUGCGUCAAAGCCUUGCUGAAGUUGUUGAAAUUGGUUUAGAUGAGAUUGGGUUCAUAGACAUUAAAGCACUAAGAAAACAGCUUGAGCUGUAUAAAUAAGCCAAUAGGCCUUUGCUUGGCUCAUUUUCAGCUUGUAGUAAUGUGACUGGGAUUCAAACAGAUACUCGAGAGAUUGCCAAACUUCUUCAUGAGUACGGAGGUUUUGUUUGCUUUGAUUUUGGAGAAAGGUACACAGUAAGAAUUUUCAUUUUUUGUUGUCAAGCUUUUAUAUUCGAGGUUGUCAGAAUUUAAGCUUUGAUUGUUAAAAUUAAAAGUUUAAUACUUUAAUAACAGAUCUCACAAUUAAUUAUUAGCCAAGUUUACGUAUUGUGUUAAUGUUAUAAAGCAAUGAGAAGUCGAUUUUUGAUUGUGCUUAUCAUUUUGUUUUUGUGGAUAGUGGUCCUUAUGUGGAGAUUGAUAUGAGGUCAGGGGAGAUUGAUGGAUAUGAUGCCAUUUUCCUAAGCCCACAUAAGUUUCUAGGUGGCCCUGGAUCGCCCGGCAUCCUUUUAAUGAGCAAGGCUCUCUACCAGCUAGGAUCUUCUCCUCCAUCAACUUGCGGAGGUGGAACUGUUAAUUAUGUCAAUGGUUUCAAUGAACAGGUAAUUACUCUCAAAUUGAAAAUUAAUUGAUAAUAAACGAAGAGAUUUUUAUUAUAUUUAUGUGUUCUGAUUAAUCCAAUUUAAUGGAUGAAUGAUUUUAAUUUUUGUUCACCUCUCCACUAUAAAAUGGAAAUUUGUAUUUUCUUUACCUUUUUUCUUAUUCUUGCUUAUAUAUCCCAUUUUGUAAGAAAUUUGGGUUUCUUUCUUCAACUGAACGGCAUAAAGAAUGAUUAGCUAGCUGUCACGAAUUUUGGAGUUUAGAAAUAAAUUCCUGAUUCAGAUGGAGCUGGUUUAGAUAUAGACUAGUGAAUGAUAAGUGUCCAAAAAUUUUUUUAUUUUAAUUACAAUUUUAGAAGAAAAGAGAUUUCCAACCAAAUUUCUGAAUGCGGGACGGUGUUAAUAGAAAAAUACUCUAGAGAAUGAUAAGUUUUCAUGAUAUUAAUCAGAUUCAUUCCCCAGCAAUUAGGGAAGCAGGUAUGAAAUUUAAUAUGUGGUAAAAUGGGGUAUUUAUUUUGCAGGACACAAUAUAUGUAAGUGACAUAGAAGAAAGGGAAAAUGGUGGGACUGCUCAAAUAAUUCAGAUUAUUAGAGAAGCAUUGAAUUUUUUGGGUAAAAGAAUAUAUUGGUUAUGAAGUGAGUGCAAAGCAGGAGAAGUCGUACAUAAAUCAAGCACUGGGGACGCUUCUCCCAAACCAAAACAUACGGGUUUUAGGAAAUGCAAGCACCGAGACCCAGAGACAAGCCAUACUGUCUUUCCUCAUCUACUCCACAACCAACGAUGGUAACAAUGUUGACGAGGCAGAGGAAAAGGGGAGGGGACUUUUCAUCUGGGGAGAGACUGGGAACAAGAGGGAUAAACCUCUCCAUGGCCCUUUUGUUGCAACCAUCCUAAAUGAUCUGUUUGGCAUCCAUGCUCGAGGUGGGUGUGCUUGUGGUGGACCUUAUGGCCACAGAUUGCUUGAUAUUGAUCAGACUCGAUCCCUUGCGUUCAGAGAAGCUAUUAAAAGGGUAUCAGUACAAAAUUUUCCAUUUUUUUUUUUUUUUACCAAAUGAAAGAGAAGUAAACUAUAAUUGAACUUAUCUAAUGCCAGUUGCAAAGUUUGAUUGCAGGGCUACAUAGGAGCAAAACCUGGAUGGACAAGAGUCAGCUUUCCUUACUACAUGUCAAAUGAGGAGUUUGAAUACAUUCUUGCGGCAUUGGAGUUCGCAGCAAUCUAUGGCCAACGAUUUCUUCCUCUAUACCAUUUCGACCUGAGAACUGGCAGCUGGACUUUCAAGAAGAAGGCGCUUAAGGACCAGGUAGGAAAGGAGAAUAGUCGCGGCAUCCAUGUCUUGGCUUUGGCUAGUGCUUUUCAGACAAUAAGCUUGGACCGUGACAAAAUUGAUGCAGGAAAGAAUGAUACUUCUAUCAUCCUUCAGUAUGCAUCAUAUUUGAAAAGUGCCAAACGAGUCGCUGCUCUCCUUCCCAAGUUUCCAUCUCGAAGGAGGUUUCACGAAGCUUUAGAUCUUAACCUCCUCCCUUUCAGAGUCUACCUAUACUAUCAAAAAUUGAUUCGAGUUCGUAAUCAAAUUUAUCUAUUUUUCCUCACUUCCUUGGAAUAUUCUCACAUAGCAAAAGCAGAAAAUUAAACUAGCUCAAGCCUGUCAUGUUAGCAGACUUUCCAAUUACCUGAAAUCUAUUGCAGUGCCUGACAAAUUGGCUGAUACGUAAUCCAAUCUGGUCAAGACUUGGAUAAUAAUGGUGUCAUGCCCCAAAACUAAGAUGUAACACGGUUAUAUUUUCUUCAAAUAAAACUUUAAAGUAAUACAAAAUAUUUUCUUUUAAUCCCUUUAAAAUUCUUUAAUAAAAAUAAUUUGGCCAAGUAACUAAUGAUACAUCUCUAUAUAUCCAAAGGUGAAUUCAUAAAAUAAAUAUAAAAUCAAUUCAUAAGAUCUCUUUAGCUAACAAUAUUUCUAAUGCCCAAGUAAUAUUUCUAAUUUGAUCUUCUACAUUUUAACAAAGCUAAACAUACUUAUCACUUACUCAUGUGUAAAAAAAGGGUAAAAAGAGAAUGAACAAAUUACAGCUCAGCUAGUAUAAGAUCAUACACUUUAUCAGAUCAAGAUUCGGUUUCAUACAUAUCAUAUAGAUUAUUCAAAACAUUUGUCAAAUAAUAAUAUCAAAAUAUUUCAAAAAUCAAUAUUAUGUCAAUAUUUUGUAGAUCAUAAAUCAAAAUCAAAACAGAUCAAUUCAUAAAUCAUUGCAAAAUAUGUUAUCAUUCAAAUAUCGUAAUCAAAUCAAAUCAUGAAUCAUAUUUUUAAAAUCAUCAUCUCAUAAUCAAUCACUUAUCGUUAGUUUAUCAUUAACUAUUCACUACUAUAAUCUGUAAAAUUAGUUUAUAAAUUUUAUUUCUUAUAUAAUAUAGUACUAUUUAAAGCUAUUGGCCAAGCUUUACGACUAACUACUAUAACCACUAAGGCAUGAUAUGAUAAUGUUAAUACUAUUUGCGUUAGCUAAAGACUAUAACUAGUUCUAGUAUGAUAAUCCAUUAUUCUCAAGAUGAAAAAUAUUAGCUAUUAUAACAUUCAUUAAACAUAUAAUCAUUCUCUUAUUCAGUUUAUAAACUAUUCAUUAUUUUAUAUAGCAAAACGUAAAAUAAUAUACCUCCCCCUAUUUUCUUAUAUCGAAAUAAAGAAAUUAAAAUUUAUUUAUUUAAAAAGCAUACAUAUGCACAUAAGUUUCAAAACAAGCAAAGUUGUGAAAAUUCUACUUAAUUUCCUUUGGUCCAUCACUUAAGUUUUUCCCCAAAAACUAUUAUGGGCUAUUCAAAAUCUUUCAAUAUAAUAGAAAUUAAUCAUCCAUUUCUAAGACCAUUAUACAAAAACAACUAAGUUAUAUAAGGGUUAACUAACUAAUUUUGGUAGAUUUGCGCUACUGUUCCUAAAAAUGACCCUAUCCUUAAAAUAUCCAACUUAAAUUAAGAAUUUUUUUUAGUACGUUAGAAAUUAAACUCAAUAAACUUCUUAACCAUAUAUGGCCCACCUUGUAAUUUUGUGUAGAUUAAUUGUAAUAACUUUUGCAAUUCAUGUCAUAUACUGUUGUCAGAUAGCAUGUAUAUUUUCUAAUAAAAAUUAUAUAUUUAUUCAUAAAAGACUCCAAAUUCAAUUUCUCUUAUUUCAUUGAAAAGUAGACUCAAAAAUAUUUUCAAACAUAUAUGGCCCACCUCGUAAUUUCUUGUGGAUUAAUUGUAAUAAUUUUUGCAAUCCAUGUCAUACGCUACUACCAAACAACAUGUAUAUAUUCUAAUGAAAAUUAUAUAUUUAUUCAUAAUUUCGAUACUACUUUCCUGGUUCUUUCCAUCAUUUGGUUCACAAUAAACAAAAUGAUAUCCAAGUUCUUUAAAAAUCCCUAGAGCUGAUGUUUGUUACUCAAGUUCAUUUGGUUUUAGGACAAUGCACCUAUUCUUCAAUCUUCUUUAUUGAUGUUUGAAGAAAUGAACAAUAAUUGCUGUAAAAUAGCAUAAAAUCAUUAUGCUACACCACUACUCUGUAAUAUAAUCCACCAAUCUAGGUCACCAAUAAAAAGAAUUGAGGAAUUCAAUUCACACUGUAACGUAUUGGUGAAUUCAAACAUACCACUCUAUUGUAAUUUUUUAUUAGCAUGUAUGAUGUCAUGUAUAUGCAAUCAUGCCAAAUAGCCUUUUAAAAAGCUGUUAGAGAAACCCUUCACAAUAUGUAAAUCGUAAAAGCUUAGUACUUGAUUCCAAAACCAAUUACAAAUUAACAAAUAAUAUCAAUAUACAUAGAUAUAAUCUUAUGCCAUGUUUGGUACAUAAGAUUAUGACUUGAUACGGUACAACGUUAUUAUAAAUAGAAUUAGAUUAAAUAAUGUCAUCUAAUUUUGUGUUUGCUCUAUGUAAAGAUUAGGAUAGGAUAAUUUUUUUAUUUGUCAAAAUUAUCCUUGUCGAAAGUUUAUACAAUUUAAAUUAUUAAAGUAAAUUUUAUGAGUAUAAUUGAACUUGUAAGUUUAAUCUUAUAAAUUAAAAAUUAUCCUCUCUACUUUGAAAGGAUUGAAUAAUCCUAUACUAAAAAGAUAUUAAUCCUUAUUGCAAACCUUAUCUUUGUCUUUAGAUACAAAUCAAACUUGAUAUAGGAUGAUUAUCAUCGUAUUUUAUCAAUAAUCAUAUGUAUCAAAUAUAACCUUAGUCUACUAUUUUAGUGGAACCACUCUAACACAAAGAGUCGUCUCUUAUGAAGACCGCUUCAACAUCCAAAUUUUUGUUUAGAAAAUAAUCUUUCCACCACCAUUUCUUUUUAUAUAGUCUUCAUCUUCGCUUUAUAAACUCACCGUUGAUGUCUUAUUAAGAUAUAGAGCAAGAAUUGUUCAUAAGUGAGCUACCAUUAAUAGAUGGUUUUAAUAAUUUAAUAAAAUUGGUUGAUGAGUUUACUCUUAAUAAGAGAUAAGCAUGAGAGUUUAAAUAAUUUAAUGUGAUCACUUAAAUGUAAGAUUUGUACAUCUUACUGGAACAAUUUGGUUUAGAGAUUUUGUAAACCUUUAUCUAGUAAGUGUUUAAUGAUGAGGGUUUAAGGGAUUUCAAUCAAAUAGGUUCAAAUCACUUUUUUUCUUUUACUUUUAUGCAAGUUACGGUUACUGCUCAUUGAAUGUCGCCAGUAAAAGAAGAGUGAAAAGGAAAACCUAGGCACUUUAAGGAUUGUUUCGCUUUGAUAUAUUUAUCAUGACCACCCAAAUAAGUAUGACAAAUCUCUUUAUUUGUUAACAAUGUUCUAAAUAUCAAACAAUGAACUUGGGUUAAUGUUUACGCAUGGUAUUAGAGCUAUCAUUAUGUGAUAUUAGGACCCUAAAAUUAUGAUUUGUAAUUGAUUUUUGAACAAACAACAUAUUUAGGGUGAAAUUAUGUUAUUGUCAAAUUUUUAAAUUUUGAUCUUUAUUUUUCAAAAUUGAUUUAGGAUUUUAGUUCCUCAUUGAAAAAGGAUUAAAAUUAUAUAAAAACCAUUUUCUAAUGCCUUAUAUCAAGAGAGAAAUCAAGGUUGAAAAUUUUUAGGUUUAAGUUUUAAUCUAAAUUCUUGUUUUUAUUAAAACAUCAAACAUUUUAUGUGUUUAAUUCAAAAUUGAUUCUUGAAUCAUGUUUCUCAUGUGUUAUAAAGUUAAAUCAAAGCAUUUAAUUUCAUAUUGUUUUAGAUUAGCCAAACACGAAGAAAACAAAAAGAGGUCUAAUAUGUGUUUAUGUAAUUCAAAAAAUUUUGACCAAUUGAUCUUAUAUUUAUCUUUUUUUAAUACUUUUUUUCAUGGGUUUGAUAGAAAAAUGGUUUUAUUUUUGGGCACUUCAAUUUGAUGAAAAUACCAAGAAAAUACAUAAAAAAUGGUGGAAAAAAUAUGAACUGACCAGAAUAAGUAAAGAAUUGUUCCAGUUGCAUUGAGUCAACCCAUUUGGAGGUUAAAGAAGACCAUUCCCCAUGUUGAAUAAAAUCCAUGCUUAGUGGGUGGCACAUGUGGCACGUGUAGGGGGCUCAUCUAGCAUCCAUUUUUGCUCUAGUUUCUUUUCACAUACUUGGAAUUUUAUUUUAAAUUUUUUCUUAAAAUUUUUAAACUACAUGAAAUAUUUGUUUGACAUUCAUGCAUUGCUUAGUAACUAUUAUAUGUUAUACACAUUAUUUUAUUAUUUUAUUUUAUGAUAAAAUAUUUUAGUAUGUUGGGAGUCUAAUGAUAGUAGGUAUUCUUCCUAAAUAGGUCUUGAUAUUUAUAUACUCUCAAGUUGAAUCUUAAGUGCGUAAUUGAUUUAGUAAUUAAAAAUUGAUUUUUAAAAAAAAUUCAAAACUCUGGUUUUAAUUUAAUGUACACUGCUUAUAAGACCUAAUUAGAUACAUUUAGGUUUAAUAUCUUAGUUGGGAUGGUCCAUUGCAUACAUUAUGGUUGAAUUUGUAAACUGAGAGUUGUGGGCAAUUAAUAAAAUUUUUCGAUUUGAAAAAAUCUUCAUUAAUUGAUAUUAGUGUUUGGUUGUCAAAGUGGAUCACUAUUGAAAUUAAUGUAAUAUUUUAUCAUUUUAUGGUUAUGGGAGGGUUAUUAAAUUAUCUUAUGCAAAUGACUAUCUAAAAGGGGUUAAUGUAUAGGGUAAUUUGUUUUGGAAUAUAAAUCAUCAUGGUUGAAGUUGUACGAAUCUAUAAAAUCUAUCUGCCCAAAAAAGAUAUGUUUUUUGAAAGCUAGGACUUUUCAUAUUAGCUUUAUGCAGAAAGUUCUUACUCAUAUAUUACAUUCUUUAUCCAAAAAGGAGUUUGUGGUGAUGCACUAAGACCUUUCAAUAAUUAUUAGUACAUCAUGAACUAUUGUUAUAUCUUUUACGAUAUUGUCUAUUUACUAAUGUUGCAUUUUUAUCUUAAAUGUUGCCUUUUAUUGUCAAUAACAAUAAGCCACUAUUAAAGUUCUUCACGGGUCUAUUUAUAAAAAAUGAAAUGAAGAUUUGAAUUUUGCUUUGGUUAUGAAUGAGAUAGACAUAGCCUUAUGUUUUUCAAAACCUACUAAUUUUACUAAUGAAAGCAUUGCUGAACAAAUGGAAUUGUUUCUCAAAUGGGAAAAGGCAAAUUGUAUGCAUCUGUAUGUCAUUAAUAGGUCUAUUUUUUAAUACCUUUUGGGUGAGUUAGAUACCACAAAAUUGCUAGGGAUCUCUACCAUGUUGUAGGCAAUAAAUACCAUAAAUCUAAUAAGUGUAAAGCUAAAACCCUUAUGAGUGAGCUUACAAGUAUUAGGUAUGACAAUGUUGGGAGUGUUAGAGAUUUCAUCAUGAGAAUGGUCCACAUUCAAACAAAAUUGACUUCUCAAGAAAUUAUCCUUCCUAAUAAAUUCAUUGUUCAUCAUGCCCUUAAUGCCUUAAUUGUGGGGUUCACUCAGAUCAAAACUGUCUAUAAUGCUAUGAAUGAGGUUUGAAGUGUUGAUGAUCUUAUUUAAAAGUUUGUCUCUAAGAAAGAAAAACUAUAGAAAGAAAAGGGUGAAAGUGUUUUUUUUGCUAUAUACUCCAAAUAUAAUUACAAAAGAAAUUAUGGAAAAUUUGAGAAAUUUCUUCCUAAUGCUCAUAAGAAAGUUCAAGAAAAUAAGGGACAAGGUAGUGGUCAAACUAAAAAGGUAGGAGGUCUUAAAGUUGCCAUUAAGAAAGAUAUCGAGUGUUUUUCUUGUAAAAAGAAUGUCAUAUGAAACAUGAGUACCCUAAAUAUCAAGCUUGGUUAAGGAAAAAGAAUAAACAAGAAGGUAACUCACUAGCUCUCACUUGCUUUAAAUCCUAAUUUGUCAGUGGCCCACUAAAUUCCUAGUAGAUUGAUAGUGGUGCAACUAUUCAUAUUGCUGUUACCUUUGCUAGGAUUAAAAAAAAAAUGAAAGCUAAUUAAGAAAGAAGCUAAACAUAAAGUUUGAAACAAUGUUGAAGUAGCCAUUAAUUAUAUAGGAACAAUAGGCUUAUAUUUAUAAUCUGUUUUUGAACUUAUUUUGGAAAAUGUUUUUCAUCACCUUCAUUUAUGAGGAAUUUGAUUUUAGUUUUUAUUUUGGACAAACAUGGUUAUUAUUUUGGCAUUGGAUAUGGAAAAGUUGACUCGUUUUAAAAUUCAAAUGUUGUUGGUGAAUUUAAACUAAUUGACAAUUUAUACAAACUGUGCUUAGCCUAUAAUAAUUAAUAUAGUUGCAAUAAUGUUGAAAAGAUAGUGACUAAAAAAUCUUUGAGUAAAGAAAAUUCAUUAUUGAUGAAUUUAAACUAAUUGACAAUUUAUAUAAAUCGUGCUUGGCCUAUGAUAAUUAAUAUAGUUGCAAUAAUGUGGAAAAGACAAUGUCUUAAAAAUCUUUAACUAUAGAAAAGUCUUUUGUUGUGGUGUAAAAGGUUGGUCACAUUUCUUAUGAAGAAGUGCAAAAAUUGAUAAAAGAGAGUACUUUAUCUUUCCUUGGUUUUAAAAAGUUAGACACUUGUGUUGAUUGUAUAAAAUAUAUACUAACUAAAACUAAGAAAAAUGAGGCAAUUUAUAAUUUUGACCUUUUGAAAAUUGUGUACACUGAUAAUAGUGGACUUCUUACAUCUAUCUUGUGUUGUAACAAAUAUUUUGUUACUUUUAUUUAUGACUAUUUUCGCUAUGGGUAUCUUUACCUAAUUGAUGAAAAUUGAAAUGCUUUUAAAAAAUUUAAAAAUUUUAAACUGAGGUCAAGAAAUAAUUAGGAAAAGUUAUCAAAGUCAUUAGCUCUAAGGUGGUGAGUAUUAUGGUAGAUAUUGUGAAACUAGAUAACAUAUGAGACCAUUUUCUAAAUAUUUACAAGAAUGUCAAAUUUUCCUUAAUAUGCUAUGCUUGGUAGUCUUGAACAUAAUGGUGUGGUCGAAAGGUAAAAUCACACCCUUAAGGAUAUGAUAAAGAGCUUAUAUGCAGGACUAAUCUUCUUAAGUCUUUUUAGGGUAAAGCUAUUAAAAUCGCCUUGUAUAUACUUAAUAGAGUACCUAGCAAAUCUGUUCCUAAAACACCUUUUGAAUUGUAGACUGGUAGGAAACCCCAAUUGAACCAUUCUAAAUUUUGUGGACGUCUUAUAGAAGUUGGAAUCUAUAAUCUUUUGAAAGAAAGAUUGAACCUAGGAAUACUCAUUGCUUUUCUUUAAAGUAUUUAGAUCGCUUCAAGGGAUAUAAGUUUUAUUAUCCUGUACGUGGAACUAAGUUUGUAGAGUCACAUGUGGCAAAGUUUUUGGAACUAAAUGUUGCUGAUAAGAGUGUGAUAGAGGCUAUGGAUAAUCGUGAAUCUAUUAGACAUAUUUCUAUCACUUUACAUAUAAUACAGUGCCAUAUUAUGCUAGUGGCCAUUGAAUGAAGAGAUCGAGGCAAUAGGACAUAAACCUUUUCCUACUAAUGUACUUCAAGUUCAAAAGAACGAUAUUAAAAUACCUUUUAGGAGAUCUUCUAAACAAAGAAGAUCCUCCAUCUCUAAUGAUUAUGUAAUUUAUCAUUGAAAGAGUGACUAUGACAUUAGUCAUGUUGUUAACCUUGUGACUUUUGGGGAAACUAUUAGCAGUCUAUAAUUUAAUGUAUGGAUGGAUGCAAUAAAAAAUGAGAUAAAUUUUAUGUCUCAAAAUGGUGCUUAGGAGCUUGCUAAACUACUAAAAAAGUAUAAAUCCAUUGGUUGUAAAUGGGUGUAUAAAACCAAGAAAGGUUCUAAGGGAAAUUUGAGAUAUUUAAAGUUAAAUUGGUGGCAAAGUGAUUUAUUUAGAGGGAAAUAGUAGAUUAUAAUGAAAUGUUUUUACCGAUGUCUUCCAAAAAUUCCUUUAGGAUUGUUAUAGCCUUAGUAGUACACUUUAACUUGAAGCUUUGUUAGAUUAAUGUAAAGACGGCUUUUCUCAAUGGUGAUUUUAGAGAAAAUGUUUAUAUGGUGCAACCUAAAAGAUUUCAAGAAUUUGAAAAGAAGCAUUUAGUAAGUUGACUUAAAAAGUCAAUUUAUGCCUUUAAAUAAGCUUCUAAGUAGAGGUAUCUAAAAUUUGAUAAGAUAGUUACUUCCUUUGGUUUUGAGAAACAUAAAGUUGAUCAAUAAAUAUAUCUUAAAAUCAAGGGGAGUAAAUAUAUCUUUCUUGUGUUAUAUGUGGAUGACAUCUUACAGGCUUGUAAUGAUAUUGGUUUGUUACAUGAAAUUGAGCAGCUAUUAUCUAAGACUUUGGAUAUGAAAAACCUUAAGAAUGCAUCCUUUCUUCUUGAGAUUGAAAUUCAUAGAGAUAGGUCUCAAAAUUUGUUGGGACUAUCGUAAAGGUCUUAUAUUAAUCGUGUGCUUAGUAAAUUUAACAUUCAAAGCUGUAAGGCUAGGAAUGCACUAAUUGUGAAAGGUAAUAGACUUAAUCUUAGUUAACGCCCAAAGAAUGAUUUGGAGAAAGAAUCCAUGAAGAACAUACUAUAUUCUAGUGUAGUUGGGAGUCUCAUGUAUGUUUAAGUUUGCACUAGGCUAGAUAUUGCUUUUGCAAAGUGAGUUCUUGAGAGAUAUCUUUCAAACCCUAUUAUGGAUCACUGGGUUGCUAUUAAGAAAGUGAUUAGGUACUUGUAAAAGACAAAAAGCCAUAUGUUGGUAUGCAAAAAGGUGGACAAUCUUGAGAUAGUAGGGUAUAUAAAUUCUAACUUCACUAGUUGUUAGGAUGACAUGAAGUCCACUCCAGGGUAUUUUUUUCAUGUCGGCUAGAAGAGCUUUGUCUUGGAAACGUGUGAAACAAACACUCUUAGUUUUUUCCACUAUGCAAGUUGAGUUUGUUGCAUGCUAUAGAGCUAUUACAUAGGCAAUUUGGCUUAUGAAUUUUGUGUCAGGUCUUUGUAUUAUUAAUUCCAUCUCUAGACCUUUAAAGAUUUAUUAGGAUAAUAGGUCUGCUGUGUUGUUUUCUACGAACAACAAGAGCACUAUUGCUUUAAACGUUUGGAGAUAAUAUAUUUUAAAGUUAAGAAUUUUAUGAAAAAUGGUAAGAUUGUUGUCAAACACAUUAAGACUAACAACAUGAUUGUUGAUCCUUAGACUAAGGGAAUAAGACCUAUAGUAUUUGGUAAACAUAUUGAGAAAAUAGGUAUUUUGGGGUCUUUUGAUGUAAUUUAUUAUUAAUAGUAUAUCAUUUGUAUUUCAUACUCACAAAUCACAGUUUGUCUCUAUAUUGGACUUUUUCCUUUAUGCUUGGAAUAUCUAUGUGAUAUUUAAUUCUAUGCUUGAAUGAUGAGAAUUGUUGGUUGACAUUUUAUGUUGUUAUUUUACUUUGUUAGUAUAUGCACACAUGGAAAAUUAAAGUUUAUUAUAUACAUUGUGAAAUCUUAAGACUUGGGGUCUGUGUUAAGUAUGACUAUUUUUAUCACUUGGAUAACUAAUAAUCUUUUAAAUAUAUAUAAUAUAUAUUAUAUUACAGGAUAUAUUGUUACAUGAUAAGGUUUGCUUACAUUGAUGGUUUUUCUUUUUGACAUGUGAUAAAAUUCUUAAAAUUUCUCUAUAAUGACAUAUAAGACAUUUCUUAAUUUUAGGCUAUUUAUCAAUAAAUAUAUAUUUAAAAAAUUAUUUAGUUAUCGAAAACUUUCAAAUUUUAGAUGUAAGUAUUAUGGGAUAUGUAAAUGCCUAUACAUAUAUAUAUAUAUAUAUCAUUUUUUGACACAUAAGAAUUUACCACAAAAAAUUAACUUAUAUGGAUAUCUACUUGGAUAAUUUUUAAAUUGUUAACAAUAAAAUCUAAUUUAGAUAUAUUUUUAUUAAAAAUAAAUUUCCUAAUAAUAUAAACAUAUUUUUUAAAUUUAAAAAUCUCAAUUGUAAUAAUAUAUUAUCUCUAAAAUGGGUUUAUAAAAUAAUUCUAUUUGAUAAAUUAUUUAAAUUCAAAAUGAAAACCUAUCAAACAUGAAAAUGUUUGUAUAAAUCUUGAAUUAAAAAAUGUCAAUUCUAGAAUUUUUCUUUUUUUUUUUAAUUUAAUCAUUUUUCAAGAAUAUAUAUGGACCAUAAAUUUUGAAUAUAUAUUUCAAUUAAAAUUGAUUAGAUUUUUUUUUACUAUUUCAAAUUUGAAAGAUAUGUUGUAUUUUUUAAUUCUCUUAUCAUUAGAUUAUUUUAAAAAUUUAAUUCCAGCCAUAGUCACUAAUCAUUUUUUCAUUACCAUUGUCAAGCCUGCGUCUAAAAUAGCAAUCGAUGAAAAUUUUUUAUUGUUUCAUUCCAAUCACAAUCACCCAUCACUUUAUUGUUUGAGAAGAAUCAUAAUUUGUAACUAAAUCACUUAUAUGUUGUGACGUAAUCAAUUGAUUUGUGCUUCGUUAAAUGAUUUAUUGGUAGAACUAGAGAUACAACUGUUUAAGGAAAGAGCUAAGGACAAAAAAACUUCUCUUUUAUAUAUAUUUAUUUUUAUAUUAAUGUCAUUUUUUUUUCAAAUUAAGCAGUAAUUUGGUAAUUAAUAUUAUUAUUACAUAUAGGAAAAACCCAAAAAUUAUUUGGGUACGAGACAUUCCUUGAACUCUAAAGGUCAACACUAAGGAAUGAUUAUCGAUUACAUGUAUAACAAUUUCAAAGUUUGACGCUUCAUGCACCAUUUUCGUCGUCCUGUGCCCCACCUAACUGUCAGACGUGUGAGUGUUACCUACGCACGAACCAACCAAGAUUAGCUGACAAAUACUAAAACCCAAUAUAUAUAUAUGUAUAUAUAUAUAUAUAUAUAUCUUAUACUCGAAAAUGACACCAUCACUUUUGUUGAUUAAAUCAGAGUAUCACAAUUGAAGAUCAGAAGAAAAAAAACCUUUACCGUAGAAUGGCAGAACAUUGGUGACGAUGAAGUUUUCGAUAUAGUGAAAAGAGCGACCCGAUGCAGUAUGAUCAGCAUAAGUAAGUUUUCUAGUUCCAAAAGGAGAGUCAAAUUCUGCAUCACCACCAGUGAUUUGAGAUCGUAGCCAAGACAGCUUUUUCUCGGUGGAGUCAACCUUUGGCACACCCAUCUCUAGAGCCCUGAAUGAUUCCGAGCCAUGGAAGAGUUUGCUGGAAACAUAGGAACGGCAUGUUGAUCCUGGCGACUUAUGCCUGUCCCUGGUUGAAGUCUUACUAUCAUUUGCUGCCUUCAAUUUCAGGGCUUCCGUUGUUUCUCUAAACAUGGGUUGCUCAAACUCCAUUUCCCACCUGGAAACAAAGAUUAGUGGCUGUUUUUAUUGUUGUUGUAGCUUAUGACAGGAGAAAGAAUGGAAAAAGUAGUUGUAGAAAAAGAAAAAGAUAAGAAUGAGGGUAAGGAAGGCAGACUUGGUUAUUUAUAUACUAUUAAAAUACAAAGUAACCUUUUGACACGGUUUCAUUUUUUUAAUUAAUAAAACAAAAAGACAACGUUUUAGGCGGGAGGGGGGUUGGACUCCGAAACCAUGGCCUCUACACACCAAUAAGAAAAAUAUUGCUGUCUCAGAAACAAUGGGAUCUCUAAAAAAGAUUGUAAAAAAAAAAAAAAACCUACAGAAAAUAGUAAGCCUAUGUUUGGAAUAUAUUAUUCCUUGGAGUGUAAGAAUUUCCAUAUUUCUCAUUCCUCUCCCUAAAAGUUGGUUAUGGAGUAUCAAAUAGCCCAAGCAAUUGUUAGAAAAACAUUGAACCUUUCCUGAUCUACUUGGUUUGGAACUUGAUGUAUCCAAUCUGCCAUAUUAAUAAGGAGAGCAUUGCUAUUUAGAGGUGUCAAUAAUAUACCCGUACUCACAAGUUAUUCAUUUUGUAAAUUUGAUGACUUAAUUGAUAAAAAGAAUGAGAACUUUUGUUUUUCGGUAUAAUUUGCACGGGUAGAUAUGAUCUAAAAAAGUAGAAAGUGUAAAGAAAGCAAAGAAUUUGAUUGCUUUUCAGAAACUUAGUAUGAUUUUGGCAAUAUGCAUGAUAAUUUUAUUAAUGAUUAUUCAUCAAUAAGUAACAUUUAUGAAUUAAAAUUAAAUUUUGAUUUAUUGAAAAAGUAUAAAAAAAUCAGUUAUAAAAAAAAAUGAAAGAAUGAAGAAACAAACAGAUGGAUCAAAAAAUAAAUAAAUAAAAAGAGAACCAAAACAAAAUAAAAGUAGUGAAAUAGAUCUUCAAACCAAUACUCCCCCACACUAAAGGCUAUUCAUUUGUAUUUAUGAUGAAGUGGCAUAUUAAAAAUAAAUAAUUUAAUUUAAUUAAGAAUUAUUUAAGAUAAAUAAUAAAAAUUUGAUUACUAAUUGAUAUAAUUUUAACUAUAUAAGGUAAGUAAUACUUACUCUUUAAGGUAAUGUUGGUAUUUUCAAAAUGGUUAAAUAUAAAAAUAACCCAUUUAUUAUACAUUUUUUUAUCAAUUUGGCACCAAAAACAUAAAAUAUUUAGUUUGGUGCUCUAAUUUUCAUUCUAUCAUCACUUUGUUACCAGAGUCUAACACCAUUAGUAAUUUAAUUAACGUGGUAUAAAUAUAUAAUAAGAUAUUAAAACAUGUCAAUAAAAUCUAAUCAAUGUCAAAUCAUCAAUAUUACAUCCGAAUUUAAAAAAAAUUCCAAAAAAUUUAAGCAUUUUAAAAAACUAAAACUAAAAAAUUUAAAAUUUUUUAAAAAUUAUUAAAACUUAAAAAAUUCAAAAAAAUCUAAAAAUUUUAUUAUAAGAAUUAAUUUUUUUUUGAAAUUGUCAUAAAAAUGAUAAUUUUAGUAAACAUAAAGUUUUCAUAAAAUUUAAAAAAAAUCUCUAAAACUUAAAGAAUUUGAAAGUAAAAGAUCUAAAAUUUUUUAAAAAAAUAAAAAAAAUUUAAAAUAAUUGUAAUUUUUGUAAAUUAGGAAAAUUCUUCUUUUUUUAAGUCUUACAGUUUUAAUUUUUUGUAUAUAUUUUGUGAUUUUUUUACAUUUUUUAAAUGUUAAUGGAUUUUUAUUAAAAUUUUAAGUUUUUUAUUUUAUAUUUUUCCAAAAAAAUUUAAUUUUGAGUAAACUUCUUCAAAUAUUUCAUAUUUUUGAAAUUUUUUUAAUUUUCUCAAAAUUUUUGAAAAUAUUUUAUAAAAUUUUAGAUUUUAAUAAAAUUAGAUUUUUUUUUAUUUUCAAAUUUUGUCAAAAAAUUCUAGAUUUUUUUAAUUUUUGUGAACCUUUUUUUUAAUUUCUUAGAAUUUUUUCGAUUUUCUGUUAAAAUUUUGAGAUUUUAUGAAUUUUUUUAAGUUUUCAUAUUCUUUUAACUUUUAUAAUUAAAAAAGAUUUCAUAUUUAUUUAAUUUUUCAAAAUUUUAAAAUAUUGAUGCAAUAAUUGAUGAUGUGACACUAACUCAACUUUUUUACUAAUGUCAUAUCUUUUUAGAUGUUAAUGUCAUGUUAAUAAAUUGAGUAAUUGCUUUAGUCUGAGGUGUCAAAGUAAAUGACAAAAUGAAAAUUCAAGAACCAAAUUGAUAAUUUUGUUUCUUAAAAUACCAAACUGACAGAAAGUAUAUAGUACAUGAAAUAUUUUUAUAUUUAACAUUUCCAAACACCAAAAAACCUGAAAAGAGACUUACAUUAAAAGAUGCCUAGGUAGCGGUCAAGAUGAUGCAAUUCUGUUUUGUGGCUCAGGCACUACGGCAGCUAUUAAAAGGCUACAAGAAGUUAUGGCGAUUACGGUACCAUCAAUUUUGAGGGACAUGGUAAUAAAUUACUUAAUGAGUAUCGAUGGGUAGUUUUUAUUGGCCCUUACGAGCACCACUCCAACUUGCUUUCUUGGCAUCAAAGCCUUGCUGAAGUUGUUGAGAUUGUUUGGAUGAGAAUGGGUUCAUAGACAUUGAAGCACUAAGAAAACAGCUUGAGCUGUAUAAAUACACCAAUAGGCCUUUGCUUGGCUCAUUUUCAGCUUUUAGUAAUGUGACUGGGAUUCAAACAGAUACUCGAGAGAUUGCCAAACUUCUUCAUGAGUACGGAGGUUUUGUUUGCUUUGAUUUUGCAGGCAAGGUAAACAGUAAGAAUUUUCAUUUUUUGUUGUCAAGCUUUUAUAUUCGAGGUUGUCAGAAUUUAAACUUUGAUUGUUAAAAUUAAAACUUUAAUAUUUUAAUAACAGCUCUCACAAUUAAUUAUUAGCCAAGUUUAUGUAUUAUGUUAAUAUUAUAAAGCAAUGAGAAGUUGAUUUUUUAUUGUGCUUAUCAUUUUAUUUUUGUGGAUAGUGGUCCUUAUAUGGAGAUUGAUAUUAGGUCAGGGGAGAUUGAUGGAUAUGAUGCCAUUUUCCUAAGCCCACAUAAGUUUCUAGGUGACCCUGGAUCGCCCGGUAUCCUUUUAAUGAGCAAGGCUCUCUACCAGCAAGGAUCUUCUCCUCCAUCAACUUGCGGAGGUGGAACAGUUAAUUAUAUCAAUGGUUUCAAUGAACAGGUAAUUACUCUCAAAUUUAAAAUUAAUUGAUAAUAAAUGAAGAUAUUUUUAUUAUAUUUAUGUGUUCAGAUUAAUUCAAUUUAAUAGAUAAAAGAUUUUAUUUUUUGUUCACCUCUCUACAAUAAAAUGGAAAAUUUUAUUUUCUUUACCUUUUUCUUAUUCUUGCUUAUAUAUCCCAUUUUGUGAGAAAUUUGGUUUCUUUCUUCAACUGGACGACAUAAAGAAUGAUUAGGUAGCUGUCAGGCUUUUGGGAGUUUAGAAAUAAAUUCCUGAUUCAGAUGGAGCGGGUUUAGACAUAGACUAGCGAAUGAUAAGUGUCUCUAAAAAAUUUUUUAUUUCAAUUACAAUUUUAGAAGAACAGAGAUUUCCAACCAAAUUUCUGAAUGCACGACAGUGUCAAUAGAAAAAUACUCUAGAGAAUGAUAAGUUAUCAUGAUAUUAAUCGGAUUCGUUCCCCAGCAUUUAGGGAAGCAGGUAUGCAAUUUAAUAUGUGGUAAAAUGGGGAAUUUAUUUUGCAGGACACAAUAUACGUAAGUCAUAUGGAAGAAAGGGAAACUGGAGGGACUCCCCAAAUAAUUCAGAUUAUUAGAGCAGCAUUGACAUUUUGGGUAAAAGAAUAUAUUGGUUAUGAAGUGAUUGCAAACCAGGAAGAAGUCGUACAUAAAUCAAGCAUUGGAAAGGCUUCUCCCAAACCAAAACAUAAGGGUUUUAGGAAAUGCAAGCACCGAGACCCAGAGACAAGCCAUACUGUCUUUCCUCAUCUACUCCACAACCAACGAUGGUAACAAUGUUGACGAGGCAGAGGAAAAGGGGAGGGGACUUUUCAUGUGGGGAGAGACUGGGAACAAGAGGGAUAAACCUCUCCAUGGCCCUUUUGUUGCAACCAUCCUAAAUGAUCUGUUUGGCAUCCAAGCUCGAGGUGGGUGUGCUUGUGCUGGACCUUAUGGCCACAGUUUGCUUGAUAUUGAUCAGACUCGAUCCCUU
RNAcentral lists this long non-coding RNA (254502 nucleotides) under Durio zibethinus. RNAcentral's name for it is "long non-coding RNA (DZIB_LNC001103)". Lineage: Eukaryota; Viridiplantae; Streptophyta; Magnoliopsida; Malvales; Malvaceae. The record is from RNAcentral.